Molecule: long non-coding RNA, 182296 nt
Filed under: Gossypium raimondii (Peruvian cotton)
Lineage: Eukaryota; Viridiplantae; Streptophyta; Magnoliopsida; Malvales; Malvaceae
Description: long non-coding RNA (GRAI_LNC009481)
Source: RNAcentral
UUUGGCCCACAGCUGCCCCUAAUACCGUCAAGAGUGUUGAGGUUGAAGCUAAUCCUAGCUCAGGAAGCAUCGUAAAGAUCAAUUUUGUUGAAGGUUAGAUAUUUCAUUUUCAUUGGCAUUGGCAUUUUUUAGCGUGUUUUACAUGAGUAUAUUGGAUAACAAGUAUUUGUUUGUUUAGGCCUUCCAUUCCAAUAUAUGAAGCACCAGAUAGGAGGACAUGACGAAAAUAAUUUUUCAUAUAGCUACAGUUUAAUCGAAGGUGGGCCCUUGGGGGACAAGCUUGAAAAAAUCAGCUAUGAAAACAAGUUUGAGGCAGCUGCAAGUGGAGGAAGCAUUUGCAAAAGCUCGAUGAAAUUUUACACUGUUGGCGACAAUGUAAUCACUGAAGAUGAAAUCAAGGCUCUCAUUAAAGGGAGUGAGGGAGUUUACAAGCCUGUUGAAGCUUACCUCUUGGCUAAUCCCGAAGCCUGCAACUAAGAUAUAGAUUGCUUUGAAUUCUCAUGCUGCUUUUAAAGAGUGGCCAUUACUUUCAAUGGUGUGUUUUUUAUAUUUUCUCUUUCCACUUAAAACUUAAACUUUCUUAUGAUUAUUUUAAUAAGAGCGGUGGUGGUGAUCGAGCUUUGAUCAUCUUUAUUUUCAUUACUAUCAAAUAAUUUGGGUUGUAUCAUCUUUGACAUAUACUGAAAUAAAAUAAACACCAAUUCACAAACAAAAAAGGUUUUACCUAGUAUAUUGAUGAGUUAAAAUUUAUAAGACUAAUGCACGUAUUGAUGAAAAAAUAAAGUGAUAAAUAGAUAUUAUGCCUACAAGGAUCCAAUUUUAAAUUACUUAGUAGUAACUAUUUAAGUUUUAUUCAAUCCAAAACAAUAAAAUAAAAUUUAAUUAUUAUUAAAAUUAAACUAAGUUGAUUAAGAAGGCUUUAUUAAACUAAAACAAAGAAAAUUUAUAUAUGUUAAAUCCUAUAUGGAAGAAUUAAAUGUUCAUUCACCUCCUUAUAUUCUAUAUUCUAAAAAAAAUUUUGUGUUUGGACAAUUGAGUUACUUAUUUUACAAGGGCAUUAUUGUCAAUAUAGGAGGAUGUGAGUUCGAAUGUGCUGAAGCGCAUUAUCCUCCUAUUAAUAAGUUAGAGAGGGAUUAUAAAUAAUUUUAAAUAUUAUUUUUAAAAGAGCAUAUAUAAUUAAAACAUAUAAAGAGAUUGUAAAAAAGGAAAAAAAAAAAACCUUGUGCGUUUCUUGCUUACCACGAUGGGAAUAGACAAACUAACUAGUUUGGUUGCCUUAGAGAUUGAUCUUAAUUAUUAUCCUUAGUACAAUAAUUUGACAGUAAUUUUAUUAUAUUCUAUUUUCUUUAUCAUAGGGAAUUAUAACCUGUAAAAAAAUUUAAUAAAAUGAACAUGAAUUACUUCAAUUCAUAGUGUUGUAAAUCAUCUCCCCUUUCUAACGUUUGUAUUGGGAGAGCAGGUUAACCAAAACUCCUGAGCCCUACAAAAGGAACGAAGGCAUUAAAAAAACACCCAUAAAUCCUCAUGGAAUCAUUAUAUUAUCUUUGAGAGAUGCUUCAAGGUUGGAUAUUUAAACUUGUAACUAGUAUAUCAAUCACUGAUAAUUAUAGUAAAUUACUCUACUAUUUUCCGUUUUCCACAUAUAUGUGGAAGGCAAUUUCAGAUGAGGAGAUAAAAAAAAGCUUUGUUUGACAUGACUCCUUUGAAAGCUCCUGGGAGCGAUGGUUUUCAUGCUUUGUUUUUCUGAGUCAGUGGAAUGUUGUGGAAUUGCUGUCUGUGAGUGGGUUAAAAGGGUAUUUAAUGGUGGGUCAAUUGAACCAGAUUUGAAUAACACAGUCAUUGUCCUCAUUCCUAAGAUUGCGCAUCUGGAAAGUUUCCAAUAGUUUAGGCCUAUCAGUUUGUGUUCAAUCUUGUACAAGCUAGUCAUGAAAGUCAUUACUAAUCGAUUUAGGUGCAUCUUCCCUAAAUUAAUUGCGCAAGAGCAGACGAGUUUUAUUGCAAAGAGGAAUAUUAUGAAUAAUAUCCUCAUUGCACAGGAAGUCAUUCAUUCCAUGAGAGGGAAACGCCACUAGAAGUCUUGAAUGGCUGUUAAAAUUGUUCUAGAAAAAGCAUAUGAUCGAGUGCGGUGAGAUUUUACCGAGGCUUUGCUAAGACCUGUAGAUAUUCUGGUUUUUUUAUAAAGGUCAUUAUGGAUGGAAUAUCAGGUUCUCCGUGCAAGUUCUUUGGAAUGAGAUUCCAGCAUAGAAAUUUAAGCCGACGAGAGGGAUCUGUUAGGGCUAACUUUUAUCUCUGUAUUUGUUUGUUCUAUGUAUGGAAUGGCUUGGGUAUAGUUUUAGUUUGGCUAUUUCUAAUGGUCAGUGGCAUCCAAUUAGAUUGUCUAGAGCUGGGCCGGAUUUAUCACAUCUAUUCUUUGUUGAUGAUCAGGUAAUUUUUACCAGAGUUGACUUGGGUCAUUCACUACUCCUAAAGGAGAUUUUGGAUAAUUUCUACAAUAUCUCUGGUCAUUGUGUUAAGGCUCGGAAGACUAAUAUUUUUUUCUCAAAAGGGAUUAACAAGGUGGUGGGUAGUGGAAUUAGUAGUUUGCUUGGUUUCCAAAAAGUGGAUAAUCCCGGUUCGUAUUUGGGUGUUCCUAUUUUUUAAGAAAGGGUCACCAAAAGUACUCUUAGAUUUGUGGUGGAUAAGGUUCAAAGUAAGUUGUAUAAUUGGGACGCCAGGAAGUUAUCUUUAGCUCGGACAGAUACUUUAGCACAAUAUGUACUUUUAUCCAUUGCAAAAUAUUUCAUGUAGUCUUUAAUGAUUCUAACGUUCCGUUUAUUUCUUUGAAAAUGGCUUUCGGAAAAUGAUUUUUAGAAAAUGACUUAUUUUUCUGGAAAAGCUAAUAUUUUCUGGUGUUUGGAUGAAUUUGUGUAAAAUAUUUUCUUUUGUUUGGCAAGUUCUUUAAAAAUAUUUCAUAAAAGUCGUUCUCAAUUAAACAAACAUACAUUUGAGAUUUUUUUUUUCAUUGUUUAAUUGAGUUUAUUUUAUAUCUAUAAUUUUAUAUUUUACAUUGUUUUUACAUAUAUUAAAAAUAUUUUGUUAAAUUUAUGUUCAUUGCAAUGAUCCUUUUUUAGUUACAUGACUACCAACUGAGCAUUUUUUUAUUUAAAAAUGUGACAUUAACAAAAUUGACAAAAAAAUCAACAAUGUUAGCAGUUGGACUUGAUUUUCUAAUCUAGAAAGUAGAGGGGCUAAAUUCUUUAAAAUAAAAGUACAUAAACUAAAUUGCAAAUUUGUAAAGAGUAUAUAGACUUAUGACAUAUUUUAACAUUUAUACUACAAAACAUUUAUUAUUAAUAUAUUUAUAAUUGUAAUAAAUAUUUAGUAUUAAAAUAUUAAUAUUGAUAUUUUCAAUAAUAUGUGAAUAAUAUUAUUUAAAAUUAUUAUUUUUAAAAACUACUAUUAAAAUAAAAUUUAAAUAUUAAAUAAUUUAUUAAAAAUAAUAAAUUAUGUUAAUUAUAUUAAUAAUUUAUUAUAUGACUAAAUAUAAAUAAUUAAAUACGUAUGUUUAAUAAUAUUAAAAAAUAUAAUAUUUUAUAUUAAUAUUUUAAAUAUUUUUAAAAAUAAAAAUAAAAAUAAAAUUUAUUAUCAGUAUAAUAAUAUUAAACUUGAUUUAAUUUAAUUUUUAUAUAAAAGUAAAAUUAUCUAUUGAGGAGCUCGUUUCCGAAAAAUGACCUUUUCAAAAGGGUGAGUCAUUUUACAAGGAAAAAGGCUUAUUUUUCGUUGACCUGUAUGUCAUUUUCUGUUGGCCAAGCUAUUUUCUGUGAAACAAACACAGGAAAAUGCAGAAAAUUUUUUCCGUAAAACCUUUUACAUGUAAACAAACGAACCCUAAAUGAGUAUGUGAUGAGAUUGAGCGCUUGGUCAGAUAGUUUAUUUGGGGUUGGUCGAGUGGGAACAAGAAGUUGACGUUAGUUAGUUGGGAUUCAGUCUAUCAGCCUCGUUCUUGUGGAAGACUUGGGUUUCAUCAUUUGGAGGAUCAGAACAAGUCAUUUUUGUUGAAAUUGAAGUUUAAUUUGGUUUUGAACGACAAUGCUUUAUGGGUUAGGAUUCUCAUUUCGAAGUAUGGUAUGAAGGAGAGGUUGCCAGAGAGCAUUUUGAGAAGUUCAAGUUUGUUCCUUUGGAGGGCUCUAUCCAAGGUUUGGUCUUUGCUUAAAGAUAAUCUAGUAUGGUCCAUGGGAGAUGGAAUGAAGGUCGAUUUGUUAUUGGAAAGAUCAUUGGAUUGCGAGUGUAGGACCUUUGAUGCGGCUAAUCCCUUCGCAUGCUAACUUGGAUCCUGACUAUAUGCUUAACGUGACGGUAACGGUGGAUGAGGUGUGAAAUAUUGAUUUAUUUCGAGUGUGGCUGUUUCAAGACAUUGUUCGGUGUAUAGUCAGUAUUUCGACACCCCAUUCUUCAGCGGGUCCGAACAGGAUUGCUAGGAGCCAUCAACCUAUUGGAUCUUUUUUUGUUAAAAGGGCGUAUCACAUGAUUCAGGAGAAUUUUAGGAGGCCUAGAUAUGAGACUUGUAAGAGAGCAUGGAAAUUUUAAGGGGCGCAAAGAGUUCGUUUCUUUAUGUGGCUUACUUUAAAGCAAAGAUUGCUCACAAGUAUGGAAUGUGUUAGGAGAAGAAUUGGUCAGGAUCCUUCUUUCCCAGUUUGCGGCCAUGCCUCUGAAGACCUUCUUCAUGUCCUUAGAGAUUGCUCUAUGGUGAAACAUGUAUGGCUGAGCGUAGUGCCUGUAAAUCAGAGUGAUAACUUUUUCUCUGUUAACAACUUUGCAGACUAUUUAGUUUCUAACUUAUCCUCACGUUUAAAGGUACACUCUGAGGAAGUUUUUUGGUCUUGCUUAUUUGGUUUAAUAUCAUGGUGUCUUUGGAAGAACAAGAAGUUAUUCAUUUUAUAGUGUUUGACUUGGAAUGCUUAAGAGAUAAUUAAAGUUUCAGUAUGUUGGGCUCAACAAUUUUUAAAUGUUCAUUUGACUAUGAUGUUUAGUAGGUGCAUUGGAGCUCUGGUUUAAUCUUUGUUGAAUCUUUGUGUUUUUCUAUAUACUGAUGGGGCAAUGAAUGUGAGUACAAGAUGCACAUCUGCUGGUGGUGUAGUGAGAGAUCAGUUUGGUGAUUGGAUUGUCAGGUUCAAUCAUAAUUUAAGUGUUUGUCUAGUCUUUGAUGCUGAACUCUUGAGUAUUUGGGAUGUUUUACUAUUGUUAUAAGAAAAGGGGUAUGUUAAAGCCUUAAUUCUGGAAAAUUGCUUGGAGGCAGUCAAUGCUAUUCAAGAUGACUAUUUGGGGUAUCAAUUUAGGCCUUGGUUUGAUGAAUUAAGCAGAUUUUAUAGUACAAGGAGCAUUGGACAGCUAGGCAUGUCUCUAGGGAGAGAAAUCAAGUUGCUAAUCGUUUAGUUAAAAUGUUUUCUGUUUAAAUUGAUGGUAUGCAUAGAUUAAUAGGCACGCUUAGGGAGUUAAUUGAUCUCCUUAAACAUGAUAAAGUUGCUAGUGCUUUUGUUCAUUUAGUUUGAUCUUGUUAUAUCUUUUUAUUAAAAAAAUCUCUAACUAACACGAUUUAUUUUGAAUUUAAUAAAAAUAAUUUCUUAAAAUAAUAAUUUUAGACAAUUUUUAAUCAAUGCUUAUAAAAACCGUCAGCACAUCAAAUUAAUUGAACCAUAAGUCUCUGUCAGCACAAUUCAUUAUUCCCUCUAUAUAUUUAAAUAAGCAUUAUUGAAAACAAUAAAUUAAGCAAAUAAGUAGAUAAGUAGAAGACAAACUGAUACAAUAUUUGAACUCACCAAUUUGCGAUUUAAUAAGAAAGUUCUGGCUGCCUAUUUUGACUAGUACCAAUUCAAUGAAAAUUAAUAACAAUGUUGGAUAUAAAUCCAAUUAAAAAAUGAGAAUAAUAAUUUUUUACGCUUCAAGUUCAGUGUAUAAAUAGCAUCCUAGUUCUCUAUCAUCUCACACCUCAACCACUCAAUCAUCCACUUCUUCUCUUCUUUGAACUCAAAGUCCCAGUUAAUAUUAGAAUCAUGGGUGUUGUCACUUAUGACUAUGAGUCUACCUCCCCAGUCGCCCCUUCCAGGCUUUUCAAGGCCUUUACUGUUGAAGCUCCGAAAGUUUGGCCCACGGCUGCACCUAAUGCAGUCAAGAGUAUUGAGGUUGAAGCUAAUCCUAGCUCUGGAAGUAUCGUAAAAAUCAACUUUGUUGAAGGUUAGUUCUUUCAUUGGCCUUUUUGUAGUCUGUUUUACACGAGUAUGUUGGAUAACAAGUAUUUAUUUGUUUAGGCCUUCCAUUCCAAUAUAUGAAGCACCAGAUAGGAGGACAUGAUGAAAGUAAUUUUUCAUACAGUUACGAUUUAAUCGAAGGUGGGCCUUUGGGGGACAAACUUGAAAAAAUCAGCUAUGAGAACAAGUUUGAGGCAGCUGCAGGUGGAGGAAGUAUUUGCAAGAGCUCAAUGAAAUUCUACACUGUUGGCGACAAUGUAAUCACUGAAGAUGAAAUCAAGGCUCUCAUUAAGGGAAGUGAGGGAGUUUACAAGCCUGUUGAAGCUUAUCUAUUGGCUAAUCCUGAAUCCUGCAACUAGGAUAUUGGUUGCUUUGAAUUCUGAUUCUUGGUUUUAAAGAGUGGUCAUUGCUUUUAAUGGUGUGUUUUUUAUAUUUUCUUUUUCCUUUUAAAACCUAAAUUGUCUUCUAAUUAUUUACAUAAGAGUGGUGGUGAUCGAGCUUUUGUCAUCUUUAUUUUCAUUACAGUCAAAGAAUUUGGGUUGUCUUUGACAUAUAUAGAAAUAAAAUAAACAAAUAAACUCAAAAAAAGAAAAAAAAAGGUUUUACCUGGUAUAUUGAUGAGUGAAAAUUCACAAUCCAUAUUAGAGAUGUGCAUUCGGUGGUUGGAACGAUUUGAUUAUUUUAUAACAAUAAUCGAAUAAAUAAAAAUUUUUACUGCAAUUGAAUUAAUCGAACCAAACUUAAAAAGGUAAAAAUGAAACAACCGAACUGAAUUUAGUCAAUUCGAUUAGAUUUAGUUAAUCGAUUUUUGCUUUUUUUGGUUUUUAACUUAGUUGAACUCCACCGAUCCAAAAAUUCUUCACUGUUCGUGUCGGCAUGUUUGUUCCUCACAGAAUGGGAGCAAACAGUAGCCGCCUUACCUUUUGCUAUAAAAAGGAUUUUAGCCUUUGCUUUCAAAAUCAUCCCAAUCUCUCCAAGAAAGUGUGUAUACUUUAGUAUACAUUUGGGUAAUUCCUUUAAUUAAGGAUUUCAUUAGUUUGUAAUCUUUUUAGUAUUAGUGAAGUUAUCAUUAGAUAUUGGAUUUUGAGGAUGUAGAUAAUUUGUUGAAUUUCAUAAAUUUGGUGUGCUCUUAUCUAUUAUCUUAUUUAUAUUUAUUGAUUUUUUCUAUCGUAUUUGAUAUUCAAUAGUAACUUGUCGGGUUAAUCUAUAAUGUUUAGGAGGUGAGAAAAAGUCGAUAGAAAUCGAUCGAACCAACCAAAAUUCAUUUUUCUAAAUUAGUUUAGUUGGUUUCGAGUUUAACUCGGUUACAUUAGGUGAUUAACUCAAGGUAAUGUCGGCUCGAUUUCAGUUUUGAAAUUCAAAAUUAUUUUAAUCAAUGACACUGACUUUACAUAUAAAAAUAUAAUAUAUUUAAUUAUACCCAAACCCAAUAUGCCAUUUACCAUAUCUCAAUCAAGCCAAAAUUAAAUCCAAAAUUUCAAAUACCCAAACCCAAUAAAAAUAAAAUAAUAAUUUAAAAUUAAAAAUUUAAUAAAAACUAAAAAUGUAAUAAUAAUUAAAAAACAUUAAACAAAAAAAAACUAAAAUUCUAACUUUCUAACCCUAAAACCUAAUUUCCCAAAACCAAAAAAGAAAAAUCUUACCUUUGUUGUAGCCCACAGUCAUUCCCCUGACCCUGUGUUUCACCUUUGUAACGAUCCAAAUUUCAGUGGUGUAAGAAAAUACGAUUUUAAAAUCUCAUUUUCGUAAACUGGGUCCGUAAGGGCAAAAAAUAAAAAUUUAGGAAGUUAGUAUGAAAAUAGAUUGAAACUUUGUUAAGUAAUUUAAUUGAUAAAUUGGUUAAUUAAAGUUCAAUGACUAAAUUGUAAAAGUUCAAUUGAUAUUGAGUUUGUAACACCCCAUACCCGACCCGAUCGUCGGAUCUGAACUAUAAGGUGCUACACUUCAUUAACUAUUACCUAAAAUGCUCCUUUUUAGCAAUACAAUAACUCAAAUUUAUAAUGCUAACUCUUACAUACAAAUCUUUAAUUUAGUACUCUUCGGAUGCUGAGUGAAGACAAAUAGACAUUUGCAACCUAGAUAAAUAAGGGAUUUACUACCAUGUUAAGACACAUAAGGAACAAUUUCACUGGAAGUUCCAUUAUAUUGAACUAAUUUAGUGACUUGAAAAUUUGAAAUCGAUUUUUAGUCUUGGUUACAACUUGACUCAGACCCUAAGACUCCGCCUUGGGUCGCCUCGUUGUAUGCACAUUGCUACGACCACAAAAUAAGUUGCCUGAUCUUGGUAAAUUCUGGCUUGGUCACUUAUUGAUUUCUAGAAACAACUACUAAACCUACAAUUCAUAGAAACACAACUGUAAUUUCGAUUGAACCUAGUGAGUGGUCCAUACCUGGCAUCAGCAUAGCACAAAUGAACUACUAUUUCAACAUUUGGAAACCACAUGACUUUCCUUGUGAAGAACACAUCCAUCAAAUCAUGUUGGUGUGGACUUGACUGUGUAACGUUUCAUUGAUGAGAUCUUAGCGAUGUAUGAUAAAGAAUACCCAGAUAGAAACGUUAGUAUGUUGGCAAGUAAUUCCGCAAAUCCUUUCUUUAAUGAUUUUCCUUAAGGACCUUUUCGUAGUUCUUCAAAAAAUACUUUCUACGAAUUCUCACUUGUGUACUCAAGAAAGAUACUCAUGCAUCUAUCUUGUGUUAUAACUAAGUUGAAGAAUAGAUCAUAAAGAAUGCCUUCCACUAUGAACCAUUAUUAGUGCUUGAUCUAACGGCCUCUAGUAGGUGGAUCUACUUUCAACUACAUAGUCAGAUACCAAUGUUUCAAACAGUAUCUUGAACACAAUACUUACUUAGAUAAACAAUUCCUUCAUUUUGGAAGUAUAGGAAAAUACCCUUGUAUCAUCCCCCAAAGAACCUGGCGAACUGUUAUAUAUAUAAUAUGAAUUCCAUACAAUUUGCUUGUAUUGUAGGUUCAAGCAUAGAAUGUGCUACUAGCACGCAGAUUCAUUCUUGGCGUACCUAUAAAAUUAUAUUCGAAUCCCCGAAUGAACCUGCAAGCUCUCACCAAAGUGAAUUCCAUAACUACUGUAGAUGCAAAACUAUAAGGAUAAGUCAAAAAACAGUCAUAACUUGUAUCAGACUCACUUUAUUUGCUAGCACAGGCACAAUGGCCUUCUCAUAAUAGUAGAUCACCUUUUUUUGGACUCAUACAAAAGACAUAGUGUAAAAUCAUAUUUACAAGAUAGUUCCUUAUAUUACAUAGUCCUCACGAACUUUCAUAAAAGAUAGUCCGUAUAGACUUCCAGAAAAGAUAGUCUUGGAUGACUUUCCAUAUAUUAGAUAGUCCUCACGGGCUUCUACAUAUACAGUAUUGUCAUGGCCAUGGUCUUCCAUACUUCCCAUAAAGGGCUCUCAAAUGUCCCACACAAGGGGCUCUCAUAUACUGGUGCACACUAUUCUUCGUACCAUUUAAAAACUCCAUUCUUGGCUCAAUCCAAUCGAACCUCCCUCAAAGCCACCUAAAUAGUAUGCAUCACAUACACGAACCCUCAACCAAUAAUUACUAUUUAUCACACACCAGUCAUUUUAUUGAUUCAUCAUAAGCAUACUUACUACCAAUCAAUCAUAUCAAUUCAAUAUGCAACAAUGCAUCAUACCAAACCUUUCAUUUACUUAACAUAGUUAACUCACAAUCAUUUGCGGAAUUGCAUACCGUAACACAUACAAUCACCAUACAUCAUUAAUUCCUCAUAACAUAAUCAUAAUUUGUAAGCUCAUCACACACUGCAUGCAACAAGACACCUCUACUUACAGUCAUAGAAUGACUUGUCAUUUACAUAACACUAAAUUAGCCUUUUUUAGCACACAAUAUUUAAAAAGGAACAUCCAUUUAAGAUCUGAGUACUGGGACUUACUUGGAAGUUAUCGCCAAAUCCAUCUUUUAAGUCUUUUCCCCUUGUUACACUAGCCUCCUUAGUCAAUACAACACAACAACCAUUUCAGAAUCCAAUAAAACCAUUCAUUAUCAUAAAAACUCUAAUUUUUUUGCAUGCAGAGACCAUUUAAAUGAUUAUUCGUCUCUUUACCCAAAACAAAACAAAAAGAAUAGUCAACUUAAAUCCUUAACUUCCUUCUUUUCUUAAACCCGCUAAUGUAGAGAGAUUAGAAAACUUACCAGCAUGCAAAAUUUCCAAUUUCUAAAACUUAAUCCUCAGUCUCUCCCCUUUGUACACGAACGUUCCUUAAUCUUUCUCUCUUCUAUGGCAAACCAGAGAAAAUAAGAAAAACAAAGAAAAUAAAAGAACAUCCACAGAUAAAAAUGCCCCUCCUAUAUAUCAGACUGAGGGUGGAGUGUUGCAUACUUCAUGGCAAUAAAACUAUUAUAGAGCUUUCUAGAAGUUUAAGUUGACAAGGUUCCCCAAUCUAUGAACACAAAGGCUAAUUUUUUGUCUCGAGUUGCAUCUAUUGUGGGAUUCCAGGAAAGGGAUAAAAUCUUACUAGAGCAUAAAAAAAGUCCCCAUUUCACAUUCAGUAGGACAAGUUUUCAACAUAGACUUUGGAAAUACAUGGAUAACACCAUUAGUGGAAUUCUUAUCCAGUGAUUCAAGACCUUUGAUCCUAAGGAACUUGAUUGCAUUUCUUUCCUAGCCUCUUAGUGCACACUUAUUGAUGUAGUCCUCUAUAAUAAAGCUUUCCUCCAUCCGCUUUUGAGUUGCCGAUGGCCUUUCGAAGUAGUGUGUGUGAUACGGAAGGUUUAUGAGCGCAUUUGUGGGCACCAUCUAGAUGUAAGGGCCAUGGCCUAGAAAGUUUUGCAGUAGUGAUUGAGACGAAAUGAAUGUGUGGAUGAGUGAGGAAUAGGAUUGUAAGUUUGCCCAAGUUGUGGAUUUCACUUAAGGCUCUAGACAAUCGAAAAUAAAUUUGGAUUUCGACACAACCUAAAAUAGAAACAAAUCCAAGUUAGAUCUACGAAUUCAGAUAUUAAAAGAAGUAAUUAAAAUAGAUAAUCAAGAUAAAAAAAUAAUAAAAUAAAUCAAAGAUUUGAAUAAUGAAAUAGGAACAAAAUAAGAUAAAGAAGAAAAUAAAACAGAUAUAUGGAAAAGAUGAAAAUGGUGUGUAGAAGUCGUAAGGAGCCUUGAAAACCCGAUGAAUCCACAACCCCCUUCGAUUGGCAGUAAUUUUCCCUCCAAGAAAGGGCAAGAAAAUGCUUGAAGAUGAUCCCCAUAAUCUGAAUAGAUUGUUAAAACUCUUCUAAAAGAAAACUGAAGAGAAAGUCUUAAAAAGAAAACUCAAAGAUAAUUUUAUUAACUCAAAGUGAAUAAUGAAUGAAUUCAUUGUUGUACAAUGCAAAGGCCUUUAUAUAGGCUAGUUAAAUAAAUCUAAAUAAAAAUCUCAAGUAUACUAGAACUCUAAUUAACCGAAACAAGAAGUAGUUUUAAACUAAACUUUCUUGUUGAUAUAAAACUCCUAAAUAACUUAAAAUAUUUAAUAAUUAUAAAAAAAUUAGAAUAAAAAAAUAAUAAAAUAAUAAGAGAAGAUAAAUAGAAUAUUGGGCUUAUAUAUAAUAAAAAUUAAGCUUAAAACCCAAAACCAAUAUGAUUUAAACUCGAAUUAAAAGCCUGAAACUCGUAAUUUCAGUAAUAAUCCCGUCGAGAAAUUCUACUCAUGCAGUUUUCACUAAAACAAUCAUAACUUGAGUUCUCGAACUCGAAAUCAAGUGAUUCAAAGUGUGUGUCGAAGCUAAAAGAUAUAUCUUAGAACGCUAUGAAGACAUAUUAAUCUAGAAUGUCUAGAACCCAUCCAAAAAUUUGUCACAAGUUGACUAAUCUUUUCAUCUUUAAAAUUGAUAGCUUGGCUAAAUUGACUUUAAUAGAUUUCACCCAUUCCGAGCAUGUUUCAUUCCUCGUUGCCUCGAAAAGUUUAUCCUCACUUACUAACUUUAACCAAAACUUGGUUUGAUUUGGUUGACCUUUGAUCUUGUUGUUGAGCCUUGAGGUAGUGUAAGCCCAUCACAUGUAUCGAUUUGAAAGUUGACAUUUAGACUUGUUUUGUUCCCCCAUUCCUCAAGAAGAUUCGUCCUCGAAUCUUUAGUUGUAUAAAAAAAGGGAUUAGGAUUAAUAACAAUAAAAGCAAACAAAUAAUUACAUAAUCUUUCCUGUGCACCAAAACUAUCUCCAAGAUCAAAGAUAUGAUUUUUGUCUCCCAAAUUAGCUUGGAUCAAGUACCUCUCCUCCAAAAAUAAACCAUCAACACUAAAAAUAUAAAUAUUAGGCACAUGAGUGUUCAAGUAUAAAAUAAUUUGUAACUUUAUUUGAAUACGUAUGGUCAUCCAUAAUAAAUUCCAAAGAUUAGUUAAUAAUUUCACAUAAUAAUCAAAAUCCAGAAGUUUAAUAUUAUUAUGUAAAACAUCAUAUUUAAAGUCUAAGGUAGAAAAUUUUGCUGCAAGAUCAAAUGCAUAAAGUUCUUUAAUAAACCUAUCGAAUGCAACAAAAGUAACCUUUACAAACCUAGAUAAACCCAUAAAAUCAAUUGAACUUUCAAACCAUAGUUUAUUGAAACUUGACCAAUGAGAAAACAUGUUGUAAUGAAAUAUUUUACAAACAAAAUCAGUAAUAUGCUUAUUAAAAACAUUCAAAGUAUGCCUUUUUAAAUCAGAAUGUUUCCUUGCCUUUCUUACCUUGUAGCAUUUGUGGAGAAUUAUCAAUGUUUAACUUACCUCUCUCCCAUAAGGAAAAUCGUCUAUCGAUGGUAUAAUAAUAUAAUUGGAAGUCUGUCAAUGGAUCUCGAAAACCCAAAAAAUUGCGGAGCAACUUGAAAAAAUUUGUUCGAGGUGUUCCCAAUUUCCAAAAAUCAUGAAAUUUAAACUAGAACCUUCCCAAAUAACAAAAAUCUGAUUUGGAAAUUUUGGCAUGAAACUCAACCUAAAGAAUAAUUUUUUAUUUUUCUUUUAUGUUUAUGUUUUUCCUCUUUUUUGAUCACUUUUUUUUUGUGGAAAAUAUUUUUUAAUAUUCUAAAAGAGUGCUAAGAAUCAGCAUGUAAAAUUUUAGAUCUUUUGAAAAAUGUUUACCAAUUGAAAAAUAAUUUUUUUCCAAAAAGUUUUUGCGUAAAAACAAAAACUCUUUUGAGACUAUUUGCUGGAAAUCAAUUUAUAAGAACACAAAGAAUAUCUAAAAUGCCCAAGAAUUUGAUACCAAAUGAUAAGGUGACAGGGGACAUGAUUGUAAGUUUGUUCAAGUCACGGAUUUGACUUAGGGCUCUAGAUGUUCGAAAAGAAACAUGGAUUUUGGCACAACCUGAAACACAAUGAAUCCAAGUCAGAUAAAAAAAUAAAUGAAAAUAAUUGUGUAACACCCCAAAGCCGGCCUAGGAGUUAUGAUCGUAUCUAGUGUGUCACAUUGAAGUGUUUUUCAAAAAAUUUGACUCGUUGAAAAAAAAACUUGUUUCUAAGUUUAAAAUAAAUAAGCAAAAGCCCAAUUAAAAAUAUAAGCUACUUAAAGGCCUUAUUACAAAAAUAAAACCCAACAUUAAAUUAAAUAAAAAUUAAAGUAAAUUUUAAAUAGCAGCAGUUGUGUGGCCACCUCUAAGUCUCUCGCAGCACCGAAUCGCCUAAGGCUUAGGAUUACUUGCACAGUUAGAAGAGAGGGUGAGUUUACGAAAACUCAGUGUGUAAUCCUCUACCAAAUAAUCAGCAUACAACAUGCAGAAUCAGUCUGGGCUAGAGCCCUAUACAGUAACAGUGUGUAGGCCAUAGCCCAAUAUAGUAACAGAGAGUGGGCCUUAGCCCAAUACAAUAACAAAGUGUGGGCCUUAGCCCAAUACAGUAACAAGGCAAAUGCAGUAAUGCAACCCAUCCCAAUCAAGCCAACACACCACUCCGUACCACCAACACACCAUGUAGGGAUAAAAUUGACCCACCCAGCCAACACACCAAUAUCGCAGCAAAGCUGCCAGUAAUAGUAACGCAGCAAAGCUGCCAGUAACAGUAAUGCAGCAGAGCUGCCAGUAUCAGUAACGCAACAAAGCUGCCAGUAACAGUAUUUGUGGCAAAGCCACCAGUACAAUACACUUCCCCCAUAUCAGAAUCCCAACCCUAUGCAGUAUGUCAUAAAUCAUACGUGUAUGCAGUAUGUCAUACUCAGUAACAGUUAUAUAUAUAUAUAUCAUAGAACAAGUCGUUCAUACACACAUUUCAAUUCUUAGGAGCAUAAUAGUCAUUUUACCCUAUGGAGGUGUUUCAGUCAUUUUACCCUUUGAGGGUAUUUCGGUCAUUUUACCUUUCAAGGAUAUUUCGAUCAUUUUACCCUUCGAGGGUAUUUUAGUAAUUUUACCCUUCGGGGGUAUUUUGAUAAUUUUACCGUUCAAGGGUAUUUCAGUAAUUUUACCCUUCGGGGGUAUUUCAAUAAUUUUACCCUUCGAGGGUAUUUCAGUAAUUUUACUCAUCAAGGGUAUUUUGAUAAUUUUACUCAUCGAGGGUAUUUCGAUAAUUUUACCCAUCAAGGGUAUUUCGGUAAUUUGCCCACAAAUCGUACGUAGGGCUCAUCACUCGAGCGAUUGCACGCCCGUGUGGUCUCAAACGUCAUGUUCACGGCUUUUUAGCUUUUGCCGAUUUGCAGUUAAGUGAGGGUGUGAUUACACACCUGAUUGCGAAGGCGCACCUAAGUCUGCGAACACCUAAAAUCUGCAUUCAAACACGUUUUCCAUUAGACGCUAAACAAGAAAGACUAAUCACCUUCUAAACAUCCUUGAUCAAAACCAAUUUAUUACUUGCCUUGACUAACAAAAGAAUGGCUUAGCCACUUGCAAACGAUGUCGACUGAUUCAAUCUUGCUAACAGAUAUCUGCAAUGCUACCACACAUUAAUCGGUAUUGCUUAUUCAUGUGGUUGAAAUCCAUACAUAAUCAAAAAGAGAACCAAGAACAUUUGGCCUUCAUAUAAGAAUACUAGCCUACCUACCUUGGUCGAGGGAUGAGAGGAUGAUUUCAACAAAUUUACAACGCUUACACCGUACCACUUCUCGAGGAAAAACCUUAAUACCACAAUAGGCAGCACAUCGAGAGAAAAGCAUCAAUAAUAAAAAAAUCAAAGUAUUACAGAGGAGGCUAUUUGAUUUUAGGUAAAGAGAAAGAAGGGAACAGUAGCACUUACCGGUAGUCGAUAAUACUUGUAACACAAAAUAAAAAAGGAGAAAAAGAGAAGUGCAAAGAAGAUUCGACACAAAAAGAGAAGAAAGGGAAAAGGAUUCGGUAGAUAGGAUACCAAAGAACUAUUCGGCCACUCCAACAAAAGAAUAAAAUGGAAGUAGGAGAAGGCAGAUGAACAAACCUGAGAGGUUCCCAAGAUCCUUUGGGAAAAAUGGCACAGAAAAAACAAAAGGGGAGAAAGAAAAGCCAAACAAAACUGAAAUUGACCAAAAUUUCAACUGUGAAUGAGAGAAUUCUCUUAAAUAUAGAAACUUUACCAACCAAAAGACCAAUUCGGCACUAGUAACCCCCUAGCCGAAUUUCUUAGAGUGCCAGACUCCAAAAUCUGCACAACUCUUCUACUCAUCAACUCCUCGAUUUUCUCCUCAAAUCUCUCUUGUUAUCACUCCACCGAUUUCUCCUCAACUCCCUCUAUGACCAAUUCAAACUUCCUUCGGCAGUAUUUCACUCCAACUCUGCCACUUACAAGACUCAAGCAGCAAAAUAAAUACCCCAUUGCGCAACCCAAGACUUGAACCCCUGACUUCUCAGACACUUCCAAACACUCCUAAAUCACUUAACCACUGAAGCAGACAUUCAUUUAUGUCACUUUCUGUCACAGCUAAAUAUUUAUGUGCAGUGUUCGAACUGUUCCCUUAUUCAAAACAUAUUUCUUCUAGGCCCAAAAUUUGGGGUGUUACAAAUUAAAAUAAAUAACUAUGAUAAAUAAAAUAGAACAAUAAAGAAGAAAUUAAAAAAUAUAGAUGAAAAAGAUGGAACAUGGAGUGGAGAAGUCCUAAGGAGCCUUGGAAACAAGAAGAAUCCAUAACCCCCUUUAAGUGACUCUAAUUUCCCCUCCAAGAAAGAAAAAUUGACAAGAAAAAUUUUGAAUAUGAUCUCCACAACCAGAAAAGAUUGUUAAAAAUCUCCUAAUAGAAAACUCAAGAAAAAUUCUUGAGAAAAGAAAACUUAAAGAGAAUUUAUUAACUAAAAAGAGAAUUUGUUGAAUAAUAAUGAAUUGAUUUGUUGUAUACAAUGCAAAAGCCUUUAUAUAGAUUAGCUAAAUAAAUCUAAAUAAAACUCUUAAAUAUACUAUAACUCUAAUUAACCUAAACAAGAAGUAGUUUUAACUUGAAUUUUCUUGUUGACAUAAAACUCCUAAAUAACUUAAAAUACUUAAUAAUUAUAAAAAAUUAGAAUAAAAAUAAUAAAAUAACAAGAGCUAAUAAAUAUAAUAUUGUGCUUAUAUAUAAUAAAAAUUAAGCAUAAAACCCAAAUCCAAUAUGAUUUAAACUUGAAUUAAAAGCCCAAAACUCGUCAUUUCUGUAAUAAUUACUAUAACUUGAUUAUUUGUUACAUGACUAGGCGUGUGGGUUUAAUUGGUAUCCUUGAAAUGAAAUGCCUAGGCUUGUUAACAUCUUCCACAUGGGCUUGUCGUCAUAGAUUGAGAUUUUAGGCCCACAAACAAGAUUGGUCUCUUCUAAUUCAUCCUCGCUCUGUAUUAAACUCCAAAAUCCAUCAUCUUGAAGCUUCAACUCUUUUUCUCAAACUUUUUUGUGAUAAAGUCUUAAACGAAUAAGUUGAGUUUUGACUUUAACUACUUGGAUUUAGAUCUCGUGAUUGGGCACUGAGGGAAACUAAGUCCAUCUUUAUUAUAACCUUUGAAUUGGACCGGGUUGCUCGUAUCAUUGCCUCAUCCACAAAAGGGUUCUUCAUUGAAUCUGCAAUAUCAAUGGGAGAAAGGUCAACGACAUUAAAAGUGGCACUAACAUUAUGCUUAUCGAAAAGAUCGAUUUGAUAUGCAUUAUCAUUAAUGUGCUUGAGUACUUCAAAAGUUCCAUCACCACGUGGGUCCAAUUUUUCUUGCUUCUAGUCGAAAAUCCUUAUUUUCUCAUAUGGACCCAAACCUAAUCAUCAGGCUAAACUAUAACUUGCUUACACCCCUAGUUAGCUUUGUUGGCAUUCGUUUCAUUUGUUUUGGCGAUUUGUUGCCUUGCUUUCUCGUGCAUGGAUUUCACUAAUUCAGCUUUCUUCUCACUAUCCAAACUAGAAAUUUUUUCUAUAGGAAAUGUCAUAAGAUCAAGUACAGUUAGUGGAUUAAAACCAUAAACAAGUAAAAAUAGGGAAUAGCCAGUUGUAAAGUGAAUAGAUCGGUUAUAUGCAAAUUCAACAAAUGGAAAACAUUCUUCCCAACUAUUAAGGUUCUUACCCACAACAACUCGUAGUAAAGUACCUAAGACUCGAUUGACUACCUCAGUUUGUCCAUCAAUUUGGGGGUGACAUGUAGUAGAAUAUAAUAAUUUAGUAACAAGAUUACCAUAAAACACUUUCCAAAAAUGGCUUAGGAACUUUACGUCUUUGUCAGAUACAAUGGUGUGGGUUAUCCCAUGUAGGCGCACUACCUCUCUAAAAAGUAAGUCAACCACAUGUGUUGCAUCAUUCAUUUUGUGGCAAGGAUUGAAGUGAGCCAUCUUUGAAAACUUGUCAACAACAACAAAAAUACUAUCUUGACCCUUUCUAGUUCGUGGCAAACCAAGAAUGAAAUCCGCGGAUAAGUAUACCCAUAGUGAAGAAGGAAUCGACAAAGAAGUGAAAAGUUCAUAAGACGUUACCUUAGAUUUUGCUUAUUUACAAGCAAUACAUUUAGAAUAUACCUUUACAACAUCCUUCCUCAUGUGCCGUAAAUAAAAAAUGUUCUUGUAAAAUAUCUAGUGUUUUGGCGACACCAAAGUGUCCCAUUAAGCCCUCAGUACAUACCUCACGAUUUAAUAACUCUCUCAUGGAACAUUGUGGAACACAUAAACUGUUUAGGCAAAAUAGAAACCCAUCUACAAGAUAAAAGUUGUUAAAGGCAACAUUCUGACAAUUAGAAAAAAUAUUUGCAAAAUCAAUAUCAUUUAAGUAUAAAUCCUUUUUAUGUUCAAACCCUAAGACUUUAGCAUUUAAUGUAGUUAUCAAAGAAUAUCUACGAUAUAAGGCAUCAACAACUACAUUUUCUCUACUUGUUUUGUACUUAAUUACAUAUGCGAAUGUCUCUAGGAGUUCUACGCAUCAAGCGUGUCUUUUUCUCAACUUACCUUGUCCCUUUAACCAUUUUAGGAAUUCUUGAUUUGUAUGGAUAAAAAAUCAUUUGGCAGCAAGUAAUGUUUCCAAACUUGUAGAACUUGAACUAAUGUAAGCAACUCCUUAUCUUAAGUUGAGUAGUUUAAUUGCGCCCCAUUCAAUUUUUCACUAAAGCAUGCGAUAGGGCUCUUGUCUUGCAUCAAUACAACUCCAUUUCCAAUAACUGAAGCAUGACAUUCAAGUUCAAAAGUAUUAGAAAAAUUAGAUAAUUUAAGAACAGAAGUAGAACAUAACUUAUCCUUUAAGGCUUGAAAAGCCUUUUCCUGAGCUUCUCUCCACUUAAAAUUCACAGACUUUUUAAUAACCUCAAUUAAUGGGGCAACAAUAGUGGAGAAAUCCUUCACAAAACAUCUAUAAAAACUUUCUAAACCAUGAAAAGAUCCCACCUCAUUAAUUGUUUUAGGAGUGGGUCACUCCCUAAUUGCCUUUAAUUUGUCCUUAUCGACAUGAAUACCUUGAGCACUUACUAUAAAACUAAAAUGGCUAGUUUAUAACAACAAAAAUUGCAUUUAUCAAGGUUGGGAAGUAACUUUUCAGUUCUAGGAAUGUCCAAAAUAAAUUUAACAUGGAAAACAUGAUCAUCUAAAGAAGUUGAGUAAAUCAUAAUAUCAUCAAAAUAUACUACCACAAACUUACCUUAAUAAGGCCUUAAAACAUGAUUCAUUAUUCUCAUGAAAGUACUAGGUGUGUUAGUUAGACAGAAGGGCAUAACAAGUCACUCAUACAAUCCAAACAUAGUUUUAAAGGUUGUUUUCCAUUCAUUCUCUUCCCUCAUAUGAAUUUGAUGAGAACCACUUUUUAAAUCAAAUUUAGUAAAAAUUAUUAAACCUUGUAACUCAUCAAGCAUGUCAUCAAGUUUAGAGAUUGGAUGCUUAUACUUUACUGUUAUUUUAUUGAUAGGGCAACAAUCAACACAUUCAGAAUGAACCAUCCUUCUUAGGCACCAAUAGGACCGGGACGGCACAAGGGUUCAAACUUUCUCUAAUGUACGCUUUUUUUAAUAGCUCUUUCACUUGCCUUUGUAACUUCUUUGUCUCCUUGUGAUUGCUUCGGUAAGCUGGACAGUUUGGAAUUGUUGUACCAAGUUCUAAGUCAAUUUGGUGGUCAAAACCUAGCAAAGUUGGUAAACCUUCAGGUGGCUUAUUAAAAACAUCCUCAUAAUCUCGCAAAACAGAUGAAAAGACACUAGGCAAAAAAUCAUUAAGGUUAGCUAAAGUUAAAAAAAAAACAUCCUCAUCCACAUUAUCUCGUUGUAUGAGCAUUUUCAUCUCCUUGAAGUAAUUUGUAAGGCCCUAAAAAUAAGUCUGGCAGUUUCGGGUAAGUUUAAUGGGUUCCAAGUGAAAAUUAGGAGUUAAUCAGGUUUAUUAGUAAUUUUUAUUAGUUAGUUAGCUUAAUUUCAUUUAAAAAUAAGGAAAUAAUAUUCCAGAAAUAAAAUAUUUUUAGAAAAAUUAAUUUUAUAGUCUUAAAUAAUUUUUGGGUAAAAUAAAUAUUUUGGGUCGAAUUAGAAUUGAAAAAUCAAUUAAAAUGGGGGUUUAAUUGAGAGAAUUCAAAAUAUUGAUUACAUAGGACCAUUUUGCAAAACAAGAGAAAUAUUUGAGUGGUUCUAUGGAAAAUUACCCAUAUUUUUAGAAUUUUGGAGGGAAAAGAUUAUUUAGUAAAAGAAGGGAAUUGCGGGAGUGGCCUGAUGACAAUUUCCCCAAUUUUUGGAAAUCAGGUGGGGGUUCUUUAGUUCAAAAACGCUGCAGCCUCCUCACUUCACACACAAUUAUCAACUGAUUUCUAAGCAUUUUCUCUCAUUUUUAUUUUUCAUUUUCAAAGUCCACAUAUCAAAGAUUUGAUCUCAUCUUUUAUUCUCUCAAAAUUCUCUAGAAAAGAUUUCUAAAGUUGAGAAAAAACUCAUCCGAGUUCUUCAAAGAUCUUGAUCCAAUCUUCAAUAUUGGUGAUUCUAGAUCGAUUGAAGGUAUUUUCUCAAGUCUAAAUUCAUUCUAACGUUGUUUUAAUCAUUAUUUUCAAUCUAAAUUGAUUAAAAUAGCUUUUCAAAUCUUGAUCUCUUAGCUAUUGAACAUGAGAUUCAUCAAUGGUGAAUUCAUGGUUUUGAUUUGGAGUCCAAGUUUAAAUGGAUAUUUAAGCUCAAACUCGUUUGGUUGAUCAUUUUUGACAAAUCCAUUUUUUUAACUAAAAACAUGAGUUGAUUUUCUGAAAAAUUAUGAAACGGUUUGUUUGGUGAAAUUGAUGUUUAGGUUUUGUGUUGAUAGAUUAGGAAUGAUGUUUAGAAAUCAUUUUUGGUGUAGAGAAGGUCAUUUGGGUGUUGAAAUUUGUGUUUCAGAUCGAUCAUGAGUUUUCAGUAAGGCAGAUUGGAGAGGCGUUUUAGAUCUGUGUAGUUCAUGAUUUUUCAAUUUUAUUGUUUUUAAUGAUAACUUGUAACAUGUAUUUUACCUCUGCUUAAGAUCCACAUCGAGGAGGGGCCACUGCUGAUUAGAAUUGAGGUCUAAACACAACUACUUGAUACACUUUGGCUUGAAAAGCAAAGUGUGAAUGUGAGUGGUUUUUAAAGGAAAUUGGUAAACAUGAUUGUUUACAUUCUGAAUUGAGGUUUUGAAUUGUGUUUCUAGUGAUUCAAUUGUAUCUCAAAUGGUUUACAUUUCAAAUUUGAUUUUAAUUUUAUGAAAGCAUAUUUGUAAAUGAUUUAUGGAAACUAUGAAUAGAGUGUUUGAUAUGGUUGAUUUGAAUUAGAUUGAUUAAUAAUUGGAGCAUGGAUUACUAUAUAUUAGAUCACUUAAUGAUGAUUUUAUAGUUGGUUUUAGAUCCAUGGACAAAGACACUUAUUGAGCUUAUCUAUGUUGAUGUUAAAAUUACUAAGUGACAUGCUUUAAAUUAAAUUUUUAUAUCCUGAAUUAAGUGCUUAAAUAUCAGUAUUUAUGCCCUGUGUGUUUGGUUAUAUUGGCAACAUUGCAUGGUGGAUCCAUUAGAUAUAGAUGACAUACCAUAGGAUUAGUGAGUACUCACCACUACAUGUGUUAUUUGUGAGCAUACGGCUUUAUGAGUAUUGACAUUGCUGGAGUGAAUAAGGGAGUGUUGAGCCUUUUUUCUCCACUCAAUCAUUGGAGAUUUCGAGGAAACAUAAAGGAGUGUAUGGCUACACCCCACUGAACCGGAGUAUUGUAUUCGAUAUUUGGAAGAUUGGAGAUCCGUUUAUCCAAUGCAUGAUCACAUGUUUAUAUUUUGCUAUGGAUGUCAUUUGCUAAUAUAAGUGUGUGCUUGUUAAAUAUAAUAUGUUUUCAUAUGCCAUAAUAAAUGUGAUUUUUACUCAUGGAAUAACAUGUGGAAUUAUGAUGUUAUGAUGUUGCAUUGAUGCUGGAAAUUUCAGUCAAUUGAAUGCCAUAAUUCAGCGUGAAAAUAUAAUUGAAACUAUGAAUCAUAUAACUGAAAUUUGAUACAUGAUUUGCCUUGGUUUAAGUAUGUCUUUGGUGUGAUUUACUUAUUUAAUUUAUGGCCAUUCACUGAGAUUUUUCAGCUCACACCCUCACAGCUUUGUGCAGAGUUUUUCUAGCUUUGAGGAUUCGAGGAGCAAGGGCAAGGUUGGUCCAAGUUUAAUUCUACUUGGUAGUAUAGAUUAAGGGCUUUUCUAUAGAUAAAUUCAAGGGAAUUGUGGCACUCAAUUGGGAUAAUUUGAUACACUUGUAAUGGAUGUUUGAGACUUACAUUUGGAUAUUAAUUUUGAGAUGUUAUAUUUGUUUUUUUUUAUGUUUGGUUUUAUGGUUAAAUGUUGAGUGUAGUAUUGUAUGUUGCUAAGUGAUAACAUGGUGAUUGAAAAUAUGGUGAUUGAAGCAUGAAAUUCUCACUAAUACAUUUUAAUCGUAGUUUGUCAAGGAGUGGAUAGCUUUGUGGCUAAGGUAAGUCUAUUGUAUGUUUUAAUUGUUGUUCGUUAAGCAUGAUUUUGAAUGUUUAAAUUAUUAAACACAUGUUGUUUAUUAGUUGUAAUUAGAUUAAUUAGAGUUGUAUGUAUGAUUAAGGUAAUAAAACUUAGCUAAUAUAGCUUUAAUUAAUAAACGAAUUAAGGGAAAAUGACUAGUUAAAAAGAAUAUCAGGGGUUUCACUAAUUAAAAAUAAUAUCAGGGGUUUCAUAAAUUGACUAUAAGAAACUUAGUAACCAUUUAGAAUUAAAAUCAGGUUUGUUUAGCUUUAAGUGCUGAAAUGACCUAGAUACCCUUAGGGUUAAAUUCCUAAAGGAAGUUUUAAAAUGGUUCACAAAUCGCUUUUGCAAAAAGAUUAGAUAGUUAUUAGUUAGAAAUGGGGUGUUAUAAGGUUAGGGUGUGCUUUAGGUGAUUUUGUGCUAGAGAGUCACUUCAGUGACUAAUGUGUCUAUAACAUCCCUAACUCGUAUCCGUUGUCGAAAUAGGGUUACAGAGCAUUACCAUACAAAUAGAACAGUAAACCAUUCAAUUCAUACAUCAAUGCAAAUAUAAUCUAACUACAUUCAAUUACAUUCAUAAUGUCCCUUAAUCGAACCCUCCAGGCCCUAAAAAUACUUUAGAAAUAAUCCAGGACUAAAUCAGAAAUAUUGUACUUGUACAUCUGUUUCAAGUCACAAUACUUCUUCGUACUACCAGGAGGAAUAAAAUACGUAGUACUGUGAGCUUCAGACAAAUUAUCUCUUUUCAAAUCUGAAUCAUUUGGAACACAAAUUCUAUCACUAUAACGCAAUGUACCGUUAUCAGUAAUAUUGUACUCAGUACUGAUGUCAUUCUGAACCAAUUUUUGUUUCAACGUCAACUUUGGAUCUUUUUUUUGCAAUUCCCAAAUCCAUUGUAGAAAUAGGGGUUUGGUUCUCAACUUUGCCAGCAUAGAACCAUCUUCAUUCAGAGCUAAAUGAGCGUUCAACACUCGAAGUGCAAACAAUGACGACUUUAAACUGAGUGCAUCUGCGACCACAUUAGCCUUUCUCAGAUGAAAAUCAAUAACCAAAUUAUAACCUGUCAGUAGCUCUAACUAAUGUCUCUGUCUUAAAUUCAGUUCUUUCUAAGUCAUCAAAUACUUUAAACUUUUGUGAUCCGUAAACACAUGACAUUUCUCGCCGUAUAAAUUAUGUCUCCUAAUCUUCAAAGCAAAUACAAUCGUGGCCAGCUCAAGAUCAUGAGUAGGAUAAUUCUUUUCAUGUGGCUUUAGCUAUUGAGAAGCAUAAGCUACUACUUUUCCUACCUGCAUAAGCACACAACCGAAAUUGUUGAAAGACGCAGCACUAUAAACAACAUAUGCUACCUUAAAUUUAGGCCAAGUCAACACUGGAACUUCUGUCAACAUGUUUUUCAAUUGAUCAAAACUCUGUUGGCACUUCUCAGACCAAAUAAACUCAACAUUUUUCUAUAGUAGUCUAGUCAUCAGUGAAGCAAUAAUCGAGAAGUUUUUAACAAAACGUCGAUAGUAACCUGUUAAACCCAGAAAACUUCGUACCUUAGAAAUAUUCUUCGAAAUUGUCCAAUUCAUCACAGCAAAAACUUUACUCGGAUCAACUCAAACCCCAUCAGCUAAUACUAUGGAACCCAAAAAUCCAACCUCUCGAAUCCAUAAUUCACACUUACUGAACUUUGUGUACAACUAUUUUUCUCUCAAAGUCUGUAACACGAUUCUCAAAUGUUGAGCAUGCUUGGAUUCUAUCUUGGAAUAGAUCAAUAUAUCAUAAAUAAACACAAUAGCAAAUCUAUCCAAAUGAGCUUGAAAAACUCGAUUCAUUAAAUCUAUAAAAGCAACAUGAGCAUUAGUCAAACCAAAUGGCAUUACUAGAAACUCAUAUUGACCGUAACGAGUUUUCGUCUUUGAUGGAUCACAAUCUUUAACCUUCAAUUGAUAGUACCCGGAUCUGAGAUCUAUCUUCGAUAACACUGUGGCACCUUUUAAUUGAUCAAACAAAUUGUCAGUUCCUGGCAAAGGAUACUUAUUAAUUAUCGUGACUGUGUUCAAUUGUCUGUAGUCUAUACACAAUCUCAAAGAGUCAUCUUUCUUUUUCACAAACAAUACUGAUGCACCCUAGGGAGAUACGCUCGGUCGAAUAAAGCCUCUAUCUAAUAACUCUUGCAAUUAUGCUUUCAAAUCUUUUAAUUCAAUUGGUGCCAAACAAUACGUUGAUAUUGAUAUCAGUGUAGUUCAAGGAGUUAGAUCAAUCACAAACUCAACUUUACGAUCAGGAGGCAAACCCGCUAACUCUUCAAGAAACACAUCAAUAAACUCAUUAAUAAUUGCUAGUUUAUCUAACUUCGAUUUUGAAUCUCUGAUAUAAAAAAUGUAUGCUAGAAACGCUUCACUACCUUUGCGUAUCAAUCUCUAUGCAAAAAUAGCUGAAAUGAUUGGAACAGCAUUUUUCGGCCCAUCAGACUUAACUAAAAUCACCUAUUCUAUCUAACAUUUCAAAUCAAUCUAUUUCUGCCUACAGUUUACUACAACAUCAUGCAACGAUAGCCAAUCCAAACUGAGAAUAAUAUCAAAUUCUUGAAAGGGUAGUAACAUCAAAACAGCAGGGAAUUCACAGCUUCUAACUUUUCAUGGACAUUUACAACAAACUAAGUUAACUAUCACACUCUGACCUAGUGGAUUAGUAACUUGAAUAUCAUAUUUAGUAGAUUCAACAUAUAAUUUCUUUUUCAUUACUAAUGCAGUGCAAAUAUAAGAAUAAGUUGACCCAAGGUCAAUCAACGCAUACACAGUAACAUCAAAGAGAUAAAAUAUACCAGCAAUCGCAUUAGGAGCAGUACCUUCCUUUCUGGCUCGAAUGUCAUAUGUGCGAGCAUUUACUCUAGCCUCUGAUCAAACAACAGUGUCCUUUACUCUUGUACAAGUAGUCCAGUAGUACUAUUUUGGCCCGGACGUCUACCUUUCUGAGAUGUAGACAUUUGCUUCUCAUUUUGUUCUUCAUUUUCUUUUAACUGUUUAGGACAAUUUCAGAGAAAGUGAUCAGUCGACCCACAUUUAUAACAGAAUCCUGACUUAGUUCUAUACUAGCUAAGAUGAAAUUUUCCACAAUGUCUACAACUGGGCUUCGGAGCGUUCCGUACACUUCCCAUACUAUCAACUAGUUUAAUAGGAGCUUUAAAGUCAUGCUGAAUCGAUUUACGUUUGUUCGGAUGUUCAGACACUGAAAUAGCUCGACUAAAGUCUUAUUUAGUUUUCUUUGCUGGUGAUGCGGAAAACGAUUUAGAAGAACUUCUCUUGUGAAACUCUCGAAUCCGUUGAUCUCUUUUUAUUUACGAUUGUACACUUCUUCCAUUUUCUAUGCACGACCGAAUAAAACAAUAAAUUCUUGAAUUUCAUUACCUCCGAUCAUCAUUCGGAUUUCAUCAUUCAGGCCAUCUUCAAAUUGGAUACAGAUCUCUUCUUCAAUGGGCACAAUCUCUCGGGCAUAGUUACUAAGAUAUACAAAUUCUCUCUUGUACUCAACCAUCGAUUUAUUUCCCUGAUGUAACAUAAGAAAUUCUGUCUUUUUCUUGUCUAGAUACUAUUUCUCGACAUACUUCUUUUUAAACUCGUUCUGAAAGAUAUCACAGGAAAUUUUCUCCCUCGGUACCAAAGCUACCAACGUUGUCCACUAACUGUACGAUUCCUCUUUUAGUAAUGCAAUGAGACAUCUAAGAAAAUCAUCAGGAGGGCAAGCCAUUUCUUCGAAAACGCGUAAGAUUUUCUAAAGCCAAUACUCAGCUUUAACCGAAUCAUCUUCUGAUCUACCUCGAAAUUCUUCAGCACCACACUUUCUAAGUUUCUCAAUCGAAAUACUUCAACUAGGCUCAAUCACGAGAGGAGCUAGAGGUGCAACUGGAGGUAUAACAUGAGGUAUAAAAGGGGGUAAAGGUCAUUGACCCAGAGUAUUCAUUUGCAUAAACUCAUUGAACCAUUGGUUCAUAAAUCCAAGGAACAUGUAUUUAUGUUUAUGCUUCAGUGUUGGAUGAAUUGAAACAUUACUACUCGUCCCAUGAUUAAAGGUCGGUAAAUUACUAUUAACCUCAUCAUUGUCGACAUGAUCAGAUCCAUCUGACAUCUUUAUAAUCUAAAAGAAAAACAAAGGUUAGAUCGGAUAAAACACAUCACACUAUCACAAAUUUAUAUGGCAGGUAAUUCUAGGCAUUUCACAUGCUACGUUUAGUCUGAGAACUGACUAAACCGUAGCUCUGAUACUACUAAAUGUAACACCCCUAACUCGUAUCUGUCACCAAAAUAGGGUUAUGGAGCAUUACCAUACAAACAAAAUAGUAAACCAUUCAAUUCAUACAUUAAUGCAAAUAUAAUCUAAUUAUAUUCAAUUUCAUUCGUAAUGUCCCUUAAUCGAACCCUCAAGGCCCUAAAAAUAUUUUAGAAACAAUCCGGGACUAAAUUGAAAACAUUUGGAAAGUUUAAGAAAAAAUUAGAAAAUUUGGAUUGUAGGGGUCACACGGCCGUGUAGCCAGGCUGUGUGCCUCACAUGGUUAAGACACACACUCGUGUCUCAGGCCAUAUAACCUUCAAAAUAGGGACACACGACCGUGUCCCAGCCUGUGUACUCACCUAUGGAACUCUCUGAGCUGCAUUACACGACCAAGCCACACGCUCGUACGCUAGGCCGUGUAACGCUCAGAAUAGCCUUACACGCCCGUGUGCCAGGCCGUGUUCUAGGCUUUGUAACUGUUUGACUUGUGAGCCUUAAACCUAUAGGGGACACACGACUGUGUCGCAUGGUCGUGUGUCACAGACGGCUGAGUCAUACACCGGUGUCUCAGGCUGUGUGGACCUAAAAUGAACCUUAUACCAUAGGUUUACCAUUUCAAACUUACUUGGAUCCUAGUAAACUAUUUACCAACCAAAGCACCUAUUGAAAAUAACAUUAAUCAAGCAAAAAACAUACCAAAUCAAUCUAUUAAGUGUCUAACCAAUGUACCCUUAUUGGUACCAUAAGUAUAUACAAUUUUACAUCAAAAUAAAACCUCAAACACAACUUAUCAAUUCAUAAAAUUAACACGUAACCAAUGUACCAUUCUAUUUUCAUUGAAACAUCUACCUCAUUCACAUUCAUUAUAUAAGUUAGCAAUUCAUACAUAAUAUCUUACUUAGCAUUUUACUAUUUUCAAAACAUUAGUAAUAUCAACACAGAAGCCUAUUACAUGCCAUAUAAACCAAAUCAAACAUUUCAAAAACUAUCGAGUUAAGCUGAAUAGUGUAACUUGAGUGCUGAACUGAUCAUCCAACCUUUCGAGUAUCUACAAGAACAUUAAAUAACAAAAGUAAAAUAAAUGAAGCUUAGUAAGUUUAAUGUAUUUAAAUGAAAAAUGUUACCGAAGUAAUUACAACAAUUCAAACAAUAACUAUUCAACCAUGAAGGUUUCAUGUCAUCCACAAUCUCAACUAAAAAAUCACAUACAUUCAAUUUAAUGCUCAAAUGUAUAGCAAAUCCAUCAAAUUCGUUAAACAAAUUACCUUACUGAGAUUUUCAAUUCGAAGAAUGACUUACGGAUAGAAGCGCAUCGUCAAUCCAACCAUAACACGCCAGAUGCUCAUAUGAGCGAAUCCCUCCAAAACACACCAAAUUCUCACAAGAGCUAGUCCAACUGAAAAACGCCAAUGCUCAUAAGAGCUAGUCCAACCGAAAAAUGCCAAUACUGAUAAGAGCUAGUCCAACUAAAACACGCCAAAUAGAGAGUAUAACAGGAGACUUCGCAACAAAUACUGAACCUCAAUUUACUCGGGAAAUAAAUAUAUACAUCCCUCUAAAACCAUCUCCACUCGAAUCCCCCACAACACACCAUAUCACGAUUAUACUCUAUCCCGCAUUCAAUUCAACCCGAACAUCAAAUUCAAUAACAUAUCUCAAAUAAUCUUUCAUUAUCAUUAAUUGAAUAUAUAUAUAUUGGUAUCAUGUUAUACUAUUCAACAAUUGAUAUAGAUGUUAAAUUUUAAACCGUUCAAACUUACCUUGACUGAAUUGUAGUAGUUGUAUAAGUUUAGGGACUAUUUCGCUAUUUUUCCUUUUCCACGAGUGUCUACGAGAUCUUGAUCUAAAAUGUAAAAUUUCUCAAAUAUCAGCUUACAUUUCACAUUUCAAUCCAUUUUACAACUAAUAACCUUUUAUUUUUCAAAUUUACAUAAAUACCCUAAACUUUUAUAAUUUUUGCAAUUUAGUCCCUUAAAUCGAAACUCAUCAAAAUAACCAUUUUUGUCAAAUCAAAAUUCUAUUCAAAUAUACUAGGCCCUUCAACAAUCCCUAAUUAACAUGAAAUUCACUAUCAAACCCUAAACUUUUGUCAUUUUCACAAUUUAAUCCUAAAAUCAAAAUCUAACAAAAAUCACUUUACAAAAUCAUUGUUCAACAUAAUCAAAGAUUCAAAUACAAGGUAUCACAAGUCAUUUUGAAAGUUUGAUAAAAAAACACAACACUCAAAAAGAAAAAAAAAACCUCACCGUUAUGCACUCAAAAAUAAAAUAAAAUUCUCAAUGAGGUAAGAAUUAAUCUUGUGAGUGUUUUAAAAGUGUUUAUAUCAAUUAAUCAUAAUGUAUUAUAACCAAACUAGCAAAGAAAACCUAGUAGCACUAGGACUCUAAAAUUAGCUAGACACCAAAUAAUUAUGUUACAUGAAGGAAGGAAUGUGUAGCGUGCUUUAACCUACUAACACAAGAAAUAAUAAAGUGUUAGAAUUUGCAAAGGAAUAAAAAAAAGUGAAAACCUAAGGCUAAGAGUCAAUGAAAAUCCCUAAAACCUGGAAACCUGAAAAAUUGUGUAGUAGCUUGACAAAAUUCGUUCGAGGUGUUCUCGAUUUCAAAAAAUCACGAAAAUUGAACUAGAGCCUUACCAAAUAAUGUAGAUUUGAUCUUGAAAGUUUCCACAUGAAAUUCAACCCACAAAACCUUUUUUAAUUUGUUUAUUUUUCAUAUUUUUCUAUUUUUUUCCACUUUUUUCACUUUUUUUUGAGAAAUAUUCUUUAAUAUUGUAAAAGAGUGGUAGGAAUCAGUAUGUAAAAUUUUAUAUUGCUUGAAAAAAAAUUUAACAACUAAAAAAUAUUUUUCCCAAAAACUUUCUGGGUAAAAAGAACUAUUUUGAGGUUGUUUGGUGGAAAUCAGUGUAUAAGAACACAAAAAACACCUAAAAUGCCCAAGAAUAUGAUACAAAAUGAUACAUACUCAAUGUGUGAAUGAGUGCAAAACAUGAUUGUAAGUUUUUCCAAGUCGCAGAUUUGACUCAGAGGUCUAGAAACUUAAAACACAAACAAAUUCAAGUCAAAUAUAAAAUGUCAAAAAAAUUAAAGGAAACAAUUAAAAUAGAUAAUUAGGACAAAAAACAAGUAAAUAAAUCAAAGAUUUGAAUAAUUAAAUAGGAACAAAAUAGAAUAAAGAAGAAAACAAAAUAGAUAGAUGGUGUGUAGAAUUCCUAUAGAGCCUUGGGAACCCAAUGAAUCCACAACCCCCUUCAAGCGGCUUUUAUUUUACUUCCAAGAAAUAAAAUUUGACAAGAAAAAGCUUGAAGAAGAUCCCCACAAUAUGAAAAGAUUGUUAAAAGUCUUCUAAAAGAAAACUCAAGAGAAAUUCUUAAAAAGAAAACUCAAAGAGAAUUUUAUUAACUCAAUGUGAAUAAUAAAUGAAUUCAUUGUUGUACAAUGCAAAGGCCUUUAUAUAGGCUAUCUAAUUAAAUCUAAAUAAAACUCUUAAGUAUACUAAAACUCUAAUUAACCUAAACAAGAAGUAGUUUUAAACUAGACAUUCUUGUUGACAUAAAACUCUUAAAUAACUUAAAAUACUUAAUAAUUAUAAAAAUUCAAAAUAAAACAUAAUAAAAUAAUGGGUCUGAAAGUGGGCCUUGGUACUCAUAUUAGGGGUACUAUUGGCUCACCAUGCAAAAAGACAUAAAAACCUUCCCCCGCACGCCUGUUGAACAUGUACAUACCAUCUCUAGUCCUUAGCCUUUUGCAAAUGGGGUAUUUACAUUGUAAGACCAUUUCCAUAAGCCACAACACAUAAGAGGUAUAUUGUCAUCACCAUAGAAUAUUUUACGAAAUGGAUAGAAGCAAAAGCAUUAGCCACCAUCAAAGAAAAGCAGGUGGAGAACUUUAUCUUGAAAGUUAUCAUACGCAUAUACAAUAUCCUACGCCUGAUCAUUAUUGAUAACAUGAUGUAAUUCCCAAUAAAGUUCAAUGAAUUUUGUGAUAGCCUCCAUAUAGAUUUGGUGCUUAGUUCAGUAAAAAUCCCACAAAUGAAUGAGCAAGCAAAAGCCACUAAUAAGAAGAUCCUUUAGUGCUUGAAGAAGAAGUUAGAAUACACAAAAGGUAGAUGGUUGGAUAUAUUGCCUAGUAUCCUCAAGUCUUUAUGGACCACAUUAGACUCAGGGACAGGAGAAACCCCCUUUCAAUAUUAUGUUUAGCAUCGAAGUUGUAAUACCAGCUGAUAUUGACCUCAACACGUACCAAAUAAUUCACUAUACUGAGCAUGCCAAAGAAAACAAUCUCUAAGAGAAUCUAGAUUUCUUAGAUGAAGUGAUGAAGCACCACUUAGAAUGGAAAUCCAAGCUUCGUAGGUGGUGCAGUACUCUAAUUCCAAAGUCUACGACAAACAAUACUAGGUGGGAGACUUAAUGAUGAGGAAUGUAGAAGCUAGUCAACCAAUUGGUCAAAAAGGAAAAUUCUCAGUUACUUGGGAGGGACCUUACCAUGUAGUAGCAAUAUUGGGAUGUGGAACUUACCAAGCUCUAAAAGGAUUGUGCGUACUCACAUUUGUGAUGUGGUUUAUGGGGCAUUGAGGCCCAGGGAUAGUUUUUGGAGAGAUAAGGGAAUGUGAGCUACGCUCCAUUCACCAGGAUAUGUAUGUUUGGUGUGUUAGAGAGUGUUAACGAUACGUUUCACUUAUGGGAUAUGUACGACUCUAUGAGUCAUUAUUAGUGUGUUGGAGAUCCGUGUAUUCGAUGUAUGGUGAGAGAGUCCACAUUAUGUUUAAUAUCCUCAAGAUUCAAACUAUCAUAAAACGUGAUUGAAAGUGACUAAAUGUGAUUAAAAUGUGCUUUGAUAUAUGCUUAACUAUUUAGGUGAUUAUUGAGAUAUAUGUGUAAUGGAAUUAAUGGAAGAUGCUUAUACAUGUGAAAUAUGAUAUUAGAGUUUAAUAUGUUAUGAAUAUGAGAUAUGUCUGUUUACAAAGUGGUUAUUCUAAGCAUUCACUGAGCUUGUUCAGCUCACCUACUCCAUUUUAAGCUUUGCAGAGUAGGUGCGUUCCCGGUGUGAGCAGUGUGGCCUUCAAGGGAUUGAUCCAAGUCAUUCUUUAGUCACUAUAGUAGGUAUUGCUAGUUAUUUUUUAUAUGGGAGUUUAGGGCAAUGUGGUAGAUUUUAUAUUGGUUUUGCUACGACAUUUUUGGGGUAUUUGCAAGGUAUUUAUGUUUGGAGGUAUGUGGACUUGAAUAUGAUGCUUGGACUGUUAUUUUGGAUAAUUUGAUGUUUAUUUAACUAGGUGAAUGAAACUUGUUAUUUAGGGUUGUGUUUGAAUGUUUUUAUUACUGAUAUAUGCUGAAAUUCGAUAGUCUGAAGCAGAGGUAUUGAUAUGUGGGUUUUAAAAAUGAUACAUGUGUAAAUUCAAAAGUGUAGGGAGUUAGAAUAUAGAAUUGGUAUCGAUACCUUGGCCCGAGUAUCGAUACUCGAGGUAAAAUAAUAAAUACCUUGCGAAUGGUACCGAUAGUUGUUGACGUUUGGAAAUUUUGGUGAGAAACAGAAUGCAAGUUUGGUGUCGAUUUUUCAUGUGGUAUUGAUACCACUUAAAGAAAAUAUCAAUACCACUCUUUUAGCAUCGAUACCUAUCUAAAAUGUUUUGGAAAAUUAAGUGGUCCCAAUGCUCGAUGUAUGUCCAUUUUAUGUUUGUUCGUCAAAUGUUAGCAUGGUUAAACGUUAAUUUGAGUUUGCAUGUCAUAAUAUUCGCAUGAUUGCUAUAGUAACAAAAGAAAAUAAUGAUGUAUGUGUACUAAAUGUGACAAUUAUGAUGAAAUCGAUGUGAGACGGUAGUGUAGUGUCCUAGUAUUUUGGUUCGACGACUAGGCUGGGUAUAAGGAGUUAUAGAUCGAGUCGAGUAUAGGUUGCUACAGUAAUCCUCCCCCAUGUAUCUGGGAAAAAGUUAUUAUUGCUCCUUUAUUCUGAUAAAUAUUUGUGUUAAGCCAGUGAACCAUUCACAAGCAAGACAAUAUUUCUAUGAAAGAGUAUAUUCUAACACUUACUACUUAGUUCAAUUCACAACAAACAUUUAGAGAGAAUAAUUUGAUUGAAUACUUCAACUAAUGACUGCUCUCCUUACAAAACAAUCAAGAGUCAGAGUAUUUGGAAUUUAAAAAGAAACUAUCAAAACAUAUGUUAUAUAGAGUCACUAUUAUGAAUACCAUUCGUAAAACAUGCCAAGAAGAGCAAAGAAGGAAACAGUCAAAUGCAAGGCAUUAAAGAAACGCAUAAAGUAUUAUUCAUAUAAAGAUAUAGUACAACAUACACCAAUUAUCAAUAUCUAAACCCUCACUAGAAUUUACAAGAGGCUUCUUAAUGGGUAGAUCCUUACCAACAUCAGAAGUAUUGGUUUCCCCCUCUGCUGCACCCUGGACUUCUAAGCUCUCCCCUUUGAGAAUGGUUGUUACACAUUGAGCUCUCAUCCUCUCGACAUACUCUUCCCACUUGUGACCAUCAGGAUAAAAAAAUCUAACUCGAGGUCAUCUCUCUCGUAAGUGUUAACCCAUUGAGUGGUUUAAUAUCUAUGUUGUGGAUGUAAAGAUGGCUAGAUGUAAUUGCAUUCACAUUGCUCUGUCUGCAGCUUCUCCCUCAACUGGGCCAAGGCUUUUUAGGCUACAUCUCAUUCCUUUUUAUAAGCAUUUGCUUGGCCUUUCCAAUACUUGAUGUCAUCCCAGGCCUUUUUCUCAACAGCUUUAAGCUUCCCCUUAGCUAUCUUUACCCAAUCCUCGAUGACUUUGAUCCUUAUUUUAGUUGUACUAGAGGAGUCAUGGAAGUCCACUAUAAAGUGCAUAGACAUCUCAAUAGUAACCCUUGUCCCCUUAAAGAGAUUUUUAAAGCCUGCACAAGUAUCACGUUACAUCCAUCAGGAUAUGAUAACAUAACUUGCAAGAAUUGUUCAUCACUCAUCUAAGGGAAGUAUUAUAGAGUCUGUUGUAUAGGAAGGCACCAAUUGUGUACUACCAAUAGGAGGGUUAGUAGAAGUUUUAGCAUAUUUAUCCUUCCCUUCGCCUCCUGUAAUGGGAGUUCUCCAUCCUUCACCUUUGGGAAGGGUCUACACUGAAUUGUCCUUCACCCUCUUCCCAAAGAAAGAUUUCGCAAUAAUAUUCCUCCCUAAACCAAAGGAGGCAUUUUUUGUAGUGUCAUCCCGUCCCCUUUUGGGAGGACGUUUUAUUGAGUUUUUUCCGCUAUUAAGGGUGCUCGCAGUGUUCGAUUAGGUAUCAAGGAGAUGCAUCUCUUUUUCCCAAGUAUAGUAAGCAAAACAUCAGCAGCAAUAGGGUAUUUGCUACUCGUCAUACCUUCCGAACCUACACAAAGAACAGAAGUUAGAAUAGUAUUAGUAUCAACACAAACAAACGCACAAGACAAACACUCACGUUGUUUUCGUUUCUUAGAAUGAAAGGGGAACACAAGUCCCUCAUUGUCAAUAUCUACAUCAACCUAGUGUAUACCCUUAGAGAGGAAUACUUCCAAGUGUUUCGUUUUAGCUAAACUAUAUUACAAUUUGACCCAUGUACUUACGAACACCACCAUUUUAAUCGUAUAUAUAUAUUUGGUAUUAUUUUUACUAUAAAUGAUAACUCUUUUAUAGGCGGUCAAGUUGUUGGUGUUGUUGUCAGGGAGGUUUCAAAAAUAAAUUUUAAAAAUAUUUUUUACAAUUAAUAAGAUAAGUAGGAACAUUAAAGCUUAUAGGUAUGAUUUUUUUUUAUUUUAUUGUUAGUAAAUUUAGAAGAGGAACAUUAUGGAAACUCUGAUGGGUAGAAAUAUUUUUUUAUAUAAAUUGGCUAAAACCUAGUAAUGCUCAUCUAGUAAUGAGUACAAUUCCAUUUAAGAUUAAUCUAUCACAGUUGGAUUCCUUUAAAUCCAGAAACUCGGAACCUUUAGGGGUUAAAUUGAAAGAGGCCAAAAGUUGGCGAUCUCUACUGAAAAAUCAGGAAAAGAUAACAAUUAAAAUUGGACAAGAUUGAGAACCAAGUAUGGUUCGGUUAGAUUAGAACCAUUCGGUUCCUUAGUGGGGAACAAAAUGAUUAAGAAUGGGUGGAUGUAAAACAGUUGAGGAUCAUGCGGGAAAGGCUAUACAUAGUUGGGAAAUGACUUCUCGGGAGACUUCUUCUCUAGUCUAUUUCAUUUUUCUUCUUUAUCUUCAUCCUUAGUAGCUCCUAGAAGAGAUGGCUAUCAGAAAGCUCUACAUGGAGCGAUAACAAUGGAAUUUCAGUAGGAAAUGAGGGGAGUUCAGUGAGCUGGUAAGGCUCUAAGCCAUUCAUGGUACAGAAUAUUUAGAAACAAAGUGAAGAGUUUCUAGAAACCAUUUUUAAGGGUUCCCAAUGUUUCUAGAAAACUAAGUUUAAAUGGAGAUUUUUUAGUUUAACCCAUGAUUUGGUUGUCAUGCUUAGCUGCCAGGAGAAUGGAAGCUCUAGUGUUUGGGAAAGGCGAAUAAGCAUCAGGUGAGUUUAUGUACUUAAACAUGGAACUAUCAAAUUUUAAUGCAUGGUUUCACAAGUUUAUGAGCAUCCACCAUUUUUUAGUAUACAUGGUAAUGGAAAAUAAUGAAACGGGAUCAAUGACGGGUUAGACGAAGUUAGGAAUGGGAAAAGAGAGUAAAUCUAUUUAAUACUGCCAUAUUGUAUUGCUGAAAGCAAAUCGUGAUGUGUGAAAAGGGCACUUCGGUGUUCAAGCAUCAAGGUAUAUGAUGGGGAAAUAUAGGAAUGGAUAAAAUGAAAUAGGAAGAGUAAAGAUCAUGGCUAUGCCAUGGGACUGAUCGGAGGCAAUUCGUCUAAACUGACUAAGACUAUAGUAGAAAGAUGUUAUGGCAUCAGGAUGAAAAUGAGUAAGACCAUGGCUGAAAGAUGUUAUGACAUCAUGGAAAAUAGGAGUAAGAGCAUAGUUGGACUAUGGAAACAUGGAAACCCAGGCUGUCCGUCGGGACAAUAAUAUUGGGGUAAUAAUGUGUAAGACCAUAGCUAAAAGAAGCUAUGGCAUCAUAGAUAAUCCAAUGAGACAUUCAAAUAGGAUAGUGUAACGGGAUGUUAAUCACGGGACAGUUCUUCAAGGCACUAAACACGGGAUAGUCUGUCGGGACAGUAAGCAACGGGACCAGGUGAGUAAAACCAUGGCAAGGUUAUGGUAGCUUGUGGAGACCAUCAAGAUUCUAAACAUGGAAUAGUCCACUGGGACAGUAAACACGAGCGCUUAUCCAAAAUGGUAAUUGUUGGAAAAGUUAAAACAAGGAAAAAGGUUAGAAGAAUGAUUAAAGUAUGUGGCACAAUGGAUAGCGAGUUGAAGGAAUCUGCCAAUAAUUGAAGAAUGUAAAGAAAAUGAGAAGCCACUACUAGAAUGGUAGGUUUGUAAGCCAGCAGGGCAUACAGGUGGUAACCCCACCAGAAAGAGUUAUGGGAAAGGACAUACUAGUAGUGUCUGGUGUGCAAGCAAAUACAGGAUGGCUAACCAUGGAUCAUAGAUAAAGAUCCGCCAUUACUAAUUGUCAAAAGGUGCUUAGAAAAACCCUGUGAGCUAGAGAUUUGAUAUAAGGUAUAUUUGUUAGUUUACGAAAAAAAGGGUUAGAGAGAACCCAUUAAAUGAAUGGUCGACACCAACACACUACCAAACAUGUUCAUGCAAUUUCCAUCGCUAGGAGAAGAAGAAGAUGAUGAGGAUGAGUCAGAGCCUAAUUCCGACUAAUUUUGAAUAAUUUUUAAUUUGGACAUUGUACUUAAGUUUGUUUCUUUGGGAUGAUGGUUAUUGGUUUGUUUUAAUUUUUUUAAGAACUUUGGUAUUAUAUAUAAAAAGAUAUUGCAUUUUUCUUAGCAAGAGCCCAAAUUUUUUGAUGGGCACUACCUAAAAGGAGUAUUCCCACCAAUCGAGCUGCACAAAUCACGCCAAUCAGGUGUAUCCUCUUUCCUUUAUAUUUUUAUUGUGCAUUAAGGGCAAUCUACUGAAUAAAGUGUGGGGUGACUUAGGAAAAUUUUUAAAAUUUUUUGUUAUUUUAUUUUCCUUUAUUUUAAGUAGUUUUUAAAUUUUUAAUUGCAUGUUUUCUAUAUGAUUGAGUUUGUAGAAAUACAAGUGAUUGGUUAUAAGCAUGUUAAUAGGAUUGUGUGAAUAAAUUGUAAAAAUAGUUUGAUAAUAAUUGUUUCUAAAUUUUUAAUUUUAGACUACUGAGUUUAAUUCAUUACAUUUUGAAUAGAUUUAAGAUGUUAAGUAUACCAUGUGAUAAAUAAAUAUAUAAAAAACAUGCAUGUUUAAUUGAAUUAUAAGCUAUAGAAAUUGAUAGACAUGGCGAAUUUAAUCCAUGUAUAGAAUUACCUAUGGACGACCUAAGGCAUUAUUUGGUAGACAACUUUUUAAGCCAAAAAGCUAUCCCGUAAAUAUUUUCCCUAGUACCUAUUUUGAGCCUUAAUCCAUUCUCUUAAUGAAACCGACAUGAAACCUUAAGCCUAUUACACAUUCUAUUUGAUCCCUUAUUUCUUUGUCCUUGCAUGGAUUUAGACGUCCAACCAUCGAUAUUGAGAGAUUAAGUACAUACAUCUCGGUGGUUUAAUAAAAAUAAAAAAAUUGAGUGAACUAAGGAAUUGUAAGGUAUAGUGAGUAUAAGAUUUUGAGCUUAUAGAAAAAUAAGGCAAAAUGCAAAUCGAUAAAAUAUUGAUGAAAAAUAAAAACAAACUAAUUUGGAAAAAAGUACGCUCAUAUUUGUUCAAAAACAAAUUACGAGCUCAAAUGAUUGUACUCAUGAAUAUUAUACGAUGCCUUAGUAUAUGGAGAAAUAAGGCAGGUGAGAGAAGCAGAUAUAAGGUGGUGAGCUUAUGUAUACUUUGGGGAGUUUUGGGAACAAUAUCAUAUGCCAAACUACCUUCGUGGUGAAUCAUUUUGUCGAGCCUCAUCUUUGAAUUCCAAACCAACCUCAGUUGCGGAACGUUAGAAGCCAAAAAGUGCUAUGUGACUUAGGUAGUACCUUACAAGGAUGAAAUUGUGUCGAGUCUUGAUGGUUUUACCACUUAUAGUCAUUUGAACCUACGUGUAUAUUUGUACAUAUAUUUUGAUGAAACCUUAUACUUAAAAUUGUUUUAUUUGUUUGGCUUGUAACUUGUCGAACUAACCCGUCUAACUUUAGAAAUUGUGAGUCAGUUGUAUAGUACUCUAGAAUUACAUAUUUAUUUACCUUGUCCUAUUAAUAUAUUUCUCUCCAAUUUCCUUUAUCAAGUUAGCUUGAGUACAUUUUCUUUCCUUUGUAUAAUUAUUUAUUAUUUUUCAGUAGUUCGCUUUUAGCUUUUAAUUUGUUUUUGUUUACUUCGCUUGAGGACAAGCAAACACUUAAGUAUGGGGAUAUUUGACUUGUCGUCAAAUGUAGUAGUUAAUUCAGGUUAUUUUCGCCCUUAAAGAGUUAUUUUUCUAGGUAAUUUAGUUUUUAAUAUUAUGUUUUCAUUAUUUAGUAUUUAGAAUUAAAUAUCAGUGAAAUAAGUGUUUUUAACAAAUUUUACGAGUGUUGUGACCCAUUAGGCCAACACAGGCCUCGAGUAGUGCUAAUAUGUUCAACUGAGUGUUUAAGAUGAAUGAUUAUAGGUGUAACAACCCAGUUUUAGUGGUGUCAAAAAUAGUGGUUUCAAGACCACGACUCCAACAAGUGAGUUAUUAUUUUAAUAAUUAUUUAAAGUCAAGCAUUUGAUUGUUAUUUUUGAGUGCAUAAUAGUGAGGUUUGCUUAAUUUUUCUUUUCAUGAGUGUUGUGUUCUUUUUAGGCUUUCACAAUGAUUCACAAUAUUAUGAUUGGGAAGUUGAGAAUGGAUCAAGAUGUUCAAAAUGCUCGAGAUUAGUAACGUGACACUAUUCUAUACACAAUCAACAAAAAUUUAAAAUGUCUAAGUACAAAAAUUGAGCGUCAGAAUCGUAAUUGGGGAGAUAAGAUUGAUCAGCCUUGUCUUCGUGCAAAUAAUGCUUGACGUGUCUCUCGUAAAAAUGAUAAGACUUUGGUUAAUAAUGAUUUUAGGCAACAUGUUUUAGCUAAACCAAAGUUCAACAUUCCACCAUUUUAAGGGAAGUAUGAUCCCAAAGCAUAUUGUGAGUGGGAAUCAAAAAUUGAACUUAUGUUUCAUUACUAUAAAUGUCGGGAAGAGGAAAAAUUCCAAUUGGAAUUGAUUGUCAAAUGAACUACGAAAGGGUAAUUGAAACAUAGGAUGAGUUGAAGCAAGUGAUGUGAAGCGUUAUGUUCCUUCUCGUCACUAUAGAAAGGUCUCAAUAAGACUUCAACACCUUGUUCAAGGUAAUCGAUUUGUUGAUGAGUACUUUAAAGAGAUGGAGAUGCUUAUGCAAAGAGAAAAUAUAUGGAAGGAUGAAUAAACUACCAUGGUGCGAUUUGUAGAUGGCUUGAACAUUUCGAUAGCCAAUGCUCUUAAUCUUCAAACCUAUAUUGAUCUUGAGGAGAUGGUACACAAGGUAAUUGAGACUAAGCAACAAUUUCAGCAACAUAAAUCUCGUCCACUUGGCGCAUCACACUAUUAUCGAGGUACAAGUUCUAAUUCUACUUUCAAGAAUUCAAAACCUUCUUAUGCUAUUAAUAAGUUGCUGCCAAAACAUGCUAUGACUAAACCUUUUGAGUGGAAAAGUAAGGCUCUUACAGAACAUUCUUCUACAUCUUUCAAGCAACUCAUUUCUACUAAUUUUUCACUAAAACAACAAAGAGCUUGAGACAAUGAAUGUUAUACGUGUAAAGGGAGUGGACACUAUAGUCGUGAUUGUGCCAACACGAGACUUUUGUUGAUCAAAGAAGAUGACGAACUUUGUGAAUCAGAAAAAAAUGAUAAUGAGAAUUCUUUCCUUGAAUCUAUAGAGUUAGAUGAAAUAGAAAUGUCAUGCUCUCCUACUGAGAUAUAUUGUAUUGAAUUGAAUAUUCAUAAUACUUGUGAGAGGGAUAUGGGAAGUGAGAAAGAAUCAUGUGAAAAGACAGAGAGAAAAGAGACCUUAAGUGAUAAAAGUCUACUUGAUGGUCCAAAUUUGGUGAGUGAAAAUCCAUAUGAGUUACAAUUGGAGAGUUCUCAAGUGGAAAGAGAAAAUAAAAAGUAAGAAAAUACCCAUUCAAAAGUAAGGAGUGAUUAUGUUUUAACUAACCCUAACUGUAAUGCCACAAAAUUUUUAAUUUCAUUAUUGUGAAAAUAUGACACAUAUUUGUCAGCUUUAGUGGUUAUGUGUUCUUGGAGUGUUUGGGAGGUCCCAAGUUCAAGCCUUCGUUUGGGAAAAUUUUGGUAUUUUGAAUGAAUUAGGCCUUACUCUUGUUAAGUAAGCUUUUAUUUGAUUGUUAGGUAAAUUACAUCAGAAUGGGCAUGCUGGUCUGGUGGUUAAAUGGUGUGUUAUUAUGGUAGAGGUCUUGUGUUCGAAUUCCUAUGCAGGCAAGGGUAUUAUUUUUUUGCUCUGAUAUCGGCAUAAGUUGUGUAAUAGGGGGAUUUUGAGUAGUGGAUGUGUAGUGGGAAUUAGGGGAGAAGAUUAAGGGAUUUUGGGGGUUAUCGGGAUUUUAUUUUAUUUUUUUCCUAUAAUCGAAUUUUGACUCUCUUUUCCAAAAAAAUUAUGCCAUCUAUUCUUCUCCCUCACCUCUUGCCGAAAUUCUCUAAUUUUUUCCAUCUUUCUCUUCUUUUUUUUCUUCUUGAUUUUUCCUUCAUCCAUUUAUUUUCCUUCGUUUUCGCACGCGGUUGGUGCUCGCUUAGUUUCAAUAAGUGUUUCUCUUCGUUUCUGUCAUGAAUCUCUUAGCGACUAAAGUGGUAAUGUUUUUUCGGUAAGUGUUUCCCUUCGUUUCUGUCAUGAAUCUCUUAGUGACUAAAGUGGUAAUGUUUUUUCUCUGUGAUUUGGGCGUAGGAGGAGGCUCAGACUGGUGAAUUCAGUGUUCUCAUCUUAACAAUAGUUAAACUGAGGAUUAUCGUUGGUGGUAAGUUGGGUUUUUGUUCGUUCUUGGUUGUCAAUUCGUUUGUAAAUCCGUAAAAUUGAUGUUGAGUAUCUUGAUUAUAGGCUUUGGAGUGCUCGGGAAUUGUUUUAGCAUCAAAUAAAACCAGGUGUGUACCCAAAAUGACAAAAAAAGGGAUUCAACAAAAAGCUGAAAUUGCUUGCUGUUUGGACAACAGUAGUAGGCUAAUUUUGAAAAAUUGCCAUAAAUUGAGGAAAUCGUAUUAAUGAUGAAAAAAAUAUGGAAUUAAAGUUUAUUGAGUCUAGUUUCUCAUAGAAGAAACGGUGUAAAUAAUGAGUUCGGGUUUCCCUGUUCUGACUUUAGAAAAUCAUCAAAAAUUAGAGAAAAAUAAUUAGGGGUUAAAAUUUACAAGUUUAAAUUAUUAAUGAGUCUAUUUCCAGUAGAAACAAAUGGGUACUUCAUCCAAAUUUUUUACUAAGAGAUAAUUAUUUUUUAGCAAAGAAGGGUCGAAGCUGUCAGACAACAGAACAAGGGUAAGUUUUAAGAUUUUACUGUAUUUAUUGGCUAAACAAAAAAUUCUACAAAUUUUAUGGUAGAAAGGUAUUUGAGUCUAGUUUCAAAAACGUCAAGCGAAUUUUAAUUCGGAAUUCUGUAGCUCAAGAUGUAAAUAAUUUAGUAACAGUGACGCAAGUAGACAGCUUUGAAGGAACACAUAAAUAAAUAGUGAAAACAUAUAUGAAUAUUUAGCUAGCACGGGUUACAUUAAAAAUGGAUCACGUGGCCAAGGCCAAUUUGGCCCAAGUGGGCAACAUGGGCAUGUGAGCCUAUUUUUCUGAAAAUUUUUGUAAGGUUGCACUAGUCGCCCAAGUCGACUGUAGACCAACUGUAGGGUCGGUUGGUGAUAUCUAAAUGUAUGUACUAUGAAUUGCAUAAUGGCAUGACAUAUUUUGUAUGUUGCAUUGCAUCGGAGUGGGUUGAUGAUAUUUGGAGGAAGUGUCUGAAAGGCUAUUCAGCCUAUUAUCUGGCAGCUUAGCUGCAACCUUCUGAUUAUGUGCCACAUUUCAGUACAGCAUGGUGUGUAGGGAUAGGUGGGUUGAUUUAAUCCCCACAUGGUGUGUAGGGUUGGACAGAGAUGGUGUGUAGAGGCUGGUGGGUAGGAUUCUGAUUUACUGUAUUUGCAUUCUGUAUCUAAUAUAGGCCAAGGCCUUAAUGUAUUUCUAAGACUGUAUCUGAACAGGCUAAGGCCCAAACUAAUUCUGUGAUGGGCACAGGCCCAGACUGUAUCUAACUGAAUUAUGUUGAUUAUCUGUAUGCAUGUUUUCUGUGCGGAUUACACACCGAGUUUGUAAAAACUUACCCUUUCUCUAUUUAAUCUGUUCAGGUAAUCCCCAUACUUGACGGGUCAGUGUAGCGGAGGACUCGACCGUGGCCACACGUAAAUUUUAGACUGUUUUCUGUUAAUGUCUAGAAUUUAUUACUUAUUUGGGGUUUUUUAUGUAACUUUUGGACUAUGGACUGGUUGGCUUUAAGUUUGGGACUUUAUACUAUUUUUAUGAAUUUUUUAAACUGCAACUACACAAUUUUUCAAAAACUAAGGUUUUCGUAAAUAAAAGCGAUUUUCCCUAAAUUAAUUGGUUACAAAAGCUUCCGCUAAGAGACAAGUUUUAAAGCAAAUCAACUAGUACUUAUUUUUUUCUGAAUUAAAUAAAAGUUAACUAACUGUAACGGUUUUAACUCGACAAUCUUGUCUUCAAAUCCCAUUUCAUGUGACAUCGCCAGAUUCAGCCUUAACAUCUAGGCUGGGUUUGGGGUGCUACAUUUAGUGGUAUCAGAGCAAGGUUGCAAAACUAGACUGUGGAUUUGGGUUUUAAAAAUUGGUUUUAAAGAAAUGAUUUUUAAAUGGUUUGAAAUAUUUUUGACUGAGUAUGUGGUACACCGAGUCUCCGGCGUCAAUUCUGUAAGUGUUCUAAAAACUAUGAUAAGUUUUUAAAAAUAUGAGUAGCGUAUUCUGAAACUAUUAUAGGUAGUAUAUUGUACUGAGAACAUUGUAGAUAGUGUAUAGUGAAAAAAGUAGCAAAAUUGAAAACUGUAGUAAGACUGCGAUUCGUGAUAACAAACUCUAAACUUCUAAUACUAUUUUGCAUAAAAUAUUUACUAAUAGAUAUCAAAACUGUAACUAAUUCAUAAAACUAUUAACACAGACAAGUUACGAAUUCUAAGAUGAGCGCACGAGGUAUUCGCGAACAGGAUACUAGAGGCCGAGGUAGAGGCUGUAGAGGGGCUCGAGCUGAGUCCUUGUCGUUAGGUAGCAUGCCAAAUCUAGAUAUGUGCGAGACGCCGGUUUCACCUGCUACAGAGGCUGGGUCUCAUGAUCAUAUGGCCAGGGACAACACCUUGUCCUAGGCUAUGCUGAGGAUAUUAGAGAGGGUCACUCGGCCCAACACUAGAUCUGAGAGUCGAAGGUGAGUUACAGGACGACUCCGAUCUAAUAGGGCUGAACUAUUCAGGGGUGUCACUAGAGUCGCCCCUAGCCUGGUCGAGUACUGGAUGGAGGCCACGGAAAGAAUCGUGGACGAUCUAGACUUUACCCUUGAACAGAAAUUGAAAUGGGCUAUUUCCUUGCUUCGCGAUGAAGCAUGCCAAUGGUGGCUGACUGUUAAGGAGGGCACUCAGCCCGAAUGAUUGACAUAAGAUUUCUAUAAGUCUGCUUUCUAAGGUAAAUAUGUAGGGGCAAGCUACAUCGAUGCUAGAAGACGUGAGUUUCUGAAUCUCACACAAGGGGAUCGUUCAGUGGCCGAGUAUGAGGUCGAGUUUCUGAGAUUGAGCCGCUAUGAGUGAGGCAUGGUGGCGACUGGAUAUAAGCACUGUGUCCACUUCGAGGAUGGACUCAGGGAUAGUUUGAGAGUUCUGAUAGCUCCGUAGAGGGAGCAUAACUUUUUAGCAUUGGUAGAGAACGCGAAGAUCACCGAGGAGGUGAAGCACACUGAGCGGCAAAACUGGGAUAAGGAGAGAGGCAAGAAUAAGAGGGAUUCGGAGCCCUCGAUUUCUGGGAUGAGGCCUAAGAAAAAUGACAGAUCUGGUGGGAUAGUUAGAGUUAGGGCCCCUGUUGCAUCUACUGGAAUCACGCUUUGCGGACAUUGUGGAAGGCGCCAUCUGGGUGAAUGUUGGAGGACGACUGGGGCUUGUUUAGGAUGUGGGUCUACUGAGCACUGUGUUGGGGAGUGUCCGCUGAGGACCAAUCAGGUGCAAGUUACGGGUUCUGGUACUGCACAGCCAUCGAGGGUAGUUCAGCAACCGCCUAGGGGCCGUGAUCAGGCUAGGAGUGAUAAUGGUAUGGGUUAUGGGCAGAGAGCACCAGGCAGAGGUACUGGACAGGCUGAAGCGAGAUAAUCGGCCCUAGUUUAUGCUACUCGUCGCCAAGAGGAUAGAGAUGCUCCGUACGUCAUCACGGGUACGUUUCUUAUUUUUGUUGUGCCUUACACUGCAUUGAUAGAUAUAGGAUCUACGCAUUCCUAUAUUGUCUGUUCUAUUUUCAAAAACCUAGAGAUUCUGGUUGAGAGUACUUUUAGUGAGGUGACUGUGCUGAGCCUGCUGGGGCAAUUUGUUACAUUUACCAAACUGUACAGAGAUGUUCCCUUAGAGGUUCAAGGGGCAGUAUUUCAGGCUGAUUUGAUGGAGCUUCCAUUUUGGGAGUUUGAUAUGAUAUUGGGGAUGGACUGGUUGGUCAAGAAUCAUUUCAGUUUGGAUUGUGCGACUAAGAGGGUCGUAUUGAUAACUGAAGGGGGUAAUAUAGUUGUGAUUGGGGAACGCCGGAAUUACUUAGCUAACAUGAACUCUACACUGGUAGCUGAGAAACUGGUUCGCAAGGGAUGUGAUGCGUAUUUGGCCUACGUAAGUGUUUUCGCUGCUUGGGACUCUACUAUUAAGGACUUCAUAACUGUGAGGGAUUUUUUAGACGUCUUUCCUGAGGAGCUACCAGUUUACCUCCAAAUCGAAAGUGGAGUUCUGGAUUGAGCUUUACCCUGGUACAGCUCCGAUGUCUAUCGGUCCCUAUCGAAUGGUACCGAAGGAGCUUACUGAUCUCAAGGCUCAAAUUCAAGAGUUAUUGGAUCAUGGGUUCAUCCGCCCUAGUGUGUUCCCAUGGGGAGCACCGAUACUGUUUGUUAAGAAAAAAAAUGGAUCCAUGAGGAUAUGUAUCGACUACCAACAACUAAAUAAGUUGACUAUUAAGAACAAGUAUUCACUUCCAAGGAUUGAUGAUUUGUUUGACCAGUUCCGAGGGGUGUCUGUUUUUUCCGAAAUUGACUUGUGUUCUGGGUAUCAUCAGUUGAGGGUUAAGGAGGCUGAUGUGCAUAAGAUGACAUUUAAGACUCGUUAUGGUUACUACGAGUUCCUAGUGAUGCCAUUUACAUUGACUAAUAUACCGACAACUUUCAUGGAUCUGAUGAACCGAGUGUUUCAGCCCUAUCUAGAUCAGUUUGUAGUGGUGUUCAUUAAUGACAUAUUGGUUUAUUCGAGGACUGAGGAUGAGCAUGACGAGCACCUUAGGAUUGUUCUUCAUAUUUUGAGGGAAAAACAGCUCUAUGCUAAGUUCAGUAAGUGCGAGUUCUGGUUACAUGAAAUAACAUUUCUAGGUCAUGUGGUGUCUGCUGAGGGAAUUCGCCUAAGAAUGUGUCUGAGAUCUGCAGUUAUUUGGGGUUGGCAGAUUAUUAUCGACGGUUUGUGGAAGGAUUUUCACUGAUCGCAGCACCCUUAACUAAGCUGUUAUGUAAAGGUGUACCAUUUGACUGGACUAAUGCGCAGCAAGAGAGCUUUCAGAAGCUUAAGACUGUACUGACUAAGGCUCCUGUUUUGGUACAGCCUGAACCUGGAAAGGAGUUCACUAUUUAUAGUGAUGCAUCACAUGUCAGUUUGGGAUGUGUAUUGAUGCAAGAUGGUAAAGUGGUUGCAUAUGCGUCUCGUCAACUUAAGACACACGAGGCAAACUAUCCGACGCACAAUUUGGAGUUGGCCGCCGUAGUCUUUGCAUUGAAAAUCUGGAGGCAUUAUCUAUACGGUGAGAAAUGUAUUAUUUACACUGAUCAUAAAAUCCUCAAGUAUCUCCUCACUCAGAAUGAGUUAAAUCUUAGGCAGCAUAGAUGGGUUGAGCUACUUAAGGAUUAUGAUUGUACCAUUGAGUACCAUCCUGGCAAGGCCAAUGUGGUGGCCAAUGCAUUGAGCCGUAGGGCUAUGACCGAUCUGAGAGUGAUGUUCGCUCGACUUAGCCUAUUCGACGAUGGAAGUCUAUUGGCAAAACUUCAGGUCAAACCGACAUGGAUUGAAUAGAUUCGAGGUAAACAGUUGGGGGAUAAGUCUCUCAGGUUGUGUUUUCGUCAGGUUGAGAAUGGUGGCACUACUGAUUUUAGGAUAAACAGUGAAGCAGUACUUUGUUUUUGUUGUCAGAUUUGUAUAUCGAAUGAUGAUGAUUUAAGGCAAUCGAUUCUGAGAGAGGCGCAUGGUAGUCCCUAUACUAUGUAUCCCGGUUGGAACAAGAUGUACCGAGAUCUUUGGGAAUUGUACUAGUGGCCAGGGUUGACGCAUGAGGUUACAGACUUUGUUGGUCGCUGUUUGACUUGUAAGCAGGUUAAGCCUGAGCAUCAGUUACCUUCGAGUUUGCUGCAGCCGGUUAAGAUACCGUUAUGGGAGCGAGUAACGAUGGACUUCGUUAGUGGGUUGCCUCUAACACCCACUAAGAAGGAUUCUGUCUGGGUACUCGUGGAUCAAUUGACAAAGUCUACUCACUUCAUCCCAGUAAGGACAGACUUUUCUCUUCAAAAAUUAGCUAAGCUCUACAUAUCGAAAAUAGUGAGACUACAUGGGGUACCUGUCUUGAUCAUUUUCGAUAGGGAUCCUCGUUUCACGUCUCGGUUCUAGAAUAAGCUUCAUGAGGCUCUGGGUUUAAUAUUAGACUUCAGUACUGCUUUCCAUCCUCAGACAGAUGGUCAGUUGGAUAGGGUGUAGAGGACAUGUUGAGGAGCUAUGUUAUUGAUUUUCGAGGCAGUUGGGAUGAGUACUUGCCGUUAGCGGAGUUUUCCUACAAUAAUAGCUUCUAGUCUAGCAUCCGGAUGGCACCUUACGAGGCACUGUAUGGUCGUAAGUGUCGCACUCCUUUAUGUUGGACAGAGUUGGGCAAGUGACGUGUUCUAGGUCCUGAGUUGGUCUCUGAGACAGAGGAUAAGGUUAGAUUGAUUCGAGAUCAUUUGAAAGCAGCUUCUGACAGGCAGAAAUCUUAUAUGGAUUUGAAGAGGCGUGAGAUCAGGUAUUCUGUGGGGACUUAGUUUUUCUUAGGGACUCGCCAUGGAAAAAGGUUCUAAGGUUCGGUCGCAAGGGCAAGCUGAGCCCUCGUUUUGUUGGACCUUACCGCAUUCUGAAAUGUGUGGGACCUGUUGCUUAUCAGUUGGAGUUACCUCCGAAGUUGGACCGUAUUCAUAAUUUUUUUCACGUCUCGAUGUUGAGGCACUAUCGCUCUAAUCCCAUGCAUGUUGUUUUUAUUGAGGAGAUUGAGGUUAGGCCAGCCUUGACCUUUGAGGAGGAGCCAGUUCAGAUUCUGGAGCGUGAUGUAAAGGUCCUUCUAAAAAAGUCUAUUCCCUAGUGAAAGUUCUGUAGCGUAAUCAUAGCAUUGAGGAGGCCAUGUGGGAGCCUAAAGAUACGAUGCGUCAGCAAUAUCCUUAUCUGUUCUGAUCAGGUAGAAUUUCGAGGACAAAAUUUUCUUUUAAGGGGUAGAGUUGUAAUGCCCCAAAAAUUCUCAUUUCGUUAUUGUGAAAAUAUGACACAAAUAUUUGUCAGCUUUAGUGGUUAUAUGUUCUAGGAGCGUUUGGGAGGUCCCAAGUUCAAGUCUUCGCUUGGAAAAAUUUUGGUAUUUGGAAUGAAUUAGGCCUUAAUCUUGUUCAGUAGGCUUUUAUUUGAUUGUUGGGUAAAUUACAUCAGAAUGAGUCUGCCAGUCUGGUGGUUAAAUGGUGUGUUAUUAUGGUGGAGGUCUUGUGUUCGAAUCCCUAUGCAGGAAAUGGUAUUAUUUUUUUGCUCAGAUUUCGGGAUAAAGUUGUGGAUGUGUAGUGGGAAUUAGGGGAGAAGAUUAAGGGAUUUUGGGGGUUAUCGUGAUUUUAUUUUAUUUUUUCCCAUAACUGAAUUUUUGACGCUCGUUUCCAAAAAAAUUUUGCCGUCUAUUCUUCUCCCUCUCCUCUUGCCAAAAUUCUCUGAGUUUUUCCAUCUUUCUCUUCUUUUUCUUCUUCUUGAUUUUUCCCUAAUCUAUUUAUUUUCCAUCAUUUUCGCACGCGGUUAGUGCUCACUUAGUUUCAGUAAUUGUUUCUCACCGUUUCUAUCAUGAAUCUCUUAGUAACUAAAGUGGUAAUGUUUCUUCGCUGCGAUUUGGUCGUAAGACGAGGCUCGGACUGGUGAAUUCAGUGUUCUCAUCUUAAUAAUAGUUAAACGGAGGGUUAUCGUUGGAGGUAAGUUGGGUUUCUGUUCGUUCUUGGUUGUUAAUUCACUUGUAAAUCUGUUAAAUUGAUGUUGAGUGUCUUGAUUAUAGGCUUUGGAGUGCCCGGGGACUGUUUUCUCAUCAAACAAAACUAGGUGUGUACCUGAAAUGCAAACAAAGGGAUUCGGCGAAAAGCCGAAAUUGCUUGCUAUUUGGACAGCAGUAGGCUAAUUUUGAAAAAUCGCCAUAAAUUUUGAAAAUUGAAUUAGAGGAUGAAAAAAUAUGGAAUUAAAGGUUAUUGAGUCUAGUGUCUCAUAGAAGAAAUGGUGUAAGUAAUGAAAUUGUAAAUCGUGAGAUAUAAUAAUGUUUGUGAGACAAGGUUAGAAUGAAUUCGAGUUCCCCUGUUCGGACUUUGGAAAAUAAUCAAAAAUUGGAGAAAAAUAAUUAUAGGUUAAAAUUUACAUGUUUAUAUUAUUAAUGAGUCUAUUUUCAAUAGAAACAAAUGGGUACUUUAUCCAAAUUUUGUACUAAGAGAUCAUUAUUUUUUAGCAAAGAAGGGUCGAAGCUGUCAGACAGCAGAGUAGAGGUAAGUUUGAAGAUUUUACUAUACUUAUUGGGUGAACCAAAAAUUCUAUAAAUUUUAUGGUAGAAAGGUAUUUGAGUGUAUUUUCAAAGACAUCAAGUGGAUUUUAAUUUGGAAUUUUGUAGCUCAAGAUAUAAAUAAUUUAGUAACAGUGUCUCAAGUAGACAGCUUUGGAGGAACACAUAAGUAAAUAGUGAAACAUAUAUGAAUAUUUAGCUAGCACAGGGUACAUUAAAAAUGGAUCACGUGGCCAAGGCCAAUUUGGGUCGAUUGGGUUACAUGGUCGAGUGGGCCACAUGGGCGUGUGAGCCUAUUCCUCUAAAAAGUUCUGUAAGGUUGCAGGGGUCGCCCAAGUCGAUGGUGGACCUAUUGUAGGGUCGGUAAGCUUUACUUAGACCCCUAAAUGUGUGAUCUGUUUGACCGAUUUCUAUACCGAGCAUGACUUAUGAUAUCUGAAUGUAUGUACUGUUAAUUGCAUAAUGGCAUGACAUAUUUUGUAUGUUGCAUUUCAUCGGGGUGGGUUGAUGAUAUUUGGAGGAAGUGUCUGAAAGGCUAUUAAGCCUAUUAUUUGGUAGCUCAGCUGCAACCUUCUGAUUAUGUGCCGCAUUUCGGUACAGCAUGGUGUGUAGGGAUGGGUGGGUUGAUUUAAUCCCAACAUGGUGUGUAGGGUUGGACGGAGAUGGUGUGUAGAGGCUGGUGACUAGGAUUCUGAUUUACUGUAUCUGCAUUCUAUAUAUGAUAUGGGCCAAGCCCUAAUAUAUUUCGGAGACUGUGUCUAAAUGGGCGAAGGCCCAAACUAAUUUUGUGAUGGGCACAGGGCUCAAACUGUAUCUAAAUAAAUUUUGUUGAUUAUCUGUAUGCAUAUUUUUUGUGGGGAUUACACACUGAGUUUGCGAAAACUCACCCUUUCUCUGUUUAAUCUGUACACGUAAUCCCCACACUUGACGGGUCGGUGCAGCGGAGGACUCGACGGUGGCCACACGUAAAUUUCAAAUUGUUUUCCGUUAAUGUCUAGAAUGUAUUACUUAUUUGCGGUUUUUUAUGUAACUUUUCGACUAUGGACUGGUUGGCUUUAAAUUUGGGACUUUAUACUGUUUUUAUGGAUUUUUUUAAACUGUAACUCAACAAAACACGGUUUUUCUAAAAACUAAGGUUUUCAUAAAUAGAAACAAUUUUCCCUAAAUUAAUUGGUUACAAAAGCUUCCUCUAAGAGACAAGUUUUAAAGCAAAUCAACUAGCACUUAUUUUUUCCGAAUUAAAUAAAAGUUAACUAGCUGUAACGAUUUUAACUUGACAAUCUUGUCUUCAAAUCCCAUUCCAUUCCGCAUCGCCAGAUUCGGCCAUAAUGUCUAGCUCGAGUAUGGGGUGCUACACUAACCCAAAUUUGUUUAAUGGUGUUUCUUCAUUACAGGACUUCAUGGAUCCAUUGACGGACUUUCAAUUAUAUUACUCUACCAUCGAUAGACGAUUUUACUUGUGGGAAAAAGGUAAGUUGAAUAUUGAUAAUUCCCCACAAGUGCUACAAGAUAAAGAAUGUAAGGAAACAACAUAAAUUAAUUUAAGAAGGCAUACCUUGAAUGUUUUUGAUAAGUAUGCUACGGAUUUUGUUUGUCAAAUAUUUUCUUACAACAUGUUUUCUCAUUUGUCAAAUUUCAUUAAACCAUGUUCUGAAAGUUCAACUGAUUUUAUGGGUUUAUCUACCUUUGUAAAGGUUAAAAAUAGUAAUUUUGUUGCAUCAAAUAGGUUUUUAAAAGCAUUUUAUAUAUCUCCUCUUACAACAAAAUUUUCUAUCUUGACCAUUAACGAUGAAUUUUUACAUAAUAAUAUUAAUAUUUUUAUUUUUAUAAUUAUGUGAAAUUCUUGACUUAUCGUUCGAAAAUUCUUAUGGAUGACCGUGCAUAUUCAAAAAAAGUUACAAGUUAUUUUUUACUUGAACACUCAUGUUCAUUAUAUUUCUUUGUUUAGUGUUGAGGGUUUGUUUUUGAAUAAGAGAUACUUGAUCCAUGCUGAUUUGGGAGAUCAAAAUCAUAUAUUUGAUCCUAAAAAUAAUUUUGGCGCACAAGAAGGCUUAGGUAAGUAUUUGUUUCAUUUGAUUGUUAUUUAUUCUAAUCCCUUUUAAUUUUGUGUAGCUAAAGAUUCGGGGACAAAUCUUCUUAAGGAAGGGGGGAAUGAAGCGAGUCUCAAUGCCCAAUGUUAGACCCAUGAAUGUGAUGGGAUCACACUACCUCAAGGCUCAACAACAAUGUCAAAGGCUAAGCAAAUCAAAUCAGCUUUUGAUCAAAUACAAGUUCGAGGAUGAAUCUUUUUGAGGAAACGGGGAAAGAUACAUGCACGGAUCGAGUGAAAUUUAUUAAAUUUCAUUCACUGAAGCUGUCAAUUUUCAAGCUUGGGAAAUUAGUAGACUUGUGAUGACUUUUUCAAUGGGAUCUUGACAUUUAUGGGUUGAGAUGUCUCAUGGCGUUUGAAGAUGUAUCUCUUAGCCUUGAAAUGCAUUUUAAGUCACUCGAUUUUGAGUCUAGGAGCUCAAGUUAUGACCGUUUUAGUGAAGACUAUACGAGCAGAAUUUUUGAACGGGAUUAUGACAGGAAUUACAAGUUUCGGGCUUUUAAUUCGAGUUUAAAUCAUAUUGGGUUCGGGUUUUAGGCUUAAUUUUUAUUACAUAUGAGCCCAAUAUUGUAUUUAUCAUUACUUAUUAUUUUAUUUCAAUUGUUUUAUAAUUAUUAAUUAUUUUAAGUUAUUUAGGAGUUUUAUGUUAACAAGAAAGUUUAGUUUAAAACUACUUCUUAUUUAGAUUAAAUUAGAGUUCUAGUAUACUUAAGAGUUUUAUUUAGAUUUAUUUAGCUAGCCUAUAUAUAGGUAUUUGCAUUGCACACAAUUCAUUCAAUUCAUUAUUAUUCAACUUCUCUUUUAAGUUUAUAAUUUAUCUUUAAGUUUUCUUUUUUUAAGAAUUUCUCUUGAGUUUCUUUUAGAAGAGUUUUAACAAUCUUUUUAGAUUGUGGGGGUCAUAUUCAAACUUUUUCUUGCCAAGGUUUCUAUCUUGAAAGGGAAAUUAGAGCCACUUGAGUGGGGUUGUGGAUUCUUCAUGUUUCUGAGGCUUCUUAGGACUUCUACACGCCACGUUCUAUCUUUUCAUAUCUUCUUUAUUUUCUUCCUUAUUGUUUUAAUCAUAGAUUUAUUAUUCUAUUUUAAUUAUCUUAGUUAUUUAGUUUAAUUAUUUUAUCUAACUUGGAUUUAAUUGCCUUCCAAGUUUCUUUCCGAACAUCUAGAGCCCUAAGUCAAAUCUGUGACUUUGACAAACUUUACAAUCCGCUUCUGCAUUCAUCCGUCUCAUUCUUUAUCAUUUGGUAUUAGAUUUUGGCGUUUUAGGUUUUCUUUUUUUCUUUUAUAAACUGAUUUCUAGCAAACAACCUCAAUACAAUUUUUUUACAUCGACUAGCUACCCAAGUGUUGAGCUAUAAGAAUCCGGUAAGUCUAUGGCAAAUUGAUGAGGUAACAAAUGGGACCAUACCUCUAGCAGGUAUAACGACAGGUAGAAUCUUGACCUUCCUCCACCAUAAUACUUGGGAUGCCUCAUGAGGAGGCCCCUGCACCACAGCAUCCUCUGCAUUUCCUUUUCCGUUGUAGUGCACCUACAUUCACCAAUUGCAUCGAUUCAUCUACAUCCCUUAGGUGUUCAAGGAUUUGCUCUUUAUUACUCCUAGUCAUUGUUGUUCUCCUGGAUUAGUCGUUCUCGCUCUAUUGUUAAUGGUAGAGUACCUACCUUCAUCAUUUUGUGACGUAGACCUACCAGUUUAUCCUCCUUUCUUGACAAGUUUAACAAUUUUUUCGAUGACAUCGCAAAAACAAUGAUGAAAUAAAGCAAAUCUUAAACUGCAUUUACUAAGAAGAAGUUCUAAGUAGCAGAAAAAUAAGAACUUUAAAAUGACAAUGUGGUUUCAAGGAAGAUAAAGUUCUUGAUUUAUAGAUUUUUCAAUGCUCCUUCUUAAAUGCACAAUUUUGGGAACCAAUAGCAUCUUGCCACCUAUAUAGUUUCAAAUACUCUUCAUCAUGGUUGUUUUUUCAUAAAAAUACUUUGCAUUUAUGAUAGUUAUUGUCAGACCCCAAGUUUAGCGGAUCCAAGGUUAAGGUGUAUAGUAAUGAAAUAAUUUGUUUGGCGAAGUGUAAUUCUCCCAAUUGCUUAUUUUGGAAAAUAUGUGCAGGUGUAUACUAAACAUCGUGUAAAUAAGUGAAAAAUCCAUUUGAGAUUAUUCUAUUAUUUAAAAAUAAAAAAAUUUUAAGCAACAUGGUAAUUAUGGUAUGAAUUAUAACCGAAUGCAAAGUACGCCUUGCAUGCCUUAGUACUGUGUUGCUUGGGUUAUAAAGUGACCUGGUUAAGAACCAACUAGAUUGACUGGUCUAACCUCUAUAAUGAAGGAUUUUCAUUAAUGUUUCUCUCGGAAUCUGUAGGUCAUUAAGAAAGACAAAUUCUGAAUUAAGUCACACUUGUUGAGUUCCACUAAGCGAGGUUGGGUUAUAUAUGUGUGAGAAGGGUUCUGAAAUAAGAUUCUACUUUCUCAAAAAUGUUACUCUUUGAUUUUUUUCUUAAAUCCAAUUGUAUGUCUUCCUCAUUAAGCUAGAAGCAAAGGUUCUUAGUUUAACCAGUGGUCAUUCCAUCUCCAGGUAAGUAUUACAGAUGUGCAUGCUAGGUUCUGAAAGUGUAAGUCUGUAAAAGGUAUAUGAAUAGUAAGUUGUAAGUACAAGGCUUUGCGUGGGGGUUAUUAGUUAUUGAGAUGAUAGUAAUUUGUAUGUGAAUGAGUUUUUAUGGUGAUCAUAUGUUCUUUAAGCAGUUGUUGUUGCUGGUUCAAAAAGGAUAUCUAAGUCUAGAGUUUCAAUCUUUAGUGGGUGAGUAUCAGGUGAGUCUCUAUCCUGACUCUUGCAUAUGUAAUGUACAAAUAGAAUGUUGGUGGUAAGCAUGGAAGUAAUGUCUUAUAUGAAAAGUAUGAAUUAGUUAGGAGUGCAAAAAAAAUUGGGUAAGUGAAUACUGAAUAAACUUUCAUUUGGGAUGCCUCUAUUAGGGCAGUUAUAUUGCUAACCAGUGUGACGCCCUCAACCCGACCUGAUUCAAUAGGUCCAAAUCUCAGGUUUUACACAUACACUAAUUAAUAAUCUAAAAAAUUGUUAACAAUUUCUCAUUUCUCUAAUUAUUUUAUUUAACCUUUUAACUAAAAAUUUUAUCAUUUGAUAACCAAAGAAGUGUUAUAAAAUAACUUGUUACAACAGACUUGAUACAAAUCUUUACAAUAUAGAAGUUUAUUAAGGACGAUCAUACAAGGCACAAUCCUAGACUACGGCAUAUUUCCACUGUAUGCAUAAUAGACCUCUUCGCCAUUACGUUGGCAUACUCCUAGCAUCAUCCUUCCUGGCGCAACUUGUGUCGAAUACUUGAAACAACAAUGAACAUGGUAAGUUUAAGAGAUCUUAAUAAACCUUAUCACGGAAUUACCUGGGUGGAUACUUUAUUUUCUUAUAAGAACUUCUAUUCCUCGACCAUCCUUCUGAAUCAUUUAUUUCGAGCGGAUUUCUCUACAAUAUUCUUUAUCUAACUAACUGAAGAUCCUUCCAAACAUUUUGUAAAUACCUUUAUUUCAUAUAUACUUCUCAAAAGAUCAUACCUUCAGAUACAUCACAUCUGGUGAAUACUUAUAUAGAACUAAUUACCAUCAAUUUAUUAACCAAGUCAUUUCUAAAUUCAAUAUCAUACAACCCACACUUGUAAUGCACCACAUAAACCCAUUAGAAGAAUUCCACAUUAAUUAUUUUCAGAAACAUAUAUACUCAGAAUACCCAUAACUUAGACUUUAUACAAUUUCAGAAAAGAUCAUUACAAUCGAAACAUAACCUCAAUAUGACAGAUUCCAAGUAACUUUGAUUCAAUCAUUUCAUAACACAGAUAAUCUCACAUUGACAAUUUCUUAUGCCACACAUAACUACAAAUAUAACCAUAUCUAACGUUGUCAGAUCAUUGUGGUAGAUACCUUCAUUAUCAUAUAGCUACACAGUUCUUUCCAAAAACUUAUUCAAUUAUUUCACAAAUCUUACUCAACUCAUAAACCUGGGCAUAUCAAUACCUUAUCUCAGCCAACCUUAUUACAAAACUAACAAAAUUUAUCCAUAUCUUACAAUAAAGAUAGAUAUACACAGCGUACCAUGCAUGAUAGACCACGCCACAAGGGCCACACAGAAUACACCAUAAAGGCAUCAUACAAAAUCUCGUGUUUACUAUCCCGACGGACUUCACAGAAGGUGUCAUGGGUUUCUACCUUAUGGACUUAUAUAGAGAUUCAUGUACCGUAAUCUUCCAUUUCAAUUCAUACAUCAUUGAGGGCUACACCAUGAAUAUUCAAACAGACAUAUAAUGCCAUGGGUCUUAACCACAUGGUCUUAGAUACAUUCAUGUGUCAUGUUUUGACAAUAUAGUCUCCAUCUUACUGGAGGUUAUAGCAUGAAAGUUUCCAAAUCAUAGCAAGCUACCAUGGGCCUCUACCUCAUGGUCUUACACUAGGUUUCAAUCUAUAACAUGCCAAUCUGGUUAGCUAUAUAACUGCCCUACCAGAGGAUUCACAAUAGAACGUUAGCUCAGUAUUUACUUACCCAGAUAAUCACCUUCUUACAAACUCAUACACCUCCUAUACCAGACUUUUACUUGCAUGCUUAUUAAAUAGUAAUCCUUUAAUAAAACUUUAUGCAUAUUAUUACAGAGCAUCUCUCAUCCUUACUAUACCCAGAGCCUUACCAUUUUCCAUGGACAUGAUUAUCCCAUCUAUGAAUGUGCAUAUAUUUAUACUUCUUAUUUGAACAAUUCACAUAAUAGAGUCAAGAUAGUGACUCACCUUAACUCACCUACUACAGUUCUAAGCUCCAGACUUAUACAUCCCUUUUGAAUCAGAAGUAACAACUACUUAGAAACAUAAAUUUACUAUUACAACUCUUAUACAUACAAUUUACUUAUCAUCUCAAUCGCGGAUAACUUCAUGCAUAACUUGUAUUUAAAGCUUUACUGUUCAUACAACUCUUAUAGUCUUACACUUUUAGAACUUAACAUGCAAAGGCAAAACACUUACCCAAAGAUGGAAUAACCACUAAUUAGAUCUAGAAUCAAUGUUUCUAGCUAAAUGAGAAAGGGAUACAUUUAUACUUUCUAACGAAAGAAUUAGAGAGUAGUGUUUUUAAGGAAGAAGAAGAACCUCCCUCAAAACCCUUCUCACACAUAUAAAUAUGACCCACUUACCUAGUUGGACUUAACAACUGCCACACAUUUUAGAACUUACCUUAUUAAUGGUCUACAGUUCCCGAGAAAAUUAUAAAUAAGUACCUUGUAUUCACAAUUAUCGGGCUAGGCUAUCUAGUUGAUAUCUAACCAAAAUACUUAUGAUCUAACUAGUACAGUACUCUAAACAAACAACAUGUAUUACAGCUUUGGCGCCAACUCAUACCAUACUUAACCUUUAUCGCCUAACACAAACUUCUCCGUAAUAUAUUAGAGUAGCAUGAAACAAAAUCCUUACCUACAUAUCUGGCAGUUACUAAACGCCCGCAUGUAUAUGCCACAAUAAGAAAUUGGGAAGAUUACACUUCGCCAUAUAGACUAUUUUACUACUAUGCGCCAAAACCUUAGACCCACCAGACUUAGGGUGUUAUAACCAAAUUUGUAGACCAUGAUAUGAAAACAAGUGUAAGACCAUGAGGUUGAGACCCAUGGCAUCAUAGGAUAUGAAAACACUCAUGGUGUAUCCUCUAGUAAAACGAAGACUGAACUAGAAGAUCAUGAUACAUGAAAGUGUGUAAAUUCAUGUGGCUAAGACCCAUGGCAAGUAAGAUUGUAUGAAUGUUCAUGGUGUAGCCUUUGAUAAUGUGUAGAUCAAACUGGCAGAUCACGAUACAUGAAAUUUAUGUGCAAGUCCAUAAAAGAGAAACUCAUGGCACCUUUUGGGAAAAAUUAGUCGGAAUAUUAAACAUGUGAUUUUGUAUGUUGCCCUUGUGGUGUAUUUUGUUUGGCCCUCGUGGCGUAUUCUACUAAGUUCGUAUGGUAGAAUAUGAUUAUCCACCCUUAUGGUAUGUUUUGGAUAAAUUCUGAGUGUUCUGUGAUAGAUGUUACUAUGAUAAGGUUAUGAUUCGUCCGAAGUUAAUUUGGUUGAAUUAGAUCUGUGAUGUAACCAAAUAAGUUUCUAAGGAAGUUCUUGAAAAUAAGUGUGUAUCUUUAUGUUCAAAAAAGGGUAUCCACCAUGGUAAUUUGUUAGUUUUGAAUAUGGGUGUAUUUGUGGUUAUGAAAGACAUUAGAAAUUAUCAAUUUGAGUUCGACUGUGUUAUAUAGUGCUGAAAUUUGAGUAUCUGGUAUCCGCCAUAUCUGAAGAAUAAUAUGUCUUAAUCUGAAAUCUUAUGGAAUCUGAGUUGUUUGUUACCUUGGGUAGAUUUGUGUUCUGUAACGAUCUGGAUAAUUCAUUAUCAGUAUAAGCAUGCAUUAAGGUUGAAUUAGAAAAUGAUUGGAUUUGGUAAAUUGAUGGAAUCCAACUCAUCGUGGGAAUCUAUCAAAGGUGUAAGAAUCUACCAGUAAACAGUAUCUGUGACCAGCAGUUCUGGAAUCAGUGUAUGUGUGAAGAGACGGUCUAUAUAAAAUAGGCUCUGAAGGUAUAUUCUUUUAAAAAGUACUUUUGUGUUUUUUAAGAGAAAGAAGAGAUUAAUGAAAUGUCUGGAAGAAUCUCAAGUCAAUCAGGUAAUUAAGAGAGAACUGGUACACUAAGAGUAUGGUAGUUAGCGUGUAAGUCUAAGCCUAUAAUUGUGAAAGCAUUUGCCGAAAAUAGAAGUAAGAUGUUGAGAAUGGUAGCUGGCACAUAGAUAUUCAUUCGAUAUUAUAAAAGUAUCCACCAAGGUAUUCUAUAUUAACUAUCACUAAGUUCUCCUAAAUUUACAAAUGUUAUAUUUAUGUUUUAGGUAGUGUGGUAACGGAAUACGCCGGGAGUGACGACACCAGGAGUGUGCCAAGGUAACGACAAUAUGGACUAUUAAACAUACAAUGGACUAUUUGUAAAUGGGACAUAUUACAGAAUUACACCCUAGGAAACUAUCUUUAGUAAACUUUGUUUUGUUAAUGUGUUGUAACAAAUUUGAUGUAAUAUGUUAUUUCUAAAUACUAUCUUUUGUUUCUUUGAUUUUGAGUCUUUAAAUAAAAUUAUAAGAAUUACAUUUUUAAAUAAGGAGUACUCACCAAUUGUUUGAAAUUUAGCUAAGUGAUUUGUGUUGUAACACCCAAGAUCAGGACUUGGUAAUUUGGGUCGGGUUGAGGGCAUUAUAGUUACUCUAGUAGGAUUCUAGUGCUUCUUCAUCUUCUCUGGUAAUGCAAACACUCUCCCAUUAUUAAAUGCCUAAAUUCAGAUCAUGUCUCACCGAAAGCCAUUCUAUAACCUCCUGUUUAGGUUAGGGGGUUAUUAUUAUAUCCCUCCACCAUGAAGACACAUGUCAGUGCCAGAAACAUCAUUAACUCUCUUAUUGACUUUGAUUGAAGAUAAUCCUCACCUGACCAUCCAUCUAUUCCUUAAGGAAUCUGACCACACUUUCCCAAUGUGAACACAGUUUCAAGACAAUAAAGAGUCUAUUUAGGCAUAACAAUCUCGUACUAAUAGAGUCCCAUGAUAUACGACUAUCAUCCUUUACGCUUUUAGCGAGGCUAAAUGUAUAUCCUACCACGUCAUAGUAAUAGAAAAGAGGAUCUCUCCAAUAAAUACCUUGAAAAACGAGAAAGAAAUGAUCGACCCCUGACACCCUAAAGUUACUUUGAGCAAUUAUUUUCUCAGUCAACCUGUCUUCAUCCCAGAUCUAACUCUCGACCUCCUCUGCAGCACCACGAUCCCCUCCUUAACCUUCUCCCUUACUGUACAUUGUAUAAAUAAGAUAUUUAUAUUCAACUACAUGUUUGGCAGGCUAGUUGAUUUCUAGAUAAUAUUUAAACAUAUUAUAUCCAAGUUGCAUUCGUUUUAUUCUAUUGAAAGUUCACUGUUUGUUUUUAUAUGGUAUUGAUUAACAUUACAUUUAAAAAAAAUUAACUAACCCAAUUUAUUUUGAAUUUAAUAAAAACAAUUCAUAAAAUAAUAAUACAUAAGUUUUAAUUAAUGCUGAUAAAAACCGUCAACACAUCAAAUUAAUUGAAUCCUGGGUCUCUGCAUAUUUUAUCAUUCACUCUAUAUAUUUAAGUAAGCAUUAUUGAAAACAAGAAAAUAAAUAAAUAAGUAGAAGACAAACUGAUACAAUAUUUGAACUCACCAAUUUGCGAUUUACUAAGAACUUCUGGGAUGCUUAUUUUGACUAGUACCAAUUCAAUGAAAAUUAAUAACAAUGUUGGAUAUAAAUCCAAUUAAAAAAUGAGAAUAAUAAUUUUUUACGCUUCAAGUUCAGUGUAUAAAUAGCAUCCUAGUUCUCUAUCAUCUCACACCUCAACCACUCAAUCAUCCACUUCUUCUCUUCUUUGAACUCAAAGUCCCAGUUAAUAUUAGAAUCAUGGGUGUUGUCACUUAUGACUAUGAGUCUACCUCCCCAGUCGCCCCUUCCAGGCUUUUCAAGGCCUUUACUGUUGAAGCUCCGAAAGUUUGGCCCACGGCUGCACCUAAUGCAGUCAAGAGUAUUGAGGUUGAAGCUAAUCCUAGCUCUGGAAGUAUCGUAAAAAUCAACUUUGUUGAAGGUUAGUUCUUUCAUUGGCCUUUUUGUAGUCUGUUUUACACGAGUAUGUUGGAUAACAAGUAUUUAUUUGUUUAGGCCUUCCAUUCCAAUAUAUGAAGCACCAGAUAGGAGGACAUGAUGAAAGUAAUUUUUCAUACAGUUACGAUUUAAUCGAAGGUGGGCCUUUGGGGGACAAACUUGAAAAAAUCAGCUAUGAGAACAAGUUUGAGGCAGCUGCAGGUGGAGGAAGUAUUUGCAAGAGCUCAAUGAAAUUCUACACUGUUGGCGACAAUGUAAUCACUGAAGAUGAAAUCAAGGCUCUCAUUAAGGGAAGUGAGGGAGUUUACAAGCCUGUUGAAGCUUAUCUAUUGGCUAAUCCUGAAUCCUGCAACUAGGAUAUUGGUUGCUUUGAAUUCUGAUUCUUGGUUUUAAAGAGUGGUCAUUGCUUUUAAUGGUGUGUUUUUUAUAUUUUCUUUUUCCUUUUAAAACCUAAAUUGUCUUCUAAUUAUUUACAUAAGAGUGGUGGUGAUCGAGCUUUUGUCAUCUUUAUUUUCAUUACAGUCAAAGAAUUUGGGUUGUCUUUGACAUAUAUAGAAAUAAAAUAAACAAAUAAACUCAAAAAAAGAAAAAAAAAGGUUUUACCUGGUAUAUUGAUGAGUGAAAAUUCACAAUCCAUAUUAGAGAUGUGCAUUCGGUGGUUGGAACGAUUUGAUUAUUUUAUAACAAUAAUCGAAUAAAUAAAAAUUUUUACUGCAAUUGAAUUAAUCGAACCAAACUUAAAAAGGUAAAAAUGAAACAACCGAACUGAAUUUAGUCAAUUCGAUUAGAUUUAGUUAAUCGAUUUUUGCUUUUUUUGGUUUUUAACUUAGUUGAACUCCACCGAUCCAAAAAUUCUUCACUGUUCGUGUCGGCAUGUUUGUUCCUCACAGAAUGGGAGCAAACAGUAGCCGCCUUACCUUUUGCUAUAAAAAGGAUUUUAGUCUUUGCUUUCAAAAUCAUCCCAAUCUCUCCAAGAAAGUGUGUAAUCUUUAUUUGUUUAGGCCUUCCAUUCUAAUAUAUGAAGCACCAGAUCGAAGGACAUGACGAAAAUAAUUUUUCAUAUAAUUACAGUUUAAUACAAGGUGGGCCUUUGGGGGACAAGCUUGAAAAAAUUAACUAUGAUAACAAAUUUGAGGCAGCUGCAGGUAGAGGAAGUAUUUGCAAGAGCUCGAUGAAAUUUUACACUGUUAGGGACAGUGUAAUCACUGAAGAUGAAAUCAAGGCUCUCAUUAAAGGAAGUGAAGGAGUUUACAAGCCUGUUGAAGCUUUACCUCUUGGCUAAUCCCAAAGCUUGCAACUAGGAUAUUGGUUGCUUUGAAUUCUCAUGCUUGCUUUUAAAGAGGGAUCAGAUUUUAACUGUGUGCUUUUGAUAUUUUCUUCUUUGUCUUAAAACCUAUAUUGUCUUCCGAUUGUUGUAAUAAGAGUGGUGGUGGUGGAAUCAAGCUUUGAUAAUCUUUGACAUAUGAAAUAAACAAAAAUAUAAACUGGCAAAAAUAAUAAAAGCUUUACUUGGGUAUAUAAUUUACAGUUUUCCUGACAGACUACAAUUUUUUUCUACACUAAAACCUCGAUAAAUGAAUAUUCGAUAAAUUAAUACUCUUGGUUAAAUAAUAUUUUUUCUCGGUCCCGACUUGAGUCAAGAGGAUAAAAUAAUAACCUGGCUAAAUGCAUAAUAUAAUAAUUUUUAGAAAGAAUCUUUAAGGGCCCAAUGAAAAUAUAAAAUAACAAUUCAUUAAAUAUAUUAAGAUUUUUAUAUACCAUACAUAAAACUAAAAUGCUUUCUAGACAACUCUUACUCUUUUUCAAUUUUAUUCUUUGCUAAAAUAUGCAUCUAUAGUUAACUGCUUCUUCUUUGCAUGUGAAUCAAAUACAGUUUCAUUUUUAACUUUUAGAAGGGCAUAAACCAAAUCUGGUAUAUUCUUCUUGUGUUGCAUUAAAUAAUUUUUCAAGGUAUCAACAACUAGAAAAGCCUCUUUUGGAGAAACAUGUGGCAAAACACUAUUGUCAUCAUCAGUUGGCACAUUCAUUACUCCUUGAAUAAUUUCUUCAUCCGUAGGUGACUUAAUCAAAGAUUCAUUUUCACUUGGAUAACUGCUCAACAUCCAUGGCAUUUCUAUAGUGUAAAUCUGAAAUUACUUCUUUUAAUUUAUGAAUGUCUUCAACAUCACCAAUUUCUUGUUCGAGAGGCAUAUCCUCCUCGGAUCGAAUUUUGCAAAGUCGGAAACAAUUUGCAAUAGUUGUAGGCUUCACAUCAAUAUUCACUACAACAAAACAGGUUUUUAGCGGCAUUUUUAGUAGCGUUUGGACCAAAAACGCCACAAAAGUUAUAAAUUAGUGACGCUAAUAGGAAGACGCCACAAAAGGUUAGAGCUAUAGCAACGUUUAUGAGAAAAGCGCCGCAAAAAAAAUUAUUUUAAACAAAAUUGAGCCGUUUUGCUUCCUGUCUAUUUAUUAUUUAACUAGUUUUUUUAUAUUAAAAAAAUACAAUUUAUUUUAAAUUGAAUGUUUAAAAUCUUUAGAAAAAAUUAAUGACAGAGAAAAAAUUUGAAAGUAAAAACAUAGAAAAAUAUAUGUUAAAAAUGAAAAAAAUUAAAAUACUAUUAUUUAAAAAUUAUUGUUUUUAAUUUAUAUAUUAAAUAAUUUUUUAUAUAAUUGUAAAAGAGAUAAUAUUAAUUUUAAUAUAUUAAAAUUAUCAUUAUAGUUUAAAUUAUUUAAGAGAUAAUAGAUAAACUUUAUAUAUAUUAAAAUUAAAAAAAUUGCUAACCCAUGCAUUUAUAGAAAAACAAAAUUAAUUAGUAAAUUGAAAUAGUUAUUUAAAUUUCCUAAAAUGUUGAAAGAACAUAUAAUUACAAAAGAGAAACAAAUUAAAGUUUUUUUUUUUUCAUAUCUUGAAUUUUUUUUAUUUUCUUACAUAAAAAUUAUAUAAAAAUUUCAAAUUUUAUCUAAUUCUUUUCAAUAUUACUUAUAUUUUAAAAAAUUAUUUAUUUGAAAUUGAUAUGAAAGAUAUAAUAAUUCAAUAUAAAAAUUGUAAAAAAAAGUAAUAUUUAAAUAAACGCCGUAAAAAUUUAUUUUAUUUUAGUGUUUAGGGUUUAGGAUUUAAGGUUUACAGUCUAGGGUUUAGGGUUUUAGGGUAUAUGGUUUAGUGUUUUGGGUUUAGGGUUUAAUGUUUUUGGGUUUAGGGUUUAAUGUUUUUGGGUUUAAGAUUUGGGGUUUAGUGUUUUAUAGUUUAGUGUUUAAGGUUUAGGAUUUAGUGUUUAAGAUUUAAUAUUUAUGUUUUAGGGUUAGGGAUUUCGAUAAAAAUGACAAAAAAUCAAUUUAUUUUAGGGUUUAGGUAAGCAAGAAGAUUCUUUUUUUAAUUACUUUUGUACCUUAUAAUAUAUAUUAUUAAAUUAAUAUCAAAAGCAUAAUAAAGUAAAAAGGAGAGAGAAAUUCAUUAUUUCCAUAUCUCCUUAUACAAAAAUCCACCUCUUGGUAAUUUAGAAUUUGGGAAGUUAAGCAGAUUGAGUCUUAGCUCAAUUAGUGUGAGCAUUGUUGUCAACAUAAGAGAACAUGAGUUUGAGUGUGUUGAAAUGCAUUAUCUUCCUGUUUAUGAGUUGGGGAGGAAUUAUGAGUUGUUGUAGACAUAAUAUCAAAAAAGAAUUUGAGAAGUUAAAUUUUAUCAAAAUCAAUUUGGAUAAAUUCUAUCAACUGCACAAAAAUUUAAUCUUGUGGAUACAAACUCUUCAUAAGGAAGUUUGGUUUCAUUUUUUAAAAUUAUUUUCGUACACAAUUAUAAAAUUUUACAAAUUAAAUAUAUUGUUUGAAACAAAACAAACUUAAUUUAAAGGAAUUUAAGAAAUAAUUAAACUAUAAAUAUUUAUUAGUAUCAAAGGCAUUAGCGGCGUUUAUGAUUAAAACGCCGCAAAAAAACAUUUUACUUUAAACAAAACGACGUGGUUUUGAGUGGCAUCUUUAGUGGUAUUAGCGGCACCAGGUGAAAAACGCCGCAAUAGAUCGAGCAUUAGCGGCGCUAGGUAAAAAACGUCGCAAAAAAAUUACUUUAAACCAAACGGUGCCAUUUUAAGUGGCGUCUUUAGUGGCAUUAGCGGUGCUAGGUGAAAAACGCCGCAAUAAAUCGAGCAUUAGCGGCGCUAGGUAAAAAACGCCACAAAAAAACAUUUUACUUUAAACAAAACGGCGCCAUUUUCAGUGGUGUCUUUAGUGGCAUUAGCGGCGCUAGGUGAAAAACGCCGCAAUAGAUCGAGCAUUAGUGGCGCUAGGUAAAAAACGCCACAAAAAAAAACAUUUUACUUUAAACAAAACGGUGCCGUUUUUAUUGGCAUCAGUGGUGCUAGGUGAAAAACACUGCAAUAGAGCGAGCAUUAGCGGGCGCUAGGUAAAAAACGCCAGAAAAAAACAUUUUACUUUAAACAAAAUGGUGACGUUUUUAAUGGCGUUAGCAACACUAGGUGAAAAACACCACAAUAGAUCGAGCAUUAGCGGCGCUAGGUAAAAAUCAUCACAAACGGUCAUUUUGUUUUAUACGAAAAUGCGUCGCUUUGCUCUCCUCCAUUUUAUCCCAACCCAUAUACCCGAAACACCUUAUUUUUUCCCCAAAAAAAUUUCCCCAAAUCCCUAAAUUUUCCCUAAAUCAAAAUCCCAACCCAUUUGCUGCAUCGCCGUCGACUCAACCAUCUGCUACAUUACCGUAACUGUCCCCUCUGCUGCGUCACCGUCGCACUCCUCUACCGCAACCAAUCAGUAAAUUUAACUCCUCUGCCGUCGCUUUUUCAAGAUUUAACAUGUCUAGAUUUUUAUUUAAUUAAAAUUUGACUUAUAAAAGGUGGAUUUUGGGACAUUAGACCCCACUAAGGAGGGGAAUAAGAAAUCUUAGCCCUUGGUUUAUAUUAAGUUGGAGUGAAAGAUAGUGAUUUUGGUUUGUAAAUUUACCUCAAUUGUAUUCGACUAUUGAUAGCAAAUAUAUACAAGAUUACAUCAGAGUGUUAUCUUCAGCUAUUCACAAUUUGAAUUUGAAUUUUAAGUAGAAUAAGAUCCUAAAGAAUAGGAGUGAUAACAAGUCUAGUUUGACUUGGUUAACUCUCAACAGUCCCUCGCAAACGGAUGGGGGAAGUCACCAUCAGUUUGUCUUGAAGCGUAAGAAACCGAGUUGUCGAUAAAGGUUUCGUCAAGACAUCGGCUAUUUGAUCAAUGGUCGGAACAUAGGAGACGAGAAGAUUCUUCUGGCGUACUUGGUCUCAGACAAAAUGAAAGUCCAACUCAAGGUGCUUGCUACGAGAAUGAAAAACGGGAUUCGCAGCUAGAUAGGUAGCGGAAACGUUAUCACACCAUACUUUCGGCGUUGUUGGAAGCUUGUAAUUGAGUUCCCGAAGAAGGCACUGAAGCCAAUAAACCUCCAAAGCAGCUGAUGCUAAAGCUCGAUAUUCUGAAUCCGUGCUUGAACGAGCGACGGUCUUUUGCUUACGAGAAAUCCAAGAGAUCGGAUUGGAGCCAAGAAAGACAACAUAUGCAGAAGUGCUCUUUCGAUCAAGCUUGUCGCCACCCCAAUCAGCAUCUGAAAAAGCAACAAGUGAAGCUUGGCGAGAAGAGCGAAGCACGAGACCAUGAUCUAUUGUGCCGUGGAGGUAACGUAGAAUCCGUUUCAUGGCUUGCCAAUGAUGGAGGCAGGGAGAAUGCAUAAAUUGUGCAGCUUUGUUCACUGCCAUGGUUAUGUUGGGGCGAGUGAGUGCCAAAUAUUGAAGAGACCCAACAACCUGUCGAUAAAGCUUAGGAUCAUCAAAGGUAGAAGAAGUAGUGCCGGUGAGGUCGGCUUGCGGCGUUGAAAGAGUCGAGACCGACGAGGCAUCUUGCAUAUUCGUACGAUGGAGCAAAUAUUUGAUAUAUUUGGAUUGCGUGAGCUGCAAACCACUCGAGAACCACGCAACUUCAACACCCAAGAAAUAGGAUAGUGGUCCUAAAUCCUUGAGCGUAACAACCUUCCCAAGUUGAGUAAUAAACCAUUGUAACAGCGAAAAGGAUGAUCCUAUCAACACCAAAUCAUCAACAUAGACCAAGCAAUAUGCAUACUCGUCAUUACCAGAAUAUAUAAACAGCGAACUGUCAGCCUUGGAACCGUGAAAACCAAGCUAUUGUAAUGCAUUCGAAAGGCAAAAAUACCAAGCUCGUGGCACCUGCUUUAAACCAUAUAGCGAUUUCUUUAUAGCACAUACAAAAUCGGGUUUAGAAUGAUCAACAAAUCCCUGUGGUUGUUCCAUAAAAAUAGUUUUAUCAAGAGUCCCGUGAAGAAAGGCAUUCGAAACAUCAAGUUGCCGAAUGGGCCAAUGACGAUUGACGGCAAUGGAAAGAAUUAACCUUAUGGUGGCCGACUUUAUAACGGGGCUGAAAGUCUCAACGUAAUCAAGGCCUGGGCAUUGAUGAAACCCUUUUGCAACCAACCGCGUACGACAUCUAUCGAAGGAACCAUCUACUUUUGUUUUUACACGGUAUACCCACUUGCAACCAAUGAUAUUAGAUGCUCGAGAACGGGGAACAAGAUCCCAUGUGCCGUUUGAUAGAAGAGCAUCAAUUUCUUCUCCCAUUGCAGCACGCCAUACGUGCUGUUUUGCUGCUUCAGUGUAUGACGAAGGGGCUGGCAGUGUAGUGGACGCAGCAGCAUGAAAAACCUUUAGUUUAAGUGAGCCAGUAUGGAAGCGUAAAGUCAUUGAAUGACGCACGGUAGGUGCCUGAACAGUGGUAAGAGAAGCAUUGGAACUGCUAGAACCUAUCAGGAAUGUGAUAGAGUCAUUGGGAACAAUGGGAGCAGGUUGGGAGGACACGGUGGUGAUGGCAAGAGAUUGAUCGGCAGUCGGUGGGGGGUACUUGGGACAGUAGGGAGCUGCUGGUUGGGGCAUGGGGCUAUAGUCAGUGGGACGGCAGGUAAUGGAUUAGAAUCGGAGCGAUGGCCAAGAGAAAAAAUGGUUGUCGGGGAAGGUGGAGGACCGAGAACCGAUACGUGCCUAUCAUUGGACUUGAAUGGAAAAACCUGUUCAUCAAAAAUAACAUGGCGUGAGUAAAACACUUUAUUGAUGGACAAAGAUAAACAUUUAUAACCUUUGUGAAGAACACUGUAACCAAGAAAAACACAUUUGGCAAACCUAGGCUCAAGCUUAUUUUUGGUGUAUGGACGCAACCAGGGAUAGCAGCAACAACCGAAAAUUCUCAAUGACUUGUAAUCAGGGUCACGAUGAAAAAGGGCUUGGUAGGGUGAUUUAUGUUGUAAUUUUGGAGUUGGGAGACGGUUGAUAGUGUAUACAGCAGCAACAAAGGCAUGAUCCCAAAAUUUGGGAGGGACAGAGGCAUGAUGUAAAAAGGCGUGACCAGUUUUGGUUAUAUGACGGUGUUUUCUUUCGGCACAGCCAUUUUGUUCAGGGGUAUGAGGACAAGAGCUGCGUUGGAUUAUAGCUUUAGAGGCCAAAUAUUUUUCAAGGGCUUAGAAUUCCCCACCCCAAUCGGAUUGGAACUGCUUAAUAGGUAAACCAAAGUAUUUCUCAACAAUAGCACGAAAUUGAAUGAAGCAAUUAUAAACAUCCGAUUUACGACGAAGAAAAUAGAUCCAAGUAUGUUUGCUAUAAUGAUCAAAAAAACGCCACAUAAUAUAGAAAACCAUCACUAGAAGCAAUUGGAGAAGGACCCCACAAAUCCGAACAAACUAACUCUAAUGGUUGUUUUGCUUCAUAAGUAGAAUCCGAAAAAGACAAUUUGUGUGAUUUACUAACACAUCAAGUUUCACAAAUAGAUGAAUCAUGCUUAUUAGAAGCAGACAAUUUAUUGAAACUAAGAACUUUAUUGACAGUGUUUGAGCAAACAUGGCCUAGUCUAGCAUGCCAUGUAGACAACGAAACUGAAUGACAAGCAGGAGAUACUGGAUCAGUGGCUAAACGAUAUAAACCAUUCUCGAUGUACCCUCUAUGUAGAGUUUGCUUCGUCCGUCGAUCCUUAACCAUAAAAUAAUCAUGAAAAAAUUCAACAAAGACAUCAUUAGUGAGUGUAAACUGAGGAACAGACAAUAAAUUUAGGUUAGCCUCAAGAACAUGAAGAAUAUUAGACAAUUUGGAAGGAUGAGAAUUAAGAGUUAAGACAGACGAGCCAACACAAGAGAUAGGUAAGGUUUUACCAUUGUGAGAGUGACUUUAUCGGAACCAGUGUACUCUGAAUGAAUGCCCAAGUUUCCCAAUUCAGAUGUCAAAUGAUGAGUGGCACCGGUAUCAAUGAUCCAUGGCUUGGGAUUUGUUUGAGGAGACGAGCUAUAGUUUGCUGAAGGUUUGGGGUAGGACUCGGCAUAUCUUGGGUUGGGACACUGACGACUUGUGUGGCCACGUCCUUUGUAGUUGUAACAUGUUGAUCCUUGGGCGGGGAGGCAGCUGGGCCACGACUGGAAUAAUUGCCAUUGUGUUUACUGUUACGACCCCGUCCACGAUUAGCGGAAGCAGAAGGCUACCGACCGGCAAAGUUGGCAACGGCAGUAGGAUGAAGAGGUUCUUGAACAACUUUCAAUUGUAAUUCCUCAGAAAGUAAUAAGCCAAACAAAUCAUCAAAGGAUGUUGACUGUAGUUUUACCUCUAGAUUGCGAACGAAUGGUCGAUAAUCAGCACCAAGUCCUCGUAAAAUAUGAUCGACAAGAUCGUCUUCAGAAAUAGCUGCAUUUAGAGCCCCGAGUUGAUCAAAAAUCCAUUUCGCAUGAUCCAUGUAUAUGACGAUUGAAUCAUCGCCACGAGACAAGGCAUGAAGAGAGCCUUUAAGGGUCCGGAUUUGAGCCCGAGAUCCGGAAGUAAAAGUUUGAUGCAGCUUUGUCCAAGCUGCGAAUGCGGUAGUGGCUCCGAUUGCCUGAGAUAGCACGGACUCAGACAACGAGCCAAGGAUCCAGCUAAGAACCAUUUGGUCCUUAAGAAACCACAGCUCAUAGGCCGGGUUAGGAGCAUUGUCAACGGUCUUGGGAGGAGCUGCUGUGCCGUCGACAUGAUGCAUGAGUUUUUGGCUAUAUAAGAGAGGGGUCAUUUGUGUUUUCCACAGGAGGUAAUUAGAGGGAGUAAGCUUGAUGGUGAUUUGAUUUGGCAUGGAAGGUGGAGAGGAAACAGUCGAAUUGGCUAUGAGGAAAAAAAAAAGGAGAGGAGGCGGUGAUUGAAACCUUUUUACUGGCAGUUUGAUACCAUGAAAGAUAGUGAUUUUGGUUUGUAAAUUCAGCUCAAUUGUAUUCGACUAUUGAUAGCAAAUAUGAAAUAUAUACAAGAUUACAUCAGAGUGUUAUCUUCAGCUGUUCACAAUUUGAAUUUGAAUUUUAAGUAGAAUAAGAUCCUAAAGAAUAGGAGUGAUAACAAGUCUAGUUUGACUUGGUUAACUCUCAACAUGGAGUAGAUAAAUUCCAGUAAGGAAAAAAGGAGAGGCUGCUUCUAUUUUCAUCAAGUAGAGUCGGUUAGGAGAAGCGUAAUGCCAAGAGAAGAAACUGUAAGUCUCCCUACUGGUUUUCUUGAAUUUUAAAUGAAACUUAAUUAUCAAAUGGUCACGUAUAUAUACUUCCCAUCCAAUAGGAAAUUCGAUUGUGAGUUGUUGAAGAACCUAAGUAAUAUUUCUUAAGGAGAAAGAGGUAAGAAAAUUGGGUUCAUUCAUAGCAUUCAUGAGUUCAAGUAUAACGUUUGGGUUUUUAUAAAUGCUGGUUUUAGAGUAACUUUUUAUCAUGGAAAAUGGUUGUAUAUGCUUGAAGCUAGAGAAGAGAACAAGGGUGAAAGGAGUAUCAAAGGUGAAGACAAGUUAGUGGAUUGAAGUUUUGUGUUGAACCUAGUGUCGUGGGAAGCUUAUUAAGGUUAGUGUUCUCUUGAAUUUUAGCAUGCUUGUGCGAAAUAAAAUUUAAAUAUUUACCAGGCAUGAUUGUAAAUGUAAAUAAUAUGGAAAAGAAUGGCUUGCGAUAGUUUGUUGAUCAUUUAGAAAGAUUAGCAAAUGAAUUUGACUAGGCAAGUCAUAACCGAAUUAGUAAUAUAGUAUGGUUUAUUUUUGCUAAAUGAACAUGGCAAGAUAAUAUAGAAUAAUUUGAGAACCAUCUUGUAUGCUACUUCAUAAGUUACAAAAGAGUAUAGUUAAGGAGUUUAAUUUGUCAUUAUUUAAAGUAUUACAGAUAAAAAGAUAUUUCAAUUUAUAUCUUAGAAAGAAAUCCAUUAAUCCAUUAAUGCAUGGGAUCCAUUUAUUUUAGUUUUGAUUCUAAAUUUUUAUUUUUAUUAAUAUAAAUAAUUAUUAUUCAAAGAUAUACAAUUAUUCAUUUUUAUUUAUUUAAUAAUAUGUUUCUAUUCAUGUAAUAUAAAACAAUUAAGGUAUUUUAUAAUAUGAUACUUGUUUACUUAUAAAUUUUAAUAGUUUCAAUUAUAAAAACCAGCACAGUCUAAUUAAAUAUUAUCAGAUUUUAGAUCUUUUAAAUUUUUUUCUUUAACGUAUUUCAAUAUUUAUCAAUUUUAAAAUGAUGUACUUAUAUUGGUGUAAAACUCUAAUUUUAUUUAUUUUACCAUUUUUUUGUAAGGUUAAUAUUUUUACAAUCCAACCAUUCAAAUUAUUAAUAUAAUUUCAUUUAUCAUGUAAGGUUAGUAUGCUGGUUUUUGUCUCAAUUCAUAGGAUACUCUUGUAUACUUGGUUGUAUACUUAAUGAAAUUGCAUUGCUUGGUUGUCAACUACACAAUGACCUUGAAUCUCUUAUUAGGGUUUGGGAUUACUUUUAUAUUAAGGGUAGAUAAUUGGAAUUUUAGAUAAAAUUUAUAAAUUUAUAUUAUUUAUUAAAAAAUACAAAUUUAUAAAUUAAAAGAGUAUAAUUAAAGGGUUCAAAUUUACAGUUAAAAUUUAAAAAUGAUAAUCAUAACUUACAUAACUUACAUAAUUUACAUUGACAAAUAAUAAUGUUUUCUCAUAACAUUUAUAAUUAAUCAACUUACUUUCGAUUCAAUAGGUUUGGAGUGGAAAGAAUGUCAAUGACGAAGUUAAAUGGCUUUCCCAAGGGUCCAAAUAGAGUAGUAAAAAGAUAUAGUGUCUUCAUCAUCAAUGGAUUCAGGUUUCAUACAAAAUCUCGCAAAAGAUUGAGGAGGACUCGAAAUUGUGGAAUAGUUGUUAAUUCUUCAAUUACAAGUUAUGCUAGUGCUAGGACUGUAAUCCUGUUAAGGGAAAUGUGGAGUAUUACGUACUUCUUACUGACAUUAUUGAGUUGGAUUACUAUGGCAAACGGAAGGUUGUCUUAUUUCGAAUUGAUUAGGCUGAUGUUAAUACUGCUCGCGGAAUUAAAAAAGAUCAAUUUAGUUUUACAAUAGUGAACUACUCUCGAUUAAUUCACACUGGACAACAAUUGAUAGACGAGCCGUAUGUAUUUUCUUCUCAAGUGAAACAAGUUUUUUACUCGAAAGAUCCAACUGAUGAGGGUUGGUACGGUCCCUAGAGACUUGUUUGACAUGGGCAAUGUAAGUAGAGAUGACAUCGACGAAAGAUCAGAAACUUUGUCUUUUCUAGAACAAAACUUAAAUGAAACUAUCCCUAGUAUUAGUACACAAUUUCAAUGGGUUCGCCAUGAUGUGGAUGAAGAUGUUUACGAAUUAUGAUGUAGUAAGAUUUUACGAUUUUUUAAUUAUAUGUAGUAUUGUAAUUUAAAUCUUGAUCUUGUUAAAUAUUUCAUCUAUUUUAUAUGUACUAUUAUUGUUGUAAUUAGUUACUAAAAUUUCAACUAUUUUAUGUGUAUUGCAGAUAAAAAGCCUAAAAAAAGAUUGUGAGAUCUAUGUAUUGUUCAAAAUCCCCCAAAAUCCGGAAGAAACAAAUAGUGAAAAACAAUCUGCUAUUAGAUCUUCGAAUGUUUCGAAUACAGCUGACGAACCUACAGAAAUUCAAAGUAAUGUUAACUUUAAUUGACAGGCGUGUUGACUUCUAUUAUUGAUUUCUGUUUCAAAUUCUUAUAUUAUAAUAUACCAUUUUUUUCAACUAAAAGUGGUGGGACGUGCAAAACUUGAGGACGUACGCUGCUAAAAGAUUUAUACGAGUUAAAUUCUGUCGAACGUGUCAGAGUAGCUAGAAACAGUCUUGGUCAGCCUAUUGGAUCUGUAACGCCCCAAAAUUUUAAUUUUGGGUAUUGUAAAUGUGUGACACAAAUAUCUAUCAGCUUUAGUGGUUAAGUGCUUUGGGUGUGUGUGGGAGGUCCUAAGUUCAAGCCAUGACUUGGGCAAAUUUUAGUAUUUUUAUAAAUAAAGCCUUAACCUAGCCUAAAGGGCUUAAGUUUAAUAGUCGGUAAUAAAUAACAGAAUGGUCCUGCUGGUUUAGUGGUUAAGUGGAGUGUUUGAUUGAAUGAGGUCUUGAGUUUGAAUCCAUGCUGGAGCGUAGGCAUUAUUUUCGCGCAGUGAUGGACGAGUAUUUCGGCAGAGUGGGAUUCUGGAGUGGUUGUAGGUUAGUAUGAUUAGUGGAGGAAAUUAAGGGAUAAUGGGAGUAGUGGUGAGAUAAUUAAGGGAUUUUGGGAUUCUAUCAAACUCUUUUAGUUAAUUUCGGUUCAUCCAAAAUUCUAUUCUCUCUUCCCCAAAAUUUCUUCCAUCGUUCUGACGUUUAUUCACCCCUUUUCUACCGAAUUUUCAUUGUUUCCUCCCUCUUUUCUUUUGAUUUCUUUUAUGUCUCCAUCGUAAUCGAUGAUUGAACUCGCUCGAUUUGGUAAAUAUUCGUUUUGCCACUUUCUAUUUUUCCGUGGUUGGUUUUAUGAAAAAGGGUUGUUUUGGUUCUUUCGAAUUAGGUGAAAAUCAAGUAGCGGUAGGUGCUUGUGCAGAGAUUUGAACGUUUGGGUUUUCAGUUUGUUGCCAGUCUUGGAGUGCUUGGGAGCGUAUUUACAAUGAAACGAUACUAGGUGUGUACCCGAAACACAAAAAUAAGGGAUUCAGCGAAAAGUCGAACUUGCUUGCUGUUUGGACACCAGCAGUAGGCUAAAUUUGAUAAAUCACCAUAACUUGUGAAAAUUUAAUUAGAGGAUGAAAAAAUAUAAGACUAAAUAUAUUUGAGUGUGGUUUCUCAUGGAAGAAACGAAGUAAGCAAAAAACUUUUAUAUUAUGAGAUAUUUGAAUUUUAGUGAGACAGGGUCAGAAUGAUUUUAAAAUCCCCUGUCCCGAUUUUGGAAAAUUAUUAAAAAUUUUAUAAAAAUAAUUGUGGGUUAGAAUUUAUAUGUUUAAAAUCAUAAAUGAAUCUACUUUCAAGAUAAACAAACGGGAACAUCAUCCGAAUUCUAUACGAGAAGAUAAUUAAUUUUUAGUACAGAAAGAUCAAAACUGUCAGACAGCAGAACAGGGGAAAUUUUAAAGAAUAAAAUGUACUUAUUCGCUAAAACCAAAAAUUCUUAAAAUUUUAUGGUAAGAAGAUAUGUGAGUCUGUUUUUAGGGAAAUUUUUUGGAUCUUAAUUCAGAAUUCUGUAGCUUAAGAUACAAAUAAUUUAGUAAUAGUGACUCAAGUAGACAGCUUUGAAGGAUCAUAUAAGUAAAUAGUGGAAACACAUAUGAAUAAUUAACUAGCACGGGUUACAUUAAAAUGGAUCACGAGGCCAAGGCCAAUUUGGGUCAUGUGGGCCACACAGGCGUGUGGGCCCACACGGGCGAACAUCAUGGACUUGUAGGCCCAUUUUCACUAUUUGACUAAUAAGGUUGCACGAGUCGCCCAAGUCGACUGUGAACCUAUUGUAGGGUCGAUAAGCUCACUUAGACCCCUAAUUGACUGAAAUGAUUAUAUGACUGAUAUGAUUAAGCCUAAUGAUGUCCCACUGAUUUGAUACCGUAUGCCCUGUUUACAUGCAUGAUAUUAUGUUAUAGCAUGUCAUAUAUGUAUAUUGCAUUGCAUUUGGUUAGGGGAUUAUAAUGUUUGGAGGAAGUGUACUGAAAGGCCUCGAGCCUAACUUACUAGCAGCUCAACUGCAAACUACUGUCUAGUGUCGCAUUCGGUACUACUUGGAGUGUAGGGAUGGGUGGGUUGAUUAUAUCCCUACAUAGAGUGUAGGGUUGGACAGGGAUUGUGUGUAGAGGCUGGAUGGGUAGGAUUUUUGUGACUGCAUAUCUGUUACUGCUACUGAUACUGUGAUGGGCUAAAGCCCUACUUCAUGACUGUUUUUGUAUUGGGAUGGGCUAAGGCCCAAACUGGACUAAUAUUGAUACUGAAAAGGGCUUAAGCCCAGACUGUGACUAUUUGUUUCCUGUCUGUACAUUUGUAUGGGGAUUACACACUAAGUUUACGUAAACUCACCCCUUCUGUUUAAUCUGUUCAGGUAAUCCCCAGAUAUAGGCGGAUUGGUGCGGCGGAGAACUCAGUGGUGGCCACACGACUUCAUUUACACUGUUUAUUACCUAUUUAUGAUUUUACUUUUAUUUGGGAGUAUUUUGCUGUAAUUAUGGCCUUUACAAAUUUUGGUUUAAAUUUGGGUUUUAUACGGUUUUAUGAUUUAAAUCUGCUAGUGUUAGGUAAAACUCAGGUUUUCAAAUGAAAUUAAUGUUUUAUCAAAAAUACCACGAAUACGCAAACUAUUUAAAAGCUUCCGCAAUAAAAUAACGUUUUGAAAUUGAAUAACGAUUUGUAAAUGAAUAAUGUUUUGGAAACGAACAACAUGAUUUGAAAUUAACAUAAGGUAAUGAAAAAAAUGGUUAAAUAGAAAAGAGAAUUUAGUGACGACAUAUUUUUCGAAAAACACUACCCUGUGACAUUGUCAAAUUCGGCCAUAAUGUCUAGGCGGGGUUUGGGGUGUUACAGGAUCAGAAGCUCGACUUUUAACAGGAUACUUAGGCAUUGUAGCAUAAAAUGCCAAUCUGUUUCCUAUCAACUACGAGUAAGGGCAUCAUAUGCCUGAUACUAACAAAAAUAAGCUAUCGAUAAUAUUAAGGUAAUAACAUGAAUGUAAUUUAUAAUACUUUGGUUUAAGUUUCAUUUAUAUUUACUUUCUAAAUUUGUAUUUUUUGCAGGAGAGAUUUGCUUUAGAGGUCUCAGAUAAUUAUGUGAAGAAGGCAUUAGGAAAAAAAUGGAGAGACCAUAAAAGUUCUUUAAAGAAGGAAUAUUUUAAGAAAAAUAUAAGCCUUGAAGAGAAAUUGCAAAAUGUCCCGCCAGGAAUGUUGAGGUACCAAUGGGAAGACGCAGUUAGAUUUUGGAAUUCAAAGAAAGGAGAGGUAUUGCGUACUUCCAAACUCUUAUAAUUAUUUUGGUUUAUAGUAUUUACUAUAUACGUAAUAAUAAUUUCAUAAUGUAGGAUCGUGAGCGAGUUGGAACUACAAGUAGGCAAAAACAAAAAUUCACGCACACAGCUAGGUCGAAAAGUUUUGCUUGCGUAGCUGAGACCGAGGUAUUUUGAAUUUAUGAAUUGUGUCAAAUAUUAAUUACUUUCUACUAAAUAAUAUUUUUACUACUAUACUGUAGGAACUGUCAUCUGGUCAAAAAGUUGGACGCCUUCAGCUUUUUGACAUUACACAUAGAAAGAAAGAUGGAUCUCCUAUGACUACUGAAACUGCAGAAAUUAUGGUAUAUUUACUUAAUAAAAUUUAAAUUAUUUUAAAUAUUUAUCAUGUUUAAUUAUAAUGGUUUAAUUCGUCGUUUGUAAUGCAAAUAAUGUUAAGUUAUGUUGCAUUUGUUUUUAUUAUAUAUUUCAUUUCUAACUAUUUGAUUGAUUUAUUAGGAGAAACUAAAGGAUAAAAAGGCGAAGUAUGAAGCGAUCGCUUGGAGUGAUAGUUCUGUUAAUCUUGACGACAUUGAUAACCAAAUUAUUUUUGAAGUUUUGGGUCCUGAAAUGUAACACCCCUAACCCGUAUCUAUCGCAAGAAUAGGGUUAUAGAGCAUUACCAGAGUUUACUAAUUAAUUUUUAGACUUUUCUUUUCAUCAAGCAUUCAUAUUUAUAACCAAUCAAAAUCAAAACAUUAAUGAGCUAACAUUAACCAAUUUCACUUGUACAUGCCAUUGUAACCAAAAUCAAAUCAUCCAAAAUUAUCGAUAGAACCAAUGGAUAAUGUGAUAUAUCUCCAACAAGCUUCCAACUCAAUCGAGCUUCUGAUAAUCAUUUCAAUGCAUCAAAUAAUUAUACAUAUUACCAAUAAUAAUUAAAUUCCAAUAAGAAAACACACAUACAUAUAUAUAAUAUUCAUUACCAAAUAACAUUCACUUCAAUUAAAAUUAUACAGAAUAUAGUUCAUACGAACUUACCAGGCUAAAUUGCAGAAAUACCAAAAUUCAGGGACAUUUUGGAAAUUUUCUAUUUUUCUCAAAUUUCCACCCAAUCUUGAUAUAAAUUAAUAUUUCAUUAAAUUUACUAAUUUAAAUAAUAAAACAAUUCAUUUCAUGCAAUUUGGUCACUUUUUGACAUUUUUACAAAUUUACCCUUAAAGUUUUACUUUUAUUCAAUUUAGUCCCCGAGCCUAAAACGUGCAAAUUAUCCAUGCUAGCUGAAUCUUCAUAUAUAUAUUUUCCUCCUCCUCCUCCUCUCCAUUCCACAUCCUUAAUUUAUAUAAUAUGCUUAUAUGUAACAUUAUCUAUGAUUUUACUAUUUACCUGUAAAUUUAUUCAAUACUGUCCAUUUGAGUCAUAGCCACUAAAUUUUUUUUAUCUUGAAGUACAUAACUCCAAAUUAGGAUCCGCUAACUUUUCCUAAAACUAGACUCACAUAUAUUCUUACCAUAAAAUUUUCAUAAUUUUUGGUUUAUCCAAUAAGUACAGUUUAUUCUUUAAAGUCACCUCUAUUCUGCUGUCUGACAAUUCCGACCCUUCUUCACUAAAACUUAAAUAUCUCCUUGUACAGAAUUUGGAUGAUAUCCCCGUUUGUUUCUAUUGAAAAUAUACUCUUUAAGGAUUUUAUACAUAUAAAUUAUAACCCAUAUUAUUUUUUUACAAUUAUUUUAUGAUUUUCCUAAGUCAGAACAGGGGAACACGAAAUCAUUCUGACAUUGUCUCACAAAAUCUAUUAUAUCUCAUGAUUUACAAUUCCAUUACUUACACUGUUUCUUCUAUGAGAAACUAGACUCAGCGCUUUAAUUCUAUAUUUUGUUCAUCCUCUAAUUUCAUUUCCACAAUUUAUGGUGAUUUUUCAAAGUUAACCUACUGCUGCUGUCCAAAACUGUUUUAGUGCAAAAUGUUAAUUACUAAGUUUAUAACUUCCUUAUUCCCUUUCUCUAUAAUAUUUCCCAUCACUUUCACUUAUUUAUCUUCACUAAUAUAUCAAUAACAUAAGAAUUUAUAUAAUAAAACUCUACUAUAACUUCUUUUCCAUGCUAUUUCAAUAAUAUCAAACCUAAAAAUAUAUUGAAAUCUCAAUGUUCUUACCUUGUCCUACUGAUUUCAACCUUUAACUUGAUUUUCUCUCUCCUCCAGCUUCAAUUUCUUGAAUCCAACUUGAUAUUUUAGCUCCCCAUAGUCUCUUUGUUAUCUUUCUCUCUUGAUGGCUAUGGAAAUUCUUUUGAUUUCUAAGUGAAAAUGGUGAAUUUUUUUGGUGGAAGGACCAAAUUAUAAAGAAAGCAAAAUUUUCUUUCUUCUCUUCUCUUCUAACGUGAAUUGCAUGGAAAAGAUGGUGGGUUGGUUCCUUUUCAUCUUUCUUUCCACUUAUAUAUACUAAAUAAUAAAAUAAUAAAAUAUCAUUUAAAAAAUCAAAUUAAAAUAUUAAUAAACUAAUAUUUAUUUAUUUAAUUAAACUAAAAUAUCUCCAACAUCAUCAUUAUCUUCUAGAUUUCUCUCUCUUCUAAAUGACCAUUUUGCCCUUUAUGAUCUUUUCAAAUUCCAUCAUUGAGUCAUUACUUAAUUUGGUAAGAUUACGAUUUAGUCCCUCAUAAUUCUUCAUCUAUUCAAUUUGGUCCUAAUUCAUCCAUUUUCCUUAGUUUCUAGAUUAUUCCAACCUUAAAAUAUUUGCACUAUUGGUCCUUCAACUUUUUCUUAUUUGCACUUUAACCCCUCAAAUUUUGAGUAUUUACCCUUGGGUAACAAAACUUUUCUCACUUUUGCGAUUUAAUCCUUUCUUGAAUUAAUAUGUCAUAAUUUACUUCUUAAUGUUGACAUAACUCAAAAUUACCCUUUUUAUCACUUUAUUUCCUUAUUUUACUAUAUCAAGAAUAUUAUCUUACUUUUUUACUGUAGUAAUUUUCGGGGUAUUACAUGAAAGGUAUGGUUGGGUUCGAUUUCAAGGAUCUUUUGUUAACCUAACCCAAUAUUUUGGAUCCAGCUCGCAGCAAUACAUGCCUUCGGGGAGUCAGGCUCAAGCUGAAGUUCAGAGGUUAAGAGACCAGAUGGCUUAGAUGAAAGCGAGCAGAGUUGAGCAAAUUGCUCAACUUAAAGCAGAAGCAGCAUCGAGAGAAGUAGAGGCUCAAAGAAAAUAUGAAGAACUCCAGCUACAACUUAAAGCGGAGGAAACAACGAGGGAAGCAGAGCAAGGCAGAAAAUAUGACGCACUCCAGUUAUAGCUUCAGAAUAUGAUGAAGAUGUUUCAGCAGUCGCAUAAUCCGCCAUCUUAGACGUUUGUUUUCUUAUUGUACGAAUAUUUUAACAUUAUAACUUUAGAAAAUAAUAAAUUUUGUUAUUUCAUUUAUUAAUUUAUAUCAUUUAUCUUUUCAUUGGGAUUUGAAGUAUCAUUUAGAUUUGCAGUUUGGUUGGAUAUGAUGUUACAGGAAAUUAUGUUGACAAUUCGGGUGCUAUAUAAAUGAAAAUGAGAUGUUAAAAAUCUGUUAAAGUUAGUGGUGUUUUCUCCACAAACGCCGCUAAAGAACAUGACCUUUUACAGUGUUUUUUAGUAAAAUCGCCGCUAAAGGUCAAGUUCUUUAGUGGUGUUUUUGGGGAAGCGCCGCUAAAAGUCAUGUUCUAUAGCGGCGUUUGUGGGAAAGCACCGCUAAAGGUCAUGUUCUAUAACGGCGUUUUUCUGCAUAAACGCCGCAAAAUUUAGCGGCGUUAUCUAUAGCAGCGUAUUUUGUGGCGCAUGUAAAAAUGCUACAAGUAGUUUAUAAGCACGGCUAUAGACCUAAAAAAAUGCCGCUAAAAACCUAUUUUGCUGUAGUGAUUCCAAGCAACUUUAAUAAAAUUGAUUGCAUCCAAUACAUUAAUCUUUUCAGGAUCUAUUUCUCCUUUCUCGGAACGUUCCAAGAAGCUAGAAUAAAAGCGAUGUCGAUAAUAAAUCUUAACUGCUCUAAUACUUUUAGCAUCACAUGAUUGAAUUUUUUAUGAUGAAUUUAGAGGCAAAAGGAAUAAUUCAACGUUUCUCAAGCCUUUAAUAACCUUGGGAUGGGCUGGGCAAUUGUCUACUGUAAGCAACAUCUUUCUGCUAGUCAUUCUAGCAUCAAACUAGCGAACAAGAUCUUGAAAAUUUAAUCCAAUCAUCCAUUUUUUAUUGGCUCGAUAAUGACAGUUAAGAUUGUCAAUAUUCACAUGUUUAAAACAUCUAGGAUUAGCAAACGUAACAAUAACCCAAAAAGACACUUUAUUUGAACCAUCCCCAUUGCAACCACAGCAGUAAGUCUUUCCUUCUCUUUUUUUAGUCCUUCUAAUUGCUUUGUAGCCAGUGAAUGAUCUGCUUGCAAACGAUAAAAUAAGCCUAUUUCAUUCAUAUUAUAGAUAUCCUUCCAAUCAAUUUUUUUAAUUUAGCUCUUAUUUCAGGUAAAGCAUCUUUAAAAUUCUCCUUAAUAACUUGACCACUUUCACCAAAUCUUCAAUAAGACUUAAUCUCAUGUCUUGCCUUGAACCGUUCUAGCCAACCGAUUGAGAAGUAAAAUUUGGAAUUUGCAUCACCUUACAUUUUCUAUAGAAACAUUUUUGCUUUAGUUUGAAUCAUUUCUCCAGUCAUGUUUACUUUCUCUUGAUAUUGAAGAAACCACUCAUACAAUACCUUCUCUAAUUCAGGAUAUUUGGUUGAUUUGUGCAUUUUAACAUUGCUAUUCUUUAUCUCUUUCGACAAAUAUUCAGAUGACUUUUUAAAAGUAUUAGAUAUUGUUGAUUGGCCAACAGAGAGAUCAAAUGUUUGUUGAACCCACUGUUGCAAAUAUUUUUGACUUGAAGAGGGAUGUUCAUUUUUGUACUCACAUAAUGCUUUUCUCAUCUCAUCUGUCAAUGUAGACUUUUCUACACCUUUCAAAUGGGAAGCCAUGAAAGAAAAGAUUAUAUGAAUUACAUUAUUUUGAUAGUACAUAUGUUUAUUUAUAAUAAAAUUUAUAAUCUAUCCAGUGAAUAUAUACGUAUUGGAUUUUGAAACCAUUAACUAUUUUUUUCUUUUUGUUUACAUGAACCAAUUAAUUAACUCUCUUUUUUUGUUAUAAUUAACUUUGAUUUAUUGCACCUAAAUGCAUAUUGGAUUUUGAUUAAAAAAAACACUCAUGCAUAAAGUAUGAAAUAUUCUCUAAAAUAAUAAAUGUUAAUUUAUCGAUAAAUUAAUAAAAUAUUUAUUUAUUGAUAAACUAAUAACCUCAAUAAAAUAAUAAUUUUUUCAAGUCUCAAGGAUAUUAUUUUAUAGAAGUUUUACUGUAUGUGUUUUGGGUUAGCAAAACUGUGAAUAAGUGUUUUUUUUUUAACUGAAUUUAUAUUCCAAAUCCAAAAGAAAUAUCAUCUGAUGCAUUGUAAUCAUAGUGUAGGCUUCUUCUUUUUUCAUAUAUGUGAGUUAAAAAAAUUAUUUUGCAGACUGUAUGGUUGUAUAAUUAUUUAGCAAAGUAGGCAAAAUCGGCAGGUGAAGUGUCCGACUUCAAAAACCGACGCCCCUAGAAUCCGACUUCAGUGAAGCAAGCAGGAACAACUUGAAUCUUCCACUUUGGGCAAAGAAAGAUGAAAUGCUCAAAUAUAAAAUGGAGUAAUAUCAUGAUAUUCCCUGAAUGUUUAUCAAAAUUUCUAUAGUCUAUCCAGUUUAAAAUUUAUCAAAAUUUCGAUAUGAUCUCUCCACUUGCAAAUUAUAUUUUAAAAUAGUAUGUUGUUUUCUAAAUUAAAAAAAUAAAAAAUUAAAUUAAAAAAAUAUUAUAGGAAUUAAAAAAUAUGAAAAUAUUGAAAUACAAUUACUUUUAAAAUAUGGGAAUUUAUAAUUUACUAGUUAAAGAAAUUAUAGUAACAAUCUUAAAUUAAAACUUAUACGUUGCUUUUAAACUUAAAAAGUAGUUUUAAUAUUGGUAUAUUUUUACGAAUAACAAAAAUUACAAAAUUAUAAUUCAACUCCCAAAUUUUUAAUAUUUUAAAAGAUAGCAGUAUACUAUUUCUUAAAAAAUGAAUAAUCACUUGCUAGAAAAAUUUGAAGAUGAAUAAAGUAAUAAACUUUAAUAUUUUGAAAUACCUAUUUAUUAAUAUUGAAAAAUAACAUCCUAUUUUUAAAUAUAAUUUUAAAGUGGUGGAUUAUAUUGAAAAUUUUAUAUACAUUCACAGGUCAUUUAUGAUGUAAUGUGAACUGUCAUCAUUUUCUAAGGGCGGCAUCUCAUUUGAAAGUGAUUCUUCAAUCUAAAAAUGGAAUCAAAUUUUUAAUAUAGUCCAUCCAAUUUAAAAUUAUAAUUCUGUAAUUUUUAUUAUUACUAAAAAAUUACCGAUACUAAAACUACUUUGUAAGUUUAAAGUAACAUAUAGGUUUCAGUUUAAAAUUGUAACUAUAAUUUCUUUAACUACUAAAAUUUAAAUUCCGAUAGUUUAAAAGUAAUUGUAUUUCAAUAUUUUAUUUUUUUAAUUCUUAUAAUAAUUUGAAUUUAAAUUUUUAGUUUUUUUAAUUUAGAAAAUAACAUACUAUUUUAAAAUAUAAUUUGUAAGCGGACCAUAUCAAAUUUUGAUAAAUUUUAAAUAAACAAAAAAAAAUCAUUAUUUUUUAAAUAAAAAUCAUUAUUUUGUCUCAAUUUUAAAUUAUUAUUGUAAAUUUUACUGCUAACGUUUUUAUCUCAUUUCAACCAAAAUAUAGUGUAUAAUAUUUAUAAUAGAUCAUCUGUAAUUCUGAGUGACUUUUAGAUUAAAUAUAGUUAAAAUAUUUUUUAUAUUAAACUCUUUUUAGUUUAUAAGAUUAAAUAUAGAUAAAAUAAUAUUUUUAUAUUUUUUAUUCUAUUUUAAAUGAAUUGAUUAAUUUUAUUUAUUUAUUGCUUAUUUUUUUUCUUAUGAAAUAUUUUUGUUUAUUUUUUGUUUUUGUUAAUUGCCUUUAUUUUCUUACCGUUAUCAAAUAAAAAGAUAGAAACUAAAUAAUAAAGAAAAUGGGAGAGUAAAGAGAAUAUAUUUUAUUGAUCAAUUGGAAUUUUUACAAUGCUUCUCCAAAGUCUCUAUUAAUAGGCAUAAGAAGUAUAAAUGAAGUAGAGAUCUAAUUUUAAUGACUAUUAGAAUUUAAAGUACAUCAAAGCUUAUCUUGAUCUUGAUGGACAUCCACUUGAUAAGAUAUUCAUAACACUCCCUCUUAUUAUGUCCAUUGGUUGAUAAUGUGUCUCGUUAAAACCUUACUAAGAUAAAAACUUUGUAGGAAACAAAUUCCUGGUGAAGGAAAAAGAGUACACAUAUCUAUAAUACGCAUAAUAAUGCUGCCUUGUUAAAAAACUUACUAGGAAAACCUAAUGGGACAAAACCUCGGUUAAGGGAAAAGUAGUACAGCGUGUACUUACUCCCCCUCAUGAAAACAUCACAUACUUUCUCAUAUUCUACGUAUUCAAUCUUGAAUACUAGUUUUUCAAAUGACUAUUUGAAUGUAUUUGCUAAGCAUUUAUAUCACCAUUCUUUUGAAAGUCAUGACUGAGGGAAAUUUUGGGGGAAAUACAUUUUGAUCUCUUUAGGAGUUUCAACAAUAAUCAUAGCAAAAUUUAAUCAUGAUUCUUCUAUAAAAGUACAAAUAAGUAUUUUGGAUCAUUUUAUAAUCCUCCUUCAACUACUAUUCAAUAUGUCAAAUUUACCAAAUAUGUUCAAAUUAUUUCAAUUCAUAUAAAUGAAUAAUUUCCUGAGAAUUUCAAUAUGCUUCUGCCAUACUAAAUCCUUCAAGGAUUUUAAUAUCACCUUUACUAUAUAGUGAUUCAUAAAAAGUUGUAACAACAACCAUUAGACGGAAGUUAAAUAUUUUAUGAACUGUUAGUUUAAUAAUAUAUCUAAAGGUUAUUGCAUCCACCACAAAAAAAUCUUAUAUCCUUUCAUAAUCAAUAUCAAGGCUUAGCGAAAAACUUCAUAUUUUUAUUCCGCUUUUGCAAAACUACUUCAUUUGUACCCUCACUAGCUUUAUACCUUAAAGUAUUUGGACUAUCGAUAAAAAAAACUCCACAAAUUUAAUUGUACUUGAGUUUGUGUCUUUCUGUUUUGAACAAUCUAUUCCAUAUCUAUAUUUCUUAAUAAAUUUAUUCAAGAUUCUCUUUUUAUUUCAUGAUUUCAACAAUAAUAUUGCAUGCAAAACCAUUAUCGACCACUUUUAUUAUUGGUUCGACAUUUUCUUAAAUUGACAUAACUUAUCAAAAUCUCUAAUUUUCACUAUUUUAAUCUUCAGUUUCAGGUACCUGAAUCUGGUCUGAAAGUUUACUUAUUAGUUAUGUCUUGGGUCUCUUUUGGAGCACCCAUCUUCACUAUAUGACCAUCUAGAUUUAUCAUGUUCUUUUAUGAGAAUUUUUAUAUUUAAAACUUGUAAUGAGUUAUCCUUGUCGAACUUCUGGUUCAAAUAACUCUCUCCCUAACUCAUUACAAGUUAUUAUCUCUCUUCCCCUAAUGUCAGGAAAACUAUCGAAUCAAAAUAGUAAUCACAAAUCAUUUCAUAAUUGACUCUUCAAUACAUUCAAAAGAUCUAAUAAUACAUUGAGACUUGUAAUUAAUAUAUAUUCCCAACUUUCUUUGAGGAUUCACUCAUAUUUGUGUGUUGUGAUGGAGCAAUUAGAACAUAUAUACAUAUACAAAAAUUCAAAGAUGAGAAAUAUUUAGCUCUUGACAAAAAAACCAAUUGUAAUGGGGAAUAUUUAUAACUUAUUGGCUUGACGCGUACAACACAUAAAUCAACAUAAUCUGAUGUUGAAAUAGGAAGUUUAGUUCUCAUAAGUAAUGGUUUAAAUAUUAAUCAAAUGCGUUCAAUCAAUAAUUUUUCUAAACUGUUAUGCGCAAAAAUAACAAGCUUAACACCCCAAACCCGACCUAGACGUUAUGGCCAUAUCUGGUGUGCCACAUCGAAGUGUCUCUAAAAAAUUUGGCUUGUUGACAAACUUGUUUCUUAUUUUCGGAAACCUCUUUUUAAUAUCUAACGGGGCAUUUAUUCAUAUGCUUACCUUGUUAACUGCUUCUUGUUGUAUUAAGUUGAUUUAAAACGCGGAAGCAUUUCUAAAACUCUAACAUUUAAAGCUCGUGUCUUUGAAAAUAGUAAUCAAUUUGAAAAUCCAUUUUCAAAUAAUUAGCAGUAUAAAAUAUGAAAGUAAAAACACAAUUAAAAUUUAAAACCAAAUAAAAGGUCUUAUUACAAAAACAAAACCCAACUUAUUAAUUAAAAUAAAAAUAAAAGAUAAAAUGAACAGCAGUGAUUGGGUGGCCACCUCCGAGUCCCUCGCUGCACCAAACCGCCUAUGGCUGAGGAUUACCUACACAAUUAGAAAAGAGGGUGAGUUUACGAAAACUCAGUGUGUAAUCCUCUACCAAACAAUUAGCAUACAACAUGCAGAAUCAGUUCCGGCUUGAGCCUUAUACAGUAGUAGUGUGUGGGCCAUAACCCAAUACAGUAACAGAGUGUGGCCCUUAGCCCAAUACAGUAACAGUGCAAAUGCAGUAAUGCAACCCAUCCCAAUCCAGCCAACACACCACUCCGUACCACCAACACACCAUGUGGGGAUAAAAUCGACCCACCCAGCUAACACACCAGUAUCGCAGCAGAGCUACCAGUAAUAGUAACACAACGAAGCUGCUAGUAACAGUAUUUAUAGCAAAGUCACCAGUACAAUAUACUUCCCCUAUAUCAAAAUCCUAACCCUAUGUAGUAUGUCAUGUCAUAGAUCAUACGUGUAUGCAAUAUGUCAUACUCAGUAACAGUCAUAUAAAUAUCAUAAAGCAAAACGGUCUGACAUAGCAUACGGCCAUAACAGUCAUUUCAUCUCUUAAGGGUAUAACGAUCAUUUUAUCCUAUAGGGGUAUUUCAGUUAUUUUACCUAUCGAGGGUAUUUUAGUAAUUUUACCCUUCGAGGGUAUUUCGAUUAUUUUACCUAUCGAGGGUAUUUUAAUAAUUUUACCCAUCGAGGGUAUUUCGAUAAUUUUACCCAUCGAGGGCAUUUCGAUAAUUUUACCCAUUAAGGGUAUUUUAGUCAUUUGCCCACGAAUAGCACGUAGGGCUCACGACUCGAGCGAUCGCAUGCCCAUGUAGUCUCAAACGCCGUGUUCACGGCUUUUCAAGUUUUACCGAUUUGCAGUUGAGUAAGGGUGUGAUUACACACCUUUUCACGAAAGCUAGCGAAACACCUUUUGGCACCAACCUACAUUGAUUUGAAUAUUCGGUCAGCCCUUCAAUAACCAAUAUUUUCAAGUACUUAAACCACACUUAAACAAUCAUCACCUACCACGAUUAUAAAAAAUAUGGCCUACUCUUCUAAGAUUCUUAGCCAAGACACGAUUCCAUGUUCUUGAUUAUUAUCUGUGCAAGCAGCAAUUUUUAUGAAACAACCAUGGUUACUCGAAUAUGAUUUAAGAAAAAUCCAACACCAAAAUCACAACAUUUUUGGCCUACCAACCAACUUACCCCAACGAUCAAACGGUUGGUGAAGGGAAGAUUUGGAACGCCUCCACACACUAGAGAAUCCUCUUUUCUCUUCUCGAGAUUUUAACACCCGAAAUUGAUGAUGAUAAAAUUGGUUAGAAAAGCUUAGGUAUAUUCAACCAAGCACAAUUGAGAAAGGAUGGUAACUAAAAGUACACAAAAGAGCCUUGAAGAAAUCGGUUGGGAUGGGGAGAGUGGGAAGCAGAGAAGAAGAAGAUGGUGAGUAGGUUCGACUUUGAAAGAAAAUAGAAGAAUUGAGGGAAGAGAGAAGAGAAGUGCAUGCACCACUGUUAGAAAAGUAGAGAAAACAGAAUAUGGUGUUCGGCAGAGAAAGAAAAAUGAGACCAAAAAGAAAGUUACCUAUUCGGAAAAUGAAGGAAGGAGGAGAAGUACUGGAAAUUUUGAUCACUUCAAUAGCUAAAACGCAAACCCGAAAGGAACCCCGAAUGGUAGAAAAAUCCCAAAGAACAUUCGGCACCUUGCUUUCAACCCUCUCAAAAGUGAACAAAGAAUUGCCUUGUGCCGAAAAUGCUCCAUUCCUUUCCCCUUAGCCAAAUUUCACUAAGCCUUAGAGUCCCAAUCGGCCAUAACACCCUACCAACCUCUCAGUUACACAACACGCCACCUUGCCACUAGACCACAAGUUAUUUUUGUGUCAUAAAAUAGACACUAAUAUUUAUAAGGCCUAAACGCCACUGUCCAGAUUCAAUUAAGAGCAAAACCAAAAAUUUUGCAGAAGCCAAGACUUGAACCCCCCGACUUCUCAAACACUUCCAAACACUCCUAAAUCACUUAACCACUAAAGCAGACAUUCAUUUAUGUCACUUUCAUACACAACUAAAUAUUUAUGUGCAGUCUUCUAACUGUUCCCUUGUUCAAAACCUAUUUCUUCUAGGCCCAAAAUUUGAGGUGUUACAUGUGUUUUAGCCCUAGCAGCUUCAAAGUUCUGUGUUGCGACAUGGGCCUUCUUGUGUCGCAACACAGUUGUUGUCUCUUGUGCUCCUUGCCCUGAAAUAGCACCAUACACACUCAAAUGGCCUACUAGUUAUUCCCGAGGCCUAGUUGGCCUAAUGGGUCGUCAAAACACUAAAAACAUGCUUAAAAAUGCUUAUUUUGUAAUAAUUUGAAUCUAAGCUACGAAAUAGGAAAAUGCAAUAAAAGAAUAUAAAAUACCUAGAAAAUAAGCGUUAAUUUCCAAAUAUUACUUAAUUUUCCACUGUAAUUUGUGGCAAAUCAAUAUUUUAUGAACUCACUAAACAAGGUUACAAAGACCCUUUAAAUAGGAUAAUUUUGGAGUGUUAAUAUGACUAAAAUGUCUUAGAUUAGCCCGAGUUUAAUUGGGGAAAGAUACUAGAUUUUAACUGGGGGAAAAGACCUGAUUUAUGUGCGAACACGAAGCCACGUCAUGACGUCGUUUAUUGGUUCAUCGUACUUCGGAUCCAAACUCUUGUUGAUUUUCAAGAUUUAAUUCCAAAAAAUUGUUAUCGAUGAUACAUUGGUCAUACGAAUCAAAAUUGGAGACAUCAUGUACGACCUCUUCCAAUGGAGUACCCACUUGAGAUUUUUUCAGAAAAACUCCUCUAAUUGAUCCAACCAUUGUAGGAUUCUCUUUGAUUUGGCUUGGAAUUCUCACUCAUUGCUUUCCUAUUCCGACGCAUAAUCAUAUGAAUCAUAAGGAUUUUCGUCUAACUAUUCAGAUGUUCCCAAUUGUUGCUCAUCUAUCUUUUCCAACAAAGUUAUUGUUUCGUUUCUUCGUUGGUAGCAUAAGCACUUUUUGGUUCUCCAUAAUCCCCCGUUGUUUCUAUACUCCUUCCUUAUAUACUUCAUCUUCAUCCUAAGGGUUCAUCGAACAUCUAAUCCUCUCAGAUAUAUACUUGUUCGGCUUAGGUGGGAGUUCGUUAUAACACUCAGAUUACUCAUCUUUAUAAUUACAAAUCCAUUAGUUUGUCAAAUCUCCGUACAACCAACUCAAUUUGGAUUGCUCAUACACUGACCUAUAAAUAUCAAUGUUCAUAAUUAAAUCUGAUAAUCAACAAAGUAAAAAAAAUAUAUCAAAAUAAAAAUAUUUACUUAACUAAAAAAAUUCAAAAUAAUUAUUUUUUUUCAAAAAAUAAUUAAAUUAAAUUAAAUUAAAUUAAAUUAAAGUUAGAACACUAUCAAGCUAGUUCGUCUUUCGAUUAAUAUUAUUUUACAGUAAUCAACCUAAUAAAAAUUUCACCAUCGCAAUCCCCGACAACGACUUCAACAACUUUAUUGCCUAUAAAUGUGUUAUCGUUUAUAGUAAAAAUAGCACACCAAUAUAUAUAAUUAGAAUGGCGGUGUUCGCAAACGUAUGAGUCAAAUUAUAAUAAAGUAUUGUGUUACAACGGCACACUGGUAAGUAUUCUGAGGAUCGUAUCCAAGGGAUUGCAGAUUGGAGAAACUAAUAUUAAAUUAAUUAUAGAAAAUAAUUACUAAUCUAAUCGAGUCACGAAUUAGAAGUGUGAACCCAAAUUAAUAUUUUAAUUAAACUAAUUAAAUUAACUAACCUAAAUUAACCUCAUGGAUUUUCUUAUCCCUAGUGUCGACAAUGCGAGCCCCUAGUUUAUGAUCAAUUAAAUCUCUAAGUAUCUAAUUAAAUAAUUAAUUAUCCUAGAUUGAGUUAUUUAUCACAUUUAGCUAAGAAUACCCUCCCUAUUCAUUUUCACACCACCUAAGUCAUCCUUCCAGUCUCUUCCUAAGUAUACAAAUACCCUUCCGGUCUCACCGCUCGACACAAGUUAUUCACGAUAGGAUACCUCUCAGUCUCACCUAUCUCGAUAUUCAAUUAGGGCUCUCACUCCCUAAUAUACUAAGUGCUAUUAAAGAAAUAACCAAUUUUGUAUAAAGAAUUACUUAAUAAAUAAAUUAAGUUAUUAAUCGAGUCAUACGAGAUAUGAAAUAAGCACAAUAAUCUAUUCUAAUAUUUAUACAAUAAUUAAUCAAAAGAUAAAUAAAAGAAUAGACAAAUAAAAUAUAGGAGAAGGUCAUGAAUAUAUAUUGAAGCGUGAUCCCAAAGCAAUCUCUACUUGCAAUUGUCUUCACAUCGGAAUAGAAAAGUUUCGACUACAUGAACAUGAAUAUGAAAAGAAAAGAAAAGAAAACUAAAAACUGAAUAGAAAAGUUGUCUGUUUACGUUUGCCCCAAUUCCGGUGACCCUAGGGUUGCUCAUAUAAGGAACCAGCUACUUGGUGGUCAUUCAACCCAAGAUACACUUAGAUACUAAUAAAUACAAUAUUUUGCUAAAAGUUAGGGUCCAAAUAUGGAAAUUUCCCAAAAGUGUCGUCCAAGGAAUCAACCAUAUUUUGGCCUACCAUCGUUGCAUCGCCAGGAUGUGGGAGAGCUCCUCGUCACGAUGUCGCCACCAUGAAUUGCCUCCCAUAAUCAUCACCUCGUCGUGACAAAAGGAAGCUCCUCGUCAGGAUGUCAAGUGCAUGCUGAGUCUUUGGUAGCUUAGUUGGCUUAUCAGGCUUCUUGUCUCACUGCCCAAUCAUCAUUCCUUGUAUUCUUGGAUAUCAAUUGACAUUCUACACACUUAAAUAGCUCAUUAAUCACUCAUAAGGCCUGAGUUGGCCUUACAGGUCAUCGAAAUAGCAAAAAAUGUGUAUAAACGCUUAUUUUAUUAACUUUUAGUUCCUAACCUACUAAUACCGAAAAUGUAAUAUUUAAUUAUAAAAGUGCUAGAAAGCAAACUUGUUAAAUGCAGAAAUGACAUAAAAUAAAUACUACAUUUGACGUCAGGUCACACCCUCCACAAAUUUCCACCUUGACUCAUAUUUAUCAUGUCUUUUUUGCCAAUGCCCAUCAUGGGCUUAACUUGAUCUUUUUAGGAUAUUAAUCAAGUCCAAGCAGUGCUUGAACUUUGCAACCGGAAGGCUUCAAGUUUCUUGAACUGUCAAAUCAAAGUUCACUCGUGUCUGCUUCCCAUAAAUUUAGCGCUCUAUCUUUCCAACUUCUGUACUAUGUAAAGAACCUCUCUUAUUCAAAACGGUCAUACCUUUUUCACUUAUAUGACCAAGUUACCUAUGCCUCAAAUGAGUCGAUUUUGAAUCCGUAACAGACAAGGAAAUUUUACUUUACCAGUCACUGUUGAACUUUGCAUAACAUAAAGAUUACCAGUCUUUUGACCUCUCAUGUAACACCCUAAUUUUUAGGGUUAGAAGAUUUGAGCUUUGUGAUAGGGUUAGUGGCUAGAUGGUACAUUUGAGAUUCAUUUCACGUUUUGAUAUCAGAACGGGCUUGCUGGUCUCGUGGUUGGUAGAGUGUUAGUGUACUUUUAGGUUUUGUGUUCGAACCCUCAUAGGUGUGUUUGGGGAAUUACUUUUAGUAAGUUUUUAUUUUUUUCAAAAGUUAGUUAUUUAUUUUUAUUUUUUUAUUUUAUUUUAAUUUUAAUUUUAGAAAACUAAAAACAUUUCACGUUUGUUUUUCCCAAAAAAUCUCUCUGCACGUUUUUUUCUUUCUUCUCUCCCUCUCUUCUCACGUUAAUUUUUAUCCUUGAGUUUUCUUACUCCGUUGUUUUGUUCUUGCACCAUAUUCAUCUUCAAUCAUUGUGGUUCAUCAAUGGAGUUUGGGUGCUUAUGUUACAAAUCAGGUGUGGGUUCGAAACUCUUUUUUUUCAUUUUUUAAAUUCUGUGUUGAUUCUGGGAAAUUUGACUAAAUGUGUGUGUUUGGAAACUCUAUGAAUUUGAUGUUGAAUUACUGAUUUGAUUCUGUGAAAUUUGACAAAUUCAGUGUGUUCCAAAAUUGGUAAAAACAAGAAUUGAAUAGUAUGUUUUCGAUAUAAUUUGGUAUCUUACUGAGUUACCAAGGGUUUGGGAAUUAUUUCGGCAACAAAUACACGUUCUGCAGCUUGUUCCGAUGUGGUUUCGUGACUACACGGGUGGCCACACGGGCGAUUCACUCAGCUGUGUACAGUUGGGAAUUAGGGUUUUUGGGCAAAUUUUGUUGCCACACGACCAUGUGGUUGAAUUUGAGGAUUUUAGUCGACUUCCACAUAGUCGUGUCCCGUGGGCACAAGGGCGAGUGCAUUUGGGGAUUUUGGGAUUUGUUCUUAUCUUACACAAGUAUGUAUUUUGGACACACAACCGUUUUUAGUGGGCACACGAGUGUGUAAGACCCUCACACGACCAUUUUUGCCUUAUACCUUAAUUUUAGCCAUUUUGGACAAAGAGUUACACGGUCGGAUCACACGACCAUGUCCCUAGGUCACGAGGGAAUGUGGCUUAGUCACACUGCUGUGUACCUCCUUUCACAUGGGUGUGCGCCCCUCCACGUGGGUGUGUUGACCCCUACACGGCCUAGGCUUAUCUACAUGACCGUAACACACAAUCGUGUGGCCCUAUCUCGUAUAUUUUUGUACUAUAUUUAUUUUUAUCUGAUAAUGUUUCUGUGUGUCCCGACCCUUAUCUAAGUCUUAUUAAGGGUCCUCAGGACUUCGUUUCAUCCUAGAUUUGUGUGUAAUUCAAAAUCAUAGCUGAAAUUGAUCGAUUUGUUGUGAGCUAAUGGAUGUUAGGCAAUAAAAGAUUCUGUAUCUUAUCAAUUGAGUAUGUGUUUUUCUGAUUCUGUCUAACUGUCUGCGAUGUGUUCAUCAUUUCUGUGAGAUUGUUCGCAUACAUGCAUUUGUAUAAAUGUUUGGGUUGGUAUAUGAAGAGAAGGAACUCUGAUUUGAUUUGGUAGUUUUAACUGCAACACGUCUGUAUAGUGGUUUACCGCAUAGUACAAUACUUCUGGCAGCUCAACUCAAUACUAUUAUUUACGUGGCUUAGUUCUACAUACGUGGUGUGUAGGGUUGGAUGGGUCUUUUGAGGUCCUAUGUGGUGUGCAUGGUUGGUUGAGCUUCUUAUUACUCAUUCGUGGUGUGAAUAGGGGACGAAGAGGUGUUUGGCUGCAUGAGUGGGAUUGUUCUUCUGUAUGUGCAUACAUAUCAUAUUUCAUAUGUCUGUAGGAUUGCGUGAUUAAUUGCAUAAAGGUUGUGUGCUCGAUGUAUUUUGUACCUAUGUGUAAUGAAUGAUAACUUUGUAAUAUGUCCUUUUUAGCUGGUUGUUGAAAUGGGUUGUUUCUUACACCGAUCAAAUUCUUGUAUAGUUGAGUAUCUACUUUGAAAUGCUGCCCUUGAUUUUGUUUCUGCUAUUGAACUAUUAUUUGGAAUUCUGUUUUGUAACUCUGUCAUUUGUUGCGUUACGAACUCACACUGAGCUAGGGUAGCUCACCCCUCUUAGUUUUCCUUUUUCAGGUAUUUUCGUCUUCUGUAGCUGGACUAGGCACCCCGGAGGUCUCGGACAGCCUCGUUUUAGAACAGGCUAUAAAAGUAUUUUCAUAAAUUCUUAGUUUAUAAAUAAACAGUUUUGAAUUGUGAUUACUAUUUAGAAUACUAUGGUAUGAAUUUUUAUAAUAUCGGGAUUUUAUAAUUGGGAGUUUUUAUGUAACUUAAAUACAAACAUAUUUUCCAAUUUGUUAAACUAAAAAUAAUUUCAGUUCACUUUGGUGAUCAAUGUGACCUCUGAGAUUCGUUCUAAACUUCUAGGCCAGGUUCUAGGGCAUUACAUUUAGUGAUAUCAGAGCCAGGUUUAAAAAAACUUGGCCUCUGUUUUUACAUAUCCGUGUGCGCGCGAGAUUGUUUUAAAAAAACAACCGUACCACAGUGUUUUCAAAUGGUUUGUGUUUUGGAAUAAGUUUUUGUAAGAAUACUGUGGUAUGAAUUUUUGUAAUAUCAGGAUUUUAUAAUUGGGAGUUUUUACGUAACUUAAAUACAGACUUGUUUUCCAGUUUGUUAAACUAAAAAUAAUUUCAGUUCACUUUGGUGAUCAAUGUGACCUCUAGGAUUCGGUUUAAACUUCUAGGCCAGGUUCUGGGAAAUUGUAAGAUGUUUGAGACUCUGAUGCCGGUCUGUGCGAAACUUGGGAAAUUGUAAGAUUACUUCUGUAAACUUAGAACUUCAAUAUUUAGACAUUUAUGCUUGCGUUUGAUUUUGGAAAUUUUAGAUUCUUUGAGCUUAGAUACAAGAUCAAUAUGGAUUCUGAAGGUAAGCGAGAUUGCGGGGAUCAAUUCGGUGAGACUUUCGAGGAGUUGUCUACUUCAUCAAGAUGUGUGCUUGUUCAAGAGUCAAAAGUCAAUGCAAUUUUUCCAACUUCGGGUAGCGAUAACCUGGAGCUCAGUACUGAGGCAUUGACUCGGGUAGUGAGAGAAGUGCUAGAACAAGUGCUCAAUGCUAGGUUAGACAGGCAUAGAAAGCUAGUGCAAAGCAGGUGUGUAGAUUGUGGGAAGAAGAGAGAUCGCAGUAUUUCGAGGUUGGAGACUCAGUCUGUGAAGCAUAAGAGAACACAUUUGAGUAACAAUAAAGGUAUUGCAGAGUGUGCUGGUAGUGGUUUGAGCGUUCCAUUUUGUGAGCACUGUAAGAAGCACCAUCCGGACAAUUUUUGGAAAAAAGUAAGAGUGUGUCUUUAAUGCGGGUCCACAAAACAUUGGAUCCAGGAAUGUCCUCGACGACAUUGAAACAGGUAUGGGUGUAAGUUAUUUGUCAUUGUAUGUUGUUGCUGAAAAUGAUUCGUUCGACUGUUCGUUGGAUAACGUUUGUGCGGGUGUGAUGAAUAAAUAUGUAUCUGUUUCAUUGGUUAAGUGUUCUGAUUGUGUGUUUGAGGUCUUAAGUUUGGAAUGGUACUGCUCGAGUUAGAGUGCACAACGGAAGCGUAGUGGUAACACCCCGAUUUUUGGGGUCAGAAGAUUUCUUUAAGGAGGGGUGAGUUGUAACACCCUGAUUUUUGGGGUCUGAAGAUUUGAGCUUUGUGAUAAGGUCAAUGGCUAGAUGGUACAUUUGAGUUUCAUUUCGCGUUUUGAUGUUAGAAUGGGCAUGUUGGUUUGGUGGUUGGUGGAGUGUUAGUGUACCUUUAGGUUCUAUGUUCGAACCCUUAUAGGUGUGUUUGGGGAAUUACUUUCAGUGAGGUUUUAUUUUGUUUUUCAAAAGUCAGUUAUUUAUUUUUAAUUGUUAUUUUAUUUUAAUUUUAGAAAACUAAAAACUUUUUAUGUUUGUUUUUUUUCCAAAAAAAUCUCUCUGCACAUUUUUUUCUUUCUUCUCUUCCUCUUUUAACACGUUAGUUUUUUUCCUUGAGUUUUCCUGCUCCGUCGUUUUGUUCCUACACCAUAUUCAUCUUCAAUCGUUGUGGUUCAUCGUUGGAUUUUGGGUGCUUAUCUCGCAAAUCAGGGGUGGGUUCAGAACUCUUCUUUUUCAUUUUUGAAUUUCUGUGUUGAUUCUAGGAAAUUCGACAAAAUAUGUGUUCGAAAACUUUAUAAUUUCAAUGUUGAAUUAUCAAUUUGAUUCUGUGAAAUUUGACAAAUUCUAUGUGUUUUGAAAUUGUUAAAAAUUAGCAUUGAAUCGUAUGUUUUCGGCAUAAUUUGGUAUCUUGUUGAGUUACCAAGGGUUUGGAAAUUUUUUUGGCAACAAAUGCAUGUUUUGCAGCCUAUUCCAUGUGGUUUCAUGACCAAACGGGUUGCCACAUAGGCGUGUACUGUACACGACCGGUUCACAGGGCCGUGUGCAAUUUGGAAUUAGGGUUUUUGGGCAACUUUUGGUGCCACACGGCCAUGUGGCUGAAUUUAGGGGUUUUAGUCAACUUCCAUACGGCUGUGUCCCAGAAGCACACGGGCGUGUGUAUUUAAGGAUUUAGGGAUUUUUUCUUAUCUCACACGGGCGUGUGUUCUGGACACACAGUCGGGUCUGGUGGGCAAACGGGCGUGUGAGACCCUCACAUGGUCGUGUUUGCCCUAUACCUUGAUUUUAGUCAUUAUGGACAGAGAUUUGCACGGCCAGAUCGCAUGGCCAUGUCCUUAGGUCACACGGUCGUGUGCCUCCUUUCACAGGGGCGUGUCCCCCUCCACAUAGGCAUGUUGACCCCCACACGGUCGUAGCACACAGUCGUGUCACCCUAUCUCGCAAAUUUUUGUACUGUAUUUGUUUUUAAUCUGAUAAUGUUUCUGUGCGUCUUGACCCUUAGCUAAGUCUUAGUAUGGGUGCUCGGGACUCUAUUUUUGCCUAGAUUUCUGCGUAAUUUGUAAUCAUAGCUUAAAUUGAUCGAUUUGUUGUGAGCUAAUGGAUGCUAUGCAAUAAAAGAUUUUGUAUCUUAUCAAUUGAGUAUGUGCAUUUUGAUUUCGUAUGACUGUCUGAGAUGUGUUCAUCAUUUCUAUGAGAUUGUUCGCAUACAUGCAUUUCCAUAAAUGUUUGGGUUGGGAUAUGAAGAGAAGGAAGUCUAAUCUGAUUUGGUAGUUUUAACUGCAACACGUCUAUAUAGUGGUUUACCGCACAGUACGAUACUUCUGGCAGCUCAACUACAUAUUGUUAUUUACUUAGCUUAGUUCCACAUGCGUGGUUGUAGGGUUGGAUGGUUUUUUCGAGGUCCUAUGUGGUGUGCAUGGUUGGUUGAGCUUCUUAUAGCUCAUUCGUGGUGUGAAUGGGGGACGGAGAGGUGUUUGGCUAGAUGGGUGGGAUUGUUCUUUUGUAUGUGCAUACAUAUCACAUUUGAUCUAUUAGUAGGAUUGCGUGAUUACUUGCGUAAAGGUUGUGUUCUCGAUGUAUUUUGUACCUGUGUGUAAUGAAUGAUAACUUUGUAAUGCGUCCUGCCUUUUAAUUGGUUGUUAAAAUAGGCUGUUUCGUACGCCGAUUGAGUUUUUGUAUAGUUAAGUAUCUACUUUGAAACGCUGCUGUUGAUUUCGUUUCCGCUAUUGAAUUGUUAUUUGGAAUUCUAUUUUGUAACUCUGUCAUUUGUUACGUUUUGAAUUCACACUGAGCUAGGGUAGCUCACUCCCUUAGUUUUCCCGUUUUAGGUUUUUCCGUCUUUUGUAGCUGGACUCAACAAACCGGAGGUCUCUGAUAGCCACGUUUUAGAACAGGCUAUAAAAGUAUUUUCAUAAAUUCUAAGUUUAUAAAUAAACAGUUUUGAAUUGUGAGUACUAUUUAGAAUACUAUGGUACAAAUUUUUGUAAUAUCAGGAUUUUAUAACUGGGAGUUUUUACGUAACUUAAAUACAGUUUUGUUUUCCAUUUUGUUAAACUAAAAAUAAUUUCAGUUCACUUUGGUGAUCAACGUGACCUUCGAGAUUUAGUCUAAACUUACAUCUCAUCAGAACGAGAGCGUCAUGAGAUACCUUAAUGUUGAUUGACUCGAUGGUGAUACUACAACCUAUCAAGUCUAAUUUUCUUAAGGAGAUGAGGUUCUUUUUCAAGUCAGGCACAUGCCUGACAUCUGAUAGUGACAAUGAUUUCGUCGUGCAUCAUAAUCUAAAUAGUGCCAGUAUUGAUUAUCUUACAUGGUGAAUUAUUCCACCAUAAGCACAACUCCACCUUGAACUAGACUAUAUAUGGAGAACAAGUAAUUGUUUGGACAUAUAUAGAAAGAACACCUUAAAUCCAGAAUCCACUCGUGCAGCACCCUAUACCUGGCCUGGCCGCCAAGCCCAAAUAUGGGAUGCCACACCACCGUCUUAUGUCAUAUACAAUUAGUAAAAGUUCAACCUACAGGAAGCAUCAUCCAUCUUAGUAUUCGUAUAGGUUUUAAGUCAAUUAUACUUGUUAGUUAUCAAUGUUACAUGCUAACCAUACAUCAAAUAGUCUUAUAAUAAUAAUUAAACAUGCAUAAGGUCCAUUUAACAAAAUCUAAAAACUGUCACAUAGGUAUCAAUACUGACGCUAGGGUAUUGAUAUUUCCUUUAAGUGGUAUCAAUAUCAACUAGAAAAAUAAUACCAAACUUGCAUUAUGUUUCUCGAUUAAAAACCAAAGUCUCAAAAAUUAUCCGUACCUGUCAUAAAGUAUCGAUAAACUUACCCCGAGUAUUGAUACUCGAGAAAAGGUAUUGAUACCAUAUCUUUAUUCUGACUUCCUACACAUUUCAAAACACAAAGGUAUUGAUUUUAAAACUCGAUUAUUGAUACCCCUGUUCCAGACCUCAAAAAUGCAGCAUACAUAUGCAAUUAAUCCAUUCUAAUUUAGUUCCUAAAUGUCAUAUAUCAAUUACUUUGACAAAUAAUCAUUCAACAACCUAAUUAACAGUUCAAUAUCGCAAAACUGUGUUCGUGCAAGUAACAUCAAUCCAUUAUCAUUUUCAUGAACUCAAGCAUAAUAAUAACAUGUAAUCCUGAAAAACCGAACCAAAGACCAGCAAAAUGUCUAAAAGUUAACAUGGCUAUAAACAAGUCUACCACAUUGCCUUUUUUCCCCAAAACGUAAAUAAAUAUAGAACACCUACGAAAUAAUGCAAAAGUCUUGCUUAGAUCACAUCCCGGAACCACACCGCUCACACUGGCACACAACUAAUCUGCAAUGGUUAGAGAAGGGAGUGGGUGAGCUUAACAAGCUCAAUGAAUGCCUAAAACAACUACCACGCAAAUAGUUCAUCAAGCAUUAACGAAACAACCAUAUAGCAUAACCUUAAUAGUUCCAACUUUAGUGUUAUAAUAUACUUACUUGUGCAUUAUUAUUAGUUCUUUUACAUGGUAAAAAUAUUCAUUUCUAAGCAUAUAUCUUAUUACACAUAUAAUCACCUGUCAUUCAAGCAUAUAUCACAAUAUUUAAAAGCAGGUUUAUAGAUAAAUUACAUAAUGGUCACAUACUCAUUUAGGCAUACAUCAUGUUACACAUAUGUACAUUUUAAGAUAAUUUGACACUUGAGUUAUGAAACAUAAAAGUGAGUUCUAUCAUCACUCAUUGGAUACGCGGAUCUCCAACACACCAAACAUAGACUCAUAAAGUCAAACCUGUCCCUAAAGUGAAGCAUAAAGCUAAUUCUCUUUUAUUUCCCCUUUUAUGUCCCGUUGAAUGGACGUUAGCUCACAUUCCUUUAUCCCUCCAACAUGUCUCAAGGCCUCAACACCCAAAAUCACUAUACAUAUAGGUGAGUCCUCACAAUCCUAUGGCAUGCCAACUAUAUCUAACGGUUUCAAGAUCACAAGGCCAAAAUAUCCAAAGUCAACCACAUAUCACUUACCGAUUAUUCAUGUAUAAUCACUGCAGAUUUGCAUCUUUAGCAACACAUUAUCACUAACAUUUAACAUAUACAUGUUAUACUCUCACAACAUUUAUCAUAACCACAUAUCACAUUUUAUAGCAUCUUAUCUCAAUUCACAAGAUAACGUAGGUAUGAGAAAGCUUACACUCAAAAUUUCGAGUAGGGAUUUAGGCUACUACUAAAUUCCCAAAUAAUGAAUCAUGUCCACGAGUAAUUAUUCCAAACACUCACCAAUUACGCUUUUGCCGAAAAGACAAAAUCUUAAAACUAGCUUUUCCUUACCUUUAUCUCUACUCAUAGAACUUCAACACAACAAAUUCACACAACAAUACAUCAAAAACUUAGUCAAUGACUUGUUACAAGCAUACAAAACAUAAGCCUAAACUAAGUUCUCAUGUAAUCGAAACCUUUAACAUAACCAACUUAAAACUAAAAUAUCUCAGUCUAUACUCAAUCAUUUCGCCUAAAACCAAUUUCGUUUAUCUUAUAAUUCGCCUACGACUAAUUGUCAACCUUUAUAAUACAAUAAAAUACUAAUUUCAUUGUAUCAACUUUUUCGACAUGUUUUAUGCCUAUUUUCUAAAAAUUUAUUAAAACUUAAGAAUUCUUUAACAAAACUUCAAAGUAAGUUUACAAACCUUCUAAUAAAUUUAAAAAAAGUUGAAAACACUUUGAAACUAAGUUUUUAUGCAAAAUCCCAAAAUUCACCAUUAAAGACCUGAUUUUUGGCUUUUAUUUAAAACAUGCAAUUUAAUGGCUAAAAACUUGGUUUUAAAGACUAUAUAACAUUUAAACCUAAUUAGAAGUUGAACCAUUACCUUAGAUAAAGAAAAUCUAUGCAUUUCAUCAAAGACCCAAAAAACUCGAAAGCUUAACGAUGGAGGAACUAUGGUAUUUUUGGGUGUUUUUCUUGGUUUUUUAUAGAGAUUUAAGGUUUAAUGGUGAUAGAAAUAAAAAAGGAUUAGAAAUUGGAGUUCAAAAUUGAUUGAAGUAGCAAGGGAGAAUUAAGGGACGACGAACACAAAUUUUGGGGAAAGUUGACGUGAAAAAUUGUAGGUGGGAAGGAAUAAAUAGGUCGGUUUUUAAAUUUUGGUCUAUUUGCUUUUUAAAAACUCACAAAUUUGAAUCUUUUACAAAUCAGUUCUACUUUCAAAAUUAAAGGUAUUUUAAACUCAUUUUCAAAAAUUGAUUUAAUUUUCUAAAAACCAUAGUAAAAAACAUUACUGAUAAACCAUGUCGCAAAAUUUCGAACACUCCAAGGAUAAAAUUUCUAAAAUACCCUUAAAACUCCUAGACCCUAUUUUGGGGUGUUACAACUCGAAUGUAAGUUUAGACCUUCCAAUCGUAGACACCGACAACCAAUUAUCACCUUUUUACCUCAGCCACACUAGUAUUAACUACCUCAGCCUUCCAUUCCUCGUCGCUCUUAGAAGCCCUUCUGUUUCUAUUUUUCAAACUAUAACAUUAUGCCUUUAUGUGACUCAAUUUCUUGUAGUAGUUAGAUGGCUUGUCAUGAUUCCUCGACUUCGAUCUUGACCUAGAAUUAUUCUGAUCUGCAUCCUUAGACUAUUGCUUGCCUCUAGUGACCAAAAUUGACCACAACUUGGACAUUCACUACAUCUCGCACAUGGGCACAACUCGCAUGUUAGCAUAGAUCGCAUAUUGACUACAACAAACAUAUGGGCGCAUCACGCACAUUAGUGUAGCUCGCACAUGGUUACGGUUCAUUUAUAAGCUUAGCUUGCAUAUUGUCAUAGCUCGGGCGUUGCCACAGCUUGUGCAUACAUUGCAGAUACAGUUUCCAUGCAACUUAUUGUAACAUUAGCACGCACAAUUGUUUCACAAUUUCAGUCCGCACAUACGCUACAGUGUCAGUUCACUUAUAGAACUUAAUCUAAUUAGCAUGCACAUACCUUAUAUAGGCAGUUCGCAUAAGGAACGUAAUGUAAUUAGCACAUACAUACUUGGUUUAGACAGUUCACACACGGGCCCUUAAUAUAAUCAGCACGCAUAUACUUGUUUUAGACAAUUCACACAUGGACUCUUCCUUGUGCUAGCUUAUGAUCCUUUCAUCUCUCCGAAGAGCCCAUAUUUCAUUUAUACCAACGUACCUUCGCAAAUCCUCCUUGUUAAUUUGAAUGCAUUCAUGUUCCCCUGUAAGGUCGGGGUCUUUUGCCAAUCUCAGUUUGCAUUUACAUGCCUUACUAGAGGAAAAACACAUAUCAGUUCAUAUCAUUAAUCUCCAUUCGAUUCUCCCAUCACAAUCACACUUCAACAGUCACCUCCGUUUCCCUUAUUUCCUCCAUUUUGGAUAUUGAGCUUGUGCACCAAGGAAGGAGUAUCCAUUUUGAUCUUUUACACACAAACAAUUUCCAUAUUUAUAGCUCUCCCACUCAAGAAAGCACAUCCAAUGAUUAAUUUACGUAGGUUGGUACAUUUCUAUUCAUCGAUUCUAACUAGUUUAUGGAAAUAAGCUUUACAUAGAUUUAAGCAACACGAAAUUAGUAAACCAAAAGACAUAGCAAAACUUUACCUAGUCAGACGAAAACUUUAAGUAAUUCAUUAAUUAACAAGUAUAAGUUAAGGGAACUCACAAAAGUUUCCAGAAAUGUUUCUGUUUAUUUUACAGGUUCCUUUGUCACAUCCAAACUAGAAGAUAAAGAUAAAAUUUAGAUUUUAAUGCAUAAUAAGAAUAGGGAAAGCGAACCUAUAGUGCCUUAAAUUUAUUGUUGAUAAGGAAUUAAAAAGAAUAGACCACUAGGCUUAAUUGUUAAGUGUUAAGCAAGUUAAAGUCCUAGGUUCGAACUCCCUUAAUUGCACCCAUUUGCUGAUUUUUUUUUCCAGUUUCCCCUAAUGUUUGACCAAAACCCUUAAAAAUAGUUUUUUAAAGGCUAAUGUCUAGAAUGAGUUUGUUGGUUCAAUAGUUAAGACUUAGCAUCCCCUUCGAUCCCAGGUUCAAAACCUUUUGUGCGCUUUUAGCUAAAAUAUUUUAUUUUCUUAUUUUACCCCCAUAAAGUACCAAAUUUUCAAACCAAGCCCAAAUCGAAAACUAUAUUUUUUUAUUUUAGACUUUAAUUUAAAUCAAUCUUAAUUCUAAACUAAUUACUAAUUCUAUUUUAAUUAGGGAAGAAUUUUUAUAAAUAGCCAAUUUUUUCAAAACCUAGAAUUCUUAUUUAUAAUUUUUUUCAAGAAAAGCUCUCAAAAUUCUCUCUUCUUAUUCAUUACUGAAACCCUCAUUGCAAUUAGGGUUCUUAAAAGUUCAAUAUUGGCCUAUUUUCUCCUCCAUUGUCAAACCACAUUACUUAACCAAAGAUUUCAAGAUUUUCUAUUGCAUCCGUCUCCUCCUAGUGGUUGCAAACCCUAUAUACGAACAUGUUAUGUACAUGCUAGCUGAAUUAGCAUGUUAACAACCUAAUGUUAAUACAUCGAUACAAGUUUUUAGUUUGCAUGAAGAAAUUGUAUAUGUGAAAUUGAUAUGAAUGAAUGCAUGAAUACAUGACAUUAUAUGAUAAUAUGAAAUAAUAAAUGUGCUUGACAAGAAUAGUAUCAAUUGUUGAUAAAUAGCAUGAUAUGCUGAGUUUAUGUGCAUAAUUACAUGAAAUUGAGUAUGGAGGACGGAGGAGUUUCGUAGGAGAAAGUGGCAAUUGAAGUCCACACCGAAAGUUAGUACUGCAUGAAGUAGGUGACAAUAUCAUCGAAAUUGGGUAAAUCGGAAUGAUAGUUUAAAAAGGCCAUCAAAAUCGGGCAACUCGGGAUGGUAAGUUAUUGUAAUAAAAGUCAUCUUCACAGAUGACAAGUGAACGACCAUAGUCACGGGGAAAUUCAGGAUGGUCAAUUAUUGAUAUUGGUUUUAGAGUGUCGAGCGAUGCUCGAGGGCGGAUAUGAAGGAUGGGUGGGAACUUAAAAUUAAAAUUGUAGUGCAUCAUGAACAUAACCUAUACAUGCAUUGAUUUAUUGAAUAUUCCUUACAUUAUGCUUAAUCUGCUAUGAUGUUAUAAAUUGUAUGUUUUAUUAUUUGAACAAUUAUAUAUAAUGGUUUAAAAAUUAGACUUGCAUUGGGCUGCCAUAAGCUCACUUUCCCCUUUCCUUACCUCUCAGGUAAUGCAAAAAACUAGGACUAGGAAUGGCAUUAGAGGAACCUCGAACUAGCAUCUCAAUUUUUUUAUUUAACAGUUUCCAUUAAAGCUUUCUUUAAUUGUUUUAUUGGUUUAUUUAUCGGGUUGUAAAUUAUUAAUUAUUUUUUUAUUUUAUAACUAUGGUUUGGGAUUAUUUAGCUUAUUAAUUUCUAAGCAUGAUACUUGGUUAAUACCCUGAUAAUUGCAUUCUAAUUAGUUUAGAAAACUAUUAUUCUUAAUAAUGUUUUCCUCUACUUUGCUAAAAACUUAAAGUUUUGAUAAGUCUUUUUAAACCUUAACUGUUUUUCUCAAAAAUUCACAUUAAUAAUAUUGUAAUUGGAUUACUAAGUAAAGCCGGUGUGAUUAUUGAUUUUUUUAUUAAAAACAAAAUAGUUAUUUUCAUACAAUUCAACUCAAGCAUAAGAAUGACUUUAUUGGAUCACUUUGGUGAUCAAUGUAACGCUGUUGACUUAGCCAAAACUCUUAGGCCAGGUCAGGGGUGUUACAUCUUUUCCCUUUCUACUAGGGCCUUCCCCCACUUCUUUAGUCAAACACAUUCAAUACCUCAGUUACCAAACAGAAACAACCACAACAACAACCAAGUCCUUAUCGAAAAUUGAGAAAUCUAACAACUAUUGCAACAUGCAACAAUUGCAAAGGAGAAUACUCCCUUCACCCAUACUUUCAAUUUAGUCCUAUAUAAACAAUUUCUAAAAUUUUACUGAAAUUAUGGUUAAAGAAAGACUCAAGAAAGUUACUAGCAACUACUUGAAAAAGAACAACUUCUAAGCAAGUUAAAAUCAUGAUUUCCUUCCACAAACAGCUAGAGUUAUAAUCUUCAAUUUCUCAACGAAGGUACACAGGAAAGGAAAAUGGAAUUGAAGUCUUCUCCCCUUUUUCCUCUCCCCUCGACCUCCUACUCUACUCUUAGAAUAAUUUAAGAUUAAAAAUAAUUUAAUCAGUCAAUGCCCUUAGCCAACCACUAAUAGCAACACAUGCACACACAAUUCCACUACCCACUAACUAUUCCCAAGGCCAACAAGUCUCAUGCACGAUGACACAUUUCCCUUCCCAAGGCUUAAUACAUGCCCAAACACGUGUCAUACACACCACGAGGAGUUAAGGUAACAACGAGCUCGCAAAAUAACAAGCUCUUUGUCUAAAGAGCUCGGGGAGCAGUGAAUAACUAACGAGCUCACAAACUAGUGAGCUCACAAGGCAGCAAAGACAACUCGCCACAUACGAGGUGGAGGCUUGCGAGAUGGUAAGACAAUAGCGAAGCAACUCAUGAAGGGAUGUUCAAAGAUAAAACCAGUCUAAUUCUCACGAAUUAGACGAGCUCACACAGGUUCCUUACCGUUCCCACUUGAUUAACAUUCCAAAAUACAGUUCUAAAAAUUUGGGGUGUGACAGGUGAAAAGUUGGUUGACUUGCGAACUGAUACGGACUACUUGACCCAGUAAAAAAAUCAGUUGAACAUAUUUUGCACUGGUUUGGCCAAUUGGUUCCUAGAACAAUUGGUUUGAUUGGUUCAAAGCAAAUAAAUUAUGAAAAAUAAAAAAAAUAUUAAAAUAUAUAAAAAUCGGUUCAAUUUGCAGUUCAACUGAUUUUAGCCUACUUCAACCAGUCCAUGCCAGUUCGCAGGUCAACUGGCUUUUAAAAUUUUUAAACAUUUUUAGCCUUCAAGAUUUACAUUUUUUUGUCAAUUUUAUCCAUACCCUUUAAAAGUACAUAAAUUUUUAAAAAUGAUUAAUUUUUUAUUUUAAAAAAAGCAUAAAAAUUGAAAAAAAGUAUAGAUUUUUUUAAAUAUAAAAAUAUUGUAACGCCCUAAAUAAUUUAUUUAUGUUUUUGUAAAUCCUAACAUAAAUGAGUAUUUGCUUCAGUGGCUAAGUGCUCUGGAUGUGUGUUUGAGGUCUUGGGUUUAAGUCCUACUUUUUGGAAAAAUUUUGUUAUUUUUUUUAUUCUAGCCUUAUCUCUACUGGAUAGGCUUAUGUAAUAUUGUCUGUAAACUCAUAUAAGAAUGAGCCUGCUGAUUUGAGUGGUAAGGAGUUAGUGUGUUGGAGGUCUUGUGGCUGAAUCCCUGCCCGAGCUUGAGUGUUAAUUUUUGUUCCGGUUGUCUAUUAGUGGUUCGGUGGAGUUGGGAGUCUAAAGUAGUUGGAUGUGGUUAGUGGGGAGGAUAUUAUGGGAUGUGGUUGUUAGUGGGGAAUUGAGAUGUUAAUCAAAAAUCAAUUUAUUAUCUUUUUAUUUUAUUUUUUAAAAUUUUUUUCUCUCUCUUCCCAAAAGUCUGACGUUAGCUUUCUUUUUCUCUACCACAUUCUUUUUUCUCUUAUUUUUCCUACAAUUCUAUCUUUGAUCUGCUGUCGUAUCAGUGUAUUUCAGAAUUUUGGUGUUUUACUUGCAGUUGGGUAAGUAGGGAUUUCACUUGUCUGUAACGAUUCUUGUAAGUUGUUAGGUUUAUUCAUUUCGUUUGAAUUUCUAAAUGGUGUGAAGUAAGGGAGUUUGAUUUUCUGCGAUGUAUUGCGUAGGAGUUGUUGGUGAACCUACGAAUUUCGCUCCUAUAGCAUAAAUCACAGUAGGGGUUGUUCUUAUCGGUGGUAAGUGUGUUUGCGCAAUUCAGUUUUACGAUGUUAAAUUCGUAUUUGAUUGCUAAAAUGGUGUUGGGUAUUCUAUUUUUAAGUGCUAGUGGUCUCGGAAGUGGUUUCGCAUCAAAACUGAACUAGGUGUGUAUCUCUAACACGAGAAAACGAGAUUCAGAGAAAGCAAAAAAUGGGGUUUAUUGACACCACACGGGCGUGUGCCCAAUUGUGUACGAGACACGACCGUGUGACUGGCGAAGGUGUGGCCAUGCUCAUGACACGGCCAUGUGACGGUGUGAGUAUGGUCGUGUGGGCCACAUGGCCUAGGCCAGGUUAGGCGUGUGGGUCACACGGGCAUGCCUCUCGGGCGUGUGGGUUUUAGGCCAUGUCGUGUAGGCCACACGGGCAAGGCCAAUCUGGGCAUGUGGGCCCAAAAUUUUAAAAUAUUCCCUAGGGUCGCACGGGUCGUUCUGAUAGACUGCGGACCUACCGUAGGGUCGAUAAUGGCUAACCAAACCAUAAUUCAUGUGAUCUGAGUAGGACACCGAUACGUAUGUCUAACUGUUCUAUUUGAGUAUAUAUAUGUUAUCUAUAUACAAGCAUGUUAAGCAUGUUAACUCUGUUAAUUUUGUAUUCUGUAUUUGUGUUUGGGGUGGUAUUUGCAUAUGUGGAGGAAGUGAUCUAUACGGCGACCUUUCGCCUAUAUUGAUGUAGCUUGACUGCAUAUUAUUCUAUCAUGUGUUGUAUCGACACUAUAUGGUGUGUUGGGAUGGGUGAGUGUUUUUAACCCCACAUGGUGUGAUAGGAUGGUCGGAGAUGGUGUGUAGAGGAUGGGGGUAGGAUUCUGUAUAUCUGUUCUGCUUAACUAAUUUUGAUAUUUGUAUCUGUUAUGGACUUCGGUCCGAAUUUGCAACUGACGGUAUAUGAAAUUCUAUAUAUGUUGCAUGACUAUUUCUAUUGGGUUACACACUAAGUUUAUGAAAACUCACAUCUAUUUGUCUGUUCUGUUCAGGUAAUCCACAGACUUAGGCGGGUCGGUGGGUCGGAGGUUCAGCGGUGACCACUUUAUCGAGAUUUUUUUAUUUUAUAAUAAUGGUUUUAUUUUAAAAUCUGGCUUUCGUGAGAGUUCUUUAAUUUUUGGACUCUCCGGACUUUUUGGAUUGUUUGGUUUGAAUUCUUGGGUUUGAUUGCAUUAUGAUUUCUAAACUGCGAAGAUUCAACAAAAUACUGAUUUUACGUGAACAAAUGUUAUUUUUGGAAACAAGAACAUGGUUUGUUUUAAACGAUUUUCAAACUUUUGCUGUGAAAUAAUUGGUUAUAAAGGACAACAUAUAACGGUUUCAGUAAUAUAUAAAUGAAUAUAUUUUAUAAUACUUGAACGUUUUAUCAAAUAACUAAACAUGGUUUUAUCGAAGUAUAGGUGGUUUCAAAACCCUUCUUCGUAGCACUCCCAGAUUCGGCCAUAGCUCUAGGUCGUGUUCGGGGUGUUAUAAAAAUAUUUAAAAUAUAAAAAUAUUUAAAAAAUAAAAACUCUUGAAAUUUCAAAAAUCAAAAGAUCUUAAAAAUAAAAAAAAUUCCAAAAUUUAAUGUUAUAUAAAUCAGACUGGACCGAUUGGAUCAAGAAUCAAUUGGGGUAUAUUGGUACAAACAGGUUUUUAUAAUUUAUAAUUUAUUGUUUCUAAUAAUCUAUUUACUUUGAACCUGUCGGACAAAUCGUUUUGGGAACCAAUUGGUUAAACUAGUUUGAAUUCAGUUCAAUUGCUAGUUCAACCAAUUUUUAGCUUGGUUCAACCAGUCCAUACCGGUUUCUGGGUCAACUUUUUUUUUUUGCGUCUGGUCGGACCAAUACCCCAACCGAUUCCUGGUCCUAUUGGCUAGUUUGGUCUAGUUUAGAUAAUAUUGAAUUUUUGAAUUUUUUAUAUAUUUUUUUAUUUUAAAGUGUUUUUUUUUCUAUAUUGUUUAUUUUUAGAUUAUGAUUUUUUAUUUAAUAUAUGAAAAAUAUUUAAUUUUUAAAUUGUUUAUAUACUUUUAAAGGCUAAGAUCAAAUUGAAAAUAAUUAUAAACAUUGAAGAUUAAUAGUAAUAUUUAACCUUUGACACCAUUAAUUCUUUAAAAAAAAGAAUAAAUAUUUUUAAAUAAAAAAGUAAAAUUAAAUGGAUAAAAUAAUAUUUUAAAAUAAAAAUAUAAAAAUUGAAAGCAUAUUCUAACUAUUUUAAAUUCCAGACUUGGAUCGACCAAAACCCCAUUUCAAACUCUCAAAGUCUUUGAAGAACCGACUAAGAAAUUAACAAAAUGUAAAUUCAUAUUUAUUUACUUAUUUUUCUUAUUUUCUUGGGUGAGGGCCUGAUUGGAACGUGAACAAACAAAAAGAUUGUUAUAUAAUAAUCUUAAAAGAAUUUGUGUAGUAUUUUUAAAUUAUUCUGUUAUAUUCUGCUUUUUUACUCAAAAUGAGAGAGAAUUUAUACGGUAAUUCACCUCCUUUAUCAGUGCAAGAUGUUAAGGUGUAAGAUAUUCUAUAUUCUAGAAACAAAUUGUGCAUUUCUGUAGGUUGGGAAAAGUCAAACUAGGUAGUUAGGUUGCCGUAGACAUUUGAUCUUAAUUAUUAUCCUUAGUACAAUAAUUUGACACUAAUUAUAUUAUAUUCUAUUUUAACAACACUAUUAUUAUUAUAAUCAACUACGUUUUCUGCAGGCUACUUGCUUUCUGGAUAGUCCAAGUCUUCCCACGAAUUUGCCAUUAAUUCCAUUCUAUUCUAUUUUGUUUACUUUUCUCAUUACGAUAAUAAACUAGUUAAUUGAAGUUGCAUUCCUAUUUCACCUUAAAAUUUCAUCCAAUUAUUACUUUGGUAUUAAAAGAAUAUUUAUGAUCACAAUUCUAUAAAGUAAAUAAUAGUAAUUUAACUUGAAAGUUUGUCUAAACCUUAGAUUUACCUUAAUUUCAUUUGAAUCAAUUAGAAAAAAGAAUAGAAUGUUAAAUAAGUAAAGGGUAAAUGUAAGUCAAAAUGAAUAGCAAAUAAUUUCAACUUUCUAUUUUAAUUCUAAUUUUUUUUUAUUUUUAAUCAACUUAUAAUUCUUUAAAUUUGAAAUAAAUCAAAUAAAAAAUAGUCUAAUAACUUGUACUUAAAUUGAUCAAACUCAAAAGCAUCUAAAUUUAAAAUAAUUAAACUCAAAAUGAACUCAAAUCUCAAAUAAAAAUGAUUGAUUAAAGAGACAAUUAUGACAACUACGAAUUCAUCUGCAUGGAAAUUUAUGGCAAUGGUAACAUUAGUUUGGAAUCUAAAACGAUUGAAAAAGAAAAACAUAAACAACUUUAUACAAUUUAAUUUAAUUCUUUUAAGUCUUGACAAGUCUUGAAACAACUAAUUCCAUAUACAAUAUAAUUUCUGGAAUUUUUUUUAUAAUGAUUGUAUUUUUUUUUUAUCGUGAAAAACUAAAAUUUUUAAAAAUAAUAGAAAACCAUCCAAGUUGUUAAAAAGUACAAUAGAUAUUUAUAUAUCCAUAUUGUUCCAUGUUUUUUUCUAUAUUUUAAAUGAUUUUUCUUUUUCUUUUUGAAUUUUCACUAUUUUUUAUUUUAUGUUUUCUAAAAAGAAAAGCAUUUUUUUUAGUUCCAGGAAAGCUUUUAAUUUUUCUUUAUUUUUAAAUUUUUUGAGAUUUUCCUUUUUCCUUUUUUUUUUUUUUGCAAUUUUCUCUUCUUUUUACAUUUAUUUAAGAAAAAAAGAAAUUUGGGUGACGUAAAGUGCCACAUCAUUUCUUUUAGCAGCAGCAAGGGCUGAGGUAACUUCAGAUAUCAAAUUGAUAAAUCCUUUUUCACUACACCAGAAUAGGCUUUUAGCGGCACUUUUUGCGGCGUUUGGAACAAAAGCGCCACAAAAAAUCGAGCAUUAGCGGCAAUUUAGCGAAAGUGCCGCUAAAGGUAGAGCAUCAGCGGCGAUUUUCGGGAAGCGCCGCUAAAAAUAGGAAUUAGCGGCGUUUUAUAUAAACCGCCACAAAAAACCUAAGAACAACGACGUCGUUUUUGCAAUUUUUUAAACCUUUAGCGGCGUUUUUAUCUAAGCACCGCUAAUGCUCGGGUCUUUAGCGGCGUUUUUAUCUGAACGCCGCUAAUGCUCUGGCCUUUGGCAGCGUUUUUAUAUAAGCGCCGCUAAUGCUCGGAUCUUUAGCGGCGUUUUUAACUGAGCGCCACUAAUUCUCUUGUCUUCAGCGGCAUUUGAAGCUAAGCGCCACUAAUGUAUUUACCUUUAGCGGCGUUUUUGCCGAAGCGCCUCUAAUAGUAACAAAAAUCUUAUAAGUUGAAAUAAUUAAUAUUUUGUUCUAUUUAUUAUAUAGUGGUACAAUUUACAUUUAAAUUAUAAUUAACAAAUAAUAUUGAUUACUAUAAAAAGUUUUUAUUAAAGAGAAGUCGUAUAUAUAUAACAGCUAACUAUUUAUUACUAAUUUUCAAUUACAGUUGAUUUAAACUACUUUACGAGAGAAAAUAUAUUAAAUUAUGAAUAAAAUAAAAUAUAAUAAAACUUAAAUUGUUGUAUUGUAAAGAAUAAAUUAAAAAUAGAAUUAACUUUUCAUAAGAAUAAUAAAUUUUGGUCGUAUUGUUCGACUAAAUAAAUCAAAGGAACUAAUAUAAUACACCAAUUUAUACAAAAUAUAUAUAUAUAUAUAUUAACAAUUAAUUAUUGACUAUAUUUUAUGAUUAUAUAUAUUAAAGANNNNNNNNNNNNNNNNNNNNNNNNNNNNNNNNNNNNNNNNNNNNNNNNNNNNNNNNNNNNNNNNNNNNNNNNNNNNNNNNNNNNNNNNNNNNNNNNNNNNNNNNNNNNNNNNNNNNNNNNNNNNNNNNNNNNNNNNNNNNNNNNNNNNNNNNNNNNNNNNNNNNNNNNNNNNNNNNNNNNNNNNNNNNNNNNNNNNNNNNNNNNNNNNNNNNNNNNNNNNNNNNNNNNNNNNNNNNNNNNNNNNNNNNNNNNNNNNNNNNNNNNNNNNNNNNNNNNNNNNNNNNNNNNNNNNNNNNNNNNNNNNNNNNNNNNNNNNNNNNNNNNNNNNNNNNNNNNNNNNNNNNNNNNNNNNNNNNNNNNNNNNNNNNNNNNNNNNNNNNNNNNNNNNNNNNNNNNNNNNNNNNNNNNNNNNNNNNNNNNNNNNNNNNNNNNNNNNNNNAUAGUUAUUAAUUAUUUAAUUUGUAUAUAUAGGACCAAAAUAAUCUUGGUAUAAAUAAAUAAACAAAUAAAUAAGUAGGUAAUUAUGUAUUUGUUAAAUAAAUAGGUAAUUAAUUAUUUAAAUGUAAGACACAAAAAAAAGGGAAAUUUAGCGGCGUUUCUAUAUAAAAACGCCGCAAAAGGUAGCCUUUACCGGCGUUUUAGUAAAAAACGCCACAAACAUUGCAAUAUACGACGUCGUUAUGUGUUAGGGAAUCAGUUUCUAUUGUGGCGUUUUAUAGGUAAGUGCCGCUAAUAUUCUUGAAACUCUAUCAGAACGGCGUCGUUUCAGUUGAAUGAUGUACUCUAUUACUGGCGUUUUUGGGGAAAACGCCGCAAAUAUGUCUACAAUUUUGUGAAAACGUCACCGUUUGUUUAUGUAAUUGAAAAUUUAAUGUUUAGGGGUUAGGGGGAUUUAGGGGUUAAGGGUUAUGCUUUAGGGGUUAGGGGAUUUAGGGGUAAGGGGUUAGAGGGUUAUGGAUUUAAGGUUUAGGGUUUCAACGGUUAUGUUAGAGUUUAAGUUUAGAUUAAUUAGUUUUAUUAAUUUUUAUAUUAAAUAUGUUCUUAUAUAUUUCUAAAAUAUAUAAUAAUAAAUUUAAUAUAUUGAAACUAUGAGUAUAUAGUUUAAAUUUAUUUAUUUAUCAAUAAAAUUAAAUAUUAUAAAUUUCAAACUUUAUACAAAAAAAUAAAUAUUAUAAAGAUAAUAUUACAAAAAGUUUUUACUAUUAAUUAUUGUUUAAUCAAUUAUAACUAUUUUAUGAUUAUUAAAGUUUAGGAUUAUUUUGGAUGGCCGUGCUAUUUUAAGGAUUAGGGGGUAUGGAUUUAAGGUUUGGAAAUAUAAGGGUUAGGGGUUUAGGGGUUACGAGUUACGGGCUAAGGGUUAGUGGUUUAGAAUUUAGGGUUUAGGGUUUCAGGGGUCGGAUAAGGGUUUUAGGUUAGUUUAGAUUAAUUUCUUUAAAUAAUAUUUUAAAAAAUCAAUUUAAAGUACCAAUUGAUAUAUUUAAAUAUUAUUUUAAAUAGAAUUAAGUUUAAUAAGUUAAAAAAUAGUUUGAUAUAUUUUAUAUGGAUGGAUAUAUUUAGGACCAAAUACAUAAGAAAUGAAAUAAAAAAAAACAAAAAAUGACAAAAAAUCUAAAAUUUACAAAACGGCGCCGUUUUCGAAUAGUUAAAGUUUUAGUGGCGUUUUAGGGGUUAAACGCCGCAACUGUGGGAAGCAGUAUUGGCGUUUGUUCAAGAAACGCCGCAAAAGUGUCUUUAAAAUUUGAGUAAACGACGCCGUCUGUCUACAUGAUUUUUAACUUAUAAAAGGUUUAUAAUUAAUUACUUGAAACGUCACCGUUUGGCUUGUUGUACGUUAAGUAGUGUGGCGUUUUGGUGAUAGCGCCGGAAAUUUUGGAAUCAAUAGCGGUGUGUUUUCAGUAAACGCCGCAAAAGGGUAUUAAAACAAUGUCUAAACGGCGCCGUUUCUGUAUUCAAAUUUUAACUUAGCAUUUUCUCUAUAUUAAUUCAACGGCGUCGUUUCUGUUAAUUUCUAGUGGCGUUUUCGCGGGAAACGCCGCAAAAGUGACUUAAAAUAUUAGCUAAACGACGGCGUUUAGCUUAAGCAAAUUAUUUUUUAGUGGUGUUUUUUAUAGAAAAUGCCAGAAAUAUGCGUUAAAGCUUUAUUAAACGGCGCCGUUUCAGAUUAUAACUUAAAUUUUUAGUGGCGUUUUUUGGAAACGCCGCAAAUAUACAAGCAAUAGUGGCGUUUUCCUAAGAAACGUCGGAAUGGUGUCUUAAAAUUUUGGCAAAAGGACGCCGUUUCUAUUCAUCGUGUUUUAACUUAUCAUUUUCUCUAUAAGGCAGAACACAAACAGAAACAGAAGCAGAGAGGACAAAACGAAAGCGAUAGAAACGAAAGAUAAAAUACAAAGGAAAAAAGGGAGAGGAGAACUCAUAAAUCAUCAGAAACGAUGCAACAGUUGAGUCAAUCUUGACAGGAUACUAUCAAAGUUGCGGAAUUUGUGGUUAAAAGGUAAGUUUUUUUUCUUUUAAAACAUUGUAUCUUGAUUUAGGGUUUGGGUUCAGUGGAAUUUGGGAAUUUGGGGUUUAAAGUCCAAGUUCAAUCACCAAGCUUUGGCCAGUUUGUUUGGGAAUUCGGGGAAUUUGGGAAUUUUUGCGUGUCUAGGGUUUGGGAAGAAGUACCGAUCAUGUGCUUCCUUUCUAGUUUGUUAUUCUCAUUGUUGAAGAGUUGAAAAUAACAGUUGUUCUUAUGUUCAAGUUUUGUUCCCCAGAAUUAACACUGCAUUUGGCCAACUGUUAAAGAAAGGAGAACUCAAAAUUAUGGAUUAACCAUUUGUUACUGCCUUAUUGAUCAGCUCGUAUUUAGGUAAGUUUCCUGAUAUUAUUUUAAUCAAAAUGUCCUUACUUUUAUUCCUUCUGAUUUCAGAGUUGAAUUUAUUUAGUUAUUACUAAAAAGGGGUAAACAACUGAACUAAAACUGUUGCAUCGUUUACUCUUCGACAAUCUCUAAUUUUAGUUGACUUCACUGUGAAUUUCCUCAAAUAAGCAUCACAGUUUUGUGCAACGGCUUGGAAAUUUUUGUGCAUUUUAAAAUGUCUACGAGAAAAACUUAUUGGGUGGGGCUGGACAAAGCCUAAUUUAUUCAUAUAUUGUUGAGGCUUUGGAGUAAUUUAGUAUAAAACUGCAUCUACAGGUAAAUGCUUUAGCUGCUCUUCCUUCUUUAUAUAUUUUUAAAUUUUUCUCCAUGUUGCAAUAAAAAUUGUUGAAAGUAAUUUUCUUAGAACGUAAUCGAUUUUCCAGCACUCUGUAAUUAGCUCUGUAGUUGGUAAACAAUGUUAAACUAUGUUACACGGUUUUUACUGCUCUGUUCCUACAUGUCUGUUCUGCUUUGUUCCUACACCGAGUUCCUACAUGUCUGUUUUGCUUUGUUCAAUGAGUCAACUUAGUUCUCUGUUGUUUGUUUCUUACACACGAGAUUUGGAUAUUGUAUAUACAUUGUAAAAAUGGACUGCCCGAUUUAAAAGAAUGUUAAAUACAUGACUUACUAAAAUUAGCUUUUACUGUUUUAUUUAAUUAUAAAUAUAUUAUUAAUUUAUUUAACGUAAGGCAGAAAAUUAAAUUUAUUUUCAAUUAUCUAAUAAAUAUAUUUUUAUCUUUCACCAAGUUUCCACAUUACGCAAAACAUCUUUCAGAGGUUCUGUUUUUCGUUUGUUAAAUAUCUUUAGAAAAAUGGUUAGCUAGGGCCUAGAAAACAACAUUAAAGUUAUUAAAACUAAUAUGGUUUUCAAUUUAUGUCUCGGGUUGGGUUAAUUAGUUUUAGACUAAAUAAUUAAAAUUUCAAGCUUUUUUAUUCUUUGUAUAUUUGAUGUUCAAUCUCCAAAUUUUUAUUUUUAAUAAUUUAGUCUCUUUAUUUUUAGAAUUUAAAAUUGGAGUUCAUUUGUUAACACUAUUAAUAUUUUUCUAUUAAAUUUGUUGUUGUGACAUUAUAAGAGUUUAACACAUUCUAAUGGACUUGAAUUUAACAAAGAAGUUUAAUGAAAUUAAAAAAUUUUAAAAUUCUCAUAAGCAUUUUAAUUAAAAUAAGAUAUUUCAUUUAACUAAUAGCAUUAUAAACAUUGAGAUACCAAAUUAUGUCAAAAAUUAAAAUAUAAAUAUAAAAUCUCAAAUUUAAGAAUAGUAUAAGGACCAAAACUAAAAUUUGACUAAUUUUAUAUAUCAAGACAUUAUAAAACUAAAAGAACUAUAGUAAGAAUAAGAGAGAAGAGGAGACACAAAAGUGAAAGGAUAAUUCUACUUUUUCUUAGCUUCAAUAAGCUUGUACAUAUCAUUUAAUUAAUUAAUAUACAUAGAUUACAUAACUUACAUUAAUUUUAUACAUAAAUUACAUAACUUAAUGAAUUAAUAUUAUACAUAACUUACAUUAAUAUUAUACAUAAAUUACAUAACUUAAUUAAUUAAUUAGGACAAACUCAAAUUACCUAANNNNNNNNNNNNNNNNNNNNNNNNNNNNNNNNNNNNNNNNNNNNNNNNNNNNNNNNNNNNNNNNNNNNNNNNNNNNNNNNNNNNNNNNNNNNNNNNNNNNUUAAUUAAUUAAUAUACAUAAAUUACAUAACUUACAUUAAUAUUAUACAUAAAUUACAUAACUUAAUUAAUUAAUAUACAUAAAUUACAUAACUUACAUUAAGAUUAUACAUAAAUUACAUAACUUAAUUAAUUAAUAACUUACAUAACUUACAUAACUUACAACUUACAUAACUUACAUUUUUUUAAUUAUUCAUAAAUUACAUAACUUACAUUAAUAUUAUACAUAAAUUACAUAACUUAAUUAAUAUACUUAAAUUACAUAACUUACAUUAAUAUUAUACAUAAAUUACAUAACUUAGUUAAUUAAUAUUAUACAUAACUUACAUAACUUACAUAAUACAUAACUUAUAUGACUUACAUAACUUACAUAGCAUAAUUUUCAUAAUAAAUAACUUACAUAACUUACAUAAUACAUAACUUAUAUGACUUACAUAACUUACAUAGCAUAAUUUUCAUAAUACAUAACUUACAUAAUUUUCAUAAUAAAUAACUUACAUAAUACAUAACUUACAUAGCUUAAUUAUACUUAUUCCUAAAUCCUAAACCCGUGCAAUUUAUUGUCAAGAUUAGGCUUCAAGAAAUAAGAAAUGGACCGGUCUUGGAUGAAUUUGUCAAGGUUAAGCGACGGUUAUCAAAAUGGAGUACAAACUUUUCUAAAUUUUGCAUUUCAAGAUGCAAGUCAAGAGAACAUGAUUCUUUGCCCGUGUAAGAAGUGUGUCAACAUAAACUGGCAUUAUCGUGAAGUUGUAUACGAGUAUCUAAUUGUUGAUGGGUUUGUUCGUGGUUAUAAACAAUGGUUUUUUCAUGGAGAAUGCCCGCCUAGUACUUCCUCUUCAAGGAUGGAUGUAUCUUAUGAUAGUACUGCUUACCAUCAGUCUGUUAGAGGGGAUGACAUGGAAGGGAUGUUGCGAGAAGCAUUUAAUAUUCACAGUCAUGGUUUACAGUCGUUCCCACCCGACUUUGUGCCAUCUGAUGAUUGUAAUCUCGGUGGAAAUGCUUUUAUCGAACCCGGAAGAAGUGUACAUCAUGAAGAGCNNNNNNNNNNNNNNNNNNNNNNNNNNNNNNNNNNNNNNNNNNNNNNNNNNNNNNNNNNNNNNNNNNNNNNNNNNNNNNNNNNNNNNNNNNNNNNNNNNNNAGUUCUACGCGCUACUUAAUGAGAUGAACGAAGAACUAUAUGAGGGAUCGAAAUUUUCAAAAAUGUCUUUCUGCAUUCGUCUUUUCCAGUUAAAAUGUUUGGGAGGGUGGACCGGGAACUCAUUGACAAUGCUGUUAGAGUUUUUGAGAGAAAUGUUUCUGUUUGCAAAAAUCCCUCAGUCAUGCAAAGAUAUGAAGAAAAUGAUAAAAGACUUAGGUCUUGGGUACAACAAAAUCCAUAGUUGCCCGAAUGAUUGCAUGUUGUAUUGGGGCGAUCGGAGAAACCAACAGUGCUGUCAUGUAUGCGGCGAAUCCCGUUGGAUAAAUAGAAACACGGAAGAUGGGAAUGAUGAUGAAAAUGAUGCACAGCCAAGAAAGAAGCCGGUCAAGAUUUUGCGGUAUUUUCCGCUGAUACCAAGGCUUCAAAGGCUUUUCAUGUCGUCGAAGACAGCGGAGUCAAUGACGUGGCACCAUGAAGGACGAACCAAUGAUGGAUUAUUAAGGCAUCUGGCAGAUUCUUUAGCUUGGAAAUCAUUUGACAAUAAAUUUUCAAGCUUUGCAAGCGAUCCCAAGAGUGUGAGGCUUGGCCUAGCAUCUGAUGGAUUUAAUCCUUACAAGAUCAUGAGUACUGCAUACAGUACUUGGCCAGUAGUGCUUGUUCCUUACAAUCUGCCUCCGUGGAUUUGCAUGAACCAAUCUUCCAUUAUCUUAUCUAUGAUUAUCCCUGGAGAGAAAGGGCUCGGGAAUGAUAUCAACAUUUAUUUACAGCCACUUAUUGAAGAGUUAAAACAAUUAUGGGCUGGUGUCGAGACAUACGAUGUGCUGAGAAAGGAGAACUUUAAUUUACGUGCAGCUUUGAUGUGGACCAUUAAUGACUUCAUCGCUUAUGCCAAUUUAUCCGGUUGGAGUACCAAGGGUUGUUAUGCGUGCCCUUGUUGUGCUGCACAAACAUGUUCGCAAUGGUUAUACAAUGGGAAGAAGUUCUCUUACAUGGGUCAUCAUCAGUGGUUACCGAAAAAUCAUAGAUUUAGAUUUCAGAGUUCGGCAUUUGACGGUACUGAAGAGUUCAGAGAAGCUCCUUCGCAGACAAGUGGAUCUGAAAUCUUGUUAAUGUUGGAAGAUAUGAAUUUCAGUUAUGGGAAGAUGAAUCAACUGCCAAACACGCAAAGAAAUAGAAGAUCAAAUGAUGAAGCUGAUGAUAACUCCGAUGAAGAGGAUGAUCCUAAUGAGGAGGACUUGUGGAAAAAAGAAGUAUUUUCUUUGAGUUGCCUUAUUGGGAGCACCACCUUUUACGACACAAUCUUGAUGUUAUGCAUAUUGAGGAAAAUGUCUGCGAGAACAUUGUCUGUACAAUUUCCAGAUGCGUAUGCAUUAAAUAUAUCUUGAUGUGUUAGUGUUAAAGAUCGAAGACUAUAUUCGCUAAAAUUACAUGACUAUCACAUCUUGAUGCAAGAUUUACUGCCAGUUGCUCUACGUUGUUGUAUUUCGAAGAAGGUGACGUCUUGUAUAAUUGAACUAUCCAAUAUAAUGAAAGUCAUUUGUGGCAAAGUUUUGGAUGUUCAAGAACUUCAGAAGGUACAGGAUCGAGCCGCUUUAACUUUAUGCAACAUGGAGAAAAUCUUCCCACCUUCCUUCUUCACUAUUAUGGUUCACUUGAUAAUCCAUCUCCCGCAUGAAGCAAUUCUUGGCGGACCCGUUUUCUAUCGAUGGAUGUAUCCCAUAGAAAGGUGUUAAUUACAAUUUUUAAAAUUUUCCUUCAUUCACCUAUAUGCCUUUAGUUACAACUUUUGAUAAUGUUGUGUAUCGUGUUUAGGUUCCUGUCCAAAUUAAAGUCUUAUUGCCGCAACAAGCGUUAUCCAGAAGGAUCGAUUGCUGAAGGCUACUUGGCAGAGGAAUGUAUGACCUUCUGUUCAAGAUAUUUGGAAGAUGUUGAAACAAGGUUGAAUAGACCAAAUAGAAAUGUUGGACUCACGGAUCAUAACUUUGCCGAUAAUUAUUUGUUCCAAAGUUUUGGAGAACCAAUCGGUAAAGUUGAAAUUGCAGAAUUAGAUGAUUUAUCGUGGGUACAAGCACAUCAAUAUGUUCUGUUUCACCACGAUUCAAUGGAACCUUUACGCAAGUAAGUUCUAGAAAUUUGAUAAAUAUUCAUCAUUUAAAAUUUGUUUAUAGUCUAACAAACUAAACAUAUUUUUAACAUAGUGAGUACAAACAAAUAUUGAGAUCUCAUUCGCGCUCCCGAAGAACACAACAUUGAGAUAUCAAUAAGUUGUUUACAGAAUCUUUUCAUGAAUGAUUAAGCCAAACGGUAUGUAAUUGAAGCUUUCACCGACAAAUAAUAAUAUUUACUCAAAACAUUUUUAAUUACUCAGUUUACUUUCCAUUCAAUAGGUUUGGAGUGGGAAGAACGUCACCGACGAAGUUAAAUGGCUUUCCCAAGGUCCAAAUCGGGUGGUUAAAAGAUGUAGUGCGUUCCUCAUAAACGGAUUCAGAUUUCAUACAAAAUAUCGCGAGAGAUUGAGGAGAACGCAAAAUUGUGGAAUAUUUGUUAAUUCCUCAAUUACAAGUUAUGCUAGUGCUAGGGACAAUAAUCCUGUGGAGGGAAAUGUGGAAUAUUUUGGACUUCUUACUGACAUAAUUGAGUUGGAUUACUACGGCAAAUGGAAAGUUGUCUUAUUUCGAGGUGAUUGGGCUGAUGUUAAUACUGCACGUGGAAUCAAGCAAGAUCAAUUUGGUUUCACAAUGGUAAACUUCGUUUGAUUGAUUCACACAGGACAACAAUUGAUUGAUGAGCCGUAUGUAUUUUCUUCUCAAGUCAAACAAAUUUUUUACUCAAAAGAUCCAACUGAUGAGGGUUGGUACGUUGUACUCCGUAACAUCCCCAGAGACUUGUUUGACAUGGGCAGUGGAAGUAGAGAUGACAUUGACGACAGAACACAAACUUUGCCAUUUCUAGAACAGAACUUAAACGAAAACAUCCCUAGUACUAGUACACAAUUUCAAUGGGUCCGCCAGGAUACGAAUGAAGAUAUUUACGAAUUAUAAUGUAGUAAGCUUUUACGAUUAUCUAAUUAUAUUUACGAAUGAUGAUAUUUCAACUAUUUUAUAUGUGAUAUUAUUGUUGUAAUUGUAUACUAUGUUUUCAACUAGUUUAUUUGUAUUGCAGAUAAAAUGCCUAGAAAAAAAGUGCGAUCGCACCGCAUUGUUCAAGGUACUCCAAACUCGGCGGAAACAACAGCACUGAACAACAGACUGCUGUUGGAUCUUUGAAUGUUCCGGUUACACCUGAGGAACCUAUAGAAGUUCAAAGUAAUUUAACAUUUAAUUUACAUGUGUGUUGACUUCUUGUUUAAUUCUUUUAAAAUUUCGUAUAUUACAAUACUUUUAUUUUUCAGAUGAAACUGGUGGGACGCGAAGAGUUCGCGGACGUACGGUACUGAGCGAUUUAUACGAGCUAGAUCCAGUCGAGCGUGUCCAAGUAUCCAGUAAUAGCUUUGGUCAGCCUGUUGGAUCAGAAGCUCGCCUUUUAGCAGGAUACAUGGGCAUUCUAGCACGGAAUGCAAAUAUGUUGCCAAUUAACUUCGAGUCAUGGCAUAAAGUGCCCGAGAGUAACAAGAACCAAGCUCUCGAUAACAUAANNNNNNNNNNNNNNNNNNNNNNNNNNNNNNNNNNNNNNNNNNNNNNNNNNNNNNNNNNNNNNNNNNNNNNNNNNNNNNNNNNNNNNNNNNNNNNNNNNNNNNNNNNNNNNNNNNNNNNNNNNNNNNNNNNNNNNNNNNNNNNNNNNNNNNNNNNNNNNNNNNNNNNNNNNNNNNNNNNNNNNNNNNNNNNNNNNNNNNNNNNNNNNNNNNNNNNNNNNNNNNNNNNNNNNNNNNNNNNNNNNNNNNNNNNNNNNNNNNNNNNNNNNNNNNNNNNNNNNNNNNNNNNNNNNNNNNNNNNNNNNNNNNNNNNNNNNNNNNNNNNNNNNNNNNNNNNNNNNNNNNNNNNNNNNNNNNNNNNNNNNNNNNNNNNNNNNNNNNNNNNNNNNNNNNNNNNNNNNNNNNNNNNNNNNNNNNNNNNNNNNNNNNNNNNNNNNNNNNNNNNNNNNNNNNNNNNNNNNNNNNNNNNNNNNNNNNNNNNNNNNNNNNNNNNNNNNNNNNNNNNNNNNNNNNNNNNNNNNNNNNNNNNNNNNNNNNNNNNNNNNNNNNNNNNNNNNNNNNNNNNNNNNNNNNNNNNNNNNNNNNNNNNNNNNNNNNNNNNNNNNNNNNNNNNNNNNNNNNNNNNNNNNNNNNNNNNNNNNNNNNNNNNNNNNNNNNNNNNNNNNNNNNNNNNNNNNNNNNNNNNNNNNNNNNNNNNNNNNNNNNNNNNNNNNNNNNNNNNNNNNNNNNNNNNNNNNNNNNNNNNNNNNNNNNNNNNNNNNNNNNNNNNNNNNNNNNNNNNNNNNNNNNNNNNNNNNNNNNNNNNNNNNNNNNNNNNNNNNNNNNNNNNNNNNNNNNNNNNNNNNNNNNNNNNNNNNNNNNNNNNNNNNNNNNNNNNNNNNNNNNNNNNNNNNNNNNNNNNNNNNNNNNNNNNNNNNNNNNNNNNNNNNNNNNNNNNNNNNNNNNNNNNNNNNNNNNNNNNNNNNNNNNNNNNNNNNNNNNNNNNNNNNNNNNNNNNNNNNNNNNNNNNNNNNNNNNNNNNNNNNNNNNNNNNNNNNNNNNNNNNNNNNNNNNNNNNNNNNNNNNNNNNNNNNNNNNNNNNNNNNNNNNNNNNNNNNNNNNNNNNNNNNNNNNNNNNNNNNNNNNNNNNNNNNNNNNNNNNNNNNNNNNNNNNNNNNNNNNNNNNNNNNNNNNNNNNNNNNNNNNNNNNNNNNNNNNNNNNNNNNNNNNNNNNNNNNNNNNNNNNNNNNNNNNNNNNNNNNNNNNNNNNNNNNNNNNNNNNNNNNNNNNNNNNNNNNNNNNNNNNNNNNNNNNNNNNNNNNNNNNNNNNNNNNNNNNNNNNNNNNNNNNNNNNNNNNNNNNNNNNNNNNNNNNNNNNNNNNNNNNNNNNNNNNNNNNNNNNNNNNNNNNNNNNNNNNNNNNNNNNNNNNNNNNNNNNNNNNNNNNNNNNNNNNNNNNNNNNNNNNNNNNNNNNNNNNNNNNNNNNNNNNNNNNNNNNNNNNNNNNNNNNNNNNNNNNNNNNNNNNNNNNNNNNNNNNNNNNNNNNNNNNNNNNNNNNNNNNNNNNNNNNNNNNNNNNNNNNNNNNNNNNNNNNNNNNNNNNNNNNNNNNNNNNNNNNNNNNNNNNNNNNNNNNNNNNNNNNNNNNNNNNNNNNNNNNNNNNNNNNNNNNNNNNNNNNNNNNNNNNNNNNNNNNNNNNNNNNNNNNNNNNNNNNNNNNNNNNNNNNNNNNNNNNNNNNNNNNNNNNNNNNNNNNNNNNNNNNNNNNNNNNNNNNNNNNNNNNNNNNNNNNNNNNNNNNNNNNNNNNNNNNNNNNNNNNNNNNNNNNNNNNNNNNNNNNNNNNNNNNNNNNNNNNNNNNNNNNNNNNNNNNNNNNNNNNNNNNNNNNNNNNNNNNNNNNNNNNNNNNNNNNNNNNNNNNNNNNNNNNNNNNNNNNNNNNNNNNNNNNNNNNNNNNNNNNNNNNNNNNNNNNNNNNNNNNNNNNNNNNNNNNNNNNNNNNNNNNNNNNNNNNNNNNNNNNNNNNNNNNNNNNNNNNNNNNNNNNNNNNNNNNNNNNNNNNNNNNNNNNNNNNNNNNNNNNNNNNNNNNNNNNNNNNNNNNNNNNNNNNNNNNNNNNNNNNNNNNNNNNNNNNNNNNNNNNNNNNNNNNNNNNNNNNNNNNNNNNNNNNNNNNNNNNNNNNNNNNNNNNNNNNNNNNNNNNNNNNNNNNNNNNNNNNNNNNNNNNNNNNNNNNNNNNNNNNNNNNNNNNNNNNNNNNNNNNNNNNNNNNNNNNNNNNNNNNNNNNNNNNNNNNNNNNNNNNNNNNNNNNNNNNNNNNNNNNNNNNNNNNNNNNNNNNNNNNNNNNNNNNNNNNNNNNNNNNNNNNNNNNNNNNNNNNNNNNNNNNNNNNNGGCGUUGUGGUCGAAGCGCUGCUAGAGAUCAGGGUCUUUUGUGGUGUUUGUGGGAAAAGUGCCGCUAAAGGCCUAAAAAAGCGCCGCUAAAAGCCUGUUUUGGUGUAGUGUUUAAGUACCGAAAUAAUAAUUGAGUACAAUUUAGGGGUAAAUAGUAUAUUAACCAUUUAUUAUUUUAAAAAUUUGUUUUAUGUUUCCAUAUUUAAUGAUACCAAUUAACAUGAUAUUUUAUUAAAAAAAUAUACAACUAACCGAAUUAUUUUGAAUUUAAUAAAAACAAUUUCUUAAAUAAUAAUGAAAUAAUUUUUAAUCAAUACUUAUAAAAACAGUCAACACAUUUCAUUAUCCUGUAUCCAUUCUAAAUAUUUAAGUAAGCAUUAUUGAAAACAAUAAAUUAAGCAAAUAAAUAAAUAAGUAGAAGACAAACUGAUACAAUAUUUGAAGUCACCAAUUUGCGAUUUAAUAAGAAAGUUCUGGCUGCCUCUUUUGACUAGUACCAAUUCAAUGAAUAUUAAGAAAUUAACAUAAAUCCAACUAAAAAAAUUGAGAGUAGUAAAAUUCUUACGCUUCAAGUUCAGUCUAUAAAUAGCAUCUUAGUUCUCUAUCAUCUCACACCUCAACUCAAUCAUCCACUUCUUCUCUUCUUUGAACUCAAAGUCCCAGCUAAUAUUAGAAUCAUGGGUGUUGUCACUUAUGACUAUGAGAAUACCUCCCCAGUCGCCCCUGCCAGGCUUUUCAAGGCCUUUACUGUUGAAGCUCCGAAAGUUUGGCCCACGGCUGCACCUAAUGCAGUCAAGAGCCUUGAGGUUGAAGCUAAUCCUAGCUCUGGAAGUAUCGUAAAAAUCAACUUUGUUGAAGGUUAGUUCUUUCAUUUUCACUUUCAUUGGCCUUUUUGUUGUCUGUUUUACACGAGUAUGUUGGAUAACAAGUAUUUAUUUCUUUAGGCCUUCCAUUCCAAUAUAUGAAGCACCAGAUCGGAGGACAUGAUGAAAGUAGUUUUUCAUACAGUUACGAUUUAAUCGAAGGUGGGCCUUUGGGGGAUAAGCUUGAAAAAAUUAGCUAUGAGAACAAGUUUGAGGCAGCUGCAGGUGGAGGGAGUAUUUGCAAGAGCUCAAUGAAAUUCUACACUGUUGGCGAUAAUGUUAUCACUGAAGACGAAAUCAAGGCUCUCAUUAAAGGGAGUGAGGGAGUUUACAAGCCUGUUGAAGCUUACCUCUUGGCUAAUCCCGAAGCCUGCAACUAGGAUAUAAGUUGCUUAAUUUGAAUUCUUAUGCUUGCUUUUAAAGAGGGGUUUGAUUUUAAUGUUGUGCUUUUGAUAUUUUCUUUUUCAUCUUAAAACCUAUAUUGUCUUCUGGUUGUUCAGUAAGAAUGAUGGUGGUGGUGAUCGAACUUUGAUCAUCUUUGAUAUAUAAUGAAAUAAAUAAAUAUAUACUAUACCCAAUAUAUAUUUUACAGCUUUCAUGGAAGACUACAAAUUUUCUUUUGUAUAUCUUUUGGGUUAGCAAAACUUUGAGCUAAACAUUUUUUUAAUUGAAUUUAUAUUCAAAAUCUAAAAUAAAAAUAAAAAUCAUCCCACGCUUUCGAAUAAUAGUCUAAUCAUAUAAUUCUAUUUUUUAAUAAAAUAAAUAACAUUAAGCGAAAAUAAUAAAAUCACAUAUCCUAUUAAAGAUAGCACUUUUAAGUUAUACUAUAUUAUCUAUAAGGAUAAUUACAUUAAAUAAUCAAUGUCACACAAUUGCAACAAUCAAAUCUAAAUAAAAAAAUUACAAAAAUCAAAUGAAUUUUUUUUUAGGUUUUCCUUCUAAUUAAAUGCUCAUUAAAUUUCUUUCCCACGAAAUAUAGUUAUUAUUACGGAUUUUUAUCAAAAUAUUACAAACAAAAAAAAUACCAAAAUAUUAUAUAAUUUUUAUUAUUUACUAAAAUAAUACAAAAAAACAGAAAAAAAAGCUGCGAUUGACGUGACAACACAGGGGAGGAGGGGGUGCAAUAGGCGACACCAGUUGUGCCCCUGUCAGAGGCGGCACCGAUGGUGCCCCUCCCACAGGCGGCACUGCCUAUUUAUGGGGCCAUUCGGCUGGUGGGUGGGGGGAAGAGAAGGAGAGGGAAAGAGGAAGAAAGAAAGAAAGAAAAGGAAAGGAGAGGAAAGAAAGAAAAAGAAGGAAAGAAAAGGAAAGGAGAAGAGAAAAAAAAAAAAGNNNNNNNNNNNNNNNNNNNNNNNNNNNNNNNNNNNNNNNNNNNNNNNNNNNNNNNNNNNNNNNNNNNNNNNNNNNNNNNNNNNNNNNNNNNNNNNNNNNNGAAAAAAAAAGAAAAAAAGGUAAUUUUUUUUAUUAAUUUAAAUUUUUUUGUAAUAUUUUUGUAAAAAAUUUAUGUUAUGUAUAUGUGUUUUAUUAUUUUAUUUAGCAUAUAUUUAUUAUGAAAUUUAUUUAGCAUGAAAAAAUCAAUGUUAUGUACAUUGUAUGUUGAUUAGGAAUUUUUUUUAUGAAAUUUAUUUAGGAUGUUGUAAUUAGUUUUUUUAGAAAAAUAGCAUUAAAAAUAAAAUGAUAAAAAAAUAUGUUUAAGAAAACAUAAAAUACGAAAAGAAAAAAAAUGGAAAUUGUAUAUUCACCGAAAGUAAAAAAAUCCGAAAAAAUGGUAUAUUUAAAAAACACACUAAAUUAAUAAAUUUCAACCAUAAUGUACUAAAAUAAUGUAAAAAAAUAAAAUUAGAAAUUAUGAUAUUUUUUAAAGUAAUAAAAAGCGGAGAAAAAAAUAAGAACAAAUUGCCGAAAUAAGAGUGUUUUACUAAAUUUUUUAAAAAUUCAGAAAUAAUUAAUACAAAUAUUUCAAGCAAAAUGUACUUAAAUAAUAUAAAAUAAUAAAAUACGAAAAUAAUAUAUUUUUAUUGAAAGUAAUAAAAUUCGGGAAAAUAAUACGAGUAAAGGGCAUGAAUAAAGGGUUUUUUUACACUAAAUUAAUUUAAAAAACACACUAAAUUAAUAAAAUUCAAACAUAAUGCACUGAAAUAAUGUAAAAUUAUAAAAUUAGAAAAUAUGAUAUUUUUUAAAGUAAUAAAAUGCGGAUAAAAAAUACGAAAAAAGGGCCAAAGUAAGAGUCUUUUACUAAAUUUUUUAAAAAUUCAGGAAAAUAGUACGAAUAAAUGGCCGAAAUGAGAGUUUUUUACUAACUUUUUUUUGAAUUUGCAGGCAUCACAAUGGCUCCAUUGAUUCAACCCGGUAGACACAUAUCUGAUGCGGCUAAUAACGCGGUAUGAUUUAUUAUUUGUUAAUCACGGGUUCUAUUUAAAAAUGAUAUACGUAAUAUAUAGAAAUAAAUCAUGUUAUCCUAAUAUUUUUUCUGUAAUUUAACACUAUCAGGAAUCGUACCGAGUAAUAAGGGGCCGUGUGAAUGGUUUAAAGAAAGCUCCGGAUGCACAAUUGAUGCCGUACUUGGAGCAAGCCGGAUUUGGGAAAGUAGCAUUGAUCCGGACCUUCGACUUGCGCUAUAAUUUAUUAUCUGCGCUAGUGGAGCGGUGGUGCCCGAAGACCCACACUUUUCAUUUUUCGUGUGUGGAGUGCACGGUGACCUUGGAGGAUGUUGCAAUGCAGCUUGGGCUCCCAAUUGAUGGGAGUCCCGUAAUGGGAGUAUCUUCAUUUACCGAUUCGUCUGCACUUUGUUAUCAGCUCCUAGGAGAGUCACCAGAGGACGAUGAGUCAAAUUUCUUGAGCUUGAAAUUUACAUGGCUGAAAGCCAAAUUUGGAUAGUUAUCAGCGACUGCUACUGAAGGUGAGUUGACGUGCGCUGCUCGAGCAUACAUCAUCCAUAUCAUAGGGGGGGUACUCAUGCCCGAAGCAAACAACAAUAAGGUGCAUAUGAUGUACUUGCCCCUAUUAGCUGAUAUAUCCAGUGUUCGCUCGUAUAGCUGGGGCUCCGCCGUUCUAGCAGUGUUAUAUCGGGACCUUUGUCGGACGACAAACCCGAAUGUUGUAGACAUGGGCAGAUGCCUCACAUUACUGCAGUCCUAGGCGCUCUAUCGGAUUCCAUUUUUGGCAUCGGUUAGUCACCAAUCGUAUGUUUAUCCACUAGUGAACAGGUGAUCAAAUAUAACUUGUCAUUAUUUGUAGUUUAUAUGGUAUAUUGACUAAUGUUACCAACCCUAAACCCUAUAUUUGUUUCUGUAGGUGGAGUCUUUAUCCGAGUAUCGGGAGGUCACACUCUGUCCCGAUAUACCGACUCAUGAUUGAACAGCAUGUCGGGGAAGGGGUAAGCUGCUAUUCUAAUAUUCAUGACAUCUUACUUUCAAUAUCUUACUCACGCGUUAUGGCUAAUUAUAACCAUGUUAUUAAUCAUGCAGUUUAUAUGGAUGCCAUAUCGUAGGCCAGAAAUUACAGAUGUGGUACCCUCGUCUGCAUACAUUCAUUCUGACAUAUGGUGCACUAAUGCACCAAUUAUAAAUUUCAAUAUAGUCGAGUGGUAUCACGGGGAUCGGGUGUUACGACAGUUUGGCUGCAUCCAACAUAUCCCGAAUCCGCCAUGCGAGGUGGGGGCGGUUCAUGGCGUGAAUAAGAGAGGGAAACUGCAGUUGGAUUGGGGCAUUAAGCAUCGAUAAUUUGUUACGCUGGGGAAUGAUCGGAUGCGUCGAAGACCUCAUAUGGUUAUGACUUCCGAUUUGCAACCAUCAUUAGAGUACAUAUAAUGGUAGUUUGGUUGCGGGAAGCCAUAUAUACUUGGAGGCCAGUCGACUGUAGUCCCCCCGCACAUGCAGCGACCUGGGGGAUCAUACUCAGCGGCCCGAUGGAGGAGGAGCCUGUGGCAUAUUAUGAUCCAGAAACAGAGCCCAAGCAAGAGCCCCAGCCAGAUCCCGAACAAUCACAUUCACAUGUGGAUUCACAUAGCUAUCAUCUAGAUUUGGCGGGCAGGGACUAUAUUCCGAGCUUCUCAGAGGGAGAAUUCGCAUACGACUUUGAACUCUUUGGAUCCUACCCGCCGCAGUACAGCAUGCCUGGCCCGUCCGGCCCGUAUUCGUAGCAUCAUGGGACUCCUUCUGGUUCAAGUUCGUCGAUGCUGAAUGAGCCAAAGGAUAUUUCCUUUAUGUUUGCCACACCCCCACCUGUGCCCAAUAAUGAUGUUGGUCGUCGCUAACACCCAGAACGUGACCGUCGACCUCCGAAUAGGUAUACCCCUAAGACCACACCAUCGAACCAUCAAUUUUAGGGGUUUAUUGCACUUUUUGUACAUUACAAAGUUUGUACGUUUUGUAUAAAUUUAAUUAUUCUAAUUUUAGGUAUGCUUAGUACGGAACUGUUUUGUAUAAAUUUAAUUAUUCUAAUUUUGCAUUAUAUUAAAGCUGAAUUUAAGGUUAAAUGGCUCCAUUUUCGAUAUAAUUUUAAUAAUUCCAAAUGCCAUAUACUAUUUUAUAACUUAAUUUAAGGACAAUUUAAGCAUAAGCAUAAGCUGAAUAAUUUUAAUUAUUUCAAAUGAAUUAUACUUUUUAUAACAUUACACAUAACAAUUUGAUAGUAUUAGGUCAACUUCGACCCGAUCUGGACGACUGUCCAACAUGAAAAUUUUGCCGAGGGCAUUUAUUCCGACUAUGACCACUUAACCUGCAUAUUCCACAACGCUUACUGUCUGAUUUCUCCCUAAUGUCCAUUUCAUUACAGAUUCUGCUUGAUUGCGGACGACCUCUUGGAUUCCUGCGUAGCCCUCUGUCUGGGAGAAGCUCGAAAGUCGUCGGAGGCACCUCCCACGUAGAUAAGUCAGGCAGGACAGGGAACUCAUUUUCCCAGGCAUGCAAUGUGCACUCGAGCGUGUACACAUCAUCGACAUAUUGUUCAACAUUAAGGUUGACUUUAGCACACGCUGCCACAACAUGCGCACAUGGAUAAUAAGGUGUUUCGAACCUCCUGCACUUGCACCGUCUGUUCCGGAGAUCAACUCUAUAGGACCUAGUUGGUAUACCAGGUCGACGACUGAUGGUCUCAAUAAAUCAAAAUGUUUCCAGUCGUCGUGAAUAUAUUUCUACAUUCAUUGACCUCGCCAUCCGACGAUUUGCAACCAUUGCAUCCCUGACAUGUUAGACAAACACGUGUCUCGCCUCCAUCUGGUCGACUUGUUGCUGACCCAUUCUUGGCAUCAAGGUAGCCAGCUAGUAGAAUGUAGUAGAAAAGACAUGCAAUCGGAAGAUGACAUGUUUUCAACAAGACAGCGUUGAUCCCCUCGACUAAGUUUGUGGUGAUUUGGCCAUAACGAAAGCCCUCGUCAAAACUUUGAGCCCAUUGCCAUGGCUCCAUUGUACCCAACCAUUGUCGGAAAGAUGUGUUUGUCUUCCCCUCCAUAUCACUCUCAAGUCGGAUCAUUCUUUGGUGGAAAAUAUGUGGCUCUAACUCGUACGCUGCAUACGUAUUAAGAAAAAUAAGUUCUAGUAACUCGAUAACAUAAGACAUUACAACUUAUAUUGAAAAUAUAAGGUUAUCAUUUACCCAUUGCCACGACUUGUCUCUUCCAAUCUGCAUUCUUAUAAUCUUUGUGGAAGUUUAACCGCAAUGUGACGGAUACAGUAAACGGACCUCUAUUGCACACUGGAAUGCCUAAUUGCUGCAAUUAAACCUUUCCCUCUAUCGGAGAUGAUGCAAUUAUUAUCGUUGCUAAUAACAUACCUCCGCAGGUUAGUGAGGAAGAAUUCCCAAGACUCCAAGUUCUCUUUAUCUACGAUGAAAAAUGCUAUCGGGAGCACGUUUCAUUGCCGUCUUGAGCAACCACAAGAAGUAGGAUCUGUGUAUAUUUUCCAUAUAGCCAGGUCCCAUCCACCUGCACAAAUGACUUGUAGUGGGGAAAUGCCCGCACACAUGGAUCAAACAUCCAGAACAUCCGAUGGAAAAUCCUUUUUACCGGCUGUAACUAGUCGUCCGGGUCGUAAUAAGGCCUUGUCUGCAACUCAAUCAUAGUCCCUGGUACGUACUCCCGCAUAGCAGCUAUCCAUCCUUGUAGCUCGUUAUACGACGAACCGUAAUCCCCACACAGUUGCUUCAUUGCUGUCUGUUUAGCUAUCCAUGCAUUUCGAUAUGAUACUCGAUAUUGGAAUCAUGCUUGCAUCUCGGCAAUCAGUACCGAAACUUUAAUGGUCGGCUUGUCCUUCACCAUUGGCAUGAUACACGUACAGAUAGUUUUCGAAUCAAGUUUUCCAUGAUCUUCUGCCAUAUGUGUUGAUGUGCAUGUAUGAGGACCAACAAAUUUUCGUAUCUCCCACAUCUAAGAACUUUUAAUGAAUGCAGCUUGUACCUACCAAUUGCAGCCUUCCGCUGCCUUCCAACACUCCCCAAUAUAUAUUGUCGGAGUAGACACUGUGACUUUAUAAUCCAUUGAUAUGUUCAUGCUAUACCGUUUAAUAGCAAAUACGCACUCUUCUUUACAGCUGAAUCUCUGGCCUAUGAAUAACUCCUCAUGAUUAGAAUUUACGGCCAACUUGUGUGGAUGAAGUAUUUCAGGGUACUCUGGGAACUCAGCUACAUAUGUUACGUCGGGGUUUAUGAGCGACAUAUAUGGCCCAGGAUUAUUGUGUAUCAAAAUACGUCACAUGUGGUCCCCGACCGAAGAAGCGUUAAUGUUUCCAUCGUUGUUGACAUCUUCAGUGUCAAUAUCAUUAGGUACAUCGUCCACAUCGGGAUCACCGUCACUAUCGACCUCUUCAUCCCAAUGAUCGCUACCACCUUCUUCUUCACCACCAACCACAUCAAUAUCGGGUGUAAUAAUCAGAUUGAUACUGAUCCCACCCAUAGUCGACCCACUAUCAAUGUAUGAUAUUGGAGCCACCAUCCACGGUUCUUGAGCUUCGUGUUCUUCAUCAGAUGCAUUGACAUCUUCAUUUUGCUCCAUACCGGCUAACUCAGUAAAUAAAUGAAUCGGUGCAUUCUUGUCACUGCCAUUCCCACAGUAAAGAGCGACCAUUGUCUCCACGUCUUCAUCGUCUACAAGUUCCAUUUCGGUGAAUUUGACCGGAUUUGUUGAAACUAGAAACUUGUAGAAAAUUUUUGAUAUCCUUCUCCCACAACGUCUAAGAAUUUUUGCAUUAAUCAUUGCCUUCAUUUCAUCCAACGAGACAUUUCUAUUAAAUCUCAUUACUAUUUGUUGCCGACAUUCAAAUACACAUCCAACACUUGUUGUCAAGAUGACUCCAUCGAAAUAAACGCAUACAAAAAACUUAUUAUCCAUCUUCAAUAUUCAAUCUGUCAAAAAAUAAACAAGAUCUCAAAAAAAAUCUCUAAUGGUAAAUAAAUUACUUAAAUAAAAAAAUUGAAUGUUUCAAUAUGCAAUUUUUCAUCCUUAAGCUCAUACUUUUUCAGUUAUUAUUUUGUACAUGAACAACGUUUAACCACUAACCCUAAUAACUAACACAAUAACAAUAAUAAUAGUUUUAUACUGAAAAUAAUACUAACUAACAAUAAUACUAAGUAACAUCUAAACCUUAAAAACUAAUAAUAAUAAUAAUACUAACUAAAACUAUCAAAUUGAGUUUUUAUUAAUCUUAGUAACUAAACUAACAACAAAAAAUAAUAAAAAUUAUACAAAAAACAUAACAACAAGAUAAUCAAUUAUUUUUAAAAAAAAUACCUUUUUUUCUCUUCUCUUUCUCUCUUUUUCUCUCUUUUUCAGGCAACACCUCCUCUUUCUCUUCUUUUUCUUCUUAUUUUUCUCCUUCAGCUGGACGGAUCUGGUGUUUAUAACACGAGUGGUGCCGCCUAUGGGAAAGGCAACUUUGGUGCCGCCUGCCCCAUCCGAUUUUCUUUUUUUUUGUAUUAUUUUGGUAAAUAAUAAAAAAUGUAUAAUGUUUUGGUUAUUUUUUAUUUUUUUAAAAUAUUUAGGUAAAAAUCCCUAUUAUUACAAAUAAUUGUUUCUUUUUUUUAUUGCAACAUGACAAAUAACAAGUUAUCAUCAAGUUGAAUAUGGAUUUUAAGGUUUCAAGAGUUGAAAAUUUAUGUAUAUAUAUUUAUGAAAUAAGGCUUGAUGUAUCAUUUGUCCUUUUAAGUGUCUUGUAAAUGGAAAAAAAUUUAGAGCAAAUAGAAUUCAUCAUCCAUUAUUAUUGUUUAUCUUUAAUUAAUUAAAUAUAAUUAAUAAAGAGAUAAAUUAAGAAAUUAAAUCGUUUUAGAACUCUUUUAUAAACAAAUUGUUGAGUCCAAACUAAUAUUUGAAGUCAGAAUCAAGCAGUGCUUAGAUUAGUUCUAACAGCUUCAGGCACUAGUAAUGAAAAUUGUAGAAAAAUAAUAAUAAUAAACACAAUAGAUGUUUACAUAAUUCAAUUUCCCUACAUCUAUGAGGCUUUGCCCAUAGAGAAUAUUCACUAUCGUAGCUCGUUGUACAAUAAGUGUUUCCAAGCACUAACACUCACCAAUUUAGUCUUCUCACUUUUGUAUCUAAGAUCUAAACAUCUCCUUCUAAGUUUUCAAGGAAAACUUAGGAAACUAACCAAAUCACACACUUGAUUAUUACAGUUUAAUGCACUCACAAAAAUGUUCCUUACUUGAACAAAAUAAAGUGCUCCCACUAAGUAUGUAACAUCCCAAAAAUUGAGGGUUAGUAGAAUCAGGUUUGGGAAUCGAGAGAGAGUGGUCAUGCCCUAAUUUUUGAGAUUAUCUAUGCAUUUUUAGGAAAUAAAUGAGGUAUUGAUUUGUUGGUUAAGUGUUAGUGAAAUGUUUCUUGAAACCCAAGUUCAAAUCCCUUCUCUCUCACCAUUUUUAUUAUUUUGCAAAUUUUGUCUUAAACCCUAGUAUGUGACAUACCUUGUUUUUAAAAUAACUAUUGCAAAAUUAUUUCAAGAAUGUGGAAAAAGCUUAAUGGUUAAAAGAAAUAUGAAAAAGUAUGAAAAUUAAAUGAGGUCCCAAGUUUGAAUCUUUUUCCUUACAAAAUAAUUAAAUUUUGCAAAAUCCCUUCUUUUUUUAAUGUGUGUGCCAUCCAUACCCGUUAACCCUAAGUAUAAAUACAACUUUUUAUUGUAUUUUUCAACCUUUAAUUCAAAUUUCCCUACCUUAGCCGUUCACCCUCUUCCUCUCCUCUUUUCUCUUCAAUUUUCUUUCUUUCAAGAUUGUGCACCAUCUCCUUUACUCUAAUGCUUCUAUUUAUCCUCAUCUAAAUCAGCCCCAAAUCUAAAAUCUUGAACCCCAAGAUUAAUCCUGAACAUUGCAAAAAAAAAAGUGUCAUUGUUAUUUCUCUCAACUAACUUGGGUAAGAUCUCUUUUCUUUUUAAUUUCUUGAUUAAUAUUGUCAAUUAAAAACCAAAAUUUCUAAAUCUUGAAUUUGGGGGAUUUUAAAUGAUUUCAAAUGUAUUUUUCCAUAUUUUAAUGAGAUCUCAAACCGUUUUAAAAUUCAGCCCCAAUUUUGGCCACCAUGGGUGGUGGUGCGUGUGCCUGUCUCCAAGAAAGGGGGCUAUUUUUUUCUUGUGUCUUGCCAAUAUUUUUUCCAGCAUUAAAUUUUGUUCUUGAGCCCUUCUAAUCAUCCUUUAAUCACAUGUUAAUUAGGGAGAGACAUUCUUGAUCAAUUAGACAAUCGGGUUCCACAAAUCGUGAAGCAUAAGUGUAAUUAAGGAUAACUAGUUUGUUAUUUCGAUAUAGUUGUAGGGUAAAUGUUAUGAAUUGAUUAAAUGAAGGAAUUUAAUCCUUAAUUAGCUACUUAUUUUCCAGUAUAUUAUUGAAUUAGGUGCUAACCUAAACACCCCAAAUCGUCCGUAAAGGCACAGAAUGAUUGUAUGUACAGUUCGCAUCGAUACAGUAUAAGAAAUCUAACUAGUUUUGAUUCAUAAAAUAGUUAUAAUUUCAAGGAUUGGUUUGAACUCAUAAGUGGGUGUUUGGGGGCAGGUUAAUGGUAAAUUUGUUGAAUUUAUACUAAAUUUUGGUUUAGGUUCGUUUAAGAAAUUAUUAAGGAAAAUUGGAAGAUUCGUUAGUGUGCUGCGAGGAAGCAAAAAAUAAGGUGUGGGUCCUAAACUCAUCAAAAUUGUUUGAAAAUUUUAAAUAUCAUGUUAUAUUUGAUAAAUUAGUUUGCUGAUUGGAUUGGCUUAAUAGCCAAAUUAUUGAUUUUGUGAGUGACCGAAUUAGGUAUGUUUGAGCCUUAAAAGAUUGACAUGUUGGCAAAAUUGCUAAUUUGAUAGUACGAAUGUUUGAUUGAGUUUGUAAUUACAUAUUUGAGUUAUGAGAUAUGAGAAUGUUUGACUAAAUGAUAUAAUGUGUUGAGAUAUUAAUGAUUUAAAUGCAUGAGAUUUUGUUAUAUUGUGUACUAAAAAGGGUGCUAUUUAUACACAACGAAAAUCCGUAAAGUAUGUGAAAUUGAACAAUAUUGAUUGAUACCAACACAAUGGUAAUUUGAAAGAUUGGAACACUGUUUCCUUUUACUGAAAGUAUGUGAUUAUUGAGGACAUGCAGAGCAUGUCAAAUGAAUGUGAAAAAUAUUAAGAUAUGAUUAUGUAUGAGAUUGUGUGACAUAUUGCAUAUGCAUUGAGUUGGGAUAUUGUGGUUGAUGCAAGAGUUCCGUAGAGUGUCGGCAGCAUAUUAAGUCCGCAUUAUUCGUAGCCAGUGCACUGCACCUGAAGUACCGAGGGGAAUGGCGAUUUAUCGCAUUUUUACUGGCAACUUGUCUGUAUUUUUACUGGCAAAAUUUUUUGCAUAUUGUUAUUAGUGGUUUUAACCACAACAGGAUUAAGGCUAUAAUGUUUUGGAGUUCAGAUGACGGGUUCUGGAGAACUCGUGGUGUGUAGAGGAUGGUAUGGGUAGGAACCUUUUUGCAUAUUGUAUUAUGCUCACGACAUAUUCGAAUGUUAUUGAUUUAUGCUACGUAUUGUAUUGAAUGGUAUUGAAAUUAAUGAUUGUUACUCGAAUGACACACCAUUUGACCUCAAUUUGAUAAUGGCUAUGUAAUGAUAUGAAAUUCCUAUGAUGGUUCUGUUUUCUUCUGUUAAAGCUAAUCUGUUUCACUGUAUUCAAUAUUUAUGUUUGUUUAAAUAAUUAUUCGAUUCACACUGAGCUUUUCAUAAGCUCACCUCACAAUAGUGCUUAACUUUUUAGGUAAACCUCAAAAUUAGGACCGGACUUGGCAUAUGAAGAAUCACAUUGAACCUUGGACUAUUCUUAAUAAGUAUUAUUAAGUAUUUAUUGGUUUUGCCUUGUAAUUUUUAAUUAUUUUUGGUCUGUAGCUUGGUAACUUUUCUUUUGGGGAUUUUUUGCAUGCAUGGAUUACUCAAGCAUAAUAACUGGAUAAUGCAUGAUAUCAAGCUUAAGUAAAUUUUGAUAUUGUUCCCUAGUUUUCGCUGCAUUACAAUAGGAACCAUUUUUGAAAAGCAUAUCGAUAAGGCAACUAAGUUUCCAAACUGACUUGAAAAGUGGUUUUUUUAUAAAAAAGAGGGAGAAGCAAACAAUUUUUCUAAAACAACAAUAUCAACAAUAAAAUGAAUCCUAAGUAUACGAUUUUCUCUAAAUGAGUUUAUUUAAAGACUUCAAAAGUAACGUAAGUUAGCUUAGCCAUUUUGGUGGCUAAUGUAGCCUUCUCAAUUUAGUCAUAACGUCUAGGCCGGGUUUAGAAGGUUACAAAGUACAUAACCUAUACAAGUCUUCACUAGGGGUAAUCUAGUAAGUCAAGCUUGAAUACUGUCAAGCUCCUCUUGAAAUUUGGAGCUCUAUACUUGACUCGAGCUCGAUUUAGCUUGUUUGCCAAUUUUUAUACUCAAGCUCGAACUUGAGCUAGAGUUCGGCUCAAUAAUUAAGCUAGGGUUAAUAAUAUAUUAAGGGUAAUAAUGUGAUUUAAUAAUAUAAAUGUUGGAAAAAUUUUGGUUUGAAAACGAUUUUCUUGUACAGUGGAAAAUUAAAAUUUUUAAGUCCUCCCAGUUUAUGAUAUUUAUAGCAAUAAACCUUAAAUUGAAUUCACACCUAAGUUUUCAAGUAGACGGAGCCUUAUGAUUCCUGCCUUUCACCCAAACAACAUUCUCCACUAUUCUAGUACCACUAGUAUAUUGAUGAGUGAAAAUUAGCAACGCUAGUACACAUAUUGAUCAAGUAAUAAAGUGGUGAGCAUAUAUUAUUUCCAUGAAAAUCAAAUUCUAAGUUGCUUAGUAACAACAAUUCAAUUUUUAUUCAAUCCAAAUUAAUAAAAUAAAAUUUAAUUACUAUUAAAAUUAAAAUAAGUUAAUUAAGAAGACUUUAUUAAACUAAAACAAAGAAAAUUUAUAUGUUAAAUCCAAUAUGGAAAAAUUAAAUGUUCAUUCUCAUCCUUUAUUAAUACAAGAUGUUAGGGUGUAAGGUAUUCUAUAUUCUAAAAAAAUUGUGCGUUUCAUACUUACCACGAUGGGAAUAAACAAACUAAGCAGUUAGGUUGCCCUAGAGAUUGAUCUUAAUUAUUAUCCUUAGUACAAUAAUUUGACGGUAAUUAUAUUCUAUUCUAUUUUAACAACACUAUUAUUAUUAUUAUAAUCAACUACGUUCUUCGCAGGCUACUUGCUUUCUGGAUAGUCCAAGUCUUCCCACGAAUUUGUCAGUAAUUCUAUUCUAUUCUAUCUGUUUACUUUUCUCAUUACGAUAAUAAAAGUUGCAUUCUAAUGUAAUAUUUGCCUCAAAAUUACACUCAAUUAUUACUUUGAUAUUUAAAGAAAUUUUUUAGGUAUCUCAAAUUUCCAAACAUCAAGCAUAUUACUCCCUUACUGCCAUUACAAAAGAAAAAAAAAAAGAUGUCGGAUUCUGGGAGUGCAUCAUGUCACCCAAUUUUAUGUUUUUUUUUUUCUGAAAUAAAUGUAAACAAAUAAAGAAAUAAGAAAAAAAUCAAGAAUAAUCUAAAAAAAUUAAAAAUCAGGAAAAAUUAUAAAAUUUUCCAAUUUAAAAAAAAUUUCCUUUUAAAAAACAUAAAAUACAAAACAAACAACAAAUAAUUAAAAAUAUAGAUAAAAAAACACAGAAUAAUAUAGAUGUAUGUAUAGUACUUUUUAUUAACCUUGAAUUUUUUUAUUUAAAAAAAAAUUCUUUUUAAAUUUAUUUUGCCAAAAAAAUUUACUCUAGGCUUGUAACUUAAUUUUUUUUAAAAUAAUUAUGAUCUGAAUUCUAUAAACUAAAUUGUAACCUUUCCAACUUGAUCUAAACGUUGUGGCUGAAUUCGAAAUAUUAUAUUGGCCACCGAAAUGACCUAAUAAAACUAUCGGAACUUACAAAAUAGUCAUUUUAAAAUUUUUAUUUAUUUUUGAAGAAAACUUAACAUGUUAUCUUUGUCGAAACCUUCUUUUUUAAAGGGUCAACUUUGGUUUGAAAACAAAAAUCGAAACGGGAGUCGCCACCAAUCAUUUUUAUGAGGUGUGAUCGGAUCACCUCGUAAUUGGGUUGUUUUAAUAAAACAUUUUGAUUUAUCAAAAACAACAAUUUUAGUCUACGAAUUUUGAGAAAAUGGAUUCGGGAGUCGGUUACGUGCGAGGAAGGAUUAGCACCCUCGCCACUCCCAAAAUUGGUACCUAAUUGACUAAUUAAUGUCUAAAUGUCGAAAGUUGAAAUUUUGAAAAGAUUUUAAAAUGCGAUCUCUUUUUUAUUAAUGCCAUUUAUUUUAAAAGAAUUUGCUCAAAUAAAUCAAAGCAAAUGUCAAAGACCUUCUCGUCUCGAGAUAACAAGUGUCACAUCCCGUGAGUUAGGACACGACACUUGGAAACCUCGAGAAUAAAUUUGCCUUUAACUUUUAUUGAAAUUUCGUGUAUUUUGAAAUUUAAAAGGAUAUUUGACUAUUUAGGUUUAGCGAGAAAAUUGAAACCCCGUAAGUUAGGGUACAAUUUCUCAAAAUUCCAAAACGCGAAAUAUUGCCUUAUUUUAAAACUUUUCCCUGUUUUUUGAAUAAUAGCGAGCAAAAUAUUUGAAUGAGGUACAUUCGUUUUAUUUGGGAUAAAAUAGAAUGAUUUAUUGCGGGUAUUUACAAAUCGAGCGCAACUUUCGAAGUGAUGAAAUGAAAUGGAAUGACAACAUAGAACAUGAAAUAACGAUUUAUGAGUAAAAUGUUACGUUAAUGAAUGAUGAUAAUAUGAAAACAAAUAAUCAAGUUAUAGCGUACAUAAUGAUAAUAACCACACCACAUGCAUCAUUUUAACAUACCAAUAUUAAUAAUCCAAGUAAACAAAACGAAAUAAUAGAAAACAAUUUUAUGUAACUAAUAGUCUAAAACGAGUAAUUUAUGAGAUCAAUUCGAAAUGAAUGAUAAAAUAUUUCAAACAAACAAUAUAUAAAACUUAAAAUGAAUAAUACUAAAAUAGUUUAAAAUAAAAAAAACACAUAAAACAAUAUUCUUUUUCUUUAUUAAAAAAUAAUAUAUAAAAAAAUUUAAAAGAUAAUAUAUAUAUAUGGUAGUUUAAAACAAAAUAUGUAAUAAAAAAUUUUAGUAAAUAUUAGGUAAAAAUUUAAAAUAAAUAAUAUAUAUAAAACUUAAAAUAAACAAUAAUAAUAGAAGAGCUCUUUUUUAAAAAAUAAUAAAAAUAAUAAAUUAAUUAAAUGGAAUAAGGACGAAGUUGAAAUCGAACCUAAAAUCUAGGGUUUAAAUCGCAAAUAAAUAAAAAAGGGUGGCUCGGGAUUGAAAUAGAGCGCGCUUAAGGGAUAAGGGACCGAUUGGGCAAUAUUCCCAGCCCUCAAGCGCAGCGUUUCAGUUCGGACCAAAAUGAAACAAUCAGAAAAUUAUGCGGCCAAAAUAUAAAAGUAAUGAGGAUCAGAUUGCGCUAUACUAUAAAAGUGGAGGGACUGAAUAUGCAAAUAGCCCCUCAAAGCCAAAACGCGCGAAUUCUGGCCGCAUUUGGGUCGGUUUUCGGAUCUUAUGCAAAACGGCGUCGUUUUGGCCACUGAUGCUAAGGUCCAAAACAGCGUCGUAUUAUACCUUAUAUAAAUAGCAAAAAAAGAAAAAAAAAUAGAAAGCUCUCAGUCUCUCUUGGUCUCUCUCUCGGCCCCUCUUUGGCCAGCCAUGGUCGCCGCUGCAGCGCCACCUUUAGCCUACAUUUCGCAACCCCUUGGAAGCCCAACCCUCUCGACCCAAAAAAGGAGGAGGACUCUCGACCCCCUCUCGGACUCGAUGGCAAUGACAGAGGAGAGCCUUCCGACGGUGCGGUCACGGGGCGUCUCUGGUGAGCCUUCUCUUCCCUUUUUUUUAUUUUACUAUUUAGUAUGUAAAAAAUGAAAAUAAAAUAAAAUAAAAAAUAGAAAAUAGAACAAGAAAGUAAAAGAAUCACCUCCAAUCUAUUUUUUGUUUUCAUUUUUUUAUAUUAAUGUUCGUAAAAAAUUACAAAGGGUGAGAUCUAGGCUUUUAUAGCCGAUCUAAACAACUCUUAAUGUCCAUUUUUUUGUUGUUUUGCAAUUUGUUCUUUUACUGCUUGUUGUCUUCUUCUUUUGCAUGUUGCAGGUGGUGUCAGAGAAACGUCAGGCACGUGGAGAGAAGGUGGCGUGCGGCGGUGGGCAUGCGAGGAGGCCAUGAGCAGGCUUAGAGGCGGCAGCUGCAUUAAGGUUUCUUUUUCGCUAAUUUUUUUUAAGUUUUGUGGGCUAGGGUUGUUAGGAUUUUUGGUUAUUGGUUUGGGCCUUUAUUUAAUUUGAUUUGGUUUUGGUUUUUUUCUGGUUUGGGCCCAGGCCAAAAUUGGCCUAUUACAAUCUUCUUUUCACUAAAUGAUAUAAUUUAUUUCCAAAACGAUAGAUAUUAAGGUUUUCUUAGCAAAUGUUGAUUUCCAAUUUUAUGUAUAAAUAUAUAUAUAUAUCUUUUUUUCAAAAACUAUUCACUUAGUAAUGUAGCAGAAAAGUGAUAUUUGACAUAAUUUUAAUGAAAAUCAGAUUUCAUGCGAAAGUAAAUCAAGUUCCAUAUUUCAGCAAUCCUAAAAUCAAUGUAAAUGUCAUACAUGCCAAAUAAACCCAAAACCUAAGUCUCAUACCAUAGUUCAAAUAAAACAAUACAGUCUUUCAAUAGCAAAAAUUUCGAAUAAUAAAUCUAGAAUACUUUUAUUGAAAAAAUAAUCUAAGAUCGAGCACUCCAAAUGCCAAGUCUGUGUCCUAACCUGAUGGUUUAUCUAUAAAGAUGAAAAUAAAGGGGAGUAAGCUUAAAAAGCUCAGUGUGAGUCCAAUUACAAGAAGGUCAAUGCAAACAAUAGAUGAAGCACACAAAAUAACAAAUCUCAGAACAAUCACACUCAUAUAACGAUUCAGAGUAUUCGGUCUUUAGAUCAACACAUCCAAUAUAAUAUAUCAGAAUUCAUAGUUAUGCAUGCAUGUGCUUAUGAAUGGAGAUGCAAUUUCAAUUUAUCAGAGAAAAUCCUACCCAAGUCCGCUACACACCACAAUAAGAGUUCCCUAGAACUCAUUCAUCCCUACACACCAUGUUGUGGAUGAACCAUUAGUAAUUACAGAUGAACUGAACUACCAGUAAUAAAAGUUGUGGAUGAACAAUAAAAAUUUUUAGAUAAAAAGUUUGCAGUUUAAUAAUCUACACACCAUGUUGUGGAUGAAUCAUUAGUAAUUACAGAUGAACUACCAGUAAUAAAAAUUGUGGAUGAACCACAAAAAUUUUCAGAUAAAAAGUUUGCAGACAAGCUGCCAAUAUAUUAUGGAUGAACCACUAGUGUUUGUAGAUUAUUAACCUGCCAAUUCUUCCUCCACUAGUAUCGUCCCACCCCAUGCAAUGCAAUAUGACAUGCUUAUAACAGAUCAGUACGGUAGCAGUAGACAUGCUUAACGUAUUUGGUUCAACAGUAGCAGUAUGCAUGCUGAACAUACAAUCAGUGAUAUCACGGCAGAAUUAACAAUAUAGUUUAUCAGAAAUACAGUGACAGUAGGCAUAUAUCAUUCACACAUCAUGCAUAUAACAGUAGUAAUUUAGUCAUUCAGAUAAUAGUUUCCAUAAUAUACAUAUUAUCAAGGAUUCAAUUAAGUGAAAUAAAACUCUAAAAAUAGUUCGAGGACUAUACAGGGACUAAAUAGAAUAAUUCACAAAUUUCAUGACAAAAUUCUAAAGUAGGGGUCACAUGGCUGUGUGACCAGGCGUGUGAGGAAGCAAAGAUUGUGUGGGAGGCGUACACGGUCGUAUGGCCAGGCCGUGUAACAAACUGAGGUCGUGUGACAAACGCCAAAGUUACCCUAUAGGAGGGAAACGACUGUGUGAAAGGGCUGUGGUCGUGUGGUUCACAAACAAGGCUAAGAUUUACAAGGGCACAUGGUCAUGUGGUCUGCACAGCUGUGUGGGAGAUCGUAUAACCCUAAAUCUACACAAGAUCACCACCGAUUCACUUGGAAAAGAACACACCUUUCACCGCGGGUCUGGUUGACGUUCAUCACGCUCGAUUUUGUCUGAUUCAAUUAAAUCUAGUCCUUCAAAUGACAUUUACACACAAAUUAAUGGUUGUAUCAAGAUUUGACAAUAUUUACAAAAGAUUUGGCUAGAUUUCGAGGAAAUUGAUUAAUGGAACCAAAAGACUAACGACGUACAUUAAUAUUACGAAAAUAUGGGAUUUAAUCCUUAAAACAAACACACUUACUGAUUAUUGGUGAAGGUAAUGGAUGCUAUUUGAUGAUAACUCUAACAUUGUUAAGAAAAAAAAGAAAUGGGGAUUGAUUUGAUACAAGAAAGAAAAAUACUCAAUAGUUCAAAGGUUAAAAUAUGAUGCAAGUAUGAGAGAAAAGAAGAAGGAAAGAAAAGGGAAAGAAAAGAAAUAAAAGAUAAAGAGGAGUUUUACUAAAUUUUUGAAAAGAGGCAAACCUAAUCCAAAUGGAAAAGGAUGGUUAAAUAGCUAGGGUUUGAAACCCUAGGGGCGACAAGGGUAAAUUACCCAAAGCUGCCAAAAUUCAAAAGAAAAAUGAGUGGGGAAGGAGGUAGCUUGAACUUAGGGCCUCUAGGAGGAGAGAGUAACAGUUAACCAUUAGGCCUAUCGCCCAUUUCUUAUUUAGUCUUAAUUCCUGACCAUAUAUAUUUUGGGUGUGACUUUUCCCUAGGUUGUCGAAAAUAAAAUGGGAGGAAGGGAGCUCGAACUUUUGGGUCUUUAAGGAGGACUCUCUAUCACUUAACCAUUAAGCCUAUUCAAUUCUUAUUUAACCAUUUCAAUUAACCCUCUAUAUUUUGAGGCGUGACAUAAAUAAUAGUAAAUUAUUCUUAUACUUAAUUGUACUUGAAAGCUUGUCUAAAUUUUAGAUUUACCUUAAUUUCAUUUGAAUAAAAUUAAAAAAAUUAAAAUGUAAAAUAAGUACGGGUAAAUGUAUUUCAAAAUGAAUGUCAUUCAAAUGGAAAAUAAUCUCAACACUAUAUUUUAACUCUAAAAAUUUUGAUUUGUAACCAACUCAUAAUUCUUUAAAUUUGAAAUAAAUCAAAUAAAAAAAAUUAGUCUAACGACUUGUAUUUAAAUUGAUCAAACUCAAAAGCAUUUAAAUUUAAAAUAAUUAAAAUAAAAAUGAACUCAAAUCUAAAAUAAAAAAAGUUGAUUGAAGAAAAUUAUGACAACUACGAAUUCAUCUACAUGGAAUUUUAUGGCAAUGGUAGCUUCAGCUUGGAAUCUAAAAUUAUUGAAAAACAAACAUAAACAAUCUGUAAGGUUAAAUCCCAAAGCAUUUUGUACAAUUUAAUUUAAUUCUUAAGUCUUGACAAGCCUUGAAAGAACCAAUUCCAUAUAUAUUGUGCAUUUAAAAAAAAACACGAUAAGUGCUAAAAGUAACAUGUUUUAUUCUCAUUCUUAAUGCGUUUUUGGGUGAUUAUCCGAUGUUAAUUUUGAAUUUUAUACUCCUAAUCCUUUAAAUUCAUGCUUUAUGCUUAAUAGAGCACUUAGGAGCAAAAUGAGCAAAAAACAAGCGAAAGUCGAAGCGUCGGAGCAAGUUGAUGGAGCCACACGGGCUGAACCAUUUCACAUGGCAAGACCACACGGCAAUGUAAUCUACACGGGCAUGUGGUAGGGCAUGUCGAUUUCACAAGAUUGUGUACUGAACAGCAAAAAAUCAUGAUUUUUAGGUUUUUUGGGCAUUCUAAGACGUAUAUAUGACAAAAUUAAGAAGAUAAGAGAGAGCCGUAAGAGAAUACUCAAGAAAACAACUCAUAAAACACCAUUGAAGCCGAUUUUGAAGUAAAUUUCCGUCGAGAUUGAAGAUUCCCAGUUGAUUUCUUAGGAAGUUAUCAUGCGUUUCUUUAUUUCUUUCAAUUAUACCGUAUUUUUUAUUUUUCUCUUAUCGAGUAUGAACUAAUUUUCUAAAUACCUAGAGGAAAUGAACCCUAUGAUGGAUUCUGUCAUUUGAUUUUUUAUUUUACACAAUAAAUACUUAGUUUCUUAUUCUCAAUUAUGUGUGUUUUAUUCUUGGUUUGAUAUUUCUAGAGUAUUAAUCCUUGUUUGAUGUGCUUAAAUAGGUGAUUGAAUAGACACCGUUUAAGAUUAGAUCUUGCGUAAUUGAGUGAAGUAGCAUGCAAUCCUAUAAAUAGGAUGACAUAAAUCUACCGGAUUAGAGUCAAAUCUAAUGGGAAAAUCCAUAGCAUGAGUUAAUGCAAUAAUAGGGGUUUUAAUUAGAAAAAAAUUCAAUUAAUCAAUCUAGAGUCAGUUGCUUUUAUACUUGAAAGAGAUAUUAACAUAAUUUAGGGAUUUCUACGGAUCAAGGUGUUAAGUAAAGAAAUUGUGUAAUUUAGAUUGCUAGUGACAGAUGAAAUCUAGGCAGAUUCUUUCUUAGGUAUUGUUUCAUUUCUUGGUUGUUAUUUGAUUAUUUUUGCGAUUUGUUCUUUGUUGUGUUCAUUAGUUAAUAAAAUUAGUUAAUUUUAGUUUUAAUCAAUCAUUUGAAUUAUUGGAUUAAAUAAUCGAAAGACAGUAAUUACUAAUACUCGUAGUCCUCAUGGGAACAAUAUCUUUGUUCACUGUAGCUAUAUUAUUAAUUGAUAGGUACACUUGCCUUAAUUAAAUUUUUAGCUAGUUUUGUAGACACCAAAAAAAUCUUUUUCAUAAUUUUUGAAACUUUUUUAUAAUGUUUGUAAAUUUUUUAUUUUUAUUUUUUUGCUAUUUUUUAAUUUUAUUUUUAAAAACUAUUUUUUAAAAAAAUAAAAAAAACCAUUCAAAGUUUUUAAAAAUUACUAUAGAUAUUUAUAUAUCCAUAUUGUUCCAUUUUUUUCUAUAUUUUUAAUGAUUUUCCUUCUCUUUUUGAAUUUUCACUAUAUUUGUAUUUUAUGUUUUUUAGAAAGAAAAGAAUUUUGUUUAAGUUCCGGAAAAGUUUUAAAAUUUGUCUUAUUUUUAUUUUCUUGAGAUAUUUCCUCUCAUUUUUUUGCCUUUUUUUUAAUUUUUUAAUUUUUUGGUUUUUUUUUGCAUUUAUUUAAGAAAAACAUAAAUUUGGGUGACGUAACGUGCCACACAUUUUUUUUUCUAACAACAGUAAGAGUUGAAUAAAAAUAUCUAAUGUUUGGAAAUUUCAGAUAUCAAACUGAUAAAAGAAUUUCUUUAAACACCAAAGUGAUAAUUGAAUCAUCAAUACCACAUUAACCCUUUAUUAUAUUAAAAUUCUCAUUCUGUUUUCAUAUUUAAUGGCACUGUUUAACGUUACAUUUUAUUAAAAAAAAUUCAACCAACACAAUUUAUUUUGAAUUUAAUAAAAACAAAUUCUUAAAAUAAUAAUUAAAUAAAAUUUAAUCAAUGCUUAUAACCACAGUCAACACGUUUCAUUAUCCCGUCUAAAUAUUGAAGUAAGCAUUAUUGAAGAAAAGCAAAUAAAUAAAGUAGAAGACAAACUGAUACAAUUUCUGAAGUCAUCAAUGGGAAAUUUACUAAGAACUUCUGGGAUGCUUAUUUUGACCGGUACCAAUUCAAUGAAAAUUACUAACAAUAUUGGAUAUAACUCCAACUAAAAAAAUGAGAAUAGUAGAGUUCUUACGCUUCAAAUUCAGUCUAUAAAUAGCAUCUUAGUUCUCUAUCAUCUCACUCCUCAAUCACUCUAUCAUCCACUUCUCCUCUUUGAACUCCAAGUCUGAAUUAACAUUAAAAUCAUGGGUGUUUUCAGUUAUGACCAUGAAACUACCUCCCCAGUCGCCCCAGCUAGGCUUUUCAAGGCUUUUACUGUUGAAGCCCCAAAGGUUUGGCCCGCGGCUGCUCCUAAUGCAGUCAAGAGUAUUGAGGUUGAAGCUAAUCCUAGCUCUGGAAGUAUCGUAAAAAUCAACUUUGUUGAAGGUUAGUUCUUUCAUUUUCACUUUCGUUGGCAUUUUUUAAUGUGUUUUACACGAGUAUGUUGGAUAACAAGUAUUUAUUUCUUUAGGCUUUCCAUUCCAAUAUAUGAAGCACCAGAUUGGAAGACAUGAUGAAAAUAAUUUUUCAUACAGUUACAGUUUAAUUGAAGGUGGGCCUCUGGGGGAUAAGCUUGAAAAGAUUAGCUAUGAGAACAAGUUUGAGGCAGCUGCAGGUGGAGGAAGUAUUUGCAGGAGCUCAAUGAAAUUCUACACUGUUGGAGAUAAUGUUAUAACGGAAGAUGAAAUCAAGGCUCGAAUUAAAGGGAGUGAGACAGUUUACAAGCCCCUUGAAGCUUACCUCUUGGCUAAUCCCGAAGCCUGCAACUAGGAUCUAGGUUGCUUUGAAUUCCUAUGCUUGCUUUUAAAGAAGAGUUUGAUUUUAAUGUUGUGCUUUUGAUAUUUUCUUUUUCAUCUUAAAACAUAAAUUGUCUUGUUGUUUCAGUAAGAGUGAUGGUGGUAGUGAUCGAACUUCGAUCAUCUUUAAUAUAUAAUGAAAGAAAUAAAUAUAUAAACCCGCAAGAAAAAGCUUUACCUAGUAUAUAUUUUACAGUUUUCAUGGAAGACUCCAAAUUUUCUUUUGUAUUAUCUUUUGGGUUAGCAAAAGUUUGAGCUAAAAAAGUUCUCAUUUUUUCUAAGAAAAAGAAUUUUAUUCAAAAUCCAAAAGAAAAUAUCAUUUGACACAUUAUAAUAAUAGUGUAACCAUACAAUUUUAAUUUUGGGUUAUACUCCAUCAUCUACAGUAGAGGUGAUCAUUCGAUCCAACCGAAUGAAAAACAAAUUGAGUUAAUUAAGUUGAUGAAUCCUAUUUUUUCAUACUAACUCGAUUUAAAUGUUUUUUGAAUCGAGUCGAGUCGAAUCGAGUAAAAUUAUUCGAGAUAAAUUAAAAACAAUUAAACAUGUCAAAUUAAAAUCUUGUUACAAUAUAUAACUAAUUUCAUGUUAUAGCAUAUAAAUUUGAAACCAUAUAUAUUUAAAAACUUUUUCAAAGUAAAAUAAUAAUAAUAAUAAUAAUAAUUUUUAGUCUGAUAAACUUGAAUCAUUAAUUAAAUUAUUUAAGUUCUCAAAAUUAUUAUUUUAGAAAUUUUAGAAAAAAUUAACUUUCUUUAUAUAUUUUUUAGAUUUUUUUCCAAAUUUUAUAAUUUUUUAAAAAAUAUAAAUUUUGAAAAUUUUAUAAAUAUUUUGAAUUUAAAAAAUUCUUUUGAUUUUUUUUUGUAAUUUUUAUUGAGAAAGAGACUGAUUUAUUUAUUUUAAUAUAUAUAUUAUAAAAUAAAUUAUAAUGUUUGUGACUCAAUUAGUAUUAGCGUGUUUGAUCACCCAAUUAAAAAAAUUUCAAGUUCAUCACUUGAAUUUUUUAUCACUCGUAGUAAAUUAUUAACUUAAACAUAACAUGAAUUUUUUAAUUGACAUAAAUGAUAAAUGUAACUUUCAGUAUUUAUACAUUUUAUUAAAUUACUUUUAAAUUUUAAAAAUAAAAAAUACAUAAAAUAUAAAAAUACAUAAAGAUUACAGUUAUAUAUUGCUUUGACAUUUCUUCAUCAAAAGGAACUCAUAACUAAAUAACUAAUCCCAAAAUGAAGAACUUUUCAACAUUAUUGGUUGCCUUAAAUUACACAUACCUAAUUCAAUGUAAUCAUGAGGAAGGACAAAAGCUUGAUACAAGACGAACUCAAUUUGUUUAGUAUCAUAGCUAGCUAUGAUUUUAGUUUUAGGUAUUUGUCAGCCGAAUUCAUGAUAAAAAGCUACUUAUCAGUCAAUUAAAUUGUUUUGGGAGGGAAAAGUAUUGUGGCAGUCCCGUAUUCACUACACCAAGAUAGGCUUUUAGCGGCAUUUUUUGAGGCGUUUGGACAAAACACGCUGCUAAAAAUCGAGCAUUAGCGGCGCUUAGGAUAAAACGCCGCUAAAGAUCUAGCAUUAGUGGCGCUUGUUUGGAAACGCCGCAAAAACUCGGACCUGUAGUGGCGUUUUUAAACAAAAACGCUGUAAUAAUGGUGACAAAACGCAUCGUUUAAUCUUCAAGAAUAGCGGCAGUAGCAGCAUAUUAUACAAACGCCAUUUUAUAGUGUAAUUAGCGGCAUUUUUUUUGUAAGCGCCGCAAAAAUUGUUGAACAAAACGCAGCGUACGAUAUUGAGGUAUAGUAGAAUUAGUGGCGCUUAUGCAAAAACACCGCUAAAGCACAGCACAAAAUAUCUUAACCAAAACGCAACGUUUGGUCUUGAGGUAUAGAGCCAAUAGCGACAGUUGUAGAAAAUGCCGCUAUAUCCCGUAAUUAGCGGCACUUAACUAAAAAACGCCGAAAAAUUUUAACCGAAACGCAGCGUUUCGUCUUGAGCUAUAGCGCCGUCAGCGGCGCUUACCCGAAAACGCUGCUAUAAAUCAAGCGCUGCAAAAAUUUUGGCCAAAACGCAUCGUUCCGGCUUGACCUAUAGAGGCGUUAGCGACGCUUACUUGAAAACACCGCUAUACCUCAAUUAGCGGUGCUUAACUAAAAAACCGCCAAAAAAUUUUAAACCGAAACGCAACGUUUCGUCUUGAGCUAUAGUGCCGUUAGCAGCACUUACCCGAAAAGGCUGCUAUAUAUCAGCUUGCGCCGCAAAAAUUUUGACUAAAACGCAUCGUUCCAGCUUGACCUAUAGAGGCAUUAGUGGUGCUUAUUUGAAAACGCCGCUAUAGAGCAACUUUUGGUGGCGUUUUAGGGAAAGCGCCGCAAAAUUGUUAACCAAAAUGGCGCAGUUUCUAGUACUUCAGUGGCGUUUUAGGUAAAAACGCCGCAAUAAAAUUAAUUUGUUUUUCCAUUUUAGGAUUUAGAAUUUAAGAAUUAAUGUUAAUGGUAUAGAGUUUUAGGGUUUAUGGUAUACUAUUUUUUAUUUUGGGCUAGGGAUUCAAGGUUUGAUGUUCAAGGUUUAAAGAUACUAUUUGAAAACUAAUUAAAGAAUAACAUUUGAAUUUUAUUGGGAUUCAUGCCACUUUGUAGCACACCUAUAUUAUUUAAUAUAAUUAAGAAUACAAUAUAUAUGUUUUGUACUAAACUAACAUUGGCCACCCGAAUUCCCAAAGAUAUGGUUUAGGAAUAUGGUUUAUGAUUUACGGUUUAGACUUUAGGGUUUGGCCAGUUUUAAGUGAAAAAAUAACAAGAAUUGUGGGAAUUUUCUGUGUCUCAUUCCUCCCAAAAUCAAGAACAUAUAUACACUGUAAAAUACAAAGAUAGAAACCAAAAUAUUAUCUCCCAAACUUUAGCAUUUAAUUUCCUAAUUAAACCAAAAUAUUUUCUCCUAAACUUUAGCAUCUAAUCUCCUAAUUAAAAGAAAAUAGAUAUACACAAAAACUAUCAUACAUAUUUACAGAAUUAAUUCCAAUACCCCCUCAAGUUGGAGCAUGAAGAUCACGGAUGCCCAACUUGCAAAGGAGAGAACGAAAAGAUGUCUGACCAAAAGCCUUGGUAAAUAUAUCUGCAAGUUGUGACGUUGUUAGAACAUAGGUAGGUUUCACAUUGCCUUGGAGAAUUUCAUCCCGAUCAAAAUGACAAUCCACCUCGAUAUGUUUGGUACGCUCAUUGAAGACCGGAUUGUGAGAUAUAUGAAGAGCAACUUGACUAUCACAAGCAAGCGUUCUUGAGUGCGGAUAAGAGACUCCAAGACUACCUAAUAAUCCAUUUAACCACUUGAGCUAACAUGUGGUCACAGCCAUGGAUCGAUAUUAGGCUUCUGCGGAGGAUCGAGACACCAUGUGUUGUUUCUUUGUCUUCCAAGAUACCGGAGAAGUACCCAAGAAAAUCAACCAUCCUGUGAGUGAUCGUCUUGUCAACGGACAACCGGCCCAAUCCACAUCGCACCAACCGUACAACCGCAGAUCACUUUUGCUACUCAAAAACACUCAUUGACUCGGAGUUCCUUUCAAGAAACGAACAACUCGAAGCGUUGCAUUUCAAUGAUCAAUGCGUGGUUGUUGCAUGAAUUGAGAUAAAAUAUGAACACUGUAUGCAAGCUCCGAUCUUGUGAAGCAUAAAUAAAUAAGUCGUCCAACCAAACGACGAUACGAUUUUGGAUCAUUUAAAAAAGAACCUGUAGCAAGAGCUAACUUAUGAUUCUACUCAAUAGGAAUACUUGAUGGUUUGGCUCCUAAAAGUCCAACUUCCGAGAUGAUGUCAAGAAUGUAUUUGCGUUGAUUCAAAACAAUCCCCUCUGGAGAACGCGCAACUUCCACCCCAAGAAAAUAUUUUAAGGGUCCUAAAUCCUUCAUAUGAAAAAAUCACUGAGAUAAGAUUUAAAAAACUCAAUAGCUUCAUGAUUAUUACCUGAGAUAAUCAAAUCAUCAACAUAGACGAGAAUAUUGACUUGAGAUGUAUCUCUCUGCAAGGUAAAAAGAGAGUAAUCCAAAUGCGAUUGUUUGAAUCCAUAAUCUUUUAAGGCUGUCGAAAGCUUGGCAAACCAGCAUCUUGGCUUUAGCUUGAGCCCAUAAAGAGAUUUCCGAAGCUUACACACUUUUCCCGGUUGUGUUACUCGAAAUCCAGGUGGUAUCGUCAUAUAAACUUCCUCCUGAAGAUCCCUAUGUAGAAAAGCAUUAUGCACAUCCAUUUGAUGUAAUUCCCAUUGCUUGGCUGCUGCAAUAGCAAGAAAAACCCGAAUAGUAACCAUCUUUGCAACCUGUGCAAAUGUGUCGGUGUAGUCAAUUCCAGCCACUUGAUGAUUACCAAGAAUCACAAGACGAGCUUUGAAUCGUUCAACGAAGCCAUCAGAGUGAUGUUUUAUUUUAUACACCCAUCUGCAUCUGAGUGCCUUUUUCCCUUUCGGAAGAUCCUCAAUCUCCCAAGUUUUUUGCUUUUCUAAAGCCUCGAUUUCACUAGACAUGGCAUCACGCCAUUUUUUGCUUCUAGCAGCUUCAGAAUAAGAUUUCGGCUCUCGUUCUGCGGUAAUGGCUGCAAGAAAAUUCUGAUGUUGCACAGAAAAUUUAUCACAGUUCACAUAAUGCGUUAUAGGAUAGGGCUUACCUUGCGAAUGCCGUGGAGGGGAGAAUUUCGGGGAUGGACUUUUCCUCUGAAUGGUGUGUAUGACAAAGUCCCGCAACCGAACUGAGGACUUUAAACGCUGUCCACGUCCCUACUCUUCUUUACCACUUCGAGUAUCAGUUUUGCUACUUUCAUUUUCAGCCUGCUGCUUAUCUACAUCAGUAGCUUGACUAUCAUUUGAAACCGCUACCUCAUUCCAUGCCUCGUCAAGUCCUUCACUUUGAGGGAGUGCAAUUGUGUCGAUCAUGGACUGAUUUGCAAAGCUGUAGCAAAAGGAAAUUGAUCUUCAAAGAAAACAACAUCUCUAGAGACAAAGAAUUCCAGUUUUUCUAAGUCAUAUAAACGCCAACCUUUCUUCCCAUAAGGAUAACCCAUGAACACACAUUUUCUACUUCGGCUGGCAAACUUAUCCCUAGUCUUACAGUGAGCGUAACACAAAGAUCCAAAAAUUCUUAGGUGACCAAAAUCUGGUUGUCGACCAUAGAGAGCCUCAUAUGGCGUCUUUCCAUUUAAACUCGAACAGGGAGUUCGAUUAAUUAGGUAACCUGCAGUCAAAAUGCACUCACCCCAGAACUUGAUAGGAAGCGAUCCUUGAAAUCUAAGAGCACGCGCAACAUUUAAGAUGUGCCUAUGCUUUCUUUCGACUCUCCCAUUUUGUUGUGGAGUGCUUGGUACAUGAAGAUUGGAAAAUAAUACCAUGUUCCACAAAAUAAUUCUUCAUGCAAGUAAAUUCUUUUCGUUGUCACUACGUACCAUCUUUACUUGUUUAUCAAAUUGUCAUUUGAUCAUAGUGAAGAAAUUUUUAAACAUACAUUGAAGGUACUUCAGAUUUAUUGUUGAUCAAGAAAAUCCACACACUCAUUGAAAAAUCAUCAACUAUUGUCAGAAAAUAUGAUGCUCCACAAGUAGACAAAGUGUUAUAAGGACCCCAUAAAUCACAAUGUAUUAAUUCAAAAAUAUCAACUGCACGAUGUUCACUUAAAGAAAAACUUCUCUAGUUUUGUUUUGCUCAAAGGCACACAUCACAACAUUUAUUCAAAAUCUCAUCCCUACUAUCUCUAUCUACCUUCGAAAAAAGUUUCGUCAUCUCCAUAGAUGGAUGACCUAACCACUUGUGCCAUAUUUCUAACGAGUUACCGGCAGUCACCCUCAUUGCCUUGAUCCUUGGAAUUUUCCGAAAGUAGUAGAGUCCAUCCCUUUGUUCACUCGCUCCAAUCAGCAUCCUCGAGGUACGGUCCUGUAUAACACAUAAUUUUUCAGUGAACUGGAUAAAGCAAGAAUCAUUUUCCAUAAGUUGUGACACAGAGAUAAGAUUGCACGUCAAAUUCGGCACAAAUAGAACAUUUCGCAACAAUAAAUCUCCUCCAAGAGCAACAGACCCUUCCAAAGUAGCCACAGAUUCAAUCCCAUCCGGUAACCCAACGGGACAAUUAGGAAUUUUAUGAAUAUUAUGUAAAAAUUUUAGAUUACCCGUCAUAUGAUUUGACGCUCCUAUGUCAAUAAUCCAAGACAAUUUCUUACCCGUCAUCUUCUCAGUUGUAGUUGAUCUCAUACCCUUUAAGGUUUGGAGCAAAACUUGCCACUGUUCAUUGCUAAGCCCAGGCAAAGUGUAUGCUUCAGUAUCAUCAGUGCUAGCAUUUGAAGACGAUACUCCCCCUGUGUGGGUUCGGACAGCAUUAGCUCGCUACCCCUCUCGUCCUCGACCUUUUGAUUAAUGUUGGCCUCAAUUCUUGCCACAGCUUCCACCCUUCAUAGUUCCUCGAGGUCGUUCUCCCCACCAUUCAGGAUAACCAAUAAUAGUAAAACAAUUAUCAAUAUCAUGUCCGAGUUGUCUGCAAUGGGAACAAACCCCCUAUUUCUCCUUACUUUCUCCACGGCCUCGACUUUGCACCGCCAUAGCCAUCACAUCAGAGCGAUCUUCCAUCUCACGAGAUAUGGUCUUCACUCGUUCUUCCUGAAUAACCAUCGAAUAAGCCUUGCUCAAGGAUGGCAACGGAUCGUUAGCCAAGAUGUUGGAUCUAACCGUGCUAUAUGUCCCAUCCAAUCCCAUCAGGAAGUGGUGAACUUUUUCCUCUUCUCGUCGCUUUUCCAACUCGGCUGAUAGUUGAUAAGUACAAUUCCCACAUUUACAAGUCGAAAAUUGAUCAAAAAUCACCAAUUCAUCCCAUAUCAGUUUCAAAUUUCCAAAAUAAUUGACAAUAGUCAAUCAUUUUUGCUUGCAUUCUACAAGAUCGGAUCUGAGUUGUUGGAUUCUUGGACCAUUGGCCAUUGAAAAUCUCUCUCGAAUAUCAUCCCACAAAUCCUUAGCCACCUCUACAUGAGAUAUGGUGGAUCGAAGAGUUGGUUCAAUGGUAUUUUAAUCCACGAAACUAGCAACUAGUUAAUGGUCCACCAAUCUUCAAUGUCGUCUGAUGUAUCAUCUGGUUUUUUAAUCGAUCCGUCAAUAAAUCUGAACUUCUUCCUAACACGCAACGCCGUUCGGAAAAAACGAGCCCAUUCUUCAUAGUUUUCCCCUUUCAAUUGUACUUGAGUGAUUGCAAGUCCAGGAUUAUGAAGCGAGGUUAUAUCGUACGGAGAAAUCAUUUUUUGCACAAUCGCCCCUUCGCCGAAUUUGUGACCGGAAUCACCUUUCCCACCAGCCAUUAGCAAAACUUUACACGUUCAAAACCUGCUCAUGAUACCAUGAAAAAAUAACAAGAAUAGUGGGAAUUUUCUCUGUGUCUCAUUCCUCCCAAAAUCAAGAACAUAUAUACACGGUAAAAUACAAAGAUAGAAACCAAAAUAUUAUCUCCUAAACUUUAGCAUCUAAUCUCCUAAUUAAACCAAAAUAUUAUCUCCUAAACUUUAGCAUCUAAUCUCCUAAUUAAAAGAAAAUAGAUAUACGCAAAAACUACCAUACAUAUUUACAGAAUUAAUUCCAAUAUUAAGAUUUAGAGUUUAUGAUUUGGUGGUUAUUGUUUGUGGUUUACGGGUUUAAUGUUUAUGGUUUAGGGUUUAAGAUUUUCAAUUAAUGUUUAUGAUAUAGUGUGGAUUGGAUUUUGGGGUUUGGAGUUUUAUGGCUAAUUGAUGGGUUUAGGGUUUAAGGUUUAUGGUUUGGGGUUUAAGAUUUACGGUUAAGGCUUACAGUAUAGUGGGGAUUUAAUUUUGGGGUUUGAUGGUUUGGUAUUUUAUAUGGUUGACGGUUUUAGGGUUUCCACUUUGGGGUUUGGGGCUUUGUAUUUAAUCUUAGAUAUUUUAGAAUAUAAAUGUAAAUAAUAUAAAUAUAAAUUAUUAUUUAAAAAUUAUAUUAAAAUGGGUUAAAUCCCAAAAGCACACAUGAACAAUGUUUUAUUGUUCAAUUGUAUACAUUAACUUUUAAUUAGUUUGAUCCAGAUCUUGUAAAAUAGUAACAUAAUUAUUGAUAUAAUUAAAAUAAUUUUUUAUUUAUAUUGCAUACAUAAAUAUUUAUAAUUAUCCAAUAUAAAAAUAUAUUGAUGUAUUUAUUUUUUAAAAUGUGUAAUUAUUUUUUAAAAAUGCAUUACUCUCAUUUUUUAUUAGUUAAUAUUUUCUCUCUAAUUUAAAAGAAAUUAUAAACAUUAGCGGCGUUUAUGUUAAAAGCGCCGCAAAAGGUGAGGCAUUAGCGGCGUUUUUAUGAAAACGCCACAAAUUUUAUUGAAAUGUUAGCAAAACAUUGUCAUUUUGUUCUUUGCUUUUAGUGGCGCUUUUUGUAAACGCCGCAAAAGUGUAUCAUGAGUUAAGAAACUGCGUCGUUUGGCAUUGUCUAUAGUGGCGCUUUCCUUAAAAUGCCGCAAAUAUGUUUUAAGUUUUAUAUAAACGGUGUCGUUUUUUCUAUAUUAGUUGUGGCAUUUUUUAAAAAUGCCAGGAGUUUGAUUUAACUAAUGUGGAAAUGACUGUGUUUGACUAUAUUUAGGGGCGCUUAUGUAUAAACGCCGCAACUGGGUUAAAUAGGAAAAAAAUGGUGUAGUUAGUUUUCCAUCCUUUUGAUCGAAACAAAACCAAACCCCGAUUCUCCCCCCCCAAACUGUCAUCUACCCCAAAUCCCUAAAAUUUCCCCUAAUCCCUAACAGUUCCCCAAACCCGACGUAAUUUGUACAGCGCCGUGCUUUGCUGCAUCACAGUCUCCGUGCAUCUCCGGUGCCGCAACCAUUGGUAAGUUCGGUAACUUCCUUUUUCUUCUUCAUGCGUGGAUGUUAUUUGGAAUAUCGAUUUUGAAAAAAAAUCAAUUUCGGGUGUUUCGAUAAUGUCGUAAAUUUGGGGCUUCCGAACAUUUGGUUUUUUUUUUAUUUUCAUUUUCAGAAAACGUUAUAGGUUGUGAACUUUGCAUAAAAAAUCAGUUUUAUAUAUCGACAUUUCAUAUAUAUCAAAAACUAGUUUCAUAUAUCCUUUUCAUUUCAUAUAGUAGGGCGAAUCUCGUUGAAAUUUAUAUAUAUGUAUAUAUAUAUAUGUAUUAAAACUAAAGCAUACUUAUUCUUAUUUCUUUUUUACCUUGUUAAAAAAUUCAAGAAAAAGGAAGAAUUGAAGUCUUAUGGUACUUAGAUGAAAAAGAAAAUUCAAAGUGUUCUAGUAUGUUUUACCCUUCUGUAAUGGAAAAAAAAUGGUUGAGUUGGAAAAAGAAAAAUAUUAAGUUAUCAUUAGGGGAGAUGAGAAAUGAAUGAUUUGUUCUCAUUUUGAUUUUUGAUAUGCUUGAGCAUAGGUUGAUUUAUUUGUUAACUUGACUAUUUACUCUCUCUUUUUUUGUUCAGUAACUAUUUAUUUAUUCGUUAUUACUUUUUCAAUGUUAAAAUUUGACAGCACACAUAUAUGCAGUAAAGGUUUAGUGUUUUAAUAUUUCUAAGUAUUUGAAUUUUUUUUAAAUCGUUUGUGCAUAGAUGGCAUUCUUUUUUUUAACAUAUUUGAGAUUUUAAAUUCUUAAACAUGCUACUUGAUUUUGUAUUCACAUCAUUGUAUUGUCUUCAUUAAUGGAUGCUAAGUAUCUUAUGUUUCACUUGACUUUAUCAAUUGAUACUUUGUUUAGUUACUUUUCUAUAGUUUCAUAAAACACCUGGCUGCUUUUAGUUCUCUUUUCUUUAUAUUUGGUUUAGAGUCACUGGUAUUCAUUCAGUUUUUAUAUUUGGUUCUCAUAUUGGUAAAGUUUUAAGCUGCCAUUUAAUGUAUCCAAGUAAUAUUUGGUUGUGAUAUCAAUAAAGUUUUACAUAUUUGAUGGCUAAACUGAAAAAAUAUUUGCUGCUAGUCUGAUCAUGGUUCAUCUAUUGUAGGCGGAAUUAAUAUUUGGUGCAACUUAAUACAUAUCUGACCAUUGACAUCUGGUUUGCUGCCUGUGUUUUGGCGGAACUAUUGUUUGGGUAGGUACAUGUUAAAAUUUGAACUUUUUUCCCUUAUUUAUAUGCAUUUUCCCAAAUUAGUUAACAAAAUUCAUAUUUCUGACUGCAGUCUCUGUUUGCUGGUGAGAGUGGAGUAGACAAAGUUGAGUUAAAUAUUAAGGUAUGUUUUAGUUCAUAACUUAAAUCAGUAAUAGUUUUAUCAUGAUGCAAGCGACCACAUAGCUCAGAUGCAAGCGACCACAGUUGAGGUUCAAAGGAAAUAUGAAGAACUUCAGCAGCAACUUAAAGCUGAGGCGGAAGCGAGGGAAGCGGAGGCUGCAGCGAGGGAAGCAGAGCAGAGCAAAGCAGAAAGUACAACAAACUCCAACAGCAGCUUCAGAAUAUGAUGAAGAUGUUUCAGCAGUCGCAACAUCCGCCGUUAUAGUGUAUUGUAUAAAAAUUUUUAUCAUUUUAAGUUUUAACAUUUUUGUGAAAAUAAUAUAAAUUAUAUUUGAUUUAUUGAUAUUUAUAUUAUUUUAUUCAUUUAAUUUGAAAUAUUAUAUAAAUUUAUUGCUUUUGGCUGGUUUAGAUUUGCUUGCUUUUGAUUUGUUGCUACAGGAGGGCCCAAAAUAUGAAAAAUUAUAAUUUAAAAAAAUUCCAAAAUUAAUGGCGUUUUUCGAAAAAGCACCGUUAAAAGUCGCCAAACACUAGCGGCGGUUGUGAGAAAAGCGCCGCUAAAAGUCAAAAUCUAUUACGGAGUUUUUAGGAAAAAGCGCCGCUAAAAGUUAGGAUCUAUAGCGGCAAUUGUGGGAUAAGCACCGCUAAAGAACAUGACCUUUAGCGGCGUUUUUGAGAUAAGCGCCGCUAAAAAACAUGAGCUUUAGCGGUGUUUGUGGGAUAAGCGCCGCUAAAGAACAUGAGCUUUAACGGCGUUUGUGGAAUAAACGCCACUAAAGAACAUGAGCUUUAGCGGCGUUUGUGGGAUAAGCGCUGCUAAAGAGCAUGACCUUUAGCGGCGUUUGUGGGAUAAGCGCCGCUAAAGAACAUGACCUUUAGCAGCGUUUGUGGAAUAAGUGCCUCAAAACUUAGCGACAUUGUAAAUAGCGGCGUUUUUUGUGGCGCUUACUUUUAGUGGCGCAAAAAAGUGCCGCUAAAAGCAAAAAAAAAAACGCCGCUAAAGACCUGUUUUGGUGUAGUGAUUAUACAUUGAAUUGCAUUAUAUUCUCUUUAUUGAAAAAAUAGAUAAAUUUAUUCUUUUGUAAAAAUCCUACCAUUAAAUGGUUAUUUUGAUGUCUAACAUGCAAGGUAAAAUAUAAAAUUUAGUCCUCAACCUUUACUCCUUUAUUCAAUUUAGCCUCUAUUCUUUUAUUUUGUUGAGGCAGUUCUACAAGUUCCUUAUGCAUGCAUCAUGGCCACUACGGGCACCACUGCGACGAGCAAGAACAGCUUCUCAUAUUUGGACUUAGCAAUGUUUUUGAACAAAAACUAUCGGUUGAUAUUUUGGUCGUUAGUUUGGAAGUGUGGCAACCUAUCUAUGAAGAUCGAGCCAUUUGAAGCAGCAUAUCUUAAGGAUUUGUAACACCUCUUACCCAUGUUUAUCGCUGAAACAAGGUAAGAAGUAUUAUCAAACAUGAAAUACAUUUUUACCAUACAAUCUGAGUUUUUUUUUAGAAAAUCUUUUGACAUAAUUCCUUUCUAGAAACGUUCAAUUCCUCCUGCAAAUUUUCGAAACACAAUUUCAAACAAAUUCGAUAUUUCAACCAAUACAGUUAUAUAUUUAAACACAGUUAAAUCAUUCACAACAUUCUAGGUAACCUUGUUAAUAAUUUAAAGAAAAAACAACCUAUCAAUUAAUAUACACUAACAUUUUUAACCAAAUAAUAAUUAAUAUAUAUUUUACAUAUCACUUUACAUUAAGUCAUUUAUACAUGCCAUACUUCAAAAGUAUUGGUUACAAAAUACCAAAAGAUGUAGAUAGUGUGGAUGAUGUUCCGACUCUGUCCAAUUUCCGAGCUGAUUGAUAUAACUAUAAAACAAGGGAAAAUAAAGAGGAUUAAGCAUAUAGCUUAGUAAGUAUGUAUGUAAUUGAUAAAUAAAUUUCUAGCAUGAUACCAUAGAUAAUAUAAUUUUUAUCACACAUAAAUCUAUUAUUUAUUCAAUUUCCAGCAAACUGUUUUUCUGCAUCACAGUCACUAAAUUAUUUCUAUCCGGAGCUACAGAAGUUAAAAUUAAGAUCCGUAAAUUUUCCCUGAAACUAGACUCAUAUAGCUUAUUACCAUAAAAGUUUCAUAAUUUUUGGUUCAGCCAAUUAGUACAGUUUAUUAUCUAAAGUUUCCCCAUUUCACUGCUUGAAAUUUCUGACCUCUCUUCACUAAAAGUCAGUUAUAUCUUAGUACAGAAUUCAAAUGAUGUUCCCACUUAUUUGUUUUAAAAAUAUACUCAAUAAUAAAUUUAAUCAUGUAAAUUACAAAACAUAAUUAUUUUUUUACAAUUUUUAGUGAUUUUCCAAAUUCAGAACAGAGGAUUUCGAAAUCAUUCAGACCUUGUCUCACUAAAAUUCCAAUAUCUCAGAAUAUAUAACUCCUUUGGCCAUUAUUUCUCUUUUAUGUGAAAGUAGACUCAUUAAGCUUUAAUUACAUGUCUUAGUCAAGCACUAAAUCAAUUUCUAUAAGUUUUGGUGAUUUUUUUAACUAACAUCACUGCCACUGUCCAAAUCUAUUCUGUUUCGAAUUCACUUAUUCACAUAACACUAUAACCAUUUAUUUUGUAAGCACAAUACAAAACUUCAUCACUCUAGUUACUCUUUCGCAACUUAUCACAUUUCACUCACAUAUUCAUAUUUUUUUACCAUACUCAUAUCACUUUGAACAUGUCGGUAUAAUAGCAAACAUUCGGUGGUUUGCACAUAGUACCACUCAUUUAACUAUUAUCAUGCAAUACACGUAGUAGCCUUCACAUAGUACUACACACGUGAUCAAGAUUUUCGGUUCACGUAGUAGCCUACACAUAGUACUACACACGUGACCAAGGCCUUCCGGUUCACAUAGUAGCCUGCACUUAGUACUACACAUGUGACCGUUAUUUAUCUAUACACGUAGUAGCCUGCACUUAGUACUACACACGUGUUCGCAGACAUUUUAUUCAAGCCUUUCUUAUUCCGGCAGUUCCACUGAGAUUCCUACCAAUCAAUGAUUUAUAAUUUAUCCGUAACAAUUCAUACUCUCAAUAUUUCCAUCCAAACCCAUAAAAAAUUUAAUAAUUCAAUUCAAACCACUUCAAUCAUUACUCGCAAUUGAUAUAUCCACAAUCCAAGUUAAUUUUUUUUACAAUUCAACUAUCAAUACCAAUUUCUAAGUGUUAUAUACUAUUUCAUAUUCAACCAUUUCGCAUAUAUUAUAACAAAAUAUAUAAAAAUAAUAAUUAUAACAAUGUAUUAAUUACAUACAACUUACCUCAGUCUUUUCCCUUAUCGAGGCUGUUUCCACAAUCUUUUCUUUUCUUUUCUUUUCCCUUAUCGAGGCUGUUUCCAUGUCUCGCUUGAUCUAUAAUAGCAAAUUUAACUUGUUUAAUAUUCACAUUUUUCAAAACUGUCCUCGACUCAACUUUAGCAAAACUACAAUUUUGUCCCUAAACUUUUACAUAUUUACAUUUUUGUCCCAAAGUUCGGAAAUUAAAUUUCAUUCCUUAUUCUUAUGUUUUACAACAUGAUGAACACUUUUUCCUUCUAUGGAAACAUCAAAUUCUCACUCUAACUCUUACUUAAGAACAUUAAAUAUUUUUAUCGAUUAUGUUAUUUUGCUCGGUUUCACUUAAAAUCGGCUAGCAAAAGUUGUUUAACAUAAAAUCUAGCUUCAUAUUCUUCAAUAAAACAUCAAAAUACAUACAUUUCACACAUGGGUAAUUUUUCAAAUUCCAACCCUAGCUCAAAAUAACAGUAGAAAUAGAUAAACCAAGCUUCGGGAAUCUCAAAAAUGCGAAGAACAUUAAAAACGGGGCUAGAAUGCACUUACUAUGAGCUUGAAGGAGUAAAGAAAUCCUAGCCAUGGCUUCUUUCAAUUUUUGAUAGCAACAAAGAUGAUGAACCCCAUUUUUACAUCUUUUUCCCAUUUUAAUUCUAUUUAUUUACUAAAUGACUAAAAUGCCCGUACUUAAAAAAAAUUCUAUUUCACUUAUUUCAUGUCCAUUUUUGUCUAUCACUAACUAAUAGUCUAAUUACUACAUAAGGACCCCUAAUUUGUAAUUCCAUAACAAUUAAACACCUUUAACAUAUGGAACUCAACUUUUGCACUUUAGACAAUUUAGUAAUUUUUACUAAUUUGAGUGCUCAAACGUCAAAAUUUUCGAACGAAAUUUUAACGAAAUCUUUCCUUGAUGUUGUAGACCAUAAAAAUAUAAUAAUAAAAUUUUUCUCAACAGAUUUGUGGUCCCAAAACCACUGUUCCGAUUAGGCCCUAAAUCGGGUUGUUACAACUCUCCCCCUUGAAGGAUUUUCGUCCCCGAAAAUCUUACCAGAAAAGAGGUUUGGGUACAAUUUCCUCAUGGCUUCUUCUGGUUCCCAAGUGGCCUCUUCAACUCCGUGUUUUUUCCGUAACACUUUCACUAAUGGUAUACUUUUAUUUCUCAACUGUUUAACUUCCCGAGCCAAAAUUUUUAUAGGUUCCUUAUCAUAAGGCAUAUCCGAUCAAAUUUCAACUUCUGUUGGGGAAAUUACAUGUGUAGGAUCAGAACGAUAGCAUCGUAACAUCGACACAUGGAAUACAUUAUGUAUCUUCUCCAACUCUAUUGGUAAGGCUAACCGAUAGGCUACAGGUCCAAUCCUUUCAGUGACUUCAUACGGCCCAAUAAAACGCGGACUCAAUUUACCGUUUCGACCAAAUCUCAAAAUCUUCUUCCACGGAGAUACUUUCAAAAAUACUUUAUCCCCCACUUGAAACUCAAUUUCUUUUCUCUUUAAAUCCGCAUAUGACUUUUCUCGGUCUGAAGUAGCUUUCAAACAAUCACGGAUUACUUUUACUUUUUUCUUUAGUUUCUUUCACCAAGUCAACCCCGUGAAUUUGUUUCUCACUGAGCUCAGUCCAAUACAAAAGGGUUCUACACUUAUGUCCAUAUAAUGCUUCAUACGGUGCCAUUCGUAUACUCGACUGAUAACUAUUGUUGUAAGAAAAUUCAACCAAUGGUAGAUAUUUCUCCCAACUGCCUUCAAAUUCUAAGACACAACAUCAGAGCAUGUCUUCCAGAACUUGAAUUACUCUUUCAGAUUGUCUAUCAAUUUGCGGAUGAAAUGUAGUACUAAAGUUCAAUUUUGUACCCAAGGCUUCUUGCAACUUUUUCCAAAACCUCGAAGUGAACCUCAGAUCUCUAUCCGAAAUAAUAGACUUAGGCACCCUGUGCAACCUCACAAUUUCAGCAACAUAUAACUCCGCCAACUUGUCAAGUGAGUAAUCAAUACGUACCAGUAUAAAAUGGGCUGAUUUUGUCAAUCUAUCAACGAUUACCCAAAUAGCAUCUUUCUUUCUAGGAGUCAGAGGCAAACCCGCCACAAAAUCCAUCGUGAUUCUGUCCCAUUUCCACUCAGGAAUCAGUACUGGUUGAAAUAAACCCGAAGGUACUUGAUGCUCAGCUUUCACUUGUUGGAAAAUUAAACACUUUGAUACAAAUUUCGAAAUAUCCUUUUUCAUGCCCAGCCACCAAUACAAUUUCUUCAAAUCAUUAUACAUUUCUGUAUUACGUGGAUGAACUGAUAAAUCACCACUGUGUGCCUCAUGUAAAAUUGUCUGAAUCAACUCAUCAUUUCUCGGUACAAAUAUCCUAUUCCGGAACAUCAGACAAUCAUCUGAUCUAAUUCGAAAAUCUGAGUCCCCACCUGAUUCACACUGAAAUCUCUUGGCUUGUAAUUCACCAUCAUUCUUUUGAGCUUCACAAAUUUGCAGCAAAAAUAACGGUCUAGCUUUCAACUCAGCCAAAAUUGAACCAACCUCAGACAUAGCUAAACUAGCAUUCAUAGUUCUCAAACAAACAAAGAUUUUCUGCUCAAAACAUCAGCAACUACAUUCACUUUUCCGGGGUGAUAAUCAAUCACUAGCUCAUAGUCUUUUAUCAAUUCGAGCCAUCUUCGUUGUCGCAAAUUCAAAUCCUUUUGAUUCAUCAGAUACUUCAAACUUUUAUGAUCAGUAAAGAUUUGGCAUUUCUCACUAUACAAAUAAUGACGCCAAAUUUUCAAAGCAAAGACGAUAGCAGCUAAUUCCAAGUCGUACGUAGGAUAAUUCUUCUCGUGUGGCUUCAGCUGUCUCGAAGCAUAAGCUAUUACUCUACCCUCUUGCAUUAGUACACACCCAAUACCAUUUAACGAUGCAUCACUAUAAAUUAUAAACUCUUUUCCUGUUUUAGGCUGCACCAACACCAGCGCCUCAGUCAAUAAUGCCUUCAAUUUCUCAAAAUUUAGUUGAUAUUUAUCAGUCCAUUCGAACUUGACAUUCUUUUGCAAUAACUUAGUCAUAGGAGAAGCAAUCAUCAAGAAUUCUUUAACAAAACGUCUAUAAUAUCCAGCUAAGCCCAGAAAACUUCUAACUUUGGAUACAUUCUUUGGCGGCUCCCAAUUAACAAUUGUCGAAAUUUUACUCGGAUCAACCCAAAUACCAUCACUUGAAACUAUGUGUCCCAAGAAUCCGACUUCAUGAAGCCAAAACUCACUUUUACUAAAUUUAGUAAACAAUUUCUUCUCUCUCAAAAUCUGCAACACAGUUCUCAAAUGCUCGGCGUGCUCGGAUUCAUCUCGGGAAUAGAUUAAAAUAUCAUCUAUAAACAGCACCACGAACUUAUCCAAAUACGGUCGGAAAAUUCGAUUCAUUAAAUCCAUAGAAAUAGCCGGAGCACUAGUUAAACCGAAAGGCAUCACAAGAAAUUCAUAAUGUCCAUACCUCGUUCUGAAAGCAGUUUUUGGCACAUCUGACUCUUUAACUCUCAGUUGAUGGUAGCCAUAUCUCAGAUUGAUCUUUAAAAACACUGUUACGCCUUUUAAUUGGUCAAACAAAUCAUCAAUUCUCGGCAACGGGUACUUGUUCCUUAUAGUCACUUUGUUGAGUUGACGAUAAUGAAUACAAAAUCUCACAGAACCGUCUUUCUUUUUCACAAAUAACACAGGAGCACCCCAGGGAGAAAAACUUAGUCUCACAAAUCCUUUAUCUAUCAACUCUUGCAACUGAUCUUUUAAUUCUCUCAAUUCAGUUGGAGCCAUUCUAUACGGAGCAAUAGAGAUCAGUGCAGUACCAGGUAUUAGAUCAAUAGCAAAUUCAACUUCCCUGAUCGAAGCUAACCCAGGCAAUUCCUCUGGAAAUACAUCUGGAAACUCACAGACUACUGGUACUGAUUCAAGCUUCGACUCCGAUAUCUUAGUAUUUAUCACAUAAGCGAGAUAAGCUUCACACCCUUUUCUCAUGUAUUUUUGAGCCGACAUAUGCGAAAUCACCAUAGGCAAUUUACUUGAUUCAUCUAUUUUAACCCGAAGAAUUUCACCAUUUUCACACUUCAAUUCAAGGAUUUUUUGUCUACAAUUUACCUUGGCAUCAUGCAACAUCAACCAAUCCAUCCUUAGAAUAACAUCAAACUCAUCAAAUGGUAACAACAUCAGAUUAGCUGAGAAACAAUGACCUUGAAUCCUCAAAGGACGAUUCUCGCUAACCUUAUCGACUAACACAUAUUUGCCUAAAAGAUUUGACACUUUAACAACAAAUUUAGUAUUUUCAAUAGGCAAAUUCUUAUUAGAUACUAAAUUCACACAUACAUAAGAAUGAGUAGACCCAGGAUCAAUCAAUGCAAUAACUUCAAUAUCAUAGAGAAAGAAUGUACCUGUAAUCACAUCAGGAGAUGAUGCUUCCUCACGAGUACGUAUAGCAUAAGCUCGAGCAAGUGUUCGAUGUUCUGAUCUCACAGUUGUAUCUUUCAUUACACUUUUACCGCUAGCUCUGCUUCCGAUAUUUCUCGGUGGGCUACCUAUGUUAACAGUAUCACCCGAUCUAACAUUUUGAAAUUUUUCUUCUUCAACUUUCUCAGGGCAAUAUUUAAUGUAGUGUUGUCGAGAACCACACUUGAAACAAGCUCAGCUAAGUAACUAGCACUCACCAGGAUGUUGCCUACCACAAUGCUGACACUCGGGUGUAUUAGGCUUCACACUCCCCACACUUGCUACUGAAAUAGCUUGAGCUUUAGGACCCGAAUAUGAUUUUCCCCGGUCUCGGCGUGAAUAUCCAGCUGAAGUUGUCAAUCAAGGAUUCAUCUCUUUAGACUUUUUUGACUGAUUUUGAAAUGAUUUACUCAUUGGCCUCUUUCUUGCAUCUCGAGCCUCAACCACAGCUUUUCUCUUCUCUUUAUUCAAUUCUUCAGCCUUACAAGCUCGAUCAACCAGUACCAAAAAUUUCUUCAGUUCCAACAUCCCAACAAACAUUCUGAUAUCUUCAUUUAACCCGUCUUCAAAUCUUUUACACAUAAUAGCUUCUGUAGGUACACACUUUUGAGCAUAUUUACUCAGUCUAACAAACUCUCUUUCAUACUCUGCCACAAACAUUCGACCCUACUUCAACUCGAUAAAUUCCUUACAUUUUUUAUCGAUGAAUUGUUGGCUUAUGUAUUUUUUUCUGAAUUCCUUCUGGAAGAAAUCUCAUGUAACCCUUUCUUUCAGAACCAUAGAUAAUAAUGUUUUCCACCAACGAUAUGCUGAAUCUUUUAGUAAUGAUAUAGCACAUUUUAGACAUUCUUUAGGAGUACAUGAUACUUCAUCAAAUACCCGGAUAGAGUUUUCAAGCCAAAAUUCUGCCUUUUCGGGAUCAUCACCUAUAUUAGCCCUGAAAUCUUUCGCCCAUUGUUUUCAGAUUUUAUCAACUGGGGGUUUACUUGGUUUUACCAAUUCAACACCUUGUGAAACUAUAGGUACCGGUUGGGGAAUAAGAGGGGCGGAGGAGGUUGUGCAUUCAGAUUUGCUCGAAUAAAUUCGGUGUACCAAUUGUUCAUAAUAUGAAGAAAGGCUUCUCGAGCCUCAUCCUAACUUUGUGUUUCAUGUCUACUUUCCUCAGGCGCGGUCCCUUGCGUAGGAGCCGGCACAUUGCUUCCUACAUCAUCUGCUACAGCUCAGUCAUGAUCCAUUUACUAUAUAAAAACACAAUUUUAAAUUGUCAAAAAUCAUCACAUUAUCACAAUAUAUUUAUGGCAUGUAUACAUAGACUUUCACACACAUUGUGCUAAUCCGAGAAUCGGCUAAACCGUAGCUCUGAUACCACUAAAAUGAAACACCUCUUACCAAUGUUCAUCGCUGAAACAAGGUAAGAAGUAUUAUCAAACAUGAAAUACAUUUUUAUCAUACAAUUUGAGUUUUUUUUUUAGAAAAUUAUUUGACAUAAUUCCUUUCUAUAAACGUUCAAUUCCUCCUGCAAAUUUUUGAAACACAAUUUCAAACAAAUUCGAUAUUUCAACCAAUACAGUUAUAUAUUUAAACACAGUUAAAUCAUUCACAACAUUCUAGGUAACCUUGUUAAUAAUUUAAAGAAAAAACAACCUAUCAAUUAAUAUACACUAACAUUUUUAACCAAAUAAUAAUUAAUAUAUAUUUUACAUAUCACUUUACAUUAAGUCAUUUAUACAUGCCAUACUUCAAAAGUAUUAGUUACAAAAUACCAAAAGAUGUAGAUAGUGUGGAUGAUGUUCCGACUCUGUCCAAUUUUCGAGCUGAUUGAUAUAACUAUAAAACAAGGGAAAAUAAAGAGGAUUAAGCAUAUAGCUUAGUAAGUAUGUAUGAAAUUGAUAAAUAAAUUUCUAGCAUGAUACCAUAGAUAAUAUAAUUUUUAUCACACAUAAAUCUAUUAUUUAUUCAAUUUCCAGCAAACUAUUUUUCUGCAUCACAGUCACUAAAUUAUUUCUAUCCGGAGCUAAAGAAGUCCAAAUUAAGAUCCGUAAAUUUUCCCUGAAACUAGACUCAUAUAACUUAUUACCAUAAAAUUUUCAUAAUUUUUGGUUCAGCCAAUUAGUACAGUUUAUUCUCUAAAGUUUCCCCGUUUCACUGCUUGAAAUUUCUGACCUCUCUUCACUAAAAGUCAAUUAUAUCUUAGUACAGAAUUCAAAUGAUGUUCCCACUUAUUUGUUUUAAAAAUAGACUCAAUAAUAAAUUUAAUCAUGUAAAUUACAAAACAUAAUUAUUUUUUUACAAUUUUUAGUGAUUUUCCAAAUUCAGAACAGAGGAUUUCGAAAUCAUUCAGACCUUGUCUCACUAAAAUUCCAAUAUCUCAGAAUAUAUAACUCCUUUGGCCAUUAUUUCUCUUUUAUGUGAAAGUAGACUCAUUAAGAUUUAAUUCAAUGUCUUAGUCAAGCAUAAAUCAAUUUCUAUAAGUUUUGGUGAUUUUUUUAACUAACAUCACUGCCGCUGUCCAAAUCUGUUCUGUUUCGAAUUCACUUAUUCACAUAACACUAUAACCAUUUAUUUUGUAAGCACUAUACAUAACUUCAUCACUCUAGUUACUCUUUCGCAACUUAUCACAUUUCAAUCACAUAUUCAUAUUUGUUUACCAUACUCAUAUCACUUUGAACAUGUCGGUAUAAUAGCAAACAUUCGGUGGUUUGCACAUAGUACCACUCAUUUAACUAUUAUCAUGCAAUACACGUAGUAGCCUUCACAUAGUACUACACACGUGAUCAAGCUUUUCGGUUCACGUAGUAGCCUACACAUAGUACUACACACGUGACAAAGGCCUUCCGGUUCACAUAGUAGCCUGCACUUAGUACAACACAUGUGACCGUUAUUUAUCGAUACACGUAAUAGCCUGCACUUAGUACUACACACGUGUUCGCAGACAUUUUAUACAAGCCUUUCUUAUUCCGACAGUUCCACAGAGAUUCCUACCAAUCAAUGAUUUAUAAUUUAUCCGUAACAAUUCAUACUCUCAAUAUUUCCAUCCAAACCCAUAAAAAAUUUAAUAAUUCAAUUCAAACCACUUCAAUCAUUACUCGCAAUUGAUAUAUCCACAAUCCAAGUUAAUUUUUUUUACAAUUCAACUAUCAAUACCAAAUUUCUAAGUGUUAUAUACUAUUUCAUAUCCAACCAUUUCGCAUAUAUUAUAAAAAAAUAUAUAAAAAUAAUAAUUUUAACAAUGUAUUAAUUACAUACAACUUACCUCAGUGCAAAAUAUAGGGAAUUUUGCAAUUCAAUCCACAAUCUUUUCUUUUGCCUUAUCGAGGUUGUUUCCAUGUCUCUCUUCAUCUAUAAUAGCAAAUUUAGCUUGUUUAUUAUUCACAUUUAUCAAAACAGUCCUCGACUCAACUUUAGCAAAAUUACAAUUUUGUCCCUAAACUUUUACAUAUUUACAUUUUUGUCCCAAAGUUCGGAAAUUAAAUUUCAUUCCUUAUUCUUAUGUUUUACAACAUGCUGAACACUUUUUCCUUCUAUGGAAACAUCAAAUUCUCACUCUAACUCUUACUUAUGAACAUUAAAUAUUUUUACUGAUUCUGUUAUUUUGCUCGGUUUCACUUAAAAUCGGCUAGCAAAAGUUGUUUAACAUAAAAUCUAGCUUCAUAUUCUUCAAUAAAACAUCAAAAUACAUACAUUUCACACAUGGGUAAUUUUUCAAAUUUCAACCCUAGCUCAAAAUAACAGUAGAAAUAGAUAAACCGAGCUACGGGAAUCUCAAAAAUGCAAAGAACAUUAAAAACGGGGUUAGAAUGCACUUACUAUGAGCUUGAAGGAGUAAAGAAACCCUAGCUAUGGCUUCUUUCAAUUUUUGAUAGCAACAAAGAUGAUGAACCCCAUUUUUACAUCUUUUUCCCAUUUUAAUUCUAUUUAUUUACUAAAUGACUAAAAUGCCCAUACUUAAAAAAAAUUCUAUUUCACUUAUUUCAUGUCCAUUUUUGCCUAUCACUAACUAAUGGUCUAAUUACUACAUAAGGCCCCUAAUUUGUAAUUCCAUAACAAUUAAACACCUUUAACAUAUGAAAAUCAACUUUUGCACUUUUGACAAUUUAGUCCUUUUUUCUAAUUUGAGUGCUCAAACGUCAAAAUUUUCGAACGAAAUUUUCAUGAAAUAUUUCCGUGAAGUUGUAGACCAUAAAAAUAUAAUAAUAAAAUUUUCUUCAACGGAUUUGUAGUCCCGAAACCACUAUUCUGAUUAUGCCCUAAAUCAGGCUGUUACAUGAUUGGAUUGGAUCAGAUUAAGCAAUUAGAUCCUAUGUUAGAAGGAGAUUGGAUCUUGCUACAUUGAAGGGUGAUCUGCAUUUAUUUGGAUCUUGCUACAUUGAAGGGUGAUCUUUGACAUUAUUUGUAUAUUGUCUUAGCUAUUUUAGCUAUUGUUUUAUUGGGGGACUGAUUGUAAUUGAUCUAGUAUUUUAGCAAGAGCUUAUAUAUUGGAGAGACUUGUAUAGGUGAUUAUGUCAAGAGUUUUGAUAACCUAUCUAUUCAUUGAGGAACUUGUAUUUGAGAGUUCAUUGAGAGUGUAAAUAAGUUUAUUUCUUGGUUUACAAUCUAUUCCCACGAGGGGAACUUAGAGGUAAGUGAUCUAGAUAUUUAGGUACAAAAGUGAGGUUGCUAUAUCAGGGGUGAGAUAAGACUUAAAUCACUUGUUGUAUUAAGAUUAAAGAUAGUUAAUUUUCUAACUAAGCUAGCAUCCAAAGACGUAGGAAAACCACAGUACGUAAAUAACUUGUUGUGCUCUUAUUUUAGUUGUUUUGUCAUAGUGCCACCUUUAGUGGCCACUAUAGCUAGCACUUUGGUUAUUACUAAUUGUUUACAUUGAAAUUAUCAAUUGUAGGUUACAAAAAUUGGUAUCGAAGCCACCUACUUAACAUAGCUAGUGGUGAUUCCUUGUUUAAUAAUUUUCAAAGAUGCAAGGGCUAUCUAUAUCUCACCCCUUUUUGUUAGAUGGAUCUAAUUAUUCUUUUUGGAGGGCUAGUAUGCAUGCCUUCAUCAAAUGCAUGAGAAUGUUAAAUCUGGUGUGAUAAGUGUAUUCGUUUUUAAACUUGUAAUUUUUCGAACAAAUUUGUUAAUAAAAUAUUUCAUGGAUUACAUUAGUAUACUUUGUAUAAUGCCCUCAUGUGGUUUUUGCAUGCAAAGAAAAAUAGAAGCAAAUAUUGGCUCAUUAGGUGUCUGAUAUUUAAACUAAUACUAAGUGAUAUUACGUUGUUGAAUCGUAAUAUAAAAAGAUAGCUUAUAUCAGUAAACGAACCUAAAUGUUUCCUUAGUUUAAUCGAAAAUGAGCAAACCGAUUGAAAGACUAAUAUGUCAUCUAUCAAGUCCAAUUGGGGAGAUGUCUUGUCAAGGGGAUUGGAGCGGAUGACUCCAAGAAGAUAGUGACAUAGAUGUGACUGGCUGGAUUGGCAAUACAUCAGACUAAACCUAAGGAGAAUAAAUAUUGAAUCCGUUUAUGGAUUCAUUCACUUAUGAUGUUCAUAGUGUGGCAUACCUUAAUCCUGAGUGAAUGACGAACUAUGUAUGCCUGAGUCGUAUGCUUUGAUCGAAGAAAAAGCCUGAGUUCAAAUAGAUAAGGAACCGAAAGCUGAUGCAUUGGGUCUACAAUAUGUAGCGUCAUUCACAAUAGUGUAAUUCAUAUCCUUUCAUUGGCAUUACAUGAUAGAUAAAAAGUAAGCGUGGCCACAUGUUGUUCAUUUUCGUGAUGGAUGACUUGAUUACUAUUUGAUAGUAAUUGACUUUUCAUAAAGGAAUAUGUUGGUUACCAUGAUAUAAAAUAUGAUCAUAUUAAGAGAGCGAAUUUAUCCUAAAGUGAUUAAGGAUAUCCUAUGAGGGUAACACACUUAUGACAGGGUCAUUGGACGAGCACUAAUCAAAUUGCUUUCGUAAUGGUAAGUUAUUGGAGAGAGAUCAGUCGUGAUACUAUAGUGGAAUAACUUCAUGACUAAAUGAGUUUAUAAUUAAUAGGUGAAAAGUUGAAACUUAAUUAUAUAACAUUUGAGCCCUAAUCACAUAUGUCCAAUCGGUCCCUUCGCUAGCUCGUUGAAAUAAAAAAUGAAUUACAUGUUGAAUCAAAUUAACAGAAAUUGAUAGAAAAUAUAAAGUUGGAGAAAUGAGAAACAUUCAAAAAUGAAUGUGGUUUUCUCACUAAAUGGAAAUGACCAGAAAAUUUAAUUUAUGGAUUUUCAAAUUAUUUAUUGAUUAAUUAAUUAAUUGAAGUUUGAAAAUGAAAUUAAAUCAAUUGGUCAUAUUGAACCUGUUGAAUAUAAAAAUAUUAAAUAUAUUUUUUCUUAGAUUCUUUUACAAUAAAGUUGCAAUGAUUUUAACAAAAUUAAAAUCAGAUUGAGAAUUUAUUUAAUUUGGAAAUUAAUUUAUGAUGUUUAUUUCGGAAAAUAGAAAGACAUAUAUUGGGUUGGAUUGAAUUAUAAAGUACUGGGUUAAAAGUCCAGGAAAUACUUAUAAUUGGACCCGAUAUGGGAGAGACCUAAAAACCCCUCAUGCUAAUACAUGGGGCAACAAACCCUAGUAUAUUUAACUAGGGUUUUCGCCCCUCUCUCUCCUAGUUAGACUAGAAUUUUGUUUUUCUAUUGAAAUAGACUUCUACUAAUUAAACAAGGGUUUCAUUUCUUUUCUCUAUAAAUAGAUGACACCGGUAGGGCUAAAUAUAAUUUUGAGAUUUCUACCCGAAAAUAGUGAGAAUUUAUUUUCUAAGUAUAAAAUUUAUUUCCAGAAAUAACAAUUCUAUCGGUUUCUAUUAAAGAGGGAAUUUAACUUUUCCACUGAAAAUAAAGUAAAUAAUUUUUUUAUUUUGUGUUUGAUUCAAAUUCGUUCGAGCUCACGCUCAAAGCAGUCAUAGUACGAGAAUAGUGGAAAAGGUUGUUCGAUUGAAAGCUGAGAAAGACAAUGAUUCGUCUAGCCGAAAACACAAAUACAAUUUCGAGAAAAAGUUUAUUCCUAUAAAUAUCACAAAUUUGUUCGGUCUUCAAAAUUUUAAUUUUUCAAUGUGCAAGAAAAAAAUUUUCAAAUUGGAUUUCAACAAUUGGUACCAGAGACAGGUUGCACUAUUUUUUUUACUACAAACUAAUAUCGAAAAUUUCUUCUUCAUUUGUGAUUAAUUUUGAUAAAAUGUGACAUUCUUGUAAUUAUAUGCAUGUUUAGGAGAAUGUAUCCGAAUGAAUGUAUGAUAUUUUUAUUAUAUAUGGUAAAGUAAUUUUUCCAAAAUUAUAAUUCCUAAAAAAUUAAAUGUAAUUAUUAUUAAUUUUCAAGUAUAUAUAAUUAGAUCAUGGACCAUCAUCUCUACAUAAAAUUUUAAUUUUAAUUUUUUAUUAAUAACUACAUGUAUACUAACAUGCAUACUAAUAAAAAUAAAACACAUGUCAUAAAUAAUAUAUAAAAUUUAUUCUACACAAACAUCAAACUCACUAAGUGAUUACUGACUAAAUGAUGGAGCCACACCAAAACUAGAUUUCAACUUUGACAACUCAAGAAAAAAUUAUUAUUUGUUAUGAAUAUCUUAUUAAGUGGAUGUCCGUCAAAAUCAAGAUAAGUUUUGAUGUACUUUAAAUUCUAAUAGUCAUUAGAAUUAGAUCUCUACUUCAUUUAUACUUUUUAUGCCUAUAAAUAGAGAUUUAGAAGAAGCAUUGUAAUCAUCCCAUUGAUCAAUAAAAUACAUUAUCUAUUGCUUCUCAUAUUUUCUUUGUUCUUUACUCUCUAUCUCUCUUUAUUUUAUAACACGUUAUCAGCAUGAUCUUGCUCAAAGUGAUAGUUCCUUUUAUUGACUAUCAAAUUUAUCUUGCUCAAAGUGAUAAAACUUUUUAUUGACGAUCAAAUAAAUUCUCCAUGAUUUCCAAGAUCUUAGAUGGCAAGAUGCAAAGUUUUUGUGGGAAGUUUCUUUUAUUUAAUGAUUCAAAUUUGAUUAUUUUUAGCUAAUUCAUGAUCACUUAUAGUUAUUUUGAUUAACUUACUUUAUUUUUAUGUUAUUAAGGAUGGUGAAGGAUUUGAUAUCACUAUCUAUAUGAAAUUGUGAAAUAAUAUUCAUUCUCAAAGUUUGCUAUUGAUGAAUUUUGAUUGGAUUCAAAGUCUACUAUUGUAGUUUAAAUUUGCUUACUUGUUGAUAAAAUCAUCAAGACAUCAUUGAACAAGAAAGGUACAUCAACUUAAUUAGAUCUCUAUCUUUACACUUUGUCUCAAUAAUAACAUCUUUAGAUAUUAAAUUAAUUUGAUAUAUGGUUUAAAUAUUAGAGAUGAUUUUAUUUUAAGUUUUGGUUCCAUAGGUUACUUAUGGUUUCAAAUAUCUUAUUUGUUUAUGAAAAUGAAUAUUGAUUGACUUCUUUAUGUUGUUAUAGUAGGUUUUAUAAUUAAAUAAUAUAUUUGGCUAAAAACAUAUCAGUUUAAAAAUUUGUGUUGAGAACCUAUGAAAUUUAUAAUUAUUAAGACUUGAUUUAGUUUGAAUAUAAAUUACAUUCCUUUAAUGUCUCUUAUUAUUUUGGUUAUACAAUUUGAAAAUUUUCAAUACUCAUACAUGCGCAGUUCUAAAGAAAUUUUUUGAGAAAUGUCUAAAUUGAUUUUUGGGUUGGUUCUAAUAUUGAAUUUCAAGUUUAAUUUUUGCCAUUUUUAAUUCUUGAAUUAUUUUGGUUGAAAACAUUUUCAUAAACUUAAAAAUGAGAAUUACUAUAUUAAGUUGAUCGUUUGAAUUUCUAUGAAUCUCGUUUAUAUUAACCAAUUGUUGUUUCAGAAGAAGCAUUAAAACAACUUGUGUGGUUUGAUUUUAUAAAUGCCUUAUAUUUUCCUAGUAUACAACCGUAGGAAACUUGUUACUUUUGUAAAGUUGUUAAAGGUAGUUCAUACACUUUAUAUUUGUUAAUUAUUUAGAGAAAUCAAUUAUAAAUGGAAAAGUUUUAGUGAACAUGAGAUGUAUGAUUUUGAAGUAAAUUUCAUACAUGUCUACAAUGGUUUAUGAUUUUUUUUGUUGACACAAGCAUUAUAUCAAGUUUGAUAUUUUAAAUGUCAGUUUUAUCCAUACAUUUGAUUUGCAAUAAACUCUAUGCAUGACUUGGUUAUUUCUUUCUCGUUAAUUGAUGAUGAAAAACUCUUGUAAAAAGAGUUUUAAAAGUAUUUUGGAUUGAUCUAAUGCCUUCUUAAGGCCGAACAAAUAAUGAAUUAUUUGUUCCAUUGAUCCUGUUUCAUUCCUCGAAGUGAAUGCAGCAAUACAUAACAAUUAUAAAAUGGAACCUCUUAUCAUUAUUGACAAAUAGAUGAAAAAAAUAUGGCUGAUUCGAAAUGUUGCUAAUUGUUCAUUCUUAGAACAAAAUGAUCAAUGAUUCAUACUAAUUAAUCAUUCCUUGAAGCGAAUGAUAUCUAUAUAAUCUUAUUGGUAAGAAAUAUGAUAUAUGCUUACAUUACUAUUUGAUUUGUUUUGCACAUUCCUUAAAGUGAAUGUUUGAAAUAAAUAUAACAAAUUGUAUAAUCAAUUUUGAUUAUUAAUGUCAAUUUGAACAUUUGAAGAUUUUGAAAUAUUUGAAUAAUUGCAAAUAAUUGUUUGCAUAUUAUUUUUUUAUUAAGUUAAUAACAUUAUGAACUUCCAUUCAUGUAGACAUUUCCAAAAGUAAAUGUUACAAUAUUGCUUAUAUGUGGAUACAAAAUAAAAAAAAUGACGAUAAAAUUGUCAAUUGUCAAAAUUUAUAUUGACAUUAUUAGUACAAUUGAAAAACAUGUUAAAGUAAACCAGAAGUUUACUGAUACAAAUACAUUUACUAUUUGGCGUGACCAGUUAGACUAUCUUGGAUUAUAUCUGAUGCGAAAAUUAAUUAAAAAUUCAUAUAGAUAUUUAUUAAAGAACUAGAAGAUUCUUUAAUUUAAAAAAUUUUCAUGUGUUGUUUGUUCUCAAUGAAAAUUAAUUAUUAUAAACUCACUGGCUAAAGUUGAGAUUUAAUGUCUUGCAUUUCUGAAAUGAAUAUGGGCACAUUCAUCCACCAUGUGGAUGAUUUUGAUAUUAUUUGAUUUUGGUAGAUGCAUCUACAAAAUAAUCACAUACGUUAUCAACUCGUAACCUGUCAUUUGCAAGAUUGCUUAUUUAAAUGAUUAAUUUCAUAUUAUGCAAUUAAAACAAUUCAUCUUGCUAAUAUUGGUGAGUUUAUAUCCCAAGCUUUCAAUAAUUAUUGUAUGUUAAUCGGGAUAAAAGUUGAACAUCUUGUAGCUCAUGUUCACACAUAAAAUGAUUUAGCUGAAUCAUUUAUCAAAUGCCUCAAACUAAUAGUUAAACCAUUAUUUAUGAGAAAAAAACUUCCUAUUUCAACAUGAUAUUGUAUUGAUUUACAUGUUGUACACAUCAAAACAAUAAAUUAUAAAUAAUCCCCAUUAUAAUUGAUUUUUGGUCAAGAGUCAAAUAUUUCCCAUCUUACAAUUUUUGGAUGUGCGGUAUAUGUUCCAACUGCUCCACCACAAUGCACAAAGAUGGGUCAUCAUAAGAGAUUGAGAAUGUAUAUUUAUAUGAGUCUCCUUAUAUUAUUAAAUAUUUUUGAGCUAUUAAUUCGAGAUUUAGUUAUGACAUGAGUUGUCAGUUUUCCUAACAUUAGGGGGAAAGAAUAAAAAGUUGGAUUAAUAAAUUACUUAAAAUGAACUAAUAAUGUCUAAAAUCCUUGUACAAAGCAAUGUGAACCAGAAGUUCAACAGAUAAUUCAUUUUACAAAUCAACUGCCAGAUUCAUUAAAUCUCACAUACCAACUGAAAAUGCUCCAAUACAAAUUGAUGCCCCAAUAGGGCAAACUAUUAGUGCGAAAGAAAGUAAUUCACACCUGAAGCAUGGAAGACCAAUCGGUUCCAAAGAUAAAAUUCCUCGUAAAAGAAAAGGAGCAAACAUUCAAGAUGGUCAUAUAGUGGAGGCAAGGGGUUCCUAAAGAGACUCAUGACAUAACUAAUUAUAAAACUCAAGAAGAGAUUCAGGUACCUAAAAGUGAAAAUAAAAAUGAUGAAAAUAAAGAGAUCUCAAUAAGUUAUGUCAAUACGAGAAAAAGAUGGAACCGAAAAAAAAUGUAGUUGUUGACAACAAUUUUACUUAUAAUGUUGCCAUUGAAAUAACAAAAGAAAAUGAGGAUCCUGAGCAUAAAUCUAUUAAGGAAUAUAAAAAUAGAAAAGAAUAGCCAAAAUGGAAAGACGCAAUUCGAGUAAAAUUGAAUUCACUUUCUAAACAUGAGGUUUUUUGGACAUGUAGCCCAAACACCUAAAGAUGUAAAGUCGGUAGGAUAUAAAUGGGUAUUUGUGUGAAAAUGAAAUUAAAUUGAUGAAGUCGUAAGAUAUAAAGCUCGACCUGUAGCACAAGGACUUUUGCAAAGGCUCGACAUUAAUUACAAAGAGACAUAUUCUUCUGUGGUGGAUGCAAUCACGUUUAGAUGUCUUAUUAGUUUGGGAGUACGUGAAAAACUUGACAUAGGUCUAAUGGAUGUUGUUACAUACUAUUUGUAUGGUACACUUGAUAGUGAAAUUUAUAUGAAAAUCUCUGAAGGGUUUAAAAUCUCAGAAAGAUAUAGAGUUUAUCGGGAAAAUUUCUUGAUCAAACUAAAGAAAAAUUUAUAUGGAUUAAAACAAUCUGGACAUAUGUGGUACAAUCGUCUUAGUGAAUAUUUGUUGAAAGAAUGUUAUAAAAAUGAUCCAAUUUGUCCAUGUGUUUGUAUAAAAAGGUCCGGAUCGGAUUUUGUGAUAAUUAUUUUUUAUGUUGAUGAUUUAAAUAUUAUUGGAACUCCUGAAGAGCUUCAAACUGUAGUAAAUCAUUUAAAAAAGAAUUUGAGAUGAAAUAUCUUGGAAAAAUAAUGUUUUGUCUUGGCCUGCAAAUCGAGCAUCUGAAAGAUGGAAUUCAUGUCCAUCAGUCAAUUUAUACGGAAAAGAUCUUAAAGAAAUUUUACAUGGAUAAAGCGGAUCCAUUGAGUACGUCGAUGGUUGUAUGAUCGUUAGAUUGAAUUUUGUCCUGAGAAUGAUAAAGAUUUUAUUGGUCUUGAAGUACCAUAUCUAAAUGGCAUUGAUGUAUCUUGCAAACAACACAAGACCUGAUAUAGUUUUCAUUGUAAACUUGUUAACAAGAUUUAGUUCUUCUCCAACAUGUAGAAAUUGGAAUGAAAUUAAACAUGUAUUCGGAUAUCUCAGAAGAACCAUUGAUAUGAGAUUAGUUUAUUCAAAUGAUUCAAAAUCUCUAUUAGUUGGCUAUGCUGAUGUUGGUUAUUUAUUGGAUCCACAUAAAGAUUGAUAUCAAAUAGGAUAUUUAUUUACAUGUGAGGGUACUGCCAUAUCAUGGCAUUCAACAAAGCAAACAUUAGCUGCCUUUUCUUCAAAUCAUGCAGAAAUAAUUGCAAUUCAUGAGGGAAGUCGAGAGUGUGUUUGGCUAAGGUUAUUGACCCAACAUAUCCAAAAGAUAUGUAAUUUGUCUUUACAGGAAAAGAUGUCAACUAUCUUAUACGAAAAUAAUUGUAACUAUAACACCCCUAACCCGUAUCCAUCGCCGAAUUAGGGUUACGAGUCAUUACUAGACAAAACACAACUUAAUACAUACGUUCAGUAGAAUUCAAGAAUUUAACAUUUAUAUACAAUUCGUUUGAAUACAGGUUUAAAUCUACUAUUUCCAAAUCAAGAUAUAAGCAUUGUAUAUAUAUAUAUGAAUUGAAAUAUAUUAAGCUUAGUCAAAUUUUAAGUAAGUAUAAUUGUAAAUUCUACUUUAACCUUUUAAAACAACACAUAACAUUUCGAUCCUGUUAAACCAUAAGAAAAUAAGCCAUUUUCGUAUGGCUAUUAAUUAUAUAUACAAUACAUCAAAGUACGACUUCCAAAACAUUAUCUAGCCUAUACAUGCCAUAAGUUAAAAUUUAAACAUUUCAAUACCGAAACAAUAGAUAGAGUGAUGAUCUUUGCUGACGAUCCCCGGGCCUCCAGCUUUGUUUUUAUCUAUAAAACAAAUGGACGUAAACUAACAAAGUAAGCUUUUAUCGCUUAGUAAGUCUUUAGCAUAUCUAUAAUACAUAUAAAAGAAUCAUAUAAUUCCUUAAGUAAAUUUAUUGAGAUAACAAUUACCAAAUAUAAUUACUAUUCAAACAUUGCUAUGUUCAGUCAUUUUGUUGAUAUCUAAAAGAAUGUAUAUUUAAUUAAUACAUAUAAACGAACAUAUGUAUAUUCAUUAUAUGCAUAUAACCAAGUUAUAAACAUACUCACUAACUGCAUAUACUGAUUGCUAGUGUACUUAUCGCUUGCACUUCAUCAAAUGCAUUUAUAUAUAUAAUUAUUCAAAUACAUAUGCCAAAAGCAUAUAUUUAUACUUAUCAAUUACAUGUGUCGAAUGCACAUAUAUACUUAUAAUCCACAUAUGCCAAAUGCAUACAUAUAUAUCCAACAAUUUCAUAACAACCAAUAUACGUACUUACUCACUAAACACAAAGAUCCAAACAUUUAUAUGCUCAUCAAAUAAAUAGAAACAAAUGUUCAUAUAUUUAUCCAUUACAUAUAACCAAAAUCAUAUAUAUACCCAAUGCAUAUAAUCACUUAAUUUAAACAGAUUCAUUGGCACUUAACCUGUUAGGCUUAAAGCAUGAUUCAGAUCACCGGCAUCAAUCCUGCUAGACAUAAAGUCUAAAUUAUCUCACUGGCGAUAAGCCUUCUAGACAUUGAGCCUGAAAUCUCAUUUCAUAUAAGUUGUAACUCAUAUUCAAACUAUAUAUGUAUAUAAAAUCCAUACAUAAAAAAUUCAACCCAAAAUUUAUAACUUAUAUUCUUAAACCACAUGGAUAUAUAUAAAGUUCAAUCACCAAAUCCAACAUUAAUAUCUCAAUGAUUCAACUGAACAUAUUUAUAUAUAACUUCAUACUUUAGAUACUACUACUAAUAUCAUACUAUUUAACUUAUAACAUACUAUGUACAUUUAACAUUCGAAUCUCACAUAUACCUAUAUAAUUUCAUACCCCAUUUCAAUAAAAAAACUUAUACAUGUACAUAUAUACAUAUUCGAAUCUAACAUAUAUACAUAUAUAAUUUUGUACUUAGAUUCGAAACAAGUACUUAUACUUGUAUACACAUACAUUUUCGAAUUUAACAUAUACAUAUAUAAUUUCAUACUUAUACUCAAUAUAAGCAAUUAUACAUAUAUAUACAUGCUUAUUGGAUCCAAACAUAUACAAAUAUAUUAUACAUAUAUAUAUGUAACAUCCAUACUUUUAAUAAAAUCUAAGAAUUUAUACUCAUAUAUACAUACCUAUUCAACAUUAACUAAAUUCAAAACUUAUUCAUGUAUAUACACAUAUAUCCGAACUUUAUAUAUAUAAAUAUAACAUACAUACUUUUAACUAAAUUCAAGAAUUUAUUCAUGUAUAUACAUAUAUAUCCGAACUUUAUAUAUAUAAAUAUAACAUACAUACUUUUAGCUAAAUUCAAGAAUUUGUUCAUGUAUAUACAUAUAUAUUCGAACUUUAUAUAUAUAAAUAUAACAUACAUACUUUUAACUAAAUUCAAGAAUUUAUUCAUGUAUAUACAUAUAUAUUCGAAUUUUAUAUAUAUAAAUAUAACAUACAUACUUUUAACUAAAUUCAAGAAUUUAUUCAUGUAUAUACAUAUAUAUCCGAACUUUAUAUAUAUAAAUAUAACAUACAUACUUUUAACUAAAUUCAAGAACUUAUACAUGUAUAUACAUAUAUUAUCCACUAUUAGUUCUAUAUUAUUGAACUUUAAACAAACUUUAGCUAACAUACAUGUAAUUUGCAUCAUUAAUAUAAACUUACCAAAGUAAAUUCUUGUAUUCGGCUAUCAAUAAUAAAAUUUAAAGUUUCAUUCAAUUUGAAUAUUUUAAGUUUCAGCUUAUCAUAUGUAAAAUAAAUAUAAUAAGCAUAUAUUUAAUUUAGAUAACAUUUAAUUGCUAAUUGACUUACCUCGGAUAUCGAUAGACACGUUUAACUAUUCGACUACUUUCGUUUUUCCCCAAUCCAAUUCUGUUUUCUUCGUUUCUUUAUCUAAACAUAUUCAAAUUUAGUCUUUUUAUUCAUCAAAUCAUUCAAUUAAAUCCAAAAAUACAUAAAUGGGAAAAUUAUCAUUUUACCCCUAACAUUUUACACUUUUUGCAAUUUAGUCCUUUUUGCACAAAACACAAAAUACAAAAUACACAAAAUUUAAUCACGGCAUACUAGGGCCGAAUGUUCCUAGUGUUCAUACAAGUCCACACAUUUCAUUUAUUUCACAUUUAGUCCCUAAAAAAUUUAUUUUCACAAUUUAUCCCUAAUUACUCAAUUUCACAAAAAAAUCAAAGACAAAACAUGUUAAUCUUUCACAUAUCUUUCAUUUUUUGUAACACCCCUAACCCGUAUCCUUCUCCAGAAUAGGGUUAUAGAGCAUUACCGGAUUUUACAAAUUAAUUUUCAGACAUUUCAUUUUAUCAAGCAUUCAUAUUUAUAACCAAUCAAAAUCAAAACAUUUAUGAACUAACAUUAGCCAAUUUAACUUAUACAAGUCAUUAUAACCAGAAUCAAAUCAUCCAAAAUCACCAAUAGAAUCAAUGGAUAAUGUGAUAUAUCUCCAACAAGCUUCCAACCCAAUCGAGCUUCCGAUAAUCAUUUCAAAACAUCUAAUAAUUAUACCUAUUACCAAUGAUAAUUUAAUUCCAAUAAUAAAACACACACAUAUAAUAUUUAUUACCAAAUAGCAUUGACUUCUAUUAAAAUGAUACAAAAUAUAGUUCAUACGAACUUACCAGGCUAAAUUGCAGAAAUAGCAAAAUUCAGGGACAUUUUGGAAAAUUUCUAUUUUUCUCGAAUUUCCACUCAAUCUUGAUCUAAAUUAAUAUUUCAUUCAAUUUACUAAUUUAAAUAAUAAAAAAUUCAUUUCAUGCAAUUUGGUCACUUUUUGACAUUUUUACAAAUUUACCCUUAAAGUUUCACAUUUGUUCAAUUUAGUCCCUGAACCUAAAACAUGUAAAUUGGUUAUUUUCAAUGAAAAAUCAUGCUAGUUGAAUAAUCAUAUAUUUUCCUCCUCCUCCUCUCCAUUCCACAUCCUUAAUGUAUAUAACAUUCUUAUAUGUAACAUUAUCUAUAAUUUCACCAUUUAUUUAUAUAUUCAUUCAAAACUGUCCACUUGAGUCAUAGUCACUAAAUUAUUUAUAUCUUCAGCUACAGAACUCCAAAUUGAGAUCCAUUAAUUUUCUCUGAAACUAUACUCACAUAUAUUCUUACCAUAAAAGUUUUAGAAUAUUUUGUUUAGCCAAUAAGUAUAGUUUAUUCUUUAAAGUCACCUCUGUUCUGCUGUCUAACAGUUCCGACCCUUCUUCACUAAAACUUAAUUAUCUCCUUGUACAAAAUUCGAAUGAUAUCCCUAUUUAUUUCUAUUGAAAAUAGAAUCUUUAAGGGUUUUAAAAAUAUAAAUUAUAACCCAUAAUUAUUUUUUUACAAUUUUUUUAUGAUUUUCCAAAGUUAGAACAGGAGAACCCAAAAUCAUUCUGACCUUGUCUCACAAAAUCUAUUAUAUCUCAUGAUUUACAUUUCCAUUACUUACACCGUUUCUUCUAUCAGAAACUAGACUUAGUAAGAUUUAAUUUCAUAUUUUUUUCAUCCUUAAUUUAAUUUCCACAAUUUAUGGUGAUUUUUCAAAUUUAACCUACUGCUGCUGUCCAAAACUGUUUUCGUGCAAAAUGUUAAUUACUAAGUUUAUAACUUCCUUAUUCCCUUUCUCUAUAAUAUUUCCCAUCACUUUCACUUAUUUCUCUUCACUAAUAUAUCAAGAAUAGAAGACUUUAUAUAAUAAAACUCUACUAUAACAUCUUUUUCAUGCUAUUUCAAUAAUAUCAAAAUUAAAAAUAUAUUGGAAUCUUAAUGUUCUUAUCUUGUCCUAUUGAUUUCAAUCUUUAACUUAAUUUUCUCUCUCCUAUAGCUUCAAUUUCUUGAAUCCAACUUGAUAUUCUAGCUCCCCAUAGUCUCCUUGUUAUCUUUCUCUCUUGAUGGAUAUGAAAAUUCUUUUGAUCUCUAGGUGAAAAUGGUAAUUUUUUGGAGGAAGGACCAAAUUGUAAAGAAAGCAAAACUUUCCUUCUUUCUCUCUUCUCCUCACGUUGGAUGCAUGGAAGAUGAUGGGUUGGUUUCUUUUCAUCUUUCUUUCUACAUAUAUUUAUACUAAAUAAUUUAAGAAUAAAAUAAUAAAAUAUCAUUUAAAAAUCAAAUUAAAAUAUUAAUAAACUAAUAUUUAUUAAAUUAAUUAAUCUAAAAUAUUACCAACAUCAUCAUUUCCUUCAAGAUUUCUCUCUAUUCUAAUUGACCAUUUUUCCAUUUAUGUUCUUUUAAAAUUUCAUCCUUGAGUCAUCACUUAAUUUGGUAAAAUUACGAUUUAGUCCCUCAAAAUUCUUCACCUUUUCAAUUUGGUUCUAAUUCAUCCAUUUUUCUUGGUUUCUAGAUUAUUCUACCCUUAAAAUAUUUGCACUAUUAGUCUUUCAAUUUUUCAUAUUUACACUUUAACCCCUUAAAUUUUAAGUAUUGACUCUUGGGCCACAAAACUUUUCUCAGUUUUACGAUUUAAUCCUUUCUUUAAUUAAUAUGUCAUAAUAUACUUCUCAAUGUUGACAUAACUCAAAAUUACCCUUUUUAUCACUUUAUUUCCUUAUUUUACUAUAUCAGGAAUAUUAUUUUGCUUUCUUACUAUAGUAAUUUUUUUUGGGAAUUACAUUUUUCAUCAUCAACUAUCACAAAGCUUAAGCAUUGAUCAAUGACACAUUUCAAAAUCAUCAAUAAUUCAUAAAAUUAAGACAUGGGUUUUGAAGUAUUCAAAGCAAUGAUCUCAAAAACGUAAAUUAUCAAAAAUCGAACAAAAACUAACCUUGAAUUAAGCUUCAAAAGAUGGUCGAACCUAGCUUAGGUUUCUUUCAUUUUCUUUUCUCUAGUUUCGGUCAAAAUAAGUUGAAAAUGUGGCUUUUAAUUUGUUUGUCUUUUAAUAUAUUAACUUUAUAAUAUAAUAUAUUAUUAUAACCUUUAUACAUAAUAUAAAAACUAUAGAUUAUAAGCAUAAUGUCGUCCACUAUCUUGAUUAAUGGCCUAAUUUCCUAUUAAAUACUUCACAUUAUAAAGACAUUAGCAAGUUAGCACUUUACAUAUUAAUUAGUCAAUUUCACAUUUUACGCGAUUAAGUCCUUUUAUUAAAUUAAGCACACAAACAAUAAAAUUAAUUCACGAAACUUUCACACAUGUAAAUUAACACAUAAUAAACACAUCAAAUAAUAUUAAAAUAUUUUUAGACUCGGAUUCGUGGUCACAAAACCACUAUGUCUGAUUAGGGUCUAAAUCGGGCUGUGACAGUAACGCCCCAAAAUUUCUAAUUUCGUUAUUGUGAAAAUAUGACACAAAUAUCUGUCAGCUUUAGUGGUUAUGUGUUCUGGGAGUGUUUGAAAAGUCCCAAGUUCAAGCCUUCGCUUGGGCAAAUUUUGGUAUUUUGAAUGAAUUAGGCCUUACUCUUGUUUAGUAGGCUUUUUUUGAUUGUUAGGUAAAUUACAUUAGAAUGGGCCUGCUGGUCUAGUGGUUAAAUGGUUUGUUAUUAUGGUGGAGGUAUUGUGUUUGAAUCCUUAUGUAGGCAAAGGUAUUAUUUUUUGCUCAGAUUUCAGGAUAGAGUUGAGUAAUAGGGGGAUUCUGAGUGUGGAUGUGUAGUGGGAAUUAGGAGAGAAGAUUAAGGGAUUUUGGGGGUUAUCGGGAUUUUAUUUUAUUUUAUUUCCCAUAAUCGAAUUUUGACUCUCUUUCCCCCCAAAAAAUCUACCGUUUAUUCUUCUCCCUCUCCUCUUGCAGAAAUUCACCGAGUUUUUCCAUCUUUCUCUUCUUUUUCUUCUUCUUGAUUUUCCAUAAUCCAUUUAAUUUCCUUCGUUUUCGCACGCGGUUAGUGCUCGCUUAGUUUUGGUAAGUGUUUCUCUUUAUUUCUAUCAUGAAUCUCUUAACGACUGAAGUGGUAAUGUUUUUUCUCUGCGAUUUGGGAGUAGGGGGAGGCUCGGACUGGUGAAUUCAGUGUUCUCGUCUUAACAAUAGUUAAACGGAGGGUUAUCGUUGGUGGAAACUUGAGUUUCUAUUCGUUCUUGGUUUUCAAUUCGCUUGUAAAUCCGUUAAAUUGAUGUUGAGUAUCUUGAUUAUAAGCUUUGGAGUGCUCGGGGACUAUUUUAGCAUCAAACAAAACUAGGUGUGUACCCAAAACGCAAAGAAAAAGGAUUCGGUGAAAAGCCAAAAUUGCUUGCUAUUUGGACAACAACAGUAGGCUAACUUUGAAAUAUCACCAUAAGUUGUGGAAAUCAAAUUAGAGGAUGAAAAAAUAUAGAAUUAAAGCUUAUUAAGUUUAGUUUCUCAUAGAGGAAAUGGUGUAAGUAAUGAAAUUGUAAAUUGUGAGAUAUAAUAAGUUUUGCGAGACAAGGUCAGAAUGAAUUUGGGUUCUCCUGUUCUGACUUUGGAAAAUCAUCAAAAAUUGGAGAAAAAUAAUUAGGGGUUAAAAUUUACAUGUUUAAAUUAUUAAUGAGUCUAAAUUCAAUAGAAAUAAAUGGUAACAUCAUCUAAAUUUUGUACUAAGAGAUAAUUAAUUUUUAGCAAAGAAAGGUCGAAGCUGUCAGACAGCAAAAUAGGGGUAAGUUUGAAUAUUUUACUGUACUUAUUGGUUGAAGCAAAAAUUCUGAAAAUUUUAUGGUAGAAAUAUAUUUGAGUCUAGUUUGAAAGACAUCAAGAGGAUCUUAAUUCAGAAUUCUGUAGCUCAAGAUGUAAAUAAUUUAGUAACAGUGACUCAAGUAGACAGCUUUGAAGGAACAUAUAAGUAAAUAGUGAAAACAUAUAUGAAUAAUUAACUAGCACGGGUUACAUUAAAAAAAAGGAUCACAUGGCGAAGGCCAAUUUGGGCUGAGUGGGCCACAUGGGCAUGUAAGCCCAUUUUUUUAAAAAGUUCUGUAAGGUUGCACGGGUCUCCCAAGUCUACUAUGGACCUUUUGUAGGGUUGGUAAGCUUUACUUAGAUCCCUAUAUGUGUGAUCUGUGUGUCUGAUUUCUAUAUCGAGCGUGACUUAUGAAUGUAUGUACUAUUCAUUGCAUAAUGGCAUGACAUAUUUUGUAUGUUGCAUUGCAUCGGGGUAGGUUGAUGAUAUUUGGAGGAAGUGUCUAAAAGGCUAUUAAGCCUGUUAUCUGGCAGCCCAGCUGCAACCUUCUGAUUAUGUGUCGCAUUUUAGUACAGCAUGGUGUGUAGGGAUGGGUGGGUUGAUUUAAUUCCCACAUGGUGUGUAGGGUUGGACAGAGAUGGUGUGUAGAGGCUGGUAGGUAGGAUUCUGAUUUACUAUAUCUGCAUUCUGUAUCUGAUAUGAGCCAAGGCCCUAAUGUAUUUUUGAGACUGUAUCUGAAUGGGCUAAUGCCCAAACUGAUUCUGUGAUGGGCACGGGCCCCAGACUGUAUCUAACUAAAUUCUGUUGAUUAUCUGUAUGCAUGUUUUCUGUGGGGAUUACACAUUGAGGUUUUGAAAACUCACCCUUUUUUCUGUUUAAUCUGUACAGGUAAUCCCCAGACUUGACGGGUUGGUGCAGCGGAGGACUCGACGGUGGCCACACGUAAAUUUUAGAUUGUUUUCUGUUAAUGCCUAUAAUUUAUUAGUUAUUACUUAUUUGGGGUUUUUGAUGUAUCUUCUGGACUAUGGACUGGUUGGCUUUAAAUUUGGGACUUUAUACUAUUUUUUUAUGAUUUUUUAAAAAAAAACUGCAAUUCCACAAAACACUGUUUUUUCCUAAAAACUAAGGUUUUUCGUAAAUAGAAACGACUUUCCCUAAAUUAAUUGGUUACAAAAGCUUCCGCUAAGAGACAAUUUUUAAACCAAAUCAACUAGUUUUUUUUUCGAAUUAAAUAAAAGCUAAUUUACUAUAACGGUUUUUAAACUCAACAAUCUUGUCUUCAAAUCCCUUUCCAUGUGACACCGCCAGAUUCGACCAUAACGUCUAGGCCAAGUUUGGGGUGUUACAAUAAUGCAACAUGUAUAGCUCAAUUGAAUGGUGGUUACAUCAAAUGUGACAGAACGAAACAUAUUUCACCAAAAUUAUUCUUCACCCGUGAUCUUGAGAAAAGAGGUGAUUAUAAAUGUUCAACAAAUUUGUUCUAGUGAUAAUUUAGCUAAUUUUUUUACUAAGGCAUUACCAACCGCAAUAUUUGAAAGACUACUACACAAUAUUGGAAUAUGUUCACUCAAAGAUGUAAUGCAAUGUUGCUGUUAGGGGGAGUCUAAAAAUAAGUUGUACUCUUUUCCUUUAACCAAGGUUUUGUCCCAUUGAGUUUUCUAGGUAAAAGUUUUUAACAAGGCAGGUUGUAAUAGAAGAUUGUGUACUCUUUUUCCUUCAUUAGGUUUUUAUCCUACAAGAUUUUUCCUAAUAAAGUUUUAAUGAGGCACAUUAUCUACAAAUAGACAUCUAAGAAGGAGUGUUAUGAAUAUCUUAUUGAGGGGAAAUAAAAGAAAAAAGAUAGACUAAGAAUAUAACAAAAUUUUUAUUUACCCAAACUAAGCUAUACAAACAACUUGUGGGUUCAACUAAACAUCAAUCCUAUUCUGCCUAAAUGCUACUGUUGUCCAAACCGAGUCACCAAAUAACUUGUCAACAAAGGGCUUUUGUUUCUAUUUUACCAUAAACACAACAAUAUUGCUAACCCUAAACCGAUACUACACAGAUUAAAAAAGGGAUUUUAAACAUUUUUUUUACCGUAAAGUGUUUCCAGAAAAUGACAAAUCCAGCAAAACUUUACCCCAAAAAGUGACAAAUAAGAAAAUGGGUUUAUAUGCAAGAUCGUCACUUCAAAAUGAAACCAUUCAAAAAAAAAAAAAAAAGG